ACUACCGAUGGAGUACGGUCCAGUAAAAGUUGUACAACGCCCCAAUAAAAGGGGGAACUGUGCUUGAAAACAUUGAUCACACGAUACUCCAGAGUCGACAUGCGUAUAGGUCAUCCAGAAUUCAGACACCAUUUUCUUGGGACAUCAACUGCGGUGUUAUAUUACAGCACAACAGGUAGAGCUACAGAUAACGAGACGGUCUUCUGCAGAAGACAUAUCCCCAGCACGAGGGGGUCGUCGUUACCACCAGAGCAAAACAUCAGGAAACAAAAAAAUAAAUACAAUACCCACUAGAUCGACUGGACAUGCCUCCUAUUGCAGAUACCGCGGGUGUAAGGUGGUGUGAGAUGUACAUUACAUGGUCUGUUUAUCCUGCCUCAGUUGUGGACGUCGCCCUUCCGUUUCGUGGUGGUGCUUCGGGGCCGAGCUGACCUGUUGUUGGUCCUUGGCAGCUGCCUGUCCUCCUGCUCUUGCUUAGCGUCUAACAUCUCCGAUGAAACAUCCAUGGUAGUUUCUAGCCAUGGUGUGCGCUUGGCGGGAACAAGAACAACGACCUCCAGAGGUGGCUCAAUCACCCACCUGCAAAGAAGAAUUUAAGUUAUUACAGCCUAAAAAUGGAUAAUUUCAACUUAGGUUAUUACAGCCUAAAGAAGAAUAAAAAUGAGCAUUCUUAAUACAGAAGAGAAGGAAAAAUCUAAGCAAACAAAUCUGAUAAUCAGAGUUGAUAAGUUAGCAGAAUCUUAUACUAUUUGACUGCAGUGAAAUUCAGAGUUUUUCUCAAGACCUUUUAUUCCUCAAGUCUCUCAGAAGGAGGGCUCUCUACUGCACAUGGUUUUGGUAACCAAGACUAACAUGAGGAAUGGGUCUUUUUCUUCCGCCUAACUGAUUUGAGGAAAUGUUCUUAAACGGUUGAACCAUUCAGUUUGACGGUGCUAAACUACAUGACAACAUAGGGUGCAAAAUUAUAUAUUGAAACAUUCUUUGUUCUACUGUCGGCAUAUGGCACCAUGCCAGUGGAAGAGGUCAGUCUGAAAUAUUUACAUAAAAAUAGACAGAUAUUGCAGCUACAAAAUACUUAAUUUUUACACUGGUCCUAAUGCGUGCCGAAGAAUUGGUCGCUAGAAAAUGAAUUGUGCACAUGCUACUAUGCAGAACUGUUUGGUGCAACCUGCGCUGAGCAAUUUCACUAAAAUGGAGAGUUAAAACUAUAGUAGUACAACACAAGAUGUAACAGGGACAUUUCUGUCGGAGUAAUGUGCCACGGGUAGGCUGACCCGAGCCCCAGAACCUUUCAAGACAUCGGGGCAGGCCGCGCCCCUCAAAGCCGAGUCUCAGAUGACGACUCCCAGAUGGCCGAGUCUCAGAUGACGACUCCCAGAUGGGCCGAGUCUCAGAUGGCGACUCUCAGAUAAGCCGAGUCUUAGAUGACGACUCCCAGAUGGCCGAGUCUCAGAUGACGACUCCCAGAUGGGCCGCGUCUCAGAUGGCGACUCCCAGAUAAGCCGACUCAUGGCUGGCGACUUCCGGAGGAGCCGGCUAUGGAAAGUCGGCCCACGACUCUACACUCAUUACAAUAGACGGGACGGGUACGACCACGACGUGGCCGUCACCUCCUGCUUGCGAGGAGCCGGCAUGGCUACAGUGCGCCGUACCGCCGGAGAUCUCCGGCGUGGCCCAGCACUGUAGCCAUGCUAGACCUGACCUCAGCCACAGUGCGCAGCGCACUGUGGCCACGAUGGCCUGCCUAUACAGCUCGGGGACGGCGGACCCGCCAGUCAGUGGGAGCAUAGAAGACGGCGGAUACGCCCCGAAGGCGGCCCCGUGGGAGUUGGCUCCCCGGAGUCGGCCAGCCUCUCCCACGGGUCCCACGUGCCAUUAACCAGACAAGAUGGGGAGUAACGACAGUGAUCGCCCGAUAGACGGCGGCACUGUUGCCACGACCGAAUGACCAAGCCUGCGUCACCAGAAGCACGACUACAGUGCCGGACUCGCCGGCGGGGCCCGCAAGUCGGCGGGCCCCAUCAGUCGGCAGAGAAGACGGCGACCUGUGAGACAGACGGCUGGGACCCGCGCCCAGCCGGAUUACCAUUGUACCCCCGGGGGGUAGGCCUAUAUAACCCCCCCGGGACACCCAUGCAAAGGGUUCGAUCCAUGAGCCUUAGACCAGACCACAUAGGAAGAAGAAGGCUAGCCUUGCCUCCUUCCACCUCUAGAAUACAGCUCUAGGAGCAACCUUGUACUCACUACGCCUUAGUGAUCAUGCGGAGACCCCGCAGAGCAGCAGUAGGGGUGUUAUCUCCCCGGAGAACCCCGAAGCUGGGUAAGAUUCACCGGCGUGCAUGCCUUCGCCUAAUCCCGUUUCCUGGCACCGGCGACGUUCUACUCGCUCCCACCAUGAUAAGCCAUCCUUUGGCAUAUGUCGCACCCAACCCCUGACAUUUGGCGCCCACCGUGGGGCGAGGUGCACCGUCGUCCGGAGACCUGCUUUGGACGGAAACCCUUUUCCUCCCCGGCGAGCGUAGCCAGCCCGGCACGCCCGACGGCGCUUGCCCUGAGGCGCUGCAAAGCGUCAACGACGCCUGCGCGGCGAGCUGCCUCGCUGACCUCCUCGGCGAGGUUAGCAUCUCCGACGAGCCUGCAUCCAAUGCGGGCACGGGCGGCCCCGAAAGCCUCCUCGCGGGCCUCCUCGACCAUCUCCACGUCGCCGGCGAGCCUGCCGUGGACUUGGAGUCCGUAGGCUCCACCGACUCGAUGCUGGUCGACUCCGACGGCGUGUCGCUCGACACGUUCCCCUCCAACGUGGUGAUCUAUGAUGAGCCGCUCCCUCGCGAGGCGAGCGACGGAAGCGCCAUCACGGAAGUGCUCGUCAUCAGUCAUGGUGAGCACUCCGGUGAAGGAGCUCAUGACCCGCUCGACGCGGCUCUGCGAGACCUGACGGCGCCCAUUCUGGAGGACGCUUACGCCGAGAUGCUGGAGGCACGCCGCCUUCAGCUUGUCGAAGGCGCGAAGAAGCUGGCAAGCAUGAGACGCUUGUCGGAGGCCUACCAGCAUGAGAUGGAUCGCGUUGUGGGCGGCUCGCCAGCGCCGACUGGGCCUAGCCGCCUAGGCACGGUCCGACAACGCGGCGCGGCCGUCGCCAACCUGUUCGGGGCCGAUCGCCCCGUAUAUGCCACGCCUGCGGAGAACAUCCGUGCCGCCCAGGCGGCAGCAGAUGAGCUGGACAACUUCGAAGGCGAAGAGCGCCGCCUAAUGACCGAGCGAGUCCAGCGACUCCUCAAAGCGGCUGCCGCACAGAACGAAGCCGGCUGCCGCACGGAGGCGCCGCAGCGACAAAAUGACGACUUACCUCCCCGCCGAGAUCAAGGCGCGACGUCUCGGACGCCGACUGGCGGAGUCCGCGGAAGAAAAGAGAAGGAUCCAGCUAUCAACCACAGUCGGACUCGCAUCACCAUCGAGCGCGACCAAGACGGCCGCCCAAGAGCAGUGCUGCGGCAGGGCGACUACCUACCUCCCCCACCACGAAGGGAAAGACGAGUCUCCCCACCGCCUAUCGAGCAUCCGACUCUCGGCGACCGCCUCGGCCGUCGAGAGGGAGUCGGAGAGAACGACGCUCGCCACCGGAUCGAUCGACUCCACCGACCCCUGGCGCUGGAAGAAGAAGACGAGCUGGGUCCACCCUGCUUUGGGCCCCGCAUCUGAGAUGAGCCCUUCCCCAAAGGGUUCACACUCCCCCGAAACACGCCCAAAUACACCGGCUCCGUGAAGCCAGAAGAUUGGCUAGUCGACUACUCCACAGCCGUCAACAUAGCAAACGGCAACAAGCGUAUUGCCGUGAAGUACGUUCCGCUAAUGCUCCAGGGCACAACGCGGACAUGGUUGAACAGUUUGAAGCCCCGCAGCAUCAACAGCUGGGUCGACUUCACCGAAGCUUUCAUCCGCAACUUCACCAGCACGUACAAGCGGCCUCCCAAGCCACGACAACUCUCCUUGUGCGUGCAAGGCCAAGACGAGUCGACACGUGACUACCUCACGCGAUGGGGCGAGCUUCGGAACUCCUGCGAGGGUGUGGACGAGGUGCAGGCUAUCGAGUACUUCACCGCCGGGUGCAGAGAAGGCACCCUCCUCAAGCACAGGCUCCUCUACGACGAGCCCGAGACCCUCGACGAGUUGCUGGUCAUUGCAGACAAAUAUGCCACAGCCGACUCCUCCAUGAAGACAGAAAUUCAAGCUAGUGCGACUGGCAAAGUGGCCCCUCAGGCUCCCAGAACUCCGGCUGGAGAUACCAGCCGGGCGACAGCAGCAGAAUGAUCACAAGCGCAAGGCCUCGCAGCCGACUUCCAGCAGUCGGCAGGUCGCGACAGUCGAAGACCAACAGCCUGAGGGGCAGCCUCCAGCGAAGCGGCAGAAAGGCGGCAAGUCCAACUGGUUGCCGGCCUUCUCUUACGAGCAGACUCUGGAUGGUCCCUCCAAGUUUCAUAGCGGCGCGAAGCCGUCAAACCAUACCACCCGGAAAUGCCACUGGCUCACCAGAAUCGCCAAGGGAGACGGCCUCCUUCCUCCACCGCAUGUUGGGCCGCCACCUCCACAGCCGCCCCAGCAGCCGGCGGCCAGGCCAGUCGGCACCGUACAAGAUGAAUACCCCGAAGAACAUGGAGCUUAUGUAGUGUUCACCAGUAUGGCUGAUGAUCGACGCAGCAGACGAUUGCAGCAGCAAGAAGUAAACGCAGUAGCAUCAUAUACUCCGGAGUUUAUGCAUUGGUCCGAGAAUCCUAUCAGUUGGAGCAGAGCAGAUCACCCAGAGGUGAUGCCGAAUCCGGGCUCCUACGCCUUGGUUCUGAGUGUACCUUGGCCACUGAUAGGCGUGCCGCUCGCUUCUCGCGAGUGUUGAUAGACGGAGGCAGCAGCAUCAACAUCCUGUACAAUGAUACCAUGGAGAAAUUAGGGAUCAAGCAGAAACAGCUUCAAAGCAGCCGAACUGUUUUCCAUGGCAUUGUGCCUGGCCUUUCCUGCUCCCCAAUCGGCAAGAUCCAGAUAGGCAUCCUCUUCGGAGACAAAGAUCAUUUUUGCCGAGAGCCAGUCUGGUUCGAAGUGGUGGACCAUGAAAGCACAUACCAAGCGUUGCUUGGUCGACCUGCUUUAGCCAAAUUCAUGGCGGUCCCCGACUACGCCUACCUCAAGAUGAAGAUGCCGAGUUCAAAGGGUAUUCUGACCGUGGCUGGCGACUACCGGAAGUCGUCCGCCUGCGUGGCCGAGAGCAGUCGGCUUGCCGAGUCCCUGGUGGUCGCAGCUGAAAGGCGGCUCCUUGACCGGGUUGUGGCGAUGUCCGGCAAGCAGCUAGAGAUGUCGCCCGACCCCAAGGAGUCGGAAGCUGAGGGUUCGUUCAAGCCGGCUAAAGAAACAAAGAGGAUACCUAUGGACCUGGAGCACCCGGAGAAGCACGCUGUCAUAGGUGCAAACCUAGACAGCAAAUAGGAAGGCGAGCUCGUCGAUUUCCUCCAUGAGAAUCGAGACAUCUUUGCAUGGUCCCCCAAAGACAUGCCCGGUGUACCCACGGAAUUCGCCGAGCACAAGCUACAUGUCCGAUCUGAUGUGAAGCCCGUCAGGCAGCCCUUGCGUCGCCUGUCAGAAGAGAAAAGAAGAGUUGUUCGAGAAGAGAUAGCCCGACUCCUAGCGGGCGGCUUCAUUAUGGAGGUUUUCUUUCCAGAAUGGCUGGCGAACCCGGUCCUAGUGUUGAAGAAGAACAAGGAGUGGCGGAUGUGUAUCGACUAUACAAGCCUCAACAAAGCUUGCCCCAAAGAUCCAUUUGCUCUGCCAAGAAUUGACCAGGUGAUAGACUCCACAGCCGGAUGCGAGCUAUUGAGCUUCUUAGAUGCAUAUUCGGGAUAUCACCAGAUCAAGCUGAACCCGGCAGACAGACUGAAGACUGCUUUCAUCAUGCCAUUUGGAGCCUUCUGCUACCUGACUAUGUGUUGGGGAACGUUGCAGAAAACAAAAAAUUUCCUACUCGUUUCACCAAGAUCAUCUAGGAGUUCAUCUAGCAACGAGUGAUUAGAUGCAUCUACAUACCUUUGUAGAUCGCGAGCGGAAGCGUUCAAAAGAACGGUGAUGAUGUAGUCGUACUCGACAUGAUCCAAAUCACCGAUGACCAGCGCCGAACGGACGGCACCUCCGCGUUCAACACACGUACGGAACAGCCACGUCUCCUCCUUCUUGAUCCAGCAAGGGAGGGAGGAGAGGUUGAGGGAGAUGGCACCAGCAGCAGCACGACGGCGUGGUGUUGAUGGAGCUGCAGUACUCCGGCAGAGCUUCGCUAAGCACUAUGGAGGUGGAGGAGGUGUUGGGGAGGGAGAAGGAGGCAACCAAAGGCCAAGGCGUUCAGGUAUGAAGUCCCUCCUCUCCCCCACUAUAUAUAGGAGGGCCAAGGGGGGGUGGCCGGCCCUAGGAGAUCCAAUCUCCUAGGGGGUGCGGCGGCCAAGGGGGGUUUCCCUCCCCCCCAAGGCACCUAGGAGGUGCCUUCCCCUCCUAGGACUCUUUCCCCCUUAAACCCUAGGCGCAUGGGCCUAUGUGGGGCUGGUGCCCUUGGCCCAUUAGGCCAAGGCGCACCCCCUACAGCCCAUGUGCCCCCCCCGGGACAGGUGGACCCACCCGGUGGACCCCCGGGACCCUUCCGGUGGUCCCGGUACAAUACCGAUAACCCCGAAACUUGUCCCGAUGCCCGAAACAGGACUUCCCAUAUAUAAAUCUUUACCUCCGGACCAUUCCGGAAAUCCUCGUGACGUCCGGGAUCUCAUCCGGGACUCCGAACAACAUUUGGGUUACUGCAUAUACAUAUCCCUACAACCCUAGCGUAACUGACCCUUAAGUGUGUAGACCCUACGGGUUCGGGAGACAAGCAGACAUGACCGAGACGACUCUCCGGUCAAUAACCAACAGCGGGAUCUGGAUACCCAUGUUGGCUCCCACAUGCUCCACGAUGAUCUCAUCGGAUGAACCACGAUGUCGAGGAUUCUAUCAACCCCGUACGCUAUUCCCUUUGUCUAUCGAUAUGUUACUUGCCCGAGAUUCGAUCGUCGGUAUCCCAAUACCUCGUUCAAUCUCGUUACCGGCAAGUCACUUUACUCGUACCGUAAUGCAUGAUCCCGUGACCAGACACUUGGUCACUCUGAGCUCAUUAUGAUGAUGCAUUACCGAGUGGGCCCAGUGAUACCUCUCCGUCAUACGGAGUGACAAAUCCCAGUCUUGAUCCAUGUCACCCAACAGACACUUUCGGAGAUGCCCGUAGUCUACCUUUAUAGUCACCCAGUUACGUUGUGAUGUUUGGCAUACCCAAAGCACUCCUACGGUAUCCGGGAGUUACACGAUCUCAUGGUCUAAGGAAAAGAUACUUGACAUUGGAAAACUCUAGCAAACGAACUAUACGAUCUUGUGCUAUGUUUAGGAUUGGGUCUUGUCCAUCACAUCAUUCUCCUAAUGAUGUGAUCUCGUUAUCAAUGACAUCCAGUGUCCAUAGUCAGGAAACCAUGACUAUCUGUUGAUCAACGAGCUAGUCAACUAGAGGCUCACUAGGGACAUGUUGAUGUCUGUUAUUCACACAUGUAUUACGAUUUCCGGAUAACACAAUUAUAGCAUGAAUAAAGACAAUUAUCAUGAACAAGGAAAUAUAAUAAUAAUGCUUUUAUUAUUGCCUCUAGGGCAUAUUUCCAACAGUCUCCCACUUGCACUAGAGUCAAUAAUCUAGUUACAUUGUGAUGAAUCGAACACCCAUGGAAUUCUGGUGCUGAUCAUGUUUUGCUCUAGGGAGAGGUUUAGUCAACGGAUCUGCUACAUUCAGGUCCGUAUGUACUUUACAAAUCUCUAUGUCUCCAUCUUGAACAUUUUCACGAAUGGAGUUGAAGCGACGCUUGAUGUGCCUUGUCUUCUUGUGAAACCUGGGCUCCUUGGCAAGUGCAAUAGCUCCAGUGUUGUCACAGAAGAGCUUGAUCGGCCCCGACGCAUUGGGUAUGACUCCUAGGUCGGUGAUGAACUCCUUCACCCAUAUUGCUUCAUGUGCUGCCUCCGAGGCUGCCAUGUACUCCGCUUCACAUGUAGAUCCCGCCACGACGCUUUGCUUGCAACUGCACCAGCUUACUGCCCCACCAUUCAAAAUAUACACGUAUCCGGUUUGUGACUUAGAGUCAUCCAGAUCUGUGUCGAAGCUAGCGUCGACGUAACCCUUUACGACGAGCUCUUCGUCACCUCCAUAAACGAGAAACAUUUCCUUAGUCCUUUUCAGGUACUUCAGGAUAUUCUUGACCGUUGUCCAGUGUUCCUUGCCGGGAUUACUUUGGUACCUUCCUAUCAAACUUACGGCAAGGUUUACAUCAGGUCUGGUACACAGCAUGGCAUACAUAAUAGAACCUAUGGCUGAGGCAUAGGGGAUGACGCUCAUCUCUUCUAUAUCUUCUGCCGUGGUCGGACAUUGAGCUGAGCUCAAUUUCAUACCUUGCAACACAGGCAAGAACCCCUUCUUGGAUUGAUCCAUAUUGAACUUCUUCAAUAUCUUAUCAAGGUAUGUGCUUUGUGAAAGACCUAUGAGGCGUCUCGAUCUAUCUCUAUAGAUUUUGAUGCCUAAUAUAUAAGCAGCUUCUCCAAGGUCCUUCAUUGAAAAACUUUUAUUCAAGUAGGCCUUGAUGCUGUCCAAGAGUUCUAUAUCAUUUCCCAUCAAAAGUAUGUCAUCUACAUAUAAUAUGAGAAAUGCUACAGAGCUCCCACUCACUUUCUUGUAAACGCAGGCUUCUCCAUAAGUCUGUGUAAACCCAAAUGCUUUGAUCAUCUCAUCAAAGCGAAUGUUCCAACUCCGAGAUGCUUGCACCAGCCCAUAAAUCGAGCGUUGGAGCUUGCACACUUUGUCAGCAUUCUUAGGAUCGACAAAACCUUCCGGCUGCAUCAUAUACAAUUCUUCCUUAAGGAAACCAUUAAGGAAUGCGGUUUUGACGUCCAUUUGCCAUAUUUCGUAAUCAUAGAAUGCGGCAAUUGCUAACAUGAUUCGGACGGACUUCAGCUUUGCUACCGGUGAGAAAGUCUCAUCGUAGUCAACCCCUUGAACUUGUCGAUAACCCUUAGCGACAAGCCGAGCUUUAUAGAUGGUCACAUUACCAUCCGCGUCUGUCUUCCUCUUAAAGAUCCAUUUAUUUUCUAUGGCUCGCUGUUCAACAGGCAAGUCAGUCAAAGUCCAUACUUCGUUUUCAUACAUGGAUCCUAUCUCGGAUUUCAUGGCUUCUAGCCAUUUGUCGGAAUCCGGGCCCGCCAUCGCUUCUUCAUAGUUCGAAGGUUCACCGUUGUCUAACAGCAUGAUUUCCAAGACAGGGUUGCCGUACCACUCUGGUGCGGAACGUGUCCUUGUGGACCUUCGAAUUUCAGUAGGGGCUUGAUCAGAAGUAUAUUGAUCAUUAAUUUCCUCUCCAGUCGGUGCAGGCACCUCAGGAACAUUUUCUUGAGUUGCGCCAUUUUCCGGCUCAAGAGGUAAUACUUCAUCAAGCUCUACUUUCCUCCCACUUACUUCUUUCGAGAGAAACUCUUUCUCCAGAAAGGACCCAUUCUUGGCAACAAAGAUCUUGCCUUCGGAUCUGAGGUAGAAGGUGUACCCAAUAGUUUCUUUUGGGUAUCCUAUGAAGACGCAUUUUUCCGACUUGGGUUCGAGCUUUUCAGGUUGAAGUUUCUUGACAUAAGCAUCGCAUCCCCAAACUUUUAGAAACGACAGCUUAGGUUUCUUCCCAAACCAUAAUUCAUACGGUGUCGUCUCAACGGAUUUCGACGGAGCCCUAUUUAAAGUGAAUGCGGCAGUCUCUAAAGCAUAGCCCCCAAAAGAAAGUGGUAAAUCGGUAAGAGACAUCAUAGAUCGCACCAUAUCUAACAGAGUGUGAUUACGACGUUCGGACACACCAUUACGCUGAGGUGUUCCAGGCGGCGUGAGUUGUGAAACUAUUCCACAUUUUCUUAAGUGUGCCCCAAACUUGUGACUCAAGUAUUCUCCUCCACGAUCUGAUCGCAGAAACUUGAUUUUCCUGUCACGUUGAUUUUCAACCUCACUCUGAAAUUCCUUGAACUUUUCAAAGGUUUCAGACUUGUGUUUCAUUAAGUAGAUAUACCCAUACCUACUUAAAUCAUCAGUGAGGGUGAGAACAUAACGAUAGCCACCGCGAGCCUCAACACUCAUUGGACCGCACACAUCAGUAUGUAUGAUUUCCAAUAAGUCGGUUGCUCGCUCCAUUGUUCCUGAGAACGGAGUCUUGGUCAUUUGUCAGGACCCCGACUCAAUGCCACAUCGAUCUAGCAUGUAACGCCCCAUAUCACUUUGCGGCCUCACGCACGGUAUCCCCACGGGUGUCGCCUUACCUUUGCCCGGGACCGUUUGCGCAUUUUGGCACACGUAUAUGAUGGUGUCGCUAGCAUCCAUAUGAUAAAGAGCCCGGGCUGACAUGGCUAGUCGUAAACCCAAAGUGGCACUAACUUACAGGGACAGACAUCCAUGACCCAGCAUCGAACGUGUCGGUCAUCAACGAGUGAAUCCAGGCUGUAGCACUGGGCUAACAGGACUCCGGUGAACCGGGCUGUAGCGGGCUAGCAGGACUCCGGUAUUCAUCGCGUGACAUUUCCCCGAAGGGACAGACACAGGAUCGAAGAAGGACACAUGCCGGCCUGCCUAAGUGUUCCGGAGCAGUACAAGCUACCAGGGCUCAGUGGAAGCACUAGGAGACAUUUCCCGGUAAGAGAGGCUACUAAGAAUAAACAACUAGAUAGUCAGAUCCCACACAUAGCAAUACACAUUACACGUACGCAUAACAUGCAAGUAUGUGCUGUACAACAUGGCAUCACAGCAUAACUCAACAAUCAUAUAGAUAAAGGCUCAGAAGAGCCAUCAUAGCAUUUAUUGCAAACAGGGGUCACAAAACCCAUCAUACAGAGCAUACAAGCAACAAGCGGAAGCAUUACAUGUCUGGGUACAAACAUCUAUAAAUGAAAAAGGCUGAAGAGCCUGACUAUCUACAACAUCCGAUCAAGAUCGUAGCUGAGGUACUAGCUACUAAUCGAAGUCCACGAGAACACUAAUAAGACCGAAGUCUCCGCUGCAAAGACAUAAUUAAAGCAACAUGAGUACAAAGGUACUCAGCAAGACUUACAUCAGAUCCUAUCAUACAUGCAUUUGUAUCAAGAGGGUAAUGUGGGGUUUAGUUGCAGCAAGCCAGCUUUGACUCUGUGGCUAUCCUAUUCUACGACUACCAGAAACUCUGAAGGUGAAACAACGUACACGAGUCCACUAAUCACCACACAAUACACUACUAUGGAUUCAUCCCCGUCUCCCUACGAGAAGGCCAUCCAUAGCACUCACACUUGUCUUGAGCAUUUUAUAGUAUCCACUUCAAGUUGUCUAUGUACCAUGUAAGCAUCCAAGAAGUCCAUAACCGCGGACCCGGCUAUUCGAAUAGAUUAUGUUAACCCUGCAGGGGUGUACUUCUUCACACACGCUCUCGCCACUUACCGCCAUGUACACGUCAUGUAUCUCGGCAACCUUCAAGCGGAAGCCUGGCGAGGGUGUCGGCCAUGACCUGACUAACCACACAAGACUCUAGUCCAGGUUUAUCGCCUAUUCGGGUUCCAUCCGCAAGGAGAUCCGGCCGGGGUGUCUCUCACGGCCCCAAACGAUGUGAGCAGGGUUCACGAGCCCACCAACCGGGUGCCACUCGGUACACCGGGCCACGUGUGCCUAGUCUGUCCCAAGCCCACCCUGCCGGGUGCCACUUGGUAGAAAAAUAGCACUACCUACAAACACCAGAAACUAGUUGCGACUCCUGGACAGAGAUCAAGUUGGUUAAUAAGCCGAGAGAGUCAAUUAAGGAUCCCAAUGUGUGGUAGUAUCGGGUCAUUGGACAACAUACAUAGAACUCAGUGCUUAAGGACGGUUCCAGCGAGACAACCCACCAUGUACUCCUACAUGACCUCUCACCGCUACCUUUACCAAAUCGUGUUCACACACUUAACACUCAGCAUCAGAACAUAUCGUAACACUCCAAUUCAUUCCCAAUGAACCAGACCUGUCACAACUCUAAGCAAUAGUAGGCAUAGCAUGGUAGGAACACAACAAUGGCUUCAAUCAACUCCUACACAUGCUAGUGGGUUUCAACUAUUUACUGUGGCAAUGACAGGUCAUGCAGAGGAAUGGGUUCAACUACCGCAGCACAAAGUAGCAUAUGAAUCGUUGUUGUCCUAAUGCAAUAACUGAGAGCAGGAGCGAGAGAGUAGGGUUUUAUCGAAAUGAACAAGGGGGUUUGCUUGCCUGGUAAAUCAACAAGGGAGGCACUGCUUCACAGACAGGUACUCUGGAACGUCUCCGGAGCAGGACCUAUCGAGAAGGAACGGUGCCGGCAAUCAAUACACAAUCAUAUGCAACAAUAUGAUGCAUGAACAUGGCAUGUAGAUGUGAUGCUGUUUGAGCUAAUGCAACUAGUAAACAUUUGGUUUGAAGUCCAUUUGAACCAAAGGUUCAAAUGCAUUACUAAAUUAAGUCUCUUAUAUAUGCCAUAAUGUGUUUUCUCAUAUUCAGUAUGUAUAAGUUGGUUUGUCAUGCAUGAAACUAGUACAAAUGGAAAGAUUGCAUUUUUCUGAUAAUUUUUCAUAUAUAGAUUAUUUUAAUCUGAGCUACGGUUGAAUUGAUAUGAAUUUUUGAAGUUUAAAACAAUUUCUGGAAUUUCCUGAUUUAAUUUAAAUCCAGAAAUCAUAUAUUGCGCCAGCAUGACGUCAGCACGACGUUAGCGGUCAACUGGGCUGGUCCGGGUCAAACCUGACCAGUGGGGCCCACUGGUCAGUGACUACGGCUAAUCCUAAUAUAAUUUAAACCUAACCUAGUUUAAUUAGCCGGGCCGGGCCCGCAUGUCAGUGAGUCAGUGGCAAAAAAAUUAGCAAAACUAAACUAAUUAACAGGGGCUGGCCCCACCUGUCAUCGACCCAGGGGGGUCAAACCCCUGGUCAACAGGGCCUAACCCGCCGGCGGAGAGUCGUCGGCGAGGCCGAGGCGGCGGAGGCCUUCGGGUUUCUUGCUCCGGCGACCAAACGGACGGAGGAGGGGCUCUACGGAUAGCUGGAAGGGCGCCGCGUCUUCCUGUGGAGUCGGUUGGGGUCGGGGCGGCCGGAAUCGGCGCCGGCGUCGACCUAGGUGGCCACCGGAGUUCGGCCGAGGUCGAGCACGGCGCUGCGGUGCACUAGAGGGGAAAUGGGAGGGCUCUGUGGGCUCCUGGGAGGGCGGCGAACUUGGUAACAUGCUCGGGCGCAAGCUGGGGUGACCCUGGCCACGGCAGCGCCAUGGCCGGCGGCGAGGAGCAAUCGGCUCCGGUGAGAAGGGCGGCUAGAGUGCGGGAACAAGCGCGGGGAGGAGGGGGAAUGGAAGAGGAGCUCACAGCGAGGUCGAUGAGCAGCUCGGUGGUCUCGGGGAGGCGUCGGAGGCGGCGAAUCGACCGCGGCGAUCUUCGGUGGCCGGCGACGGAAACGGCGAUGGUGGCGGCGUUGCAGCGCGUCCGGGACCUCGUGGCUCGGUGGAGAGGAAGAGGGGGUCGCGGCGGAGCUCGGGGACUCUACGGAGGGGCGAGGGAACGGCGGGGAGCGCGUCGGUGGUGAGCUGCGGCGGCGGCAGCACUCGGGUGCGCUCGGGGAAGAGAGAACCAGGGAGGAGGGAGAGAGAGAGGGAGUGAGAGCGGUGCGGGGCAGCGCGUGGCGACGUUCCGGACGUCCAGGCGUCGAGGGGGAGGACAGGCAGGCAGGUGCCGUGGCGGCACGGCGGUGCGCACGCGUCGGCCACACGCCCCUGGCCUCCUGGCGGGAGGUGGAGGACGACUGGCGCUAGCCAGUCGGCUGGGCCGGCCAGCUGGGCCGCACAGUGCCAGGCCUCAGGUGAGCACAGGUAGGCAUUUUUUUUAAUUUUGUUUUUCUUUUCUACUUUUCUGGCAUUUGUUUGGUUUAAUAAAAAUACUAAACCAUUUUAUUUGCUUAUGCCAAUUUUUGUAGGGGCUAAUGGUAUUAUUCCAGAGCUCCUCGACAAAAGGCACAAUUUUUGGACAUAUAUUAAUAUAUAUAACUAAUAUAUUUCCAAUGCAAAUAUUUAUCGAAUUAAUCCAAAUGGCCAAAAUAAAUAUCCAUGAGCCCCUAAAAUAUUGUUUUGAUUUUUAUCUCUGUCCAAUAUUUUCAGAGGGCAUCAUGAGCAUUUUCUUGGACCCUUUUGGAGAAAUUUUUAUUUGGGUCAUUUUCAAAAAUGAUUCUGAGGGUUCCACCAAUCCUCAUUUCAAAUUUAAAUGAAAUUUAAAUAUGAUGCACAAAUGGCUAGCUAGUCUAAGUCAUACCAGACUAGGGAUGUGACAACUCGCCCCCACUUGAAAAAAUCUCGUCCCGAGAUUCAGGGGUCGACGGAAAGAAAGCGGGGUACUCCAGUCGAAGACGAUCUUCUCGCUCCCAAGUAGCUUCUCUCUCGGAAUGAUGAGACCACUGAACUUUGAGAAACUUGAUGUUCUGACGUCGAGUGACACGCUCUGCUUGAUCAAGAAUGCGAACCGGGUACUCUCGGUAUGUGAGGUUAUCUUGGAGAUCAAGCGUUUCAUGGUCCACUCCGCGGAUGGGAUCCGAGAAGCAACGCCUGAGUUGAGAUACGUGGAAGACAUCAUGAAUUCGAGAAAGAUGUGGGGGUAGUUCCAAUUGGUAGGCAACCUUUCCUCGUUUAGCGAGAAUGCGAAAGGGACCAAUGUAACGAGGAGCCAACUUGCCCUUGAUACCGAAACGAUGGGUACCCUUCAAAGGAGUAACCUGAAGGUAAGCUUGGUCGCCAAUUUCAUAAGUCAUAUCCUUAUGAUGACGGUCAUACUGACUCUUCUGACGAGACUGGGCUGUUUUCAAAUUCUCACGAAUGAUGCGAACUUGCUCUUCUGCCUCCUGGAUCAUGUCCGGUCCAAAGAAUUGUCUUUCACCUGUUUCUGACCAGUUCAAAGGUGUUCGACAUCUUCGUCCAUAGAGAACCUCAAAAGGAGCUUGCUUGAGGCUGGAUUGGUAGCUAUUGUUAUAAGCAAACUCGGCGAAAGGAAGACAUUUCUCCCAAUCCAUACCGAAUGAGAUAACGCAAGCUCUGAGCAUGUCUUCGAGAAUUUGAUUGACCCGUUCCACCUGACCACUCGACUGAGGGUGGAAAGCGGUACUGAAGGAAAGAUGGGUUCCCAUGGCAGUUUGGAAACUCUCCCAGAAAUGAGAAGUGAAAAGACUGCCACGGUCUGAAUUGAUCUCUAGUGGAACACCAUGCAGUGACACUAUUCGAGAAAUAUAUAAGUUAGCAAGCUGACUAGCAGUGAUAUUUUCUCGAACAGGGAGGAAGUGAGCCACUUUGGAAAGACGAUCAACGACUACGAAGAUAGCGUUAUUCCCUCUCUUGGUCCUGGGAAAGCUGGUGAUGAAGUCCAUACCAACUUUAUCCCAUUUCCAUUCAGGAAUAGCUAAAGGCUGAAGGGUGCCAGCAGGUCUUUGAUGCUCUGCCUUAACACGACGACAUACGUCACAAUUAGCAACGAAGUCGGCGAUUUCUCUCUUCAUCCUAGUCCACCAGAACCUCUGGCGUAGGUCCUGAUACAUCUUAGUACUACCGGGAUGAAUCGUGAGAGGGGAUUCAUGCGCCUCCUUAAGAAUCAAUUGUCGAAGAUGUUGCUUCUUGGGGACCACCAGGCGGUUUCCAAAGAAAACAACACCUCGAGCAUCAACAGAGAAACUACCAGCAACUCCCUUCUUAACGUUAUCCUUGAUACGAGAAAUACCCGUAUCAUAUUGCUGGCUAGUUAUGAUCUGAUCCUCAAGAGCAGGUUUCGCCACCAAGGUAGAAAGGAAUCCGUGAGGAGCAAUGUGAAGGUUAAACUUACAGAAUUCCUCAUGGAGAAGUGGUUGGCCUUGCUGCAACAUGAGAUUGUUGCAAUAGGAUUUACGGCUUAGAGCAUCAGCCAUGACAUUGGCUUUGCCUGGGGUGUAGGUAAUUCCUAGAUCAUAAUCUGUGAUCAACUCCAGCCAACGUCUUUGCCUAAGGUUCAGAUCCGGUUGGGUGAAGAUAUACUUGAGACUCUGGUGAUCAGUGUAGAUCUCGCAACGUUUACCAAGGAGGUAAUGUCGCCAGGUCUUGAGUGCAUAGACUACGGCUGCAAGCUCUAGAUCAUGUGUAGGAUAAUUCUCCUCAUGUGGAUGCAACUGUCGAGAUGCAUAGGCAAUCACAUGACGAUCCUACAUAAGAAUGCAACCUAGUCCCUGUCGUGAGGCGUCGCAGUAGAUAAUAAAGUCUUUAGUGAAAUCCGGUGGCACAAGUAUGGGAGCAGAAGUCAGGCGUCUUUUCAGCUCCUGAGAACUGUACUCACACUGUGGGGACCACUCGAACUUUUUAUCUUUCUUAACAAGUUCCGUGAGGGGUUUGGCUACUUUGGAGAAAUUUUCAACAAAGCGGCGACAAUAGCUGGCUAGGCCAAGGAAACUCCUAACUUGUUUAACAGUCUCAGGUGGGGUCCAAUCGAGAACGGCUUGAACUCUCUCGGGAUUCACAGCAAUGCCCUUCCCAGAGAUUACGUGACCUAAGUAGGUCACCUCUGACAACCAAAAUUCACACUUGGAGAACUUGGCAUAAAGGCGGUGCUCUCUGAGUUUUUCUAACACAAGUCCAAGAUGUUCGGCAUGCUCUUCCUCGUUCUUCGAGUAAAUAAGAAUGUCAUCGAGGUAAACCACGACGAAUUUAUCUAAGUACUCCAUGAAGAUCGAGUUCAUCAGGCGGGAGAAUGUGGCUGGGGCGUUGGUUAGGCCAAAGGACAUGACGGUGUACUCGUACUGACCAUAACGAGUGACAAAAGCUGUCUUGGGAAUGUCCCCGUUUCUGAUUUUGAUUUGGUGGUAUCCUAACCUUAAAUCCAUCUUGGAGAAGACUGAGGAUCCAGCGAGCUGAUCAUACAGAUCGUUGAUCCUGGGGAGCGGAUAUUUGUUCUUUAUUGUGACCAAAUUAACGGGACGAUAAUCUACAACCAUCCGGUCCGUACCAUCCUUCUUUUUGACGAAGAGGACGGGGCAAGCCCAAGGAGAAGAACUAGGACGGAUGAAACCCUUUUGCAAGGACUCAUCGAGUUGUUUCUUAAGCUCGGCUAGUUCUAAGGGUGCCAUCUUGUAAGGUCUCCGGGAGAUUGGAGCUGUUCCGGGGAUGAGAUCUAUGACAAACUCUACAUCUCUGUCAGGUGGAACACCUGGCAGUUCCUCUGGAAAGACAUCCGGAAAGUCACGGACUACCGGGAUAUCUUCAAGGUCUGGAAGAGGGCUGGCAUUAAGAGAAUAGAGCUGACGCUUUGCAACUCUAGUGGGGACAGUGACUAUCUUGCCAGAUGGGUGUGUAAGCUGAACAAAUCUUGUGUAACAAUCAAUCUUGGCAUGAUGAGCUGUCAUCCAAUCCAUUCCCAAGAUGAUGUUAAUAUCUGAGGACUUGAGGGCUACAAGUGAUGCAAGGAAUACAAGUCUAUCAACAAGGAUUUCGUUACCAUGGCUGAUUCUGGUGGUCUGCCAUCUAGACCCUGGGGUUUGGAUUUCAAGCGGAGUUGGCAUAUCGCAAAAUGAUAUGUCGUGCAAACGAGCAUAGUCUUCAGAAAUGAAGGAGUGAGAUGCCCCAGUAUCGAAUAGAACUGAUGCUGGGUGACAAUUGACAAGGAGUGUACCAAGAACGACAUCUGGAUCAUCAUGAGCGUCUUUAGCUGAGACGUGAUGCACGCGUCCACGUUCAGUGGGGGCUGACUUGACACUGAUCAUCUUGUGUGAUGGCUUAACACAGCCAACAGUCUUCUCGGCCUGGGGUGGAACAUAACUAGUUUGAGAACAGUCACGUGCAUAGUGUCCUGGCCUCCCGCAUGUGAAGCAAGUCCCUGAGGUUGGACGUGGACCCGCACUAACAAGCGGUCUACCAGUAGGCCCGGGUGGAACAUAUGACUGAGCUAGGGAAGACACCACAUAGGAUGGCCUCGGUGCAUAUCCGGAAGGAAGAGCGGAGUUUGGAACCCAAAUCCGGCGUUUCUGGGAACUAGAACCGGAGGAAGAUCCCAAAUCACGGGUGUGCUUACGAGAUUCCUCGUAAGUGAGCUGAGCUGUCUCUGCAUUAAUGGCCUUGUUCACAAGGGCUUGGAAUGUGUCGCAAUGAUGCAGGUGGAGAUCACGGCGCAACUUGGGGUUGAGACCCUUCCGGAACCUAGCCUGCUUCUUAGCGUCCGUGGACACUUCUUCUGUGGCAUAACGGGCAAGAUUCUCGAACUCUCUGCUAUAAGCAUCAAUAGCCAUCUUACUCUGGGUGAAACUGCAGAACUCUUCUCUCUUGCGAUCAAGGAGGGCCUGGGGAAUGUGAUGCUCACGAAAAGCCUCAGUGAAAUCCUUCCAGGUAGGAAUCUGGCCAGCUGGAAGCAUAGCCUCAUAGUUUUGCCACCAAAGACUAGCAGGACCUUCCAGGUGGUAUGUGGCAAAGGUGACCUUGUCAUCUUCAGCUAUGUUCGCAGAACGCGGCUUAUGAGUGAUGCUACGGAGCCAGUCAUCUGCAUCGAGUGGCUCGAUGGAAUGAUGAAAGGUAGGUGGGUGCAAACGAAUGAAGUCAUGAAUGGUAGCAGACCCUUUGAACUGAUGUGCGGUGUUCUCCUCGAUACGUGCCAACAAAUGGUUAGACUCACGCUUGUUCCUCUCCAUCUCUAGCAUGAACUCUGUCAACGAAGGCUGGUCGGGAGGAUCCUCGUCCCUACCAUCUCCGUGGUUCUGGCCAUGAGCAAUGGAACUUCGCUUAGCUGAUGACAUCCUGAGAAACGAACCAAGGACGGAAUUAGCAUCAACUAUGGGCUGUAGAAUGUAGGACAAGGAAUUAGUAUCUCUCGAACUCCUAGGGAAAUUUCGGCAGCAUAACGGCAGUAAAAUGCUCAGAAUGAGACAUCCUACUAAAAAUGGGGUGGUAACAUACUCAUCAACAUUACUCAAGGUUCUGAGAUCAUACUAAACAGACUACACCGGAAAUACUCAAAACUAGGGUAUGACUCUGAUCAACCAAUCCUAUGGGACUACGGAGUAGUAACACGUGAUCCUGAUAGACGGAAGAGAAAGCCUAGUUCCUUAGCCCCGUAGGAAAGAUAGGACGACUCAGAUCAGAAGGCCAUGUGGUAAAGGAGUAAAAAGAGCCUUACGUUCCAACCCACAAUCAAUUCCCUUACAUAACUAAAGCAUUUCUAGACUCAACUUCGACCGGUUUGGCUUGGUAAUCCUACAGGCAGUCAGGCUCUGAUACCAGCGCUGUCAGGACCCCGACUCAAUGCCACAUCGAUCUAGCAUGUAACGCCCCAUAUCACUUUGCGGCCUCACGCACGGUAUCCCCACGGGUGUCGCCUUACCUUUGCCCGGGACCAUUUGCGCAUUUUGGCACACGUAUAUGAUGGUGUCGCUAGCAUCCAUAUGAUAAAGAGCCCGGGCUGACAUGGCUAGUCGUAAACCCAAAGUGGCACUAACUUACAGGGACACGCAUCCAUGACCCAGCAUCGAACGUGUCGGUCAUCAAGGAGUGAAUCCAGGCUGUAGCACUGGGCUAACAGGACUCCAGUGAACCGGGCUGUAGCGGGCUAGCAGGACUCCGGUAUUCAUCGCGUGACAUUUCCCUGAAGGGACAGACACAGGAUCGAAGAAGGACACAUGCCGGCCUGCCUAAGUGUUCCGGAGCAGUAGCAAGCUACCAGGGCUCAGUGGAAGCACUAGGAGACAUUUCCCGGUAAGAGAGGCUACUAAGAAUAAACAACUAGAUAGUCAGAUCCCACACAUAGCAAUACACAUUACACGUACGCAUAACAUGCAAGUAUGUGCUGUACAACAUGGCAUCACAACAUAACUCAACAAUCAUAUAGAUAAAGGCUCAGAAGAGCCAUCAUAGCAUUUAUUGCAAACAGGGGUCACAAAACCCAUCAUACAGAGCAUACAAGCAACAAGCGGAAGCAUUACAUGUCUGGGUACAGACAUCUAUAAAUGAAAAAGGCUGAAGAGCCUGACUAUCUACAACAUCCGAUCAAGAUCGUAGCGGAGGUACUAGCUACUAGUCGAAGUCCACGAGAACACUAGUAAGACCGAAGUCUCCGCUGCAAAAACAUAAUUAAAGCAACAUGAGUACAAAGGUACUCAGCAAGACUUACAUCAGAUCCUAUCAUACAUUCAUUUGUAUCAAGAGGGUAAUGUGGGGUUUAGUUGCAGCAAGCCAGCUUUGACUCUGUGGCUAUCCUGUUCUACGACUACCAGAAACUCUGAAGGUGAAACAACGUACACGAGUCCACUAAUCACCACACCAUACACUACUAUGGAUUCAUCCCCGUCUCCCUACGAGAAGGCCAUCCAUAGCACUCACACUUGUCUUGAGCAUUUUAUAGUAUCCACUUCAAGUUGUCUAUGUACCAUGUAAGCAUCCAAGAAGUCCAUAACCGCGGACCCGGCUAUUCGAAUAGAUUAUGUUAACCCUGCAGGGGUGUACUUCUUCACACACGCUCUCACCACUUACCGCCAUGUACACGUCAUGUAUCUCGGCAACCUUCAAGCGGAAGCCUGGCGAGGGUGUCGGCCACGACCUGACUAACCACACAAGACUCUAGUCCAGGUUUAUCGCCUAUUCGGGUUCCAUCCGCAAGGAGAUCCGGCCGGGGUGUCGCUCACGGCCCCAAACGAUGUGAGCAGGGUUCCCGAGCCCACCAACCGGGUGCCACUCGGUACACCGGGCCACGUGUGCCUAGUCUGUCCCAAGCCCACCCUGCCGGGUGCCACUUGGUAGAAAAAUAGCACUACCUACAAACACCAGAAACUAGUUGCGACUCCUGGACAGAGAUCAAGUUGGUUAAUAAGCCGAGAGAGUCAAUUAAGGAUCUCAAUGUGUGGUAGUAUCGGGUCAUUGGACAACAUACAUAGAACUCAGUGCUUAAGGACGGUUCCAGCGAGACAACCCACCAUGUACUCCUACAUGGCCUCUCACCGCUACCUUUACCAAAUCGUGUUCACACACUUAACACUCAGCAUCAGAACAUAUCGUAACACUCCAAUUCAUUCCCAAUGAACCAGACCUGACACAACUCUAAGCAAUAGCAGGCAUAGCAUGGUAGGAACACAACAAUGGCUUCAAUCAACUCCUACACAUGCUAGUGGGUUUCAACUAUUUACUGUGGCAAUGACAGGUCAUGCAGAGGAAUGGGUUCAACUACCGCAGCACAAAGUAGCAUAUGAAUCGUUGUUGUCCUAAUGCAAUAACUGAGAGCAGGAGCGGGAGAGUAGGAUUUUAUCGAAAUGAACAAGGGGGUUUGCUUGCCUGGUAAAUCAACAAGGGAGGCACUGCUUCACAGACAGGUACUCUGGAACGUCUCCGGAGCAGGACCUAUCGAGAAGGAACGGUGCCGGCAAUCAAUACACAAUCAUAUGCAACAAUAUGAUGCAUGAACAUGGCAUUUAGAUGUGAUGCUGUUUGAGCUAAUGCAACUAGUAAACAUUUGGUUUGAAGUCCAUUUGAACCAAAGGUUCAAAUGCAUUACUAAAUUAAGUCUCUUAUAUAUGCCAUAAUGUGUUUUCUCAUAUUCAGUAUGUAUAAGUUGGUUUGUCAUGCAUGAAACUAGUACAGAUGGAAAGAUUGCAUUUUUCUGAUAAUUUUUCAUAUAUAGAUUAUUUUAAUCUGAGCUACGGUUGAAUUGAUAUGAAUUUUUGAAGUUUAAAACAAUUUCUGGAAUUUCCUGAUUUAAUUUAAAUCCAGAAAUCAUAUAUUGCGCCAGCAUGACGUCAGCACGACGUCAGCGGUCAACUGGGCUGGUCCGGGUCAAACCUGACCAGUGGGGCCCACUAGUCAGUGACUACGGCUAAUCCUAAUAUAAUUUAAACCUAACCUAGUUUAAUUAGCCGGGCCGGGCCCGCAUGUCAGUGAGUCAGUGGCAAAAAAAUUAGCAAAACUAAACUAAUUAACAGGGGCUGGCCCCACCUGUCAUCGACCCAGGGGGGUCAAACCCCUGGUCAACAGGGCCUAACCCGCCGGCGGAGAGUCGCCGGCGAGGCCGAGGCGGCGGAGGCCUUCAGGUUUCUUGCUCCGGCGACCAAACGGACGGAGGAGGGGCUCUACGGAUAGCUGGAAGGGCGCCGCGUCUUCCUGUGGAGUCGGUUGGGGUCGGGGCGGCCGGAAUCGGCGCCGGCGUCGACCUAGGUGGCCACCGGAGUUCGGCCGAGGUCGAGCACGGCGCUGCGGUGCACUAGAGGGGAAACGGGAGGGCUCUGUGGGCUCCUGGGAGGGCAGCGAACUUGGUAACAUGCUCGGGCGCAAGCUGGGGUGACCCUGGCCAUGGCAGCGCCAUGGCCGGCGGCGAGGAGCAAUCGGCUCCGGUGAGAAGGGCGGCUAGAGUGCGGGAACGAGCGCGGGGAGGAGGGGGAAUGGAAGAGGAGCUCACAGCGAGGUCGAUGAGCAGCUCGGUGGUCUCGGGGAGGCGUCGGAGGCGGCGAAUCGACCGCGGCGAUCUUCGGUGGCCGGCGACGGAAACGGCGAUGGUGGCGGCGUUGCAGCGCGUCCGGGACCUCGUGGCUCGGUGGAGAGGAAGAGGGGGUCGCGGCGGAGCUCGGGGACUCUACGGAGGGGCGAGGGAACGGCGGGGAGCGCGUCGGUGGUGAGCUGCGGCGGCGGCAGCGCUCGGGUGCGCUCGGGGAAGAGAGAACCAGGGAGGAGGGAGAGCGAGAGGGAGUGAGAGCGGUGCGGGGCAGCGCGUGGCGACGUUCCGGACGUCCAGGCGUCGAGGGGGAGGACAGGCAGGCAGGUGCCGUGGCGGCACGGCGGUGCGCACGCGUCGGCCACACGCCCCUGGCCUCCUGGCGGGAGGUGGAGGACGACUGGCGCUAGCCAGUCGGCUGGGCCGGCCAGCUGGGCCGCACAGUGCCAGGCCUCAGGUGAGCACAGGUAGGCAUUUUUUUUAAUUUUGUUUUUCUUUUCUACUUUUCUGGCAUUUGUUUGGUUUAAUAAAAAUACUAAACCAUUUUAUUUGCUUAUGCCAAUUUUUGUAGGGGCUAAUGGUAUUAUUCCAGAGCUCCUCGACAAAAGGCACAAUUUUUGGACAUAUAUUAAUACAUAUAACUAAUAUAUUUCCAAUGCAAAUAUUUAUCGAAUUAAUCCAAAUGGCCAAAAUAAAUAUCCAUGAGCCCCUAAAAUAUUGUUUUGAUUUUUAUCUCUGUCCAAUAUUUUCAGAGGGCAUCAUGAGCAUUUUCUUGGACCCUUUUGGAGAAAUUUUUAUUUGGGUCAUUUUCAAAAAUGAUUCUGAGGGUUCCACCAAUCCUCAUUUCAAAUUUAAAUGAAAUUUAAAUAUGAUGCACAAAUGGCUAGCUAGUCUAAGUCAUACCAGACUAGGGAUGUGACAUCAUUUUACCCAUAAGGCAUGGUUCGCACGUGUCAAAUGAUUCAUAAUCAAGAGACUCUAAAAGUCCAUCAGCAUGGAGCUUCUUCAUGCGUUUGACACCUAUGUGACCAAGGCGGCAGUGCCACAAGUAUGUGGGACUAUCAUUAUCAACCUUACUUCUUUUGGUACUCACAUUAUGAACAUGUGUAGCAUCACGUUCGAGAUUCAUAAAGAAUAAACCAUUCACCAUAGGAGCAUGACCAUAAAACAUAUCUCUCAUAAAAAUGGAACAACCAUUAUUCUCAGAUUUAAAAGAGUAGCCAUCUCGAAUUAAACGAGAUCCCGAUACAAUGUUCAUGCUCAAAGCUGGCACUAAAUAACAAUUAUUAAGGUUUAAAACUAAUCCCGAAGGGAGAUGCAGAGGUAGCGUGCCGACGGCGAUCACAUUGACCUUGGAACCAUUCCCGACGCGCAUCGUCACCUCGUCCUUUGCCAGUUUCCGCUUAUUCCGCAGCCCCUGCUUUGAGUUACAAAUGUGAGCAACUGCACCGGUAUCAAAUACCCAGGAGCCACUACGGGGACUAGUAAGGUACACAUCAAUUACAUGUAUAUCACAUAUACCUUUGGUUUUGCCGGCCUUCUUAUCCGCUAAGUACUUAGGGCAGUUCCGCUUCCAGUGACCGCUUCCCUUGCAAUAAAAGCACUCAGUCUCGGGCUUGGGUCCAUUCUUUGGCUUCUUCCCGGCAGCUUGCUUGCCGGGCGCGGCAACCUCCUUGCCGUCCUUCUUGAAGUUCUUUUUACCCUUGCCUUUCUUGAACUUAGUGGUUUUAUUGACCAUCAACACUUGAUGUUCCUUCCUGACUUCUACCUCUGCUGAUUUCAGCAUAGCAAAUACUUCAGGAAUGGUCUUUUCCAUCCCCUGCAUAUUGAAGUUCAUCACAAAGCUCUUGUAGCUUGGUGGAAGCGACUGGAGGAUUCUGUCAAUGACCGCAUCAUCUGGGAGAUUAACUCCCAGCUGAGUCAAGCGGUUAUGCAACCCAGACAUAGUGAGUAUGUGCUCACUGACAGAACUGUUUUCCUCCAUCUUACAGCUGAAGAAUUUGUCGGAGACUUCAUAUCUCUCGACCCGGGCAUGAGCUUGGAAAACCAUUUUCAGCUCUUCGAACAUCUCAUAUGCUCCAUGUCUCUCAAAACGCUUUUGGAGCCCCGGCUCUAGGCUGUAAAGUAUGCCGCACUGAACGAGGGAGUAGUCAUCGAAACGUGCCUGCCAAGCGUUCAUAACAUCUUGUUCUGCAGGGAGAACGGGUGCAUCACCAAGCGGUGCUUGUAGGACAUAAUCUUUCUUGGUAGCUAUGAGGAUGAUCCUCAGGUUCCGGACCCAGUCCGUAUAGUUGCUGCCAUCGUCUUUCAGCUUAGUUUUCUCUAGGAACGCGUUGAAGUUGAGGACUACGUUGGCCAUUUGAUCUACAAGACAUAUUGCAAAGAUUUUAGACUAAGUUCAUGAUAAUUAAGUUCAACUAAUCAAAUUAUUAGUGAACUCCCACUUAGAUUAGACAUCCCUCUAUCCAUCUAAGUAUUACAUGAUCCGAGUUAAACUAGACCGUGUCCGAUCAUCACGUGAGACGGACUAGUCAACAUCGGUGAACAUCUUCAUGUUGAUCGUAUCUUCUAUACGACUCAUGCUCGACCUUUAGGUCUUCUGUGUUCCGAGGCCAUGUCUGUACAUGCUAGGCUCGUCAAGUCAACCUAAGUGUUUGCAUGUGUAAAUCUGUCUUACACCCGUUGUAUGUGAACGUCUGAAUAAAACACCCGAUCAUCACGUGGUGUCUUGAAACAGCGAACUGUCGCAACGGUGCACAGUUAGGGGGAACACUUCUUGAAAUUAGUAUGAGGGAUCACCUUAUUUACUACCGUCGUUCUAAGUAAACAAGAUGCAAAACAUGAUAAACAUCACAUGCAAUCAAAUAAUAAAUGUGACAUGAUAUGGCCAAUAUCACAUAGCUCCUUUGAUCUCCAUCUUGGGGCUCCAUGAUCAUCUUGUCACCGGCUUGACACCAUGAUCUCCAUCAUCAUGAUCUCCAUCAUCGUGUCUCCAUGAAGUUGCUCGCCAACUAUUACUUCUACUACUAUGGCUAACACGUUUAGCAAUAAAGUAAAGUAAUUUACAUGGCGUUUCUCGAUGACACGCAGGUCAUAUAAAAGAAUAAAGACAACUCCUAUGGCUCCUGCCGGUUGUCAUACUCAUCGACAUGCAAGUCGUGAAUCCUAUUACAAUAGCAUGAACAUCUCAUACAUCACAUAUAGAUCAUUCAUCAUUCAUCACAACUUUGGCCAUAUCAUAUCAGAAACCACUUGCUGCAAAAACAAGUUAGACGUCCUCUAAUUGUUGUUGCAAGUUUUACGUGGCUGAAUUAGGGUUCUAGCAAGAACGUUUUCUUACCUACGUUAAAGCCACAACGUGAUUUGUCAACUUCUAUUUACCCUUCAUAAGGACCAUGUUCAUCGAUUCCGCUCCAACUAAAGUAGGAGAGACAGACACCCGCCAGCCACCUUAUGCAACUAGUGCAUGUUAGUCGGUGGAACCGGUCUCACGUAAGCGUACGUGUAAGGUUGGUCUGGGCCGCUUCAUCCCACAAUACCGCUGAAGCAAGAAAGGACUAGUAACGGCAAGAAAGUUUACAAAUCUACGCCCACAACAAAUUGUGUUCUACUCGCGCAAGAAGAACUACGCAUAGACCUAGCUCAUGAUGCCACUGUUGGGGAACGUUGCAGAAAACAAAAAAUUUCCUACUCGUUUCACCAAGAUCAUCUAGGAGUUCAUCUAGCAACGAGUGAUUAGAUGUAUCUACAUACCUUUGUAGAUCGCGAGCGGAAGCGUUGAAAAGAACGGUGAUGAUGUAGUCGUACUCGACGUGAUCCAAAUCACCGAUGACCAGCGCCGAACGGACGGCAACUCCGCGUUCAACACACGUACGGAACAGCCACGUCUCCUCCUUCUUGAUCCAGCAAGGGAGGGAGGAGAGGUUGAGGGAGAUGGCACCAGCAGCAGCACGACGGCGUGGUGUUGAUGGAGCUGCAGUACUCCGGCAGAGCUUCGCUAAGCACUAUGGAGGUGGAGGAGGUGUUGGGGAGGGAGAAGGAGGCAACCAAAGGCCAAGGCGUUCAGGUAUGAAGUCCCUCCUCUCCCCCACUAUAUAUAGGAGUGCCAAGGGGGGGUGGCCGGCCCUAGGAGAUCCAAUCUCCUAGGGGGUGCGGCGGCCAAGGGGGGUUUCCCUCCCUCCCAAGGCACCUAGGAGGUGCCUUCCCCUCCUAGGACUCUUUCCCCCUUAAACCCUAGGCGCAUGGGCCUAUGUGGGGCUGGUGCCCUUGGCCCAUUAGGCCAAGGCGCACCCCCUACAGCCCAUGUGGCCCCCCCGGGACAGGUGGACCCACCCGGUGGACCCCCGGGACCCUUCCGGUGGUCCCGGUACAAUACCGAUAACCCCGAAACUUGUCCCGAUGCCCGAAACAGGACUUCCCAUAUAUAAAUCUUUACCUCCGGACCAUUCCGGAACUCCUCGUGACAUCCGGGAUCUCAUCCGGGACUCCGAACAACAUUCGGGUUACUGCAUAUACAUAUCCCUACAACCCUAGCGUAACUGACCCUUAAGUGUGUAGACCCUACGGGUUCGGGAGACAAGCAGACAUGACCGAGACGACUCUCCGGUCAAUAACCAACAGCGGGAUCUGGAUACCCAUGUUGGCUCCCACAUGCUCCACAAUGAUCUCAUCGGAUGAACCACGAUGUCGAGGAUUCUAUCAACCCCAUACGCUAUUCCCUUUGUCUAUCGAUAUGUUACUUGCCCGAGAUUCGAUCGUCGGUAUCCCAAUACCUCGUUCAAUCUCGUUACCGGCAAGUCACUUUACUCGUACCGUAAUGCUUGAUCCCGUGACCAGACACUUGGUCACUCUGAGCUCAUUAUGAUGAUGCAUUACCGAGUGGGCCCAGUGAUACCUCUCCGUCAUACGGAGUGACAAAUCCCAGUCUUGAUCCAUGUCACCCAACAGACACUUUCGGAGAUGCCCGUAGUCUACCUUUAUAGUCACCCAGUUACGUUGUGACGUUUGGCAUACCCAAAGCACUCCUACGGUAUCCGGGAGUUACACGAUCUCAUGGUCUAAGGAAAAGAUACUUGACAUUGGAAAACUCUAGCAAACGAACUAUACGAUCUUGUGCUAUGUUUAGGAUUGGGUCUUGUCCAUCACAUCAUUCUCCUAAUGAUGUGAUCUCGUUAUCAAUGACAUCCAGUGUCCAUAGUCAGGAAACCAUGACUAUCUGUUGAUCAACGAGCUAGUCAACUAGAGGCUCACUAGGGACAUGUUGAUGUCUGUUAUUCACACAUGUAUUACGAUUUCCGGAUAACACAAUUAUAGCAUGAAUAAAGACAAUUAUCAUGAACAAGGAAAUAUAAUAAUAAUGCUUUUAUUAUUGCCUCUAGGGCAUAUUUCCAACACUAUAACGUUCGGCUUAAGGAAUGUCGGCGCCACCUUUCAGCGUUGCAUGCAAAAAUGUCUCCUCAAGAAAGUCGGCAGAAAUGCCCACGUCUACGUGGAUGAUGUGGUAGUGAAGACGGAAAAGCGGGGAACAUUGUUGGAAGAUCUCCAACAAACCUUUGUGAAUCUGUGCCGAUUCCAGAUCAAGCUCAAUCCAGAGAAGUGCGUCUUCGGAGUACCAGCCGGCCAGCUCCUUGGCUUCCUGGUCUCUGAACACGGCAUAGAGUGCAACCCUGUAAAGAUCAAAGCCAUCGAGAGGAUGGCAGUCCCCCGCCGACUGUUAGAUGUGCAGAAGUUCACCGGCUGCUUGGCGUCCAUCAGCCGAUUCAUCAGUCGGCUGGGCGAGAAGGCUCUCCCUUUGUACCAACUGAUGAAGAAGACCACCUUUUUUGAGUGGAACCACAAGGCGGAUGAAGCGUUUCUCGAGAUGAAGAAAAUGUUGACUACUCCUCCUGUGCUGGCGACUCUGACUCCAAGGAGCCUAUGCUCCUAUACAUUGCCGCCACCAGUCGGGUAGUCAGCACCGUUGUCGUAGUCGAACGCAAGGAGGAAGGCAAGGCGCUCCCUGUCCAGAGACUAGUAUAUUACCUGAGCAAGGUACUGUCGACCUCCAAGCAGAACUACCCCCACUACCAGAAGAUGUGCUAUGGCGUGCAUUUCGCCGCCAAGAAGCUGAAGCCUUACUUUAAAGAACAUCCAAUCACCGUGGUUUGCACUGCUCCACUGGCCGAGAUCAUCGGAAGCCGAGAUGCUUCAGGCCGAGUAGCCAAGUGGGCCAUAGACCUGGCUCCCUACACCAUCUACUACCAGCCCCGCACCGCCAUCAAGUCACAAGCACGGGCCGACUUCCUUGUCGACUGGGCCGAGACCCAGUACCUGCCGCCAGCACCUGACUCCACCCAUUGGCGAAUGCAUUUCGAUGGCUCCAAGAUGCGCACCGGUCUGGGAGCCGGCGCCGUCCUCACCUCCCCCAAAGGCGACAAGCUCAAGUACGCAUUGCAGAUCCACUUCGCCGCCUCCAACAACGUUGCCGAAUACGAGGCGCUCGUUCACGGGCUCCGGCUUGCCAAAGAACUCGGCAUCCGCCGGAUCCUGUGCUACGGCAACUCCGAUUUGGUGGUCCAGCAGUCCUCUGGGGACUGGGACGCCAAGGACGCAAACAUGGCGAGCUACCACUUCCUAGUGCAGCAACUCAGCGGAUAUUUCGAGGGGUGUGAAUUCCUUCACAUUCCAAGAAAUGACAAUGACUAGGCGGACGCCCUGGCACGAGUCGGCUCCACUCGUCAAGUAAUACCAUCCAGCGUCGCCCUUCAGCGUCUCCUCAAGCCGUCUAUCAAGCCUUCUCCAGAAUCAGACUCCAUUUUUGUACUUUCUUCGGCGCUCAAGAGCACCGGCAGACGGCACAAGAAUCCUCACAGACGGCUCCAAAAAUACCACAGUCAAAGCCGGCCCGGGGACUUCAGAACCCGGCCCGGGGACUGCGACAGUCAGCCUGAAGACUCCGGAACUCGGCCCAGGGACUGCUCCAGUCGGCCCGGGGACUUCAUCGACCCAGCAAGCGGACGCAGAUCCCAGCCCGCCGCCUCCCAGCCCAGCCACCCUUGUCCAAGUCGCAAUAGUGGCAAUCGAAGAAGUAGCAGCACCCUCAUGGGCCCAUCCCAUCCUCAAGUUCCUAGUAAACAGAGAGCUGCCAGCUGAUGAAAUCCUGGCUCGGCAAGUGCAACCCCGAGCGGCAGCCUAUACCAUAGUCAACAGAGAGCUGGUCAGGCGCAGUGUCACUGGUGUCUACCAACGUUGUGUCGAGGCAGAACAAGGCCAAGCAAUUCUCAGAGACAUCCAUGAAGGCGAGUGUGGCCACCAUGCGGCUUCAAGGGCACUCGUCGCCAAAGCCUUCCGACACGGCUUCUUCUGGCCGACUGCCCUGGAAGAGGCCAAGGAAUUAGUCCAAAACUGCAAAUGGUGCCAGAUGUUCCGUUCCAAGCCGCUCCAGCCGGCUUCGGCGCUCAAGACCAUUCCCAUCGCCUGUCCCUUUGCGCUUUGGGGCCUGGACAUGGUGGGACCAUUCAAGACGGCACGAGGCGGCCUAACUCACCUACUUGUCGCAGUGGACAAGUUCACCAAGUGGAUAGAAGCAAAACCCAUCAAGAAAUUGAAUGGUCCGACUGCAGUAACCUUCAUCGCCGACAUUACGACUCGGUAUGGCAUACCACAUAGCAUCAUCACCAACAAUGGCACAAAUUUUGCCAAAGGAGCCUUGGCCCGUUUCUGCGCAACACACGGCAUCCAACUGGACUUAGCAUCCGUCGCCCAUCCGCAGUCAAACGGCCAGGUAGAGCGAGCAAACGGCCUCAUCCUAUCCGGCAUCAAGCCCCGCCUGGUUGAGCCACUGGAGCGCCCGGCCGGCUGUUGGCUUGAGGAGCUACCAGCCGUCCUCUGGAGCCUGCGCAUGACUCCAAACAAGUCAACCGGCUUCACGCCUUUCUUCCUCGUCUACGGUGCUGAAGCCGACAUCCCGACAGACAUAGAAUUCGACUCCCCGUGAUUCACCAUGUACACCGAGGAGGAAGCAGAAGAAGCACGUCAAGACGGCGUCGAUCCGCUGGAAGAGGGCCGACUGUUGGGACUCAGUCGGUCCGGCAUCUACCAGCAGAGCCUGCGCCGAUACUACAACAGGAAGGUCAAGCCAAGAUCUUUCCAAGAGGGCGACCUUGUGCUCCGACUGAUCCAGCGGACAGCCGGCUAGCACAAGCUGUCGGCACCUUGGGAAGGCCCCUUCAUUGUCAGCAAGGUGUUGGGCAAUGACUCCUACUACCUGAUUGAUGCUCAGAAGCCCCGAGCUCGCGAGAGAGAUGACUCUGGCAAAGAGUCGGAACGACCAUGGAAUGCAAACCUCCUCCGAAGGUUUUACAGUUGAUUCAGUAUGUAUCACGCUACCCCUUUGUAUUAAAGUACCGAGACUUCGGGCCCCCCGAGACGAGCUCGGGGACUGCCCCUUUUUGAUUAUCUGUAUGAUAAGAGUUAUGCCUCCGAGUAUGUCACUCUACUGCUAAAAGCCGCUUGGCACCGGGCCAGACUAGUCGGCCCGGGAACUCACCGCCCCGCGCUAUGAGGAGUUUCCCGCAGUCAGACAAGUAGUGUGCGGUGCCUAAUCCGUCUCCUGGCAAAGCCGCAGCUCGCAGAGCGACUAUGUGGUGGGAAGGAGUGAGAAAGAGUGGGCACCCACACGAAAAAUGGCUAAGGACCCAAAGCACGAACAUAGCGUAAGACGGCCUCCAGCAUCUCUGAGGCAAAAAGCCAACUCAUGAGUAGUCGGCUUGCUGCUUUAUACUAGCCUCUAUUAAAGACAGCCGACUCUUUUGUAGUCGGCCUGCCGCCUUCUAUCCGGCUUGCUAGAAACUCCAAAGAAAGGCAAGUACUUGCUUUCCCCAAAGUAGCCAGGCAUUUGGCCCAGCGACAGUCCAAUGAGCGGUUUGCCGGCUCACAAAGCGGCAACUAGGGGAAGGCGGCAAAGGAAAAAGCCAAAGGAGCAAUGAGCAAGGCAAGAUAGAACUCGGAUUAAUAUUUACAUAAGAAUAGGCCCAUUAGCCGAAUCUUCAGACAGAAGUUUAAAGUACACCCCGAGGGUGGAAUUGUGCAAAUUAACAAGUUCAUCAAGACUUUCUAGAACAGAUAAAUAAAGCCGGAAGGCAGCCUAAGGAGCAGGAGACGGAUUCGGAGGGUCGGAGGAGACGGCGGUGUCAGGCGCCGGGGGAGUCGGCUGGGCAGUCUCGGCUUGAUCGCCGCCAGCGGAAGUCGGCCCGGUCGAACGCAGCUCGUUGCUAGAGGCGCGGUCGAGCUGAGGCUGGUCGCCCGCUUCGUCCUCUGGCACCUCCGUCUCGCCUUCGUCCUCCUCUUCGCCUUCUUCCUCGGUGCUGGAGUCAAUCACCUCCGCCGAGUCCUCACCAUAUUCCGGGUUCAUCCCGAGCCACUCUGGUGGCACUUCCUCGCCGCCUUCGGCCCGCUCAGGGACGAAUACACUGGUGUCCGUGUACCCAGCGAUGGCCGCCGCACGCUCGACAAGGGCGCCCUCCACAGCCUCCAGCUCGGCCUGGGCCUCUGACUGGAACGCGGCCAGACGGUCCAGGUCCAGUCCCGGAUACCACGCCUUGACGAACUCCAAAGCCCGGCGCGCUCCGACCCGGGCCGAGGAGCCCUUCCAGGCCUCAAGACGGCCGGCUGCGACCUCUAACCAGUCGGCAGUCCGGCUGGCGGUGCGCAGAGCCGUCAUGUCUGGCCACAGGGCGGCAACCGCCUGGGCGCCGGCACGCUGAAGCCGGCGCAUCCGCCGGUGGGCCGGAUGAAGACGGGCCUCGAUGCUCAGAAGCUGAUCAUCGAUGGUCAAGGGAGCGUUGGCGGCAAUCACCUCACCUUUUGCCCUCCGUAGCUCACGAUCAGCCUCGAUGGCCAGAGUGACUGCCUGCGAGUGGCCAGGGAAGAAGUCUGCCAAGACAAAAAAGAAGUGAGUCGAGAAAACCAGAAAUCGUCUCGACCUAUAGUCGGAAACUCGAAGAAAGGAAAGAAGUUCACCAUCGACGAUGUCCUCAAUCUCGUGGAAGCCGGAAGUCAGCAUCGCCUCCCUGUCGGUCCAGGAGGAGCGCUCGCUCUCGAACUCAGCCAGGAGAGCAGCCUCCUUCUUCUUGGCCUCGUCCUGCGCCUUCUUGAGCAGCUCCUUCUGCUCGGCCAGCUGCGCAGCCAGCAGGUCGAGAUGCGACAAACUUACCGCACUCCUCCUCCUUGGUGCGCAAGGCGGUACUGGCCUCUCCCAGUUGCUGCUGAAGAGCAGCGUUGGCCUCUAAAGAAAAAACAAGACGAAAGAAGAUAAGCCAUCAACAAAGAAAGUCGCCAAAAAGAUCCGGCCCGACUGCUCAGCAGUCGGCCCGAAUCUCGGGGACUACAGCCCGCGGGUGCGCCAGCGCGCCCCCGCGAGAAAGAAGAAGGACUCACUCUGACUCUCCGACAAGUCAGCUGUCCGCCUGCCUAACUCCUCAACAUUACGGUUGAAGGCGGUAGCACGGAGGUUGUGAUACUCCUGCAAAAGUCAUUUCAGACAAAGUUAACAUCUGGAACUUGCCAGAGGGAGUUCCGAACCGCCUGCUCAGCAGCCGGCCCGAAACUCGGGGACUACACCCAGUGGGUGCGCUGGCGCGCCCCCACAAAGAAAAACAAAAAUCAAAAGAAGAAGGAAACGUACUCGGACGGCCGUUCGUGCUGCCAGAUGCACCCUGGUGCAAGUUUGAAGGGCGUCGCGUUCAGCGCGCAGCUUCGCCUGAACGUCCAGAAGCGCUUGAUUCAGCGGCCCAGUGCCGCCUCCGCGCAACCACCCGAUGGGCGCGGCGCUUGUCACCUCGGCCUCUGGGGUUGCCGAGCUGGCGGCGCUGGUCUCCCGAGGUCGCGGCGCCGAGGUCGCCCUCUCAAGACAGCGACGCACCGGCGAGGCGACUUGGAGAAGCAGCCUCACCUCAGACUCGUCCGCGGUCGGCGGCUCUGGCGGACCCGCCGACUGUUUGCCGUGCGAUCUCCCAGACGACGAUGGAGGCGGUGGUGGCGGCACGAGAGUGUCCGACAUGGAGGCCUUGCCGCUCUCCUUCUCCAUGACGGGAGUCUCGGCGCCGGCUUCUCCAGUUUGCCCCGUGAACUCCGGGGGGGGGGGGCGCCGAAGACAGUAGGGUGACAAACUGCAUCGACUGGCGACGCGCGGCCUCCUCGGCUCGCUGCCUGGCCGCAGCAGCAGCGUCGGCCUCCUCCAGCUUUUUCUGGGUGGAGGCCGCCGCCUUCUCAGCCUCCGCUUUCUCCAAACGGGAGGCUUCCUCCUCGUAGCGCUUCUCCCGCGCGUUUCGCUCCGUCGCCUCCUGGAGGUCGGCGGCGGGGUCAAUCCACCGAGUGUUGGCGGACGUCUCCGCCGAUCCCAUGACGGAGGGGGCGACGACCCUCUCAAGGGAAAGGGGAGCCCUGAAGCAAAAAGCAAAUGAAAAAAGAAGACUCGGACAAGAUUCACCAAAGGAAAAUAAACAAGCGUAAAAACUUACGCAGAGACUAGCGGCGGCCUUCUCACUUCCCUACGGAAGCGGUUGGCCCUCACGGCCGCCUCCUCCCGCUUGGUCGUGGCGGCCGCCCCCUUGAGCUUCUUCGGCUUGCCGCCAAAUGAACUCGGCCCAGGCUGGCACCUCUUUAAGCCGCCUUGGCCGGCGGAGGAACCGGCGCCCGAUGAGCCGACCCUCGGCUGGUGGCACGGGGCGACUUCCCCUUCGGCGUCGUCAUCAGGCCAGUCGGCGAAGGUGGCCGAGGGCCUGAAGCCGCCUACCGCUCCUCCUCCCCCGCCUUCGGCGUCGGGUUCCAUCGCCGCCGCCCCCAAGUCGGGGUCGCCAACGUCACUCUCCGCUCGGUCGGGGACGAACUCGCGGGGCUGUCUCGUGGCGUCGGCUGAAGGCUGCAUGAGGGGGUUCUAGCUCAGAAGAAACCAACGAGAAUCAGAAGCCGGAUUUGGCCGCAAAGAAGACAAAACAAUAAGGAGAUGCGACUUACCACUGGUGGGGGGUUGUCGCGCGAGUACGGCUCCUUGCUGAACUGCCAGUCCUCCCUGAACUCGCAGUUCGAGAUAUGGUCCUCCAUGUUUGCCACCUCCGCGCGGGGCAUCUCCUUGGUGCUCAUCCGAAUUGGGUCUCGGAAUCCGCUCAUCUGACAGAUCAGGUGAGGCCGGCCUUGGAGCGGAAGAACUCGGCGCGCCACGAAGGCGGCCAGCAAGUCGGUCCCGACGAGGCCCUCCGACUGCGUCAAGACUCAGUCGCGCUACGGCGGCGGCUCCGGCGGGAGUCAGCAUCUUGACUCGAUGAGACCAGCUGGGGAGCCGGCUGCGUAAGCCGGCAGAUUAACCCAGUCGUCGUCGGAGGCGAGGUUCUUCACGUAAAAGUAUGAGCGCUGCCACAUCCUCACCAACUUGAUCAGGGAGAUGGAAGGGAAGGGGUUGUGAGCCGUCGAGCGCCGCAUCGCGAUGAAGGCACCGCACUGAGCCGGCACGCCGGCGACGUGCGUGCCGAGCUUAGAAGAGAAGAAUUCUCCCCACAGCUCGAUGGUGGGGAGAACGCCGAGGAAACCUUCACACAGAGUGGCGAAGGCAGAGAGCAGCACCACCGUAUUCGGGGUGAGGUGGUGCGGUUGGAGGCCGUGAAACUCCAAGAAGGAGCGGAAGAAGCCGCUCGCCGGCAGCGCCAGGCCACGCAUGAGGUGCGAGCGGAAGAUGACCCGCUCGCCCUCCUCCGGCGCCGGGGAUAUCUCAACCGCCGGUGCGGUGCGGGCUCGCACGAGGUGUGCGCCGGGGAGCCGGCGUGUCUUGCGGAGGAAUUCAAUGAGGUCGACGUCGACCUCCGAGCCGUCCCACGUGCCGGAACGCACGACCGGAGCCGCGGCGACGGAUGAGGAGCUCAUCGCUGGCUGGUGCAGUGUGGUUCUGCUCACCGGCGGCAAGAAGGAGAGAGGAAGCAAGAGGAGCGGGGGUCAGGGGAGAUGGGCGCGCGUGCUAUGCCGCUCCACUCCUCCCUACUUAUAGCCUUGGAGGCUGAGAAGCCGAGGGGGCGGGCGUGGGAUUAAGUGUGCCCAGAGCCCCACGCCGCCCCACGAUUUACCCCACGAAGUUACUGCACGCAGUAACAGCGUGAGAAUCCUAACCGUUCGCGCGGCCGCAGCGGAUCCGUUCGUGUGCCAAGGCGCGGUAGUGGCGGGCCCCGCCUGACAGCCUGUCCUGUCGCACGCGUGGGCCGGCAGACUGUCCCUGCCGCGUGGCGCCACGCGAUAGGGCCGCGGUGGGCGGCAGCAGGGAAGCGUAUCAGGCAUGCCGCCUGGUCUCCCGCCAUGACUUUCGAGCACUCCACAGAGCAGGACGGUACUCUACGAAUCCGACUCCGGAUAGUCGGCCAGGAGGAAGACCGUAAACGAAGCCCAGAUUCCACCACCGGAAGAGUGAAACUGUUGAGGCCCCCUAGCGAGUCACUCUCGGAGCCUCACCAGCUUCGGGGACUACUGUCGGAGUAAUGGGCCAUGCGUAGGCUGACCCGAGCCCCAGAACCUUUCAAGACAUUGGGGCAGGCCGCGCCCCUCAAAGCCGAGUCUCAGAUGACGACUCCCAGAUGGCCGAGUAUCAGAUUACGGCUCCCAGAUGGGCCGAGUCUCAGAUGGUGACUCCCAGAUAAGUCGAGUCUCAGAUGACGACUCCCAGAUGGCCGAGUCUCAGAUGACGACUCCCAGAUGGGCCGAGUCUCAGAUGGCGACACCCAAAUAAGCCGACUCAUGGCUGGCGACUUCCGGAGGAGCCGGCUAUGGAAAGUCGGCCCACGACUCUACACUCAUUACAAUAGACGGGACGGGUACGACCACGGCGUGGCCGUCACCUCCUGCUUGCGAGGAGCCGGCAUGGCUACAGUGCGCCGUACCGCCGGAGAUCUCCGGCGUGGCCCGACACUGUAGCCAUGCCAGACCUGACCUCCGCCACAGUGCGCAGCGCACUGUGGCCACGAUGGCCUGCCUAUACGGCUCGGGGACGGCGGACCCGCUAGUCAGUGGGAGCAUAGAAGACGGCGGAUACGCCCCGAAGGCGGCCCCGUGGGAGUCGGCUCCCCGGAGUCGGCCAGCCUCUCCCACGGGUCCCACGCGCCAUUAACCAGACAAGAUGGGGAGUAACGACAGUGAUCGCCCGAUAGACGGCGGCACAGUUGUCACGACCCAAUGACCAAGCCUGCGUCACCAGAAGCACAGCUACAGUGCCGGACUUGCCGGCGGGGCCCGCAAGUCGGCGGGCCCCAUCAGUCGGCAGAGAAGACGGCGACCUGUGAGACAGACGGCUGGGACACGCGCCCAGCCGGAUUACCAUUGUACCCCCGGGGGGUAGGCCUAUAUAAACCCCCUGGGACACCCAUGCAAAGGGUUCGAUCCAUGAGCCUUAGACCAGACCACAUAGGAAGAAGAAGGCUAGCCUUGCCUCCUUCCACCUCUAGAAUACAACUCUAGGAGCAACCUUGUACUCACUACGCCUUAGUGAUCAUGCGGAGACCCCUUAGAGCAGCAGUAGGGGUGUUAUCUCCCCGGAGAGCCCCGAAGCUGCGUAAGAUUCGUCGGCGUGCAUGCCUUCGCCUAAUCCCGUUUCCUGGCACCAGCGACGUUCUACUCGCUCCCACCAUGAUAAGCCAUCCUUUGGCAUAUGUCGCACCCAACCCCCGACAAUUCCGCGAAGAGAAACAUCCUUUGUUAGUGAUGCCCAUGCCGGAGGAAAAAUAUAAAAUAAACCUUAAGUUUGUAGACGAAAGCUAAAUCAAACCUUGAACUUUGAAUCCCUGAAAUCGGCACAGUGAACUAUAUGAUCCCGGUCUAUUAACUUUAAGCUUGUUUUCAAGGGGAUUGUCGACGUGGCAGGUAAGGCUAUGACUGGGCCGGCCCAUCAGGCGUGAAGCAUCUUUUUCUUUUUAGUAUCAUGCGACCUAAAAGUACCCAAGAGAAAAAAAAAUCACUAACAAGGAUUCGAGAACUUAGGACCUGCUGCUUCCAAGCUCAUACCGCUAACCACCCAAGCUAACAACUUUUGUUGUAAAAUGGAAGCGCGAACAUUUUUAAUAAGAUACUGCGGCGUCGAGAUUUGAAACAUUUAAUUUCGAAACAUUUUAAUGGUCAGCAAUUUUGAAAUCCAAGUGUUCUUAAAAGAAAAAGAGAAACACAAGGAAAUUUUGAAAACACAAACUAUUUUUUAAAUCCCCGAACAUUUUUUGAAGUCCAAACACUUUUAAAAAAGCAAAAAUAAUAAUAAUUGAAAACAUGAAUAAUUUUGAAACCUAAACAAAUAAGUGCGAAGAAUUUUCCAAGAUGAGAAUUUCUUGAAACAUAAACAUUUCUUUGUAAAAAUGUGAACAAAUUAUGAAACCUGGAUACAAUUUUAAUGUGAGAACACUUUCUAACUUUUUAAAAAUGGGAACAAAUUUUCAUAAAAAAUUUCGCACUUUCAUAUUUUGUUCAGCUUCCGAGAUAAUUCCUUUUAUAAAAGUGUUCGCACUUUAAAAAUCGUAGGGGAUUUCAAAAAUGGUUCACGUUUUCAAAUUUUGUUUGUGUAUUCCACAUAAUUCCAAAAAAUGUUCCGAUUUCAAAAUUGUUGACAAUUUCAAGAAAAUAUAUCUACAAAAUUCAGAAAUGUUUUCAAAUCUCGACGCUACUGUUUGUUGUAAAAUAUUUUCGCGCUUCUCUUUUAUCAACAACAGCUACGAGGUAGAUUGGCUAGAAAUCCCGGGUUUUAGCUGCAUGUCAACAAUCCUUGUUUGGGAAUGCACUUAAGGUUUAAAAUAGACCGGGAUCAUAUAGUUCGGUGUGCUGAUUUCAGGAAUUCAAAGUUCAGGGUUUGAUUUAGGUUUCGUCUACAAGUUUAAGGUUUAUUUUAGACUUUUACCAAUGCCGGAGGUACGUGGUGGUUGUGCCCCUGGAAAUGGAAGUUCUGUUGCUAGAUCAAACAUACAUUGAAGCUUAAGUUCCAUGGUAACUGAAAAAUACUUCCUCCAUUCGGAAAUACUUGUCAGAAAAAUGAAUGUAUCUAAGACGUAUUUUAAUUCUUGAUAUACUCAUUUUUAUCCAUUUCUGCGACAAGUAAUUUUAGACGGAGGGAGUAGUUGGUUUGGGUGAUGUUUUCAUGGUGUACCCUUCAAAUAGUGAGACUGGGCUUGUAACUACCAAGUCUAGUCAAGCCUAACUAACAAAAAGGGUUCUCUAUGAUCUGUCGUUGCAUGAGGUGUUUAAAGUAUUGGACAAAAGGUGAAGUGUCCUAUAGAACAUCAUAAUACUUUCUGAUAAGAAACAGGAAAAUUAAAAUGACCAGCAACACAUAACAAAAACAGGGUCUAAAACGAAAUCUUACCCUUGUGGAAACUUGCUGUCGGCCCGGGCUUCAACGCGGAGCCACCAGAGUAGGACCUUUUUCCCACAGUACCCCAACGGCUCAACAUAGGGCGCAUCCGGAGCCGGCAAAAUUUCGUGUUUUGACCCCUUUUAGAUACAAACUCAGGAUCUGACCCCAGUUCGGAAAAAAAUUCAUGAUUUAACCCUUUUUCUUACUGCCAGGGCAUAUGGCGGUAGGCUUGUACAUCCUACCGCCAGGGACCCUGGCGGUAGGGUAAUCCACGUCAGCACGCGGAAACGGCCGCCGUCCCCUCCGCCGCACCCUACCGUCAGGGCACCUGGCGGUAGGGUCCGAGCAGUUAUUUCGCCUGAGACCCCGCGCCCCUGCCCAUCUCCCCAGCCCUCCCCCUCCCCCCCGUCGACAGUUUCUCCCCUUUUCUCUCCCAAGUCGCCCCCCUCUUCCUCUCUCAUCUCCUCCACUCUUCCCCUCGGAUCUUCACCGAUUCUUCACCGUUUUAGCGGAUCGAGAUGGCCCCGAAGAGAGAAUCGUAAGCUCCUCCGAUCCCUCCAAUUAGUUUUUGCAAACUUGUUCUGAUUCGACGCAUUAUUUGCUCGAAAUCCCUCAUAUUUUUAAACUUAAAUUGGAUUAUUUAUUUUUACGUAAGAUUGUUUUAUUUGAUUGUAGUUCUAGUUCUUAGUUCUUUAGUAAGUAGUGGUAUUGAAUAUGAACUCUAAUCAAUAGUUCAUAUGUUAGUGUUAAAAAAAUUAUGAUGUAAUGCAUGUGGGAGGACUUGAUUGUAGUUUGAUGAUGCAUGUUGAUAUGAUGAUAUGAAGAUGUUGGAGGAAUUUUUUGUUUACAAAUAUGAUGAUAUGAUGCAUGUUGGAGGAUUUUUUUUGUUUAAAAAUAUGAUGAUAUGAUUCAUGUUGGAGUGAUGAUGUGCAUGUUGAUAUGAUGAUAUGAUGCAUGUUGGAGUGAUGAUGUGCAUGUUGAUAUGAUGAUUUUUUUUGGUGAUAUGAUGCAUGUUGGAGGAUUUUUUUUGAUAUGAUUAAUGUUGAUGUGAUUUGAUCCAUCAUGUGUAGUAGAUGUUGUAGGAUUUUAGUUUUGAUAUGAUGCAUGGUGAUAUGAUUUUGAUAUGAUGCAUGUUUAUGUAUGCUUAUGCUUAUGAUGUUUUUGUUUAUGAAAUUUUAUUAAGGCGGCCUCCUCUUGAGGACAACAUCAGCCCACGGUACUCCAUGCUGGACUGGGCAUUCGACAAGGGUCAUCGUGCCCGUUUCAUAAAGAACGGAGAGGUAAGUGAUAUGAAUGAAAUAUUGAUAAAAGUUUUCGGAUUGAUGAAAAUAAUUUCCUAACUUUUGGUGUUCACUUUUUGACAGAUGCUGCAGCCACUGCGCAUGAGGGGUCACGGGGUUCAUGGGCAUAUGGACUACGACGAGCGCUACGCGCCAUUCUUCAAGAGAGCCCGGUUGUUGGGUUUUGUGUUGCAGUUCAAGCGUCAGCCGCCAACGCUUGUCCACGCAGCUCUGACAGCUCUGAUUGACCGGUGGCGACCAGAUACCCAUUCUUUCCAUCUCCCAUACGGGAGAUGACGGUGACCCUCGAGGAUUGGUCGAUGAUUACUGCCAUGACGAUCGAAGGUCAUGCAUUGACCGGGCGAGUGGAGAGGACCAACUGGCAGGAGAGGGUUACCACCCACAUCGAUGGCUGCCCGAGGCUAAGGGUAACCGUACAUCCGGUGUGCCGUUGUCCUGGCUCUCGGAGCACCGGAAGACAUGCCCCCAAGAUGCCGAUGAGACGACUGUGGAGUGGUACGCGAGGGCCUACCUGUGAUAUCUGUUCUUCCUAGCCGACUUGGAUGCAGGGUACAGUUGGGGGACCGCAUCUCUCGCCUACCUAUACCGUUCGGUAAGAGAGUAUCUAAUUGCCUACCUACGAAAGUAUGUCCAUGACAUUUUUUAUAUCUGAUCCUCAUUUGAUUUUUUGCAGCUUGACAACGCAACGCAGAGGACGGGAGACAGGUCCAAUAUGGGUGGCUUUGUCUGGGCCUUCUCCAUUUGGAUGUAGGAGCGGCUGCCGGUGGGGCGUCCUGAGAAGUUGCCAAGACGCCCAUGGGUGCCUAUACCGAGGACGGCGACAAGGCUCAAUAUCCCACCAUAGCUUACGAGUGGGACGUUGUCAAACUCUACACGGGCCUAAACAAGACCUUGUACAAGACCUACACCAACGAGUUGGACGCUUUGACGCAUUGGCAGGUAUAUGAACUCGCUCAACACCUUUCUCUUGGAUUCCACUUUGGACCGAGAGUGGGAACUUAUCAAUGUAUAUGUAAUAGGUAAACUAGUGGUUGUAUCAUGACCGAGAGUGGGACUUUGAUCUGAACGGGAUGUGCGAUGAGGACCGUGGUCUCUGGCGGUGCAUCAUGCCCAUGAUCUGUGUGUACACCAUCGAGUGGCACUUGCCGCACCGCAUGGCCACGCAGUUUGGGAUGUAUCAGCAUACCCCCACCGGGCCAGCCCACUGAUACCGGCGGCCACGCGCUCCACUUGUGAGUGCCCGCGCUUGUUCUUCGUGCCCAUGAAUUCAUUGCGUUCGACUUUAUUAUGAUGUUUUUUGUUGCUAACGCCUUGCAGGAUGAGCCGGCAGAAGAAUCAGUCGAUCACAGACUGGGGAGAGGAGCAUAAAAAUCAUGUGAUGGAGUGGAACUGACGGAGGUACAAGAAAGACGGGGAGAGGAAAGUGACUGACUGGGAUGCUUACUUGGAGUGACACAUGAAGUGGUACGAUGAUGGCCAAAAGCACCGUCUUCGUCUUAGGCCUCGGUGGACGGUGGAAGACAUCACGGAGUUGGAGAGGAAUGACCCCGAGGAACAGGCCUACCAGACCGGCAUCAGAGACAUGCACAGUGGAUUUAGGAGUUUGCACCCCUCAUCAACAGAGUGGUAAGUUUGAACCGAUGAUUGUAUUUAAAUUAUUGUAUUCAUCAUCAUGACUGACUUAUGCCGUUGGAGUCUUGUGAGCUGAACAGAUGCAUCUUUGAAGCCUCAACUGCACUAGGUGAUGCCCCCGGGAGCGUUGAAUCUGAGAACAAAAUGAGGGGAACGAUGAAGGUACAAUUUCAGCCUCCUCGGAAGAGAUGCAUCUUGUUCACUUGCAAUCAUAAACCUGGUACUUAUUAUGCCCUUGUUUCUUUGUGAGUGCAUAAGUUCGUGAAGCAUUGUCGCAAGCUGGUAGGCCUGCUUGGGUGUGCUGGAGUUGGGUCGGUUGAAGCUUAUCAUCUCGGAGCCACCCAGAGUCACAUCGCCUCAUCGAGCCAUGCUCCCUCGUCGUUGAGGUUGGUUGAGAAGGAGGAGGAGGAGGAUGAGGAGGAGGCCACACAUGAAGAAAGGGAGGAGGAGGAUGAGCAGGAUGAGAGCAACGGGGAGGAGGAGUAUGAUGAAGAUUAUGGACCUCCAACAACUCAAUCAUCUCAAGCACCUCAGCUGGCGCCAAAGAGGAAUCCGAAGAAGAAUGAUUUGCUGAGUCUGGACCCUUUCCAGAGACGGUUACUUGACGACCCAAGAAGAAGGCUGAAGAGUUUCGUUCAAAGAGUAAUGAGGACCGUACCUCCAAGAGGGGAAGGAGCAACUAAUUCUGUUCUUGGCUCUUGUAGUUGGGUUGUCUAUGUGUUUGCUAUUUGGUUGAACUUCGUUUGGUUGAACUUGUCUAGUGGUUGUGAAACUACGUGGAACUAUGUGUUUGCUAUUUGUGGAUCUAUGUGUUUCCUAUUUGUGAAACUAUGUGAAACUCCAUUUACUAAUUAGUUGAAGUUUGUUUGAAAUGUUUUAUGCACUUCAAGUUUUGUUAAUGUGUAUGGGAUGUCCAAGUUUAAUUGUUUAAGAUCUAUGAUAUUACUGUCACAUUUUUUGAAACUUGUUGUGAUAUUGUUUUUGAAAAGAAGCAAGCAAAUGAACUUGAAAAAAAUAAAACACACCCUACCUCCAGGGACCCUAGCGGUAGGAUCACACAGCCUACCGCCAACCCCCCUGGCGGUAGGGUGAACCUACACUACAAAAAAAUACACUUCCAUGAUGAUACGUGUUGAUCCUACCGCCAACCCCCCUGGCGGUAGGGUGAACCUACACUACAAAAAAAAUACACUUCCAUGAUGAUUCGUGUUUGUCACAGUAGGUCGCGUUUUUUGUCAUGCAUGUACAUCCAUGACGAUUUUAUGAUAGAAUCAAGAUAGCCAUGCAUGUGCUGUCGUAGAAAUGUUCCAUGACAUUACCAAAAUUAUCAUCACGGAAGUGUCCACUUCCAUGGCGAUACAUCGCGCGUCAUAGAAGUGCUUUCGUCAAGGGUGACCGACACAUGGCAUCCACCGUAACGGAACACCGUUAAGCUAUCGGGUCGGGUUUUCGAUCCGAUAACCCGUUAACAGCCCCGACCAAUGGGGAUUUUCCACGUGUAAAAUCAUCAUUGGCUGGAGGAAACACGUGUCGGCUCAUCGUUGGGACAGAUGUCAUCCACUCAUUGGACAGAAGGCGCCUAUGAUACGUCGACACGUGGCACGACCCAUCAAGUUUAAACGGGUUGGCCCAAGUAAAGGCCCACAAGAUUUUGCGGACCAUAAUGGGCCGGCCCAGCUAAAGGCCCACGAGAUUUUGGCGGACCAUAAUGGGCUGGCCUAGCUAAAGGCCCACAAGAUUUCGCGGGCCAUAAUGGGCCGGCCCAGGUAAAGGCCCACAAGAUUUUUGUGUGCCAUAAUGGGCCGGCCCAGGUAAAGGCCCACAAAAUUCUUGCGGAUCAUAAUGGGCCGGCCCAGCUAAAGGCUCACGAGAUUUCGCCGACACUAAUGGCCCGGCCCAGCUGUAGGACCACAAGAUUUUGAGGACCCUAGUAGGUCGGCCCAUUAACUGGCUGCCAUGUUUUGUGCCAAAUGCCGGCCCAAAUUUCAUCCAGUCCAUUGAUGGCCUGCCACGUUUCGGGCCUAAUAAUGGCCCAUAUGAGAUCCGUCCUGUUAAAAGCCUCCCACGUUCUGGGCCAAAUCACGGCCCAGAUUAGGUCCGGCCCUUUAAGAGGUUUUGGCCUCAAUUAUGGCCCAUAUUAGAUUUGGCCCGUUAACUGGACGCUAUGCUUUUGGGCCCACUUGCUAAAGCCCCAUUUAGUAAUUCGGCCUGAUAUUAGUUUCGGCCUGUUAAGGGCCCAUUUAACAUUUCGGCCCUAUAUUAAUUUUGGCCUGUAAAAGCCCGUCAUAUAGUUGGGCCUAACUACGGACCGGUUUGCAUCCGGCCUGCUUGCAGCCGAUAUCUGAUUGGGCCAAACAAGGACCGAGACAAUUUUGGCCUGUUAAAAGCCCGUGAUUUGAUUCACACAAUCAUGACCUGGGGUCCUUUUCGGGCUGUUGCCGGCCCGUGAGCUGUUCGGCACAUUUCAGGCCCAACCUACUUCUCAGCCUCCUAAAAGCCCAUUGAGUUUUCUUUCGAAAAGAGGGCCGGGGUUUACUCGGCCUGUUAAAGGCCUGUUGGAAAUAUGCCCUAGAGGCAAUAAUAAAAGGAUUAUUAUUAUAUUUCCUUGUUCAUGAUAAUUGUCUUUUAUUCAUGCUAUAAUUGUAUUAUCCGGAAAUCGUAAUACACGUGUGAAUACAUAGACCACAAUACGUCCCUAGUAAGCCUCUAGUUGACUAGCUCGUUGGUCAACAGAUAGUCAUGGUUUCCUGACUAUGGACAUUAGAUGUCAUUGACAACGGGAUCACGUCAUUAGGAGAAUGACGUGAUGGACAAGACCCAAUCCUAAGCAUAGCACAAGAUCGUGUAGUUCGUUUUGCUAGAGCUUUUCCUUAGACCAUGAGAUCGUGUAACUCCCGGAUACCAUAGGAGUGCUUUGGGUGUACCAAACGUCACAACGUAACUGGGUGACUAUAAAGGUGCACUACAGGUAUCUCCGAAAGUGUCUGUUGGGUUGACACAGAUCGAGACUGGGAUUUGUCACUCCGUAUGACGGAGAGGUAUCACUGGGCCCACUCGAUAGUGCAUCAUCAUAAUGAGCUCAAAGUGACCAAGUGUCCGGUCACGGGAUCAUGCAUUACGGUACGAGUAAAGUGACUUGCCGGUAACGAGACUGAACGAGGUAUUGGGAUACCGACGAUCGAGUCUCGGGCAAGUAACGUACCGAUUGACAAAGGGAAUAGUAUACGGGGUUGAUUGAAUCCUCGACAUCGUGGUUCAUCCGAUGACAUCAUCGAGGAGCAUGUGGGAGCCAACAUGGGUAUCCAGAUCCCGCUGUUGGUUAUUGACCGGAGAGCCGUCUCGGUCAUGUCUGCAUGUCUCCCGAACCCGUAGGGUCUACACACUUAAGGUUCGGUGACGCUAGGGUUAUUAGGAAGACUUGUAUGUGAUAACCGAAUGUUGUUAGGAGUCCCGGAUGAGAUCCCAGACGUCACGAGGAGUCCCGGAAUGGUCCAGAGGUGAAGAUUUAUAUAUGGGAAGUUGUCAUGCGGACACCGGAAAGUUUCGGGGGCAUAUCGGUAUUGUACCGGGGCCACCGGAGGGGUUCCCGGGGUCCACCGGGAGGGGCCACCCCUCUCGGAGGGCCACAUGAGCCGCAAGGGGCAGCGAGCCAGCCCCUGGUGGGCUGGGUGCCCCCCCUGGGCCCAUGCGCCUAGGGUUGGGGGGAACCCUAGUGGGGGCGCCCCCCUUGCUUGGGGGGCAAGCCCCCCUCCCUGGCCGCCGCCCCCCCUCUAGAUCUCAUCUAGAGGGGGCCGGCCCCCUUCCCCCUUCCCCUAUAAAUAAAGGGGCGAGGGGAGGGCUGAACACCUGAUCCAAGGUGCAGCCCCUCCCCUCCCCAACACAUCUCGUCCUCCGUUGAGUGCUUGGCGAAGCCCUGUCGGAUUACUGCCUCUCCACCAUCAUCACGCCGUCGUGCUGCUGCUGGAGCCUUUUUCCUCAACCUCUCCUUCCCCCUUGCUGGAUCAAGAAGGAGGAGACAUCAUCCGUUCCGUACGUGUGUUGAACGCAGAGGUGCUGUCCGUUCAGCACUUGGUCAUCGGUGAUUUGGAUCACGACGAGUACGACUCCAUCAUCCCCGUUCCCUUGAACGCUUCCACACGCGAUCUACAAGUGGUAUGUAGAUGCAAUCUCUCUCCCAUGACUCGUUGCUUAGAUGAACUCAUAGAUGGAUCUUGCUGAAACCGUAGGAAAAAUUUUAAUUUUCUGCAACGUUCCCCAACAGUGGCAUCAUGAGCUAGGUCUAUGCGUAGUUCUCUAUUGCACGAGUAGAACACAAUUUUGUUGUGGGCGUAGAUCUUGUCAACUUGCUUGCCGCUACUAGUCUUUUCUUGCUUCAGCGGUAUUGUGGGAUGAAGCGGCCCAGACCGACCUUACACGUACGCUUACGUGAGACAGGUUCCACCGACUGACAUGCACUAGUUGCAUAAGGUGGCUAGCGGGUGUCGGUCUCUCCUACUUUAGUUGGAGCGGAUUAGAUGAAAAGGGUCCUUAUGAAGGAUAAAUAGAAGUUGACAAAAUCACGUUCUUGCUAGAACCCAAUUGCAGCCACGUAAAAGAUGCAACAACAAUUAGAGGACGUCUAACUUGUUUUUGCAGCAAUUGUCAUGUGAUGUGAUAUGGCCAGAAGUUGUGAUGAAUGAUGAAUGAUAUAUUGUGAUGUAUGAGAUCAUGUUCUUGUAAUAGGAAUCACGACUUGCAUGUCGAUGAGUAUGACAACCGGCAGGAGCCAUAGGAGUUGUCUUUAUUUUUUAUAUGACCUGCGUAUCAUUGAAGAACGCCAUGUAAAUUACUUUACUUUAUUGCUAAACGCGUUAGCCAUAGAAGUAGAAGUAGUCGUUGGCGUGACAACUUCAUGAAGACACAAUGAUGGAGAUCAUGAUGAUGGAGAUCAUGGUGUCAUGCCGGUGACGAAGAUGAUCAUGGAGCCCCAAAGAUGGAGAUCGAAGGAGCUAUAUGAUAUUGGCCAUAUCAUGUCACUACUAUAUAAUUGCAUGUGAUGUUUAUUAUGUUUUAUGCAUCUUGUUUACUUAGAACGGCGGUAGUAAAUAAGAUGAUCCCUUAUAAUAAUUUCAAGAAAAUGUUCCCCCUAACUGUGCACCGUUGCUAAAGUUCGUCGUUUCGAAGCACCACAUGAUGAUCGGGUGUGAUAGAUCCUUACGUUCACAUACAACGGGUGUAAGACAGAUUUACACAUGCAGAACACUUAGGGUUAACUUGACGAGCCUAGCAUGUACAGACAUGGCCUCGGAACACAGAGACCGAAAGGUCGAACAUGAGUCGUAUGGAAGAUACGAUCAACAUGGAGAUGUUCACCGAUGAUGACUAGUCCGUCUCACGUGAUGAACGGACACGGCCUAGUCGACUCGGAUCGUGUAACACUUAGAUGACUAGAGGGAUGUCUAAUCUGAGUGGGAGUUCAUUAAAUAAUUUGAUUAGAUGAACUUAAUUAUCAUGAACUUAGUCUAAAACUUUUGCAAAAUAUGUCUUGUAGAUCAAAUGGCCAACGCUCAUGUCAACAUGAACUUCAACGCGUUCCUAGAGAAAACCAAGCUGAAAGAUGAUGGCAGCAACUAUUCAGACUGGGUCCGGAACCUGAGGAUCAUCCUCAUAGCAGCCAAGAAAGAUUAUGUCCUAGAUGCACCGCUAGGUGAAGCACCCAUCCAAGAGAACCAAGACGUUAUGAACACUUGGCAAUUACGUGCUGAUGAUUACUCCCUCAUUCAGUGCGGCAUGCUUUACAGCUUAGAACCGGGGCCCCAAAAGCGUUUUGAGAAGCACGGAGCAUAUGAGAUGUUCGAGGAGCUGAAAAUGGUUUUCCAAGCUCAUGCCCGGGUCGAGAGAUAUGAAGUCUCUGACAAGUUCUAUAGUUCUAAGAUGGAGGAAAACAAUUCUGUCAGUGAGCACAUACUCAAAAUGUCUGGGUUGCACAACCGCCUGUCCCAGCUGGAGAUCAACCUCCCGGAAGAGGCGGUCAUUGACAGAAUCCUUCAGUCGCUCCCACCGAGCUACAAGAGCUUUGUGUUGAACUACAAUAUGCAGGGGAUGGUGAAGACCAUUCCUGAAGUAUUCUCAAUGCUGAAGUCAGCAGAGGUUGAAAUCAAGAAAGAACAUCAAGUGUUGAUGGUCAAUAAGACCACUAAGUUCAAGAAGGGCAAGGGUAAGAAGAACUUCAAGAAGGACGGCAAAGAUGUUGCCGCGCCCGGUAAGCCAGUUGCCGGGAAGAAGUCAAAGAAUGGACCCCAGCCUGAGACUGAGUGCUUUUAUUGCAAGGGGAAGGGUCACUGGAAGCGGAACUGCCCCAAAUACUUAGCGGACAAGAAGGCCGGCAACACUAAAGGUAUAUUUGAUAUACAUGUAAUUGAUGUGUACCUUACCAGUACUCGUAGUAACUCCUGGGUAUUUGAUACUGGUGCCGUUGCUCACAUUUGUAACUCACAGCAGGAGCUGCGGAAUAAGCGGAGACUGGCGAAGGACGAGGUGACGAUGCGCGUCGAGAAUGGUUCCAAGGUCGAUGUGAUCGCCGUCGGCACGCUACCUCUACAUUUACCUACGAGAUUAGUUUUAAACCUCAAUAAUUGUUAUUUAGUGCCAAGUUUGAGCAUGAACAUUGUAUCUGGAUCUCGUUUGAUACGAGAUGGCUACUCAUUUAAAUCCGAGAAUAAUUGUUGUUCUAUUUAUAUGAGAGAUAUGUUUUCUGGUCAUGCCCCAAUGGUCAAUGGUUUAUUCUUAAUGAAUCUCGAAUGUAAUGUUACACAUAUUCAUAGUGUGAAUACCAAAAGAUAUAAAGUUGAUAACGAUAGUCCCACAUACUUGUGGCACUGCCGCCUUGGUCACAUUGGUGUCAAGCGCAUGAAGAAGCUCCAUGCUGAUGGACUUUUAGAGUCUCUAGAUUAUGAAUCAUUUGACACAUGCGAACCAUGCCUCAUGGGCAAAAUGACCAAGACCCCGUUCUCCGGAACAAUGGAGCGAGCAACCAACUUAUUGGAAAUCAUACAUACUGAUGUGUGUGGUCCAAUGAGCGUUGAGGCUCGCGGACGAUAUCGUUAUGUUCUCACUCUCACCGAUGACUUGAGUAGAUAUGGGUAUGUCUACUUGAUGAAACACAAGUCUGAGACCUUUGAAAAGUUCAAGGAAUUUCAGAAUGAAGUAGAGAAUCAACGUGACCGAAAGAUAAAGUUCUUACGAUCGGAUUGUGGAGGAGAAUAUUUAAGUCACGAAUUUGGUACACACUUAAGAAAAUGUGGAAUCGUUUCACAACUCACGCCGCCUGGAACACCUCAGCGUAACGGUGUGUCCGAACGUCGUAAUCGCACUCUAUUGGAUAUGGUGCGAUCUAUGAUGUCUCUUACCGAUUUACCGCUAUCAUUUUGGGGAUACGCUCUAGAGAUAGCUACAUUCACUUUAAAUAGGGCACCGUCUAAAUCCGUUGAGACGACACCGUAUGAAUUAUGGUUUGGGAAGAAACCUAAGCUAUCGUUUCUAAAAGUUUGGGGAUGCGAUGCUUAUGUCAAGAAACUUCAACCUGAAAAGCUCGAACCCAAGUCGGAAAAAUGCGUCUUCAUAGGAUACCCUAAGGAAACCAUUGGGUAUACCUUCUACUUAAGAUCCGAAGGAAAGAUCUUUGUUGCCAAGAACGGAUCCUUUCUGGAAAAAGAGUUUCUCUCGAAAGGAGUAAGUGGGAGGAAAGUAGAACUCGAUGAAGUACUACCUCUUGAACCGGAAAGUAGUGCAGCUCAGGAAAAUGUUCCUGUGGUGCCUACACCGACUGGAGAGGAAAUUAAUGAUAAUGAUCAAGGUACUUCUGAUCAAGUUGCUACUGAACUUCGUAGGUCCACAAGGACACGUUCCACACCAGAGUGGUAUGGCAACCCUGUCCUGGAAAUCAUGUUGUUAGACAACGGUGAACCUUCGAACUAUGAAGAAGCGAUGGCGGGCCCAGAUUCCAACAAAUGGCUACCAGCCAUGAAAUCCGAGAUAGAAUCCAUGUAUGAAAACAAAGUAUGGACUUUGACUGACUUGCCCGAUGAUCGGCGAGCGAUAGAAAAUAAAUGGAUCUUUAAGAAGAAGAUGGACGCGGAUGGUAAUGUCACCAUCUAUAAAGCUCGACUUGUCGCUAAGGGUUAUCGACAAGUUCAAGGGAUUGACUACGAUGAGACUUUCUCUCCCGUAGCGAAGCUUAAGUCCGUCUGAAUCAUGUUAGCAAUUGCCGCAUACUAUGAUUAUGAGAUAUGGCAGAUGGACGUCAAAACGGCAUUCCUUAAUGGGCAUCUUAAGGAAGAACUGUAUAUGAUGCAGCCAGAGGGUUUUGUCGAUCCUAAGAAUGCUAACAAAGUAUGCAGGCUCCAGUGAUCCAUUUAUGGGCUGGUGCAAGCAUCUCGGAGUUGGAACAUUCGCUUUGAUGAGAUGAUCAAAGCGUUUGGGUUUAUGCAGACUUAUGGAGAAGCCUGCGUUUACAAGAAAGUGAGUGGGAGCUGUGUAGCAUUUCUCAUAUUAUAUGUAGAUGACAUACUUUUGAUGGGAAAUGAUAUAGAAUUCUUGGACAACAUUAAGGCCUACUUGAAUAAGUAUUUUUCAAUGAAGGACCUUGGAGAAGCUGCUUACAUAUUAGGCAUCAAGAUCUGUAGGGAUAGAUCGAGACGCCUCAUAGGUCUUUCACAAAGCACAUACCUUGAUAAGAUUUUGAAGAAGUUCAAAAUGGAUCAGUCCAAGAAAGGGUUCUUGCCUGUACUGCAAGGUGUGAGAUUGAGCUCGGCUCAAUGCCCGACCACGGCAAAAGAUAAAGAAGAGAUGAGCGUCAUCCCCUAUGCCUCAGCCAUAGGAUCUAUUAUGUAUGCCAUGCUGUGUACCAGACCUGAUGUAAACCUUGCCGUAAGUUUGGUAGGAAGGUACCAAGUAAUCCCGGCAAGGAACACUGGACAGCGGUCAAGAAUAUCCUGAAGUACCUGAAAAGGACAAAGGACAUGUUUCUCGUUUAUGGAGGUGACGAAGAGCUCGUUGUAAAGGGUUACGUCGACGCUAGCUUCGACACAGAUCUGGAUGACUCUAAGUCACAAACCGGAUACGUGUAUAUGUUGAAUGGUGGAGCAGUAAGCUGGUGCAGCUGCAAGAAGAGCGUCGUGGCGGGAUCUACAUGUGAAGUGGAGUACAUGGCAGCCUCGGAGGCAGCGCAUGAAGCAAUUUGGGUGAAGGAGUUCAUCACCGACCUAGGAGUCAUACCCAAUGCGUCGGGGCUGAUCAAACUCUUCUAUGACAACACUGGAGCUAUUGCCCUUGCCAAGGAGCCCAGGUUUCACAAGAAGACCAGGCACAUCAAGCGUCGCUUCAACUCCAUCUGUGAAAAUGUUCAAGAUGGAGACAUAGAUAUUUGCAAAGUACAUAGGGAUCUGAAUGUCGCAGAUCCGUUGACUAAACCUCUCUCCCGAGCAAAACAUGAUCAACACCAGAACUCUAUGGGUGUUCGAUUCAUCACAAUGUAACUAGAUUAUUGACUCUAGUGCAAUUGGGAGACCGUUGGAAAUAUUGCCUAGAGGCAAUAAUAAAAGGAUUAUUAUUAUAUUUCCUUGUUCAUGAUAAUUGUCUUUUAUUCAUGCUAUAAUUGUAUUAUCCGGAAAUCGUAAUACACAUGUGAAUACAUAGACCACAAUAUGUCCCUAGUAAGCCUCUAGUUGACUAGCUCGUUGGUCAACAGAUAGUCAUGGUUUCCUGACUAUGGACAUUAGACGUCAUUGACAACGGGAUCACGUCAUUAGGAGAAUGACGUGAUGGACAAGACCCAAUCCUAAGCAUAGCACAAGAUCGUGUAGUUCGUUUUGCUAGAGCUUUUCCAAUGUCAAGUAUCUUUUCCUUAGACCAUGAGAUCGUGUAACUCCCGGAUACCGUAGGAGUGCUUUGGGUGUACCAAACGUCACAACGUAACUGGGUGACUAUAAAGAUGCACUACAGGUAUCUCCGAAAGUGUCUGUUGGGUUGACACGGAUCGAGACUGGGACUUGUCACUCCGUAUGACGGAGAGGUAUCACUGGGCCCACUCGGUAGUGCAUCAUCAUAAUGAGCUCAAAGUGACCAAGUGUCUGGUCACAGGAUCAUGCAUUACGGUACGAGUAAAGUGACUUGCCGGUAACAAGACUGAACGAGGUAUUGGGAUACCGACGAUCGAGUCUCGGGCAAGUAACGUACCGAUUGACAAAGGGAAUAGUAUACGGGGUUGAUUGAAUCCUCGACAUUGUGGUUCAUUCGAUGACAUCAUCGAGGAGCAUGUGGGAGCCAACAUGGGUAUCCAGAUCCUACUGUUGGUUAUUGACCGGAGAGCCGUCUCGGUCAUGUCUGCAUAUCUCCCGAACCCGUAGGGUCUACACACUUAAGGUUCGGUGACGCUAGGGUUAUUAGGAAGACUCGUAUGUGAUUACCGAAUGUUGUUCGGAGUCCUGGAUGAGAUCCUGGAUGUCACAAGGAGUCCCGAAUGGUCCGGAGGUGAAGAUUUAUAUAUGGGAAGUUGUCAUACGGACACCGGAAAGUUUCGGGGGCAUAUCGGUAUUGUACCGGGGCCACCGGAGGGGUUCCGGGGGUCCACCGGGAGGGGCCACCCCUCUCGGAGGGCCACAUGAGCCGCAAGGGGCAGGGAACCAGCCCCUGGUGGGCUGGGCGCCCCCCCCUUGGGCCCAUGCGCCUAGGGUUGGGGGGGGAACCCUAGUGGGGGCGCCCCCCUUGCUUGGGGGGCAAGCCCCCCUCCCUGGCCGCCACCCCCCUCUAGAUCUCAUCUAGAGGGGGCCGCCCCACUUCCUCCUUCCCCUAUAAAUAGAGGGGCGAGGGGAGGGCUGAACACCUGAUCCAAGGCGCAGCCCCUCCCCUCCCCAACACCUCUCCUCCUCCGUUGAGUGCUUGGCGAAGCCCUGUUGGAUUACUGCCUCUCCACCAUCAUCACGCCGUCGUGCUGCUGCUGGAGCCUUCUUCCUCAACCUCUCCUUCCCCCUUGCUGGAUCAAGAAGGAGGAGACGUCGUCCGUUCCGUACAUGUGUUGAACGCGGAGGUGAUGUCCGUUCAGCACUUGGUCAUCGGUGAUUUGGAUCACGGCGAGUACGACUCCGUCAUCCCCGUUCCCUUGAACGCUUCCGCACACGAUCUACAAGUGGUAUGUAGAUGCAAUCUCUCUCCCAUGACUUGUUGCUUAGAUGAACUCAUAGAUGGAUCUUGGUGAAACCAUAGGAAAAAUUUUAAUUUUCUGCAACGUUCCCCAACAAGGCCCGAAUCUACUAGUGGGCCAGUUUGACGGGGCCCAUGAUGCGGAUCAUACAUCAUGAUUACAUGACAGCCCGAUUAUGUACCGUAAUUUUACGGUUUGGCCGCUUUACUGCAAAGAGAGGAUAUAUAUAUAUAUACAGUAAAAUAACUGCAUCGUGAAUAAGAAAAACCUAGACUAUACAAUAAAGAAAUUACGCCAUAUUACAUCCACUGGGCAUCAAAGUUCGCCACUAUGAUAAUAAAGCACAAGCAGACAUCAGAUUACAUACACUGGGCAUCAAAGAUCGCCACAGUGCAAAUAAACAAGCCGACAAAAUAAUAUACAAAACCGACAGCAGUCCAAUAGAGUUCAAGAAAGGUUAGCCCUGCUGGCGUGCUGCAGCGCAAGCACCUGAGCAAGAUGAUGAGACUCCGCUUGUUCAACACUUAUAUCUUCCUCACUCUGAAAGAUAAACAAGCAGACAGAUGAAAGGUUUUGCACAUAAAAGUAUCAGUGCUGACAAUUCAUCACAUUUCUUACUGACAAAUAAAGUGACAUAGUUUAAAAAUGCAUUAACACAAUAUGGUAUUGUUCAGGUCAAGACAUGACAGGAAAUGACAUUGUGAAGGAGUUGGCAGCUUCACGACACCACUGGAUUACAGAUCAAGAACUCAUAAGUAUCAAUGGUUAGUGUGCUGUCAAUUUAUCCUAUUUCAGAUUGGCAAAUACAGAGACGGUUUAAAUAAUAGUAGAAUGAUAUGGCAUUUUUCAUAGUUAAGACAUUGCAGAAUAUGACAUUAUGCUGUAGUGGGUAGGUUCACCACACCAUUGGAUUAUGGAUGAAGAACAGAAGCAUACAUGCAGUGCAAAAGAAGAUCACUUGCUCUGUAUAGUUUAAUUUACAUGGUAUGAAGAAGGAACUUGGUUGUACAACUGAAAACUUAAAUUGAGAAGGACAAACUUUUGUUUAUGAACUACUCCCUCCGUUCCUAAAUAUAAGUCUUUUAGAGAUUUCAAUAUGAACUACAUAUGGAUGUAUAUAAACAAAGUUUAGAGUGUAGAUUCACUCGUUUUGUUCUGCAUGUAGUCCAUAUUGAAAUCUUGAGAAAGACUUAUAUUUAGGAACGGAGGGAGUACAUAAUAAACUUUAAACAUGCAAUUUGAUGCAAACACCAAAAAUAAACAGUUGUUGCAUUCAUGCCUAACCAAAUAUACACAACAAAGUUUGAAGGCUUGAGAAGGACAAACUUACAUUACUGGUGAAAACAAGCUCUAUAAAUCCCAUGUCCAUGCUGAUGGGGGGGGCAGUUAAAGAAGUUUACCACAGAAUCUUCUUCAUAAGCAUUGCUUUUAUUCUACAUUUUGUUAAGAGUAUAUAUACACAUGAUAAUAUACGAAAAAAUGGAGAAUAUUUAAGAUAAGAUGAAGAGUGAUGCUACAUAACCAAGUAGCUAUAAAUGUAUGUGCAGCGAUACAGGCAAAAGGCACAAGCCAAGAGCAAUGCACAACUAAACUUCUUCAGUACCAACCUUAUGGUAAGAGUAAAUAUAGAUCUGAUGUGUAGAAAAUGGAGGGCAAAGGAAAAUAAGCUACAGAGUGAUGGUACAUGAACAACAACCUGUCAAUAUAAGUACACUGAUAAAGGACAUCAUGUACUUACAAGAACAAUGCAGAGCUAAAAAAGUCAUUGGCAUUGGAUAUAUUCUACACUAAUGUAACCAUUCAUACAAAUCAGAUAAUUUGGAGCGAACAAUUGAUAAUCCUCCGCCACCCCCACCCCCACCCCCGCCCCAACCCCCACCCGCGUCGAGUUUUCUUCAUUCGGCGAGGCCCCACAACCACCCGAGACCCUUCGUUCGCACCGGCGAACUCCGGCGAGCUCUGAAAAAUUUAGUCUACUGUGAUUUAACUAGUGUGGAAUAUAAAAGGGGAAAACCAUAAGCAUUGGGAGUAUAGUGUUGAGCGUGCCAUGGCGGAUCUGAAGGUGCAAACUGGACAAAGGCAACUUCGCAACCAAGACAAGAAAUCAGAGUAAAGAAGUGGCGAUCUAUUUUCUUGCUGCGAUAAAUAAGUUGAGAAGAUACGAUAGAGUACCGCCUCUGGUGCGGCGUCGUGUAUGCAUCUGCUGAGAAUUUGACGAUGCUGCGGUAGCGAUGGCUGUCGGUAGCGUGGAACUAGAUCUAGGAGGGUAGACGGUGGCGGCGGGGCCCGGUGGACGAGACGGUCGUAGGAGCGGCGUCGGCAAGGUGGACGACGGCGGGGAUGAAGCGAGAGGACGGGAUGCAAGGAUCCCGGUCCGAAGCCGUGGAUGAGAGAGGUCGAUCUCUUGUAAUGGUCGGCGGCGUUGGGGUAUCAGCUCCGGCAUGGUGGAGGAGGACGGCGGUGGAUGGGGUGGUGGACGGCGGCGGACGAAGGAGGGUGGGGUGGAAAGGGUGUUUUGGCGCCCACGGAGUAUGAAUGGGGAAAAGGGAGGUAGAGAGGAAGGGGGGAACCAUGUAUUCAGGGCGCGCUUGUCUCAAAUGCGAGGAAAUUUACAAACUUAGCCCCCGUUUCAAAUUUCUACUACAUCCCAGCAACAUUAGUCGGUUGGGGAUAGGACGGUAAUCUCGCAUGCACCGAAUAUUUGCCGACGAGAGUUUGUUUUUGGCGCCCACCGUGUAUGAAUAUGAAUCGGGGAGGGAGUCGAUUUUGGCCGAGGACACAUUGUGUUUUGGCGCCCACCGUGUAUGAAUCCGGAUGAGAGGCGGUUACGUCACAUUUGGGUGAAAUUACAAACCUACCCCUAUCUAAACCUAUAGAAAUCCAGCAGAUAGGCUUUGCGUGGCAGGGAUAGGCAGUAGUAAUUUCCAUCUCGCAGGUUUUGGUUUCGGGCGGUUACUGCGACUUUCCCCGCUUCGUUCAAAUUUUGCAGAGUGCACGUUUAUGCUCGUGCCAACUCAAUUCGGAUCCCGUUUGUAUUCUAUUUUUUUCGGGCGGGAUCCAUUUUCAAUUGGAAUUACAUUCUAUAUACAUCAUUUUUUUAUAUAUACUUUCAAAAGCACAACACCAUUUAUACAUAAAUAUGGUUUACAAAUGACAUGAUCUCAGAUUCAUAAGGUUGUAUCCAUCAAUUUGGAUUUUCAAAUAUUUGAAACCACUUUAUGUUGAAAUCCAAUGUAUGCAUUCCUUGCUAACUGUCUCCAAUUAAUGUGUGUUUCAUGCAGGUUUUUUUUACUUCUCAAACAUGUAUAAUGUGUUUCACACACGCAACAUAUAAUCCCGUUUAGACAUUAAUUGCAAAUAAACCAUGCAUUGUUUGUAAUUAAAGAAUCUAUGGAUCACCAAUAUUGAUAAACUAUAUAACAUUACACGUGUGCCCAAAUUCAAAUGAAUAUGUAUGUUUGAUACACCAAUUUGUGUUAUGAUAUUAUCGAUGUCGUGAUCUCCAAUUUAAAUAUUUGAAUCCCCUUUAAUCCAGAUAUUUGUCUCAUAUAUCUAUCACUCAUGCUUAUAUAGGACUAUCUCUCUGGACCUAUACGCGUUCAUCGCCUCUCAGGUAUCUCUCGUGCUACCUGUAUGCCGACAAUGAUCUUUUAUCUUCAUAACACACUAACGGUACUCUCUCCCUCGACCUUCAUCAUUCUAUCUCUCUCUAAGUAUAUCUCUCUCCCUUCUAUGUGUCUCUAACUAUGAUUCUCCAUGUGGAAUCUCUUUCUUUCACACAAACACAAACACAAACUCUGUCUCCCAGGGUCUCAUAUUUCUCCAUGUUCUCUUGUAUGUCGCUCACACACACACUCUCUCCCUAGAUAUAUCUUGCAUUCCCUCAUAUGUCUCUCUAGCUAUCAGUCUCGUUGUGAAAUAUCUUUCUCUCUCGCAGACACAAAACUCCAUCUCUCGGGAUCUCGUUUCUCUCUGAUAUCUGUUUGUAUGUGACUCACAUGCACCGUCUCUCUAUCUCUCUCACACCCACACACAUAACUCAGCCUUCUGAUCCACUCGACUCUUGUCUCUAACGCACACUAGCUAGCAUCUUUAUCUUUCUAUUUAUCUGUUUCUCCAUCAACCUUCUUUCUCGCCCUCACUCUUGAUUCCUAUCACGCACACUACAUAUGUUUCUCUCUACAUGCAGUCAAGUGCCCUCUCACACACAUAUAUAACUUCACCCUCUGAACCACCCGGCGGUCAUCUCCAACACCCAAACUAGCGGAUGUCCCUCUAUCUAGCAUAUCCAUCUCUGUAUAUCUAUAUGUAGUUUCUCCGUUGACAUUUCUUUCUCACACGGAGUCUUGCUUCCUAUCACCCACACUAUAUAUGUCUCUCCAUACAUAUGCAUUUAUAGGUUGAUCUCUUUUGCACAAUCGUUGUGCCUCACUCCCUCUGCUCGCCAUAGAUGCAUGCUCCAGCCCACGCCACUAUCUCUUAAAGACAAAAACACAUGCUCAAUUGUCGGGCCUUCUUCCCUGCAUUCUCACAUGCAUGCAUAUUGUCAUACCGAUCCGUCUCUCCCAUGUCGUUGAUCUUAUGACUUAUUUCUUCUUUCUUUUAUCUCGAUCAUGCGCGUGCGCACACACACACAUCCCACGUAUACAUGUAUACCUCUCACACAUGCACGUUCAAGGUCUCUAUGUCUCCAUACGUAGUUAACUACCCUCAAUCCUAACGCCACAUCGAAUCGUUCUCCUCUUUUGUGCACAUAACUUCCGCCUGGAUGGGUAAAACACACACUCACACUUAACAAUCUCCUUCUAGCUACCCCCCCNNNNNNNNNNUCUCUCUACAUGCAGUCAAGUGCCCUCUCACACACAUAUAUAACUUCACCCUUUGAACCACCCGACGGUCAUCUCCAACACCCAAACUAGCGGAUGUCCCUCUAGCUAGCAUCUCCAUCUCUGUAUCUAUCUGUAGUUUCUCCGUCAACAUUUCUUUCUCGCACGGAGUCUUGCUUCCUAUCACCCACACUAUAUAUGUCUCUCCAUACAUAUGCAUUUAUAGGUUGGUCUCUUUUGCACAAUCAUUGCGCCUCACUCCCUCUGCUCGCCAUAGAUGCAUGCUCCAGCCCACGCCACUAUCUCUUAAAGACAAAAACACAUGCUCAAUUGUCGGGACUUCUUCCAUGCAUUCUCACAUGCAUGCAUAUUGUCAUACCGAUCCGUCUCUCCCAUGUCGUUGAUCUUAUGACUUAUGUCUUCUUUCUUUUAUCUCGAUCAUGCGCGCGCGCGCACACACACAUCCCACGUAUACAUGUAUACCUCUCACACAUGCACGUUCAAGGUCUCUAUGUCUCCAUACGUAGUUAAUUACCCUCAAUCCUAACGCCACAUCGAAUUGUUCUCCUCUUUUGUGCACAUAACUUCCGCCUGGAUGGGUAAAACACACACCACACUUAACAAUCUCCUUCUAGCUACCCCCCGCCUCUCACUCUUCCCCUAUAUCCCCGAAACCAAUAAUACCAUCCCUUAGUUUAAUUCCUGCCUACAUGCACCAUCGAUAUAUAGUAGUCUUCCUCGGUGUCUCUCGAACAAACACGUUCUCUCGAAGUCGACUCCUCUCACGUGCACACACCUUCUCUUCCCUCUCUACGGGCAUUUUCUCUCUCGCACCCCAUCGUUGGUGGCCUCUGCCAUACACAUCACCUCUCUAUGAUGAAAGCCAUGCACACUUAAAUUACAUCCACCACAGAGGACCUCGCGACACACACACACACGCACGCACCCCCCCAACACACACACACACACUAAGACUCCAUCUCUCUCUCUCUCACACACACACAAACACACACACACACACACACGCAAGCACGCACGCCCCCCACACACACUNNNNNNNNNNCACACACCCCACACACUAAGACUCCAUCUCACACACACAUGCUCUAGGCGGAGCAUUUGUUCCUACCACCCUUCAUCCAACCUUACCCGUAUGAUAAACAAUCACCUUUAUUUACUUACAUAACAUGGAAAAAUUCCACUUUACUUUAGUAAUCAGCAAACUUAUCAUAUGUACCCUUAUAAAAAAUGAGUUGGCGAUGAUGGUGUGCCUGCCAUCUUGUAAUACACACCGUAUGAUCUAUAUCUGGCGGAUAGAAAGCAAACUAUGAUAAUUUUACAAAAGAUACCCGCACCUCUCUCCACAUCAUUAUCUCCCACAACCUCAUUGCUCAGCAAUUAAAAAAGGAAUAAGUCUCUCGAACAAUCUAGCAUGCAUGGUGGCCGCUGUCGCCUGCCGGCGCCGUCCAUCCCCAUGCCUCCGCCCAUUCCGACCACCAGUCACCACCACGCUCCACUCCUCCUCGCCUUAUCUCUCAUCUUUCAUUUUUUCGAUGACAUUCUCGAGAUACCAGUUUUCCGCUAAAAUUCUCGAGAUAUCAUUAGUUUUUACACAUGGGAUUACUCCUGCAUGGGUCAAUCACAAUAGGUGUUUUGUAAAAAAAAUGCAUAUUGAUGUUCCGUGCAAUGCACGAGAAUCUUGCUUGUAAUUAUAUAACGCAAAUCACGAGCAGGAAGUGACAUUUUUUUGACACAACCACGUUAACAUGGCCACAUAAAUCACUAGCUAAAGUAAAUACCAUUAUACUUAUAUCCCGAUGCAAAAGGUUGAGUACAUGUCCGAAGAGUAGAGUCGCACACACGCACUCUGUCUCUCAGAAUCUCUCUCACACACACACCAGUUAUGUGACGCCCACUUAAGCAGACAUGUAUGUUACAAUUUGUGCACCCGCGGGUACACGUGAUGCUGCGCAUUUAUUUAAGCCGGUAGGCGAACCCAAACAGUAGCUGCAUUCAUUUGCCUCCCGCCGCCUCUUCUCUGGUCGCCGUCGCCCGGUAGCCAUGGCCCGGCCGAAGGUACCAACAUACGCCAUACUCCCGCCGAAGUGCGCUUUAAUAUGGAAAUUUUUGUGGUCAUGCAUGCAUCUUUUUGUGCUAGCACUCCUAUAUAAGGGUUGGCCGGUCGCUUCCCGCGGACGUGCGUGGGUGGUGGAAGAGGAAGGAGAAGGGAAGCGGGUUGUGGAGUAAUAUUUUUUAACACAAUUUCUUAGGAAACUGAGUGCAAUAAUUAAGUAGUUUUGCAAACUACCAGUACUACACCUGAAACGGUUCAAAACCUAUACUCCCUUGCCAGUGUGUGCUUCCCGCAUGAAACGGUCAGCGUCGCCCUAGAGUGUCAGUGCCGCAUUAAUGCUCGGCAAGAGCGGAGGCGACCUCUCACUAGCGCCGGCUUUGAAGUGGCGCGACGGCCAAGAGAGCGCCGCUUCCCAGUGCACGCGACUGCUCCGCGUCGAGACUGGCCAUAGGCCCUGUUUGGAUCCAUGGGUUAGAGUUAGUUUGAGCUAGUUGGGGCUCAAAUAGCCCUAAAGUAUCCAAGCAUGAGGGUUUAAAUUGGAGCAAGUUGCACCGAACCCACCAAAAAAAACUAUCCCACCCAAGAGGUGCUAACUGGAGAUAGUUCUCAUUGGGACGACUGAAAAAUCACUUUUCUCUCUCCAUCAAGUGCAUUUAUUGUCAAUCUAACCCUGUCACCCAAACACCUCUUUGGCUACAGUUAGUUCAGGGUUAGUCAUGAGUUAGUCUAACCUCUAGCUAAGUUAGAGUUUCAAAUAGGAGCAGUAUAGGACAUGCAAGUUGCUCAAAGCAUACAGGCAAAUUCGUAUGUGAAAGGAUUUUUUUUAUUUUUGAAAACGGAACGUGAAAGGAAUUUUUUUAGAAUGCUCUUGGCAUGUCGCUAACAUGUGAUGAGUUAACCGACCUCAAUAGACGGCAAAAAUGCCAGCCCGCCGCACUUUGAUAGAGACGAGGAGGGAGAAGCGAUACAGGCUGCUGGAUUACUAGAGAUAUGUGUCGCAUAGAAGCCAAGAAAUAUGGUGAUAGGGUGGGUUAGCCAUGUACUAGUAUGAUGUAACUACACUAGGCUGCCGUGUUUCGUACUCUUCCAGUCCACCAUGGAGAUGUUUGGUUAAUUUUAUAUCGCUGAAUAAUAUUAAAUAUUAUGAGUGCAGACGCUCCACCACGAGGUUCCUUGCUCCUUCUCGGUCGUCUAGAAUCUAUGUUUUUCCACUCUAUUUUUUUACGUGAGCUUUGUCCAUCCUUUUGCCAACACGUGAGACAUCUAGCAUCAAGGUGCACAUGUUAUGCAAGGAUCGUUCCGUCUAUAUGAAGAACAUGUGGGACUGGAACUACGAGACGGACAUGUACCCAGGAGUGGACGUACGAACCUGAGUAAUGUAGCCCGGUAAGUGAAGUAAAAAGGCACAAAUGGUAUGAACAUGCAUGGCAUAUAGGGUGUGUUUCGUUAUGUUCUGGUCUCAGCAUAGUUGUUCCCUCUUCAUGCAUGCUCAACUCAACACCCCUCUUCAUGCAUGCUCAACUCAACACCCCUCUUCAUGCAUGCUUCUAGUGUAUUUGUACUAAACUAGUGUGGACUCAUGCACCCUCCAUACACUCUACCAAACACCCAAAAGUGGGUCGAGAAGGGAACUAUUGGGCGGCAUUUGUCUCUUACUAUGUACUUCCACUAAAUGUUGUAUGUGCAAUGCACAGUGAUGUUAUGGAGUACGUGCCUAAGUACUCUACUACUACUAUAUUAGUUGGAGGCACAUAUUAACUUUUAUAUUUGUUUAUGUGUAUGCCCCGAGACCUUCCUACUAGACGUGUCUUUCUCUACAGGUCGCACUUUGUAUCGUUCAUUCCACUAAGUACUACUACGUGGGGUGAGUGUAUGCGCGUGUAUAUGAGCGCAUGUGUCUAUAGUGAUGCUCAAAAAAAAGUACUACUACGUGUGGUCUCCGACCCAGAAGUGGAAGAAGUGGAGAUGCUCUACCAUGCUAUUUUUUUACGCUGGGCUCUACCAUGUUGUUCAUGUCCCACUCCUUUCGCUGACGUGUGGGACAUCCAGCACGUGCCAUGUUUGGCACCCUUCAUCGUAAGAGUUGAAACGCUAGCAUUCAUCAGAAAUAAAAAAUAAUUAUAAAUCAACAGUGAUACUAUUUUUUACGAACCAAUCAGCAGUGAUACUAUACCACGUGGUUUCCUUGCUCCUCGAUAUCGAAAAGAAUACUCCCGUUCGCCAACAUGUGGGACGUCGACCAUCCUGGUCCACUUGCCAUGCACGCAGAACUCCAAGGGAGAGUCACUCAGGUCGUCGCGCCGCAGUAACAAUGACUAAUGAGCCGUCAAAUCAUAGGCCCACUUCCCACUUUGAAGUUGCUCGGACGAAGGAACCAUCAUGACUUUGUUGAAUUCCGCUUCUUGAAGAAAACUACUGUACCAGCAGUACUGCUAGCUACAGUAGUUACUCCAACAGAGGCCUCCUUUAGUUCAUAGGAUAGGAAUUUUAUAGGAAUAUGAAAAUCAUAGGAAGUGAGAUGACAUGCAUCUCAAUUCCUAUAGAGAAAGAGAUGCCAUUUGAUGCAUAGGAUAGGAAUUUUUCCAUUUAGUCUAGGCUAAUGUACUGGUAAUUUGCUCUAAAAACUACAGUAGUAACUAGUAGUACCGGUACAUGCUCGUACUCAGACAUACACACACACACUAACUACUACUACUACUACUACUUCUCACAUGCUGGCCAAACGCCGUCGUUCUCCUUCCCGGCUUUGUUGGUGACACCCCACCAUGCUUGGAUCUUCGCCGACCUCUCCGCAGAAGCGCGUGCGUCCUUUUCUUUCUUGCGUCGACGGGCCUCUCUUUUCUUGAGUGCUUUCUGACUUUUCCACUCCCUCUGUGCGGCUUUGGCCGCCUCUUGCUCUAUCGCCCAUUCGGCCUUGGCAUCUUCAAAUUCCUCCCACAUAGUUGUGAGGUCGCGAGCGGCGAUGAACUCGGCAUGGCGGGAUGCCAUCGCUUCCCUACCAUUUUGUGUGUGGUCAUGGGUGGCGAGGAACUCGGCGCGGCGGGAUGCCAUCGCUGCCUUACCGGUUAGUGUGUGGUACGGUGGCAUGAACGACGCUUGGUGAGAGCUCUGGGGUGGAGUGGCCGGACAACCAUAUAGUGCAUUGGUUUGUCAAGAGCUCAAGGACAGAAGACGAAGAAAAUUUGGAUUGCCCUUCAAUCCUGGUCAUUUAUUACCGAGUAAAAUGCAUUGGCGGUCAUCGAACUUGUCUCGAUAACUCACUUUGAUCAUUGUAUACGAGAUAUGGUGAUUAUACGGUCACUGACUCAGUGUAUAGCUUCGUAUUUGUCUGGUUGAACAGGCAAACAGUCCGCAUGCGCCUCAGCAGCUCGUGUUCUUUAUCUAUCUACGCGGGCCUACCUGUCAAUGGAGAAAGAAAUAUUGUAAAAACCAAAAUUAUGCGUAUGUGAGGAAUCAAACCACGGACUCGUCGCUGCAACGCAUCCUCGUCAGCCAAAUGAAAAUGAAAUACUUCGCGUCAGACACUCACGCACACGCUAUAAAAGCAUGCUAAUGCAUGCACGUCGCCCUCUAAAUCAAAGUCCUGCUCAUGGCGCAAUGCAAACGGUGAUCCCAUCACCUGCGCGCCCCGAUGGUGCCUAACAUUAUUGUUUAGACGUUUGAUGGAGGCCUAUGCGAACGCCGAGCAUGUAUUCACCUGGCUCAACACCAACGGUCAUACUCGAACCGCCUUGCUCAUGUAUAUCGUCCAUCACAACAACAAUCUAUAAAACAGUCUAGCUAGAUAGGGUACUAUGGUAGUAUGGUACGGAGUAUGUACUAUCGUGAGUGACUGGUCUUAGUGCCCCUGCACACCGAAACCCUUCCAUCGCUAGUGCGCGCUUCCCGCCUGAAAUGGCCACCAUCUCUCCAAAAUGUCAAUGCCGCAUUCAUCGGACUUAACUGCAGGUGCAAUUGGUGUGUCACUAAAGUGCGGUCCAGAUGCCCGUUGGGCCCACAUGUCAAUAACCCAACGCAUCUGCAGUUAAGUCACUAAAGCAGCGUCCGCAUUCACGCCCGACGAACCUACUCCGGCGCCAGUUGGCCAUCCGUCUGCCGCGGCUCAUUGCCAUUCGCCCGCUAUAUUAACUUGAGCCCCAGCUCCCAGCCAUAGCCAAAGACCCACACUUAUUCUCCUCUGGUCCCUUCCUUCUGUCGGCACCGCUCCAACCAUGGCCUCCUGGCACUCCGAAGCUCUCUUGGACGUACUGUCGUAAGAGCAGAUGAGGGACAUCGGCGGCUCCACUCCGGGCGCGCUCCAAAGCUCUCUUCGACAUACUGUGGCAGGAGCAAAUGAAGGAGAUCGCCGGCACCCCCACGGCCGCCCUCCGCCGCCACGACCACGAAGCCGGCGCGCGUGCACGGGCGCAGCCGGCAGCGAGGAAGAGUAGUACACGGUAGGUCACCGCUGCUCUGGUCCCGGGAAGGCCACCGCUACUCCACUCAGUCAACGCCAAGCUUGGUGGGGUAAACAUCAGUGGCCGAUUAGCGGCUUGACGGUGAUGUGGAGGCGGAAAUCUUCAGAACCUUGUGCUCCGGAGGAGGAGGUUAUCAAGGCGGAUGAGGAGGAGGCAAAGUCAAUGUCCGGCUUUCUCGGGUUCAUGGUCGGGUUCAAUGGCCGACGAUCGUUUAGAUUAGGUUUACAGUAGGUUUUAGUACAGUUUGUGCGAAAUAUGUAAUGAAUUUCGUCCAUUUUAUAGGAAAAGUUUUCGAAAUGUAAUGAAUUUCAUCCGGUUAAUUUGAAAUUUGCUUUGUUUGCAUGAAUUUCGUCCGGUUAGUUCAUAUAGUUGUCGAAAGGUAUGCAGGCAGCAUCGGAUGGCAUCCAUCAAUGUCCUCGGACAGAUGCCGGUGUAAAUUUCUGGGCCAGCGCUGGAGAUGCCCUAACGAUCAUGCUAUAAUCGCUAACAGUCCUCCAUUAUUUGGCAAGGAACAGUUAUCCCUCGAUCAAAAUCAGAUCCAUGGUGUUUCGCACUCCUCCCGCAUAAGAGUGUAAACUCUUGUUACAUAAAAAUGGAUCAAGUGGACGGCACUGUAGCACGUCAUAUCACUCGAACUAGUCCGCCUAACGAGCGGGAAAGCGCCGCCCUCGUCAUUUUAUCGAUCGAUCGCGCGAAAAUGUUACGCUUCGCAAGUUCUAAAGGAAAAGGCGGCACACUGACAACUCGUACGCGUCGCACCCCCAACAGUCCGACUCGCACGCCGCUCACCAGAGGGGACACGUGUUGUCUUGCAAUUUCACUGACAUGUGGGACUAUAAUUAAAUAAACCGUCGAUAGCCAAAAUCUAAUCGCUCGGCGGGUGUCGGCUGAGAAGAGAGAAACGGGGGAGCGAGAAGAGAUCGCCCGCCCUCCACGCACGGACUCCAAGAAAUAUAUGGUGAUAAUGUGAGGUGGGCCAUGCUGGUGUCCGGACCGCUUCUGGAUCCUGCUCUGACCGCCCUGGCCCCUCAAGACGCCAGCUGCCCGUCGCUUGCAUAGCAAGUAGUCCCCGCUUAUGUGGAGGAGAGAGAGGCAUUGACAAAGUCAAGGAGUAACAGUGGAGACAAUAGCUUUCAUAAAAAAAUAAACAAUGAAUACUCGUUGCUCGUCCUCUAUAAAGGAAAGAACACUUUUAUUCGCCGACAUGUGGGAUGUCGACCAUCCUAGUCCACCUGCCAUGCACAAAAUUAUCCUGGUCUACCCCGGUCGUAUCACAGGCCCAACCUUUCCCGCUGUAAGUUGUUCGGAUGAAGGAACCAUCAUGACUUCGUUGAAUUCCGCUUCUUCAAGAAAACUUAUUGUACCCGCAAUACUGUUACCACACGCGAAGACUGGACGGCACUGUACAACGUCAUAUCACUGAAACCCACUAGGCCAAACUAGCCCGCCUUGGUCAUCUAUUUUGGAAUGGAGGUAGUACGUCUCUACACUGCUAUGAUUUGGUGUUGCACGUUCUCUAUACUUUUGCUACGAUUUUCCUACCCUAUGAACCAAAUGAGGCCUGAAUGUAUCCGUGUCGACUAUUGUCUGAUCGAUCACUAGGCCUACAAUUUUAGGAGCUAGGGCUAUUGGUCGAUCGACGAGGGAUAAGUAUAAGCGUACCACGAGCUCAUCAACCCCAACGUUUCUCUUCAGUGAGUGUUUUGCAAGUACUAUAGCUCGCACAGUAGCUAGACUACUAACACCAGGAAUUAUCAAACAAGCCCUGCUGAUAUGAUAAACAGUUCAAACUUACAUCUAAACAUGCCAUAUAUUACAUCAAAAGCUGGUGAGGAUACAUCUGUGUCCAUAACUCGGAGAGGGUUCGCAUGAUUAACUAUCAAACAAAAGUAGCAAGAUCCACCCACACAAGACAGUGUACUAGCCCUAAGAUGGUUUGAUAACAUGCAUCGUUCUGGUAAUUAAACACAGGGAAAUACAAACUACCCUGAAGGAUUAGCGCGACCAACUAUUUCUUGUCAUCGAUCUCUCGGGCGAAGACCACAGCACGGACAGCGGCAUGGGAAUCUAUUUCUGGGGUGAUGUCCACAGGACUGACCGCGACAUCAAAAUCGAUCUCUGGCGCGAUGUCCACAUGAUGGACAGCGGCAUCGGAAUCGAUCUCCGGGGCGAUGCCAACAGGACGGGCCACGACAUCGAAAUCAUCAAGGACGUCCACCGGCACCUACAAAACCCUAACAUAUUAGCAAGCACAUUGCAAAUAAUCAAAAACCACAACUAUGGUAAUAAGCCAUUAUUUUUUACCUUGUGCAGCUCACCGGGGGAUCUCAUCCCUCCGGGGGCCAUCUCCUAGUCCUCGAUGGGGGCCAUCACCUUGCCAGGGGAAUACUGCUUCUCAACGACGACUAUCUCCUCAAACUCGGUCUUGAGCCUCACAUAGGUGGCAAUCAGAGUUCCCGGGGUAGGCACAGUGGGGCCCUUACUAUUCUUCCAACUUUCUUUGAGGAGUUCGUCUGCCAACAUCGUCAACUCUUUGGCCAAUGCUUGUUUCUUGGAGUUCUUCGUCUCCAUGGGUUGUCCCGCCAACAUGGUCAACUCAUUGGUCGGUGCUCGCUUCCUGGAGAUCGCUAUCUCCAGUGGGUUGUCCGCCGACAACUCUUUGCCUAGGGCUCCAGGAUCCAUCAAUGAACUGACAAACAAAAAGCAAUCGAAAGGAAACCACAGUCUCAAUGAAAACGGGAAAAGAAUAGGAUGUGAGAAUCGGUCGGUGCUUCGCAAAAAUAAGAUUCUUGGAAUGAAAAUAUAGCAGCAUAACUUAUUCGCCCACCUUUCCUUCGUCGGUACAGAAGAAAAAUGGCAGAAGUGAGUAGCCUAGAGUGAGGUUUUCUUCAAGAAAGGGAAGAAAGGGCUUGAACGAGCGUUUCAGUGAAAUGAUGGUUGCUUCGUCCAGUCCAACUUGGAGGCCACCUUACAACUGCUGGUAAAGGUGUGGGUUUUGUGAUAUGACGGGUCAUGAUGGCCACACCGGGGUGAUAGGUGAGUCUCUACUGUAGCACCUCGCUGUUAUUUGGUGGAUGGCAAGCGGGCCCGGAUGCUUUGAAAUGUCCCGCAUGUAGAUAGAGCGGCUAGUCAUAUAUAGGAGUGCUCAAUAUUGUGCACCGCGACCAAGGCGAAGAGGAAAAGGAGAGAACUACGUAAUUAAUGCAUUAGUUUAAUUAGGGUAGUUUCGUAAAGUAGUAUGAGAUACAUUCCUCCAAUCGCAAAAUGCCUUGGUUCAUGAGAUUUGAGAUUUGAGCCCUAUAAGCCAGAAGGGAGGGAGUACUGCACGGCUGCACGCGGUGUAGUCUAGUCACUUGUUGAAAUCUCUAGAAAGGCAAAUACUCCUUUCCGGUUUACAGGGCUAUACUACUCCCUCCGUCUAGGUGUGUAAGUCAUCUUAAGAAAACCAAAUACUCCCAAAACACUUAGGCGUGGUGCAUUAACUUCUACCUUGUUUCUUGUUUCUUGACAUAUCAACCAAUAAGAGAUGAUAAGUGUGCAUGCUUUAAUGACUUGCAAUGGCUAGUUCAUUGCAAGCAAUGCUAUUAAUUAGCAAAUAAACAUUGGUGACCCCAGGAGGAAACGGUGCUAAGCGCGUGGACCUAUGCAAAAUGAGUAUCAACCAAUGGAUGAUGGAGUUUAAUUGUUAAACAAUAGCAAUUUUGUCUCAUGCAAGAGCCUGGCUACUAUAUGCGUGCUACAAGGCACCGCACCACGCGAGUGUUCGCAACUGCCACGUUCGGGUUGCGCUUGGCUCUUCACCUCUUCGAGAAGAUGUACAAUGAUGUUACUCCAACUUCUACAGUAUCGAAUCCACUGAUGCAUGUCCGUCCACCUCGUUCGGGAGGGAUAGCGUGUAGCGAAAGCUUCUACUUACUGCUCCUGCCUUUGCGUCUAUGACAUGUGGGCCCAAUAGGUGGUUGGCCCUCCUGUCAUGCAGCCAAAGGCAGGUGCAGUUAAGGCACCGGAGCUCAGUCCGCGUGGGAGAGGGCGUUUUAGUAAUCAAAUUUCUCGGUCUUGUACGAGUUGACGUGACACAUCAAAGCACUGCACUCGAUAUAAGUCUUUUUACACAUUUCAAAUGGACUACUUCGUAUGUAGACAUAUUCUGCUUCGUAUGUAGUCACUUGUUGCAAUCUCUAAAAAGACUUAUAUUUGGAAAAGGAGGGAGUACAACGCAUGCAUGCAUGCCGUGACUUUCCUUUUGAUACUUGCAUGUGUUGAUUUGAUGCACCUUGCCAAAGUUUAACUAUAAAUUUAACUAACCAAAUAUGCAUGCAUGUCACAAAAAAUUACGGGGCUAUUUGGACUGUGACUAUGUUUAUCUUAUGUUGCCACAUUAUUUUUCCCACACUUGCCACACUUGCCUAACCUGAGUUGCUCAAAUUGUUAGACACACUUUGGCUCCUAAGGGAAUCUUGCCACAAUUUUUGUGUCUAUGACAUGUGGAGUAGAAAAUAUAAAUAAUAAUGCAUGUUGGGGCAACCCACGUUUCCGCUAAUUUUAGCUGUGGGCUUGUUCACAAUUUUUACGAGGGGGUGGUUGUUCAUUUAAUGGAGGGACUUGUAGUACCAGACUUGAACGAUACAAAGUGCGACCUGGCACACCGUAACACCACUUGGAACAAGCGGGCAGCUAUCUCAAAAAACAAUCAACAACUAAAAAACCCGCGACCUGGCAUGUAGUAGUACACAAUUUUAAACGAUUGUUUUGAUGGAGUGAAAAAGGAAAAACUACCCCACUACGUAUAUAUAGGCGGAGCCUCCGCGCUUGCUUACUAGGGUUGCUCUAUUCACACACUCUCUGUAACAUCCCAAAUUUUCAAUUUGGAAUGUUAUACUUAGAUCAUCAUUACAUAGCAUAUUUUGUUGCAUUGUUGGCUCGAUCCUAGAAAUUCUACGCAACUCAAGGACCCACGGAGAGAGUUGGGGAUUUUGUUAUUUUCAUAUUUGAGUUUUCUCAAAUUUUGUAAAUAGGAUCAUUUGAUUUUAUUUAUUUUAUCUUCAAUUAUUUCUACUACCAAAAUUUCAGAGAGGGAAUAAAAUGACUUUCCCAAAAUAAAGAAAUAAUGAAGAUUUAAUAAAAAAAUCAAAUAAGAUUUAUUUUGGAGCUUUUCGCCUUUUUAUUUGAAUUUAGGAAAAAUACGCGUUUAUCAAAAUUGCAUUUAGGCCCCAAAUAAAUGUUCAUCUUGUCCGGCUUGAUUUUAGAAGCCGGGGAAAUUUUAUUUCGGGAUUUUUGGAGUCUGUUUAGUAUUUCUUUCGUUUGAUUUUCUGCGCGUAAUUAUUUAAAAAAACGUGAACCGACCUUGGGUCGUGCCCGAGCGGGACUCAGCCCAGGGGCGCCUUUAAAUAGCCGCCGCCCCAAGCCCCAGGCCCUUCAGCCGCCGCCGCCCAAGCCCACCUGCGCCCCGCCGCCGGCCCACACCCCACCCCAAACCCUAACCCUAGAUCCGCGCCGCCGCCGCCAGAUCCGCCGCCGCCGCCGCUCGCCGCCCGCCGCCGCCGACCCCGUCGCCGAGGUUCGCCGCCACCUCAUGUUGCGUGCCGCCGUUUUUUUAAACCGAACGGUUUUCUUCGGUUUUUUCGAUUUAUUUUAUUCGAUCGAUUUUUUUUGGUUCGGUUAAAUAGCGAGUGUUCGCUCGUUCGUUCGCUUUAACGAACGUGUUCGUCAGAUUAGGUUAGUUAACGAACGUUUGUUCGUUAACCUAUUCAUCGUUUUUCUUAUUCUCGGAUUUAAUCCGCGAUUUUUUUGAUCGCGAUUCCUGAUCCGAUUUUCGUUUUAGUAUAACUUUUCGCUCAUUUAUCGGAAUCAGGCGAUUCAAGCGCCUGGAGUUUCGUCUCGAAACCCUCUUUCCGAAUAAUCAACUUAAACAAGUUUUUUCUUCUGUAAGAAUUGACUUAGAUCCAGAUUAGUAAAACGAAGCUAUUUUCUUUCGCCGUUUGAUUUCCGUUGCUUUGUUUGAUUUGAUUCUUUUUGCAAACCGGAGUUCUUAAGUUGAACUUUCUGGUUAGAUCUUUUAUUCGAGUUUUACCUGUGCAUUAGAUGAGUACUUAAUGUAUGCUUGUUUGUUUCUAUGUGAUAGAAUACCCGGAGUGCGCCGCCUGUUACUUCGAGUCUCUAGGUUUCGCGGAUUAUCAGCAAGGCAAGUAACACUUCGAUCAUACUUUUUCUCAUACCCAGUUUUUAUGCAUUAGAUCAAUCCCAAAACAUUGCAUGAUUAGGAUCUAAUUAAAUUGUGGGUUAUGGGAAGUAGUUGAGGUAGUGCCUAUUACCUGUUUUAUUUUCAAACCCCUGGGAGUUACUUCUACGUUUGCUUAUUAUGCCAUGCUAUGCUAGUAGACGUGGAUUGGGUGAGUGUAUCCAUGACAGAUGUGAGUUUGUUAAUUAAUGGUUUAUUUAAGGUGGCAACUUAAACACACAUCUGGGUGGAUUGAGGCACCUGGUUUCCAGGACUUGCCUGUUUUUCUUCGGACCACCACCCAGGCUCAAAUGGAUCAUGAGAUUAUUCAAACUAGAAACUUCUGUGUGCAGCCACAUGCUAUUAUGGGCUCUAGCAUAGUUGACUAAGUCGUGCAAACUCUUAGAGGGUGGACUAGCAGAUGUAGGGGAUGUAGGUUGGUACGGUCUACCCUUUACGUAAGGUGCGAGCGCUUCUGAAAGACUAUGUCUCGGUCAUCCAUUUCUCAAACACCAUGUAGUGCGAGAAACCAAACGGAGGCGAUCGAGUCAUGUGGGGAAAAGUGUGCAAACCUCUGCAGAGUGUAACAAACUAAUCAUGGUUAGCUGUGUCCCCGGUUAUGGACAUCUUGAGUAUCUAGUACUUGGAUAUCAUAUGAAUCUCAUCAUUGUUACUUCUAAUUAAUAUUGUUGGGAUAUUAAUGAGUACUUUUAAUUGGGAUUGAGAAUGCUGUCAACCAUUCUCAGUGUUUAACAACCACCAUGAUAGUUAAAUCAAUUUAUUCCUUUGUAAUAGGGAAAAAUUGGCUUUACGCAAAACUGUAACCAUAGAGCUUUUCCACCAGCCAAAUAUGCAUGUAGUAUAGCUUAUUCCAUCAUGUUUCCUCUGUGUGUUACAUUGCCAGCAUAUUCCAUGUGCUGACCCAUUUUCGGGCUGCAAUGUUUCAUGUUGCAGACUUUUCAGACGAUGAGUAAGGUGCUUAGGUCGUGGUUCUAUACUCAGUGAUGCCGUUGGAGUUGAUGGACUCGCUUAUUCUUCCAAGCCUUCCGCUGUUAUUGUAUUUAGGUGGCCUUAAGCCAUACUUAUUUCAAUAAGUUCUCUCUUGAGACAUUCGAUGUAAUAAGUGUGUGAUUGCUACUCUGUUAUAAAUCCUCCGAGUACUGUGUGGUGUCAGCAUUACUAAUCCAGGGAUGACACUGAGCAUAGAGAUCAGACUGUUUGAGGUCUGGUCGCUACAAAGGUGGUAUCAGAGCACACGCUGACUGUAGGACACGGCCACUAAGCUAAAGCCCUAGAUCACUACUCUUUCUUCUCAUUUCUGACUCCUCAUCUUUUCUAUUCUUUAGGAUGGCGGAUGCAAGGAUCAAGUUCACACAACCGGAUGAAAACUCACCUUUUGGAUAUCACUUGAAGGAAGUCACUAGAUACCUGAACAUAGGAGUACCAAGCUUCACCGGGACCUUCAACACCACUUUACCCGAAGAGGAGCGUUGGAUGAUUCAAGUCUACAUUCCAGGAAGUACAUUUGCACCAGUCACGGAGCCCAUAGAGUUUUCUUUUGAUACACCAACAUGGGGCCUAGGAAAGAGCAUGGCAGCUCACAUCGCCAUGGGAAGAAUUGGAGAAGUUUUCCACAACGACCUCAAGAAUACUAUCUAUCAGAUUUGUGGGCGCCGAGAUGAGCAUUGGGAGAUGAUCAACACCAGGAAGGACCGCUCAAUUGUAGCUUAUAUCCAGGAAUUAAACCAACACAUCCGACGCCAGGAGAAUCAGAUGUGCGCAGAUAUGGAAUAUCUGUAGAAGGCUAUGACUAAGAUCAAGGAGCUAGAAGAGGAACUCAAGGCUACAUGUAAAGACUAUAUGGAAGAAAUCGUCGCUCUAGUAAGACAGAACGGUGACCUUAAGGAGAAGAUUGGAGUAUUCAUGGGAGGUUCAGCACCCAGAGGAGAAGAGGAUGAACCUACUUAUCCAGAUAAUUAUAUCAUCAUCGACGACACCGAGUCGGAUCCCGACGAUAGUGAUGAUGACUAUGUUGAUGAAGCUAGAGCAGAUAUCAUGGAAUCUUCAUCGGAGCAGUUUUUCUAGUUGACCACCAUAACAUUAGUAGAAAUUUCCACCAUUUAAUUAGUUUUAGUCCAAGCACUUUUGUAACGAUAGUUAGACUGUUGUAUGCCCUUGUUUGAAUUGAUUGGAGUGAUAUUGUGUGCUUUUGUAUCAUGUGCAUAUGGGUAGUGUUAUCUCACUAGACCUCAUUCUAUUCUUAACUCUCCUCUCCUCUUUAAAACCCUCAGAUGCCUCCGAGACGCGACCCUGAAUUUGUUUUCCCGCCAGAGAUCACUCAGUUGAUUCAGCAGCAGAAUGCCUUGAUUCAAACAUUGGUACAGAAGCAAGGCAACAACAACAACAACCCACCACCACCACCACCUGUUGACCAUCUGACACGUUUCUUAAGGCUGAAUCCGUCGGUGUUUUCCAGUAGCACCGAGCUGAUAGUAGCAGAUGAUUGGGUCCGUAAGAUAGGGAGGGAAUUGACCACUGCAGGAUGUACAGAUGGAGAGAAGGUGAAGUUUGCCGCACAUCAGCUUGACGGACCCGCACCAACAUGGUGGGAGAAUUUUACAGCCACUUACCCUGUAGACAUUGUCACAUGGAAUCAGUUUUAGCAAGCUUUCCGUACUGCCCAUGUUUCAGCAGGAGCUAUGGCCAUGAAGAAGUGUGAGUUUUGCAACUUACGCCAAGGAGGACGGACAGUUGGCCAGUAUGUGGAUGAUUUCAGUAAGCUAGCACGUUAUGCCCCAGAUGACGUUGCUACGGAUGCAGCUAAGCAGGAGAAGUUUCUAGAAGGACUGAAUGAUGAGCUGAGCAUGCAGUUGAUGGUAGCCACAUUCAAUAACUACCAGGAGUUAGUAGAUCGUGCUCUUAUGAUUGAGGGAAAGCAGCAGCAGAUUCAAAAUCGUAAGAGGAAGUAUGGACAGGGGAAGCACAAUUCUGGAGCUCAGCAGAAGCUACGCUUUACCCCGAAGUCAGGAGGACAGUUUCAGCAUACUCACAGAGGAGGCAGCUCACACAAUCAUAAUGGCACAAAGAAUGGAAACGGGAAUGGAGGAAGCAAUGGACAAAACCGCACCAACCCGUCAACACCAUCCAAGGUAGACCUGAGCCAUAUCACUUGUUAUAAGUGUCGUAAGACUGGGCAUUAUGCAAAUGAUUGCCCAGAAGCCCAAAAUGGUAAUGGCAAUGGAAGCUCAGGAAAGAAGCCAAACCCUUUCAACAGGGGACAAGUGAACCACGUUACCGUGGAGGAGGUUGAAGCCCAGCCAGACACAGUAAUAGGUAAGUUUUUGGUUAAGGCAUUUACUGCGGUUGUUCUUUUUGAUACUGGUGCAUCGCAUUCAUACAUAUCAAGGGGAUUUCUGGAUAAAUAUAAACUACCAACCCAAGCCCUUAGGUCACCGAUGCUAGUAACCUCACCCGGAGCAGAGUAUAUGGCUAGUAUAUGGUGUGAUCGACUGCCAUUAAGGAUUGGACACCAUGCAUUUCCCUCGGACCUAAUAGUUCUGGAAUCGCAAGGUUUGGAUGUGAUAUUAGGCAUGGAUUGGUUAUCAAAGUAUGGAGGGAAUAUAUAUUGCGCCAGUAAGUCGAUUUUGCUUACCAGCCCUGAAGGAAGGAGAAUCAAGUAUGUAUCACGGCAUGAGCCGAGAAGAGCACAUGUAAAUUCCUUAUCAGGAGUUGUGCAGGAGGAAGUACCAGUGGUAAGGGAUUUCCCCGAUGUAUUUCCAGAAGAGUUGCCAGGCAUGCCACCGGAUAGAGACAUUGAGUUCUUAAUUGAACUACUGCCAGGCACUGGGCCGAUAUCCAAGAGACCGUACAGGAUGCCAACCCAAGAUUUGGAGGAAAUUAAGAAGCAGAUUAAGGAGUUGUUGGACAAAGGUUUUAUUCGCCCAAGUUCUUCGCCUUGGGGAUCGCCAGUACUCCUAGUGGAGAAGAAGGAUGGAUCAUUAAGAAUGGUUGUGGAUUAUUGCGGAUUGAAUGAAGUAACAAUCAAGAACAAGUACCCACUAUCGAUGAUCAACGAUCUUUUUGAUCGGUUGCAAGGAUCUAAGGUGUUUUCCAAGAUCGAUUUGUGAUCAGGGUACCAUCAGUUGAAGAUUCGAGAGCAGGAUAUACCUAAGACGGCUUUUACCACCAGGUACGGGCUGUAUGAGUAUACCGUUAUGUCAUUUGGUCUGACUAACGCCCCAGCCUAUUUUAUGAACAUGAUGAACAAGGUAUUUAUGGAGUUUUUGGAUAAGUUCGUCGUGGUGUUCAUUGAUGAUAUUUUGGUUUACUCGAAGAAUGAAGAGGAACAUAAGGAGCACCUGCGUUUGGUACUCGAGAAGCUCAGAGAACAUCAGCUAUAUGCCAAGUUCAGCAAGUGUGAGUUUUGGCUGAAGGAAGUUGGAUUUCUCGGACAUGUUAUAUCCGGAGAAGGUAUAGCAGUAGACCCCACUAAAGUUGCCACUGUGACAAACUGGGAAGCACCAACAACAGUUGGAGAGAUUAGGAGUUUCCUUGGACUCGCAGGAUACUACCGGAGAUUUAUUGAAAAUUUCUUGAAGAUUGCGAAGCCUAUGACAGAAUUGUUGAAGAAGGACACCAAGUUCAUUUGGACUGAGGAGUGUGAGGCUAGUUUCCAAGAAUUGAAGAAACGUUUGGUUACCUCAUCGGUAUUAAUUCUGCCAGAUCAGACCAAGGAUUAUGAAGUGUAUUGCGAUGCUUCACGUCGAGGACUUGGAGCAGUGCUUAUGCAGGAGGGAAGAGUUGUUUCGUAUGCUUCACGACAGCUUAAGCCUCAUGAGAUGAAUUAUGCUACUCAUGAUUUGGAGUUAGCAGCCGUAGUGCACGCUUUGAAAACGUGGAGACAUUUUCUCAUUGGGAAUCAUUGUGAGGUGUACACGGAUCACAAGAGUUUGAAGUACAUUUUCACGCAAAAGGAAUUAAACCUCAGACAGAGGAGAUGGUUGGAACUUAUUAAAGAUUAUGAUAUGAGGUUGCAUUAUCAUCCCGGAAAGGCUAACGUUGUAGCAGACGCAUUGAGCCGCAAGAGCCAUGUCAACACCCUAAUGAUCGGAGGUUUAGCAAAAGAAUUAGCAAAGGAAUUCCGAGAGCUAUGUUUGGAUAUAGUUCCGAGAGGCUUUGUAGCAGCAUUGGAGAUUCAGUCUACUUUGAUGGAUAAAAUCAGAGAAGCUCAAAAGACAGAUAAGGAAGUUGCUUCCAUUAAGGAAAGGAUGAGCAAGAGAAAAGCUAAAGGAUUUCGUGAGGAUGAGCAUGAUACCUUAUGGUUUGAGGACCGCGUUUACGUGCCAAGUGAUCUGAAGAUUCGGAAGUUGAUUUUGCAAGAGGCACAUGAUUCACCAUAUUCGAUUCACCCAGGAAAUACCAAGAUGUAUUUAGAUUUGAAGGAAACUUUCUGGUGGACCGGAAUGAAGAAGGAUAUUGCAGAGUAUGUAGCAGUUUGUGAUGUAUGUCAGAGGGUGAAGGAAGAACAUCAGAAGCCAGCAGGAUUGUUACAGCCAUUGCCUAUACCCGAAUGGAAGUGGGAUAAAUUAGGUAUGGAUUUCAUCACGGGAUUGCUCAGGACCCGUUCAGGCUAUGACUCGAUUUGGGUUGUAGUCGAUCGUUUGAUGAAGGUAGCUCAUUUCAUUCCAGUAAAGACCACCUACAGCAGUGCCAAAUUGGCUAAGAUAUACAUGACAAGGAUUGUAUGUUUGCAUGGAGUUCCAAGGAGUAUCGUAUCAGAUAGAGGAACCCAAUUCACCUCAAAGUGCUGGAAACAGUUGCACGAAACAUUGGGAACUAGGCUUGAGUUUAGCACAGCUUUCCACCCACAGACAGAUGGACAGACCGAGAGAGUCAAUCAGAUUUUGGAGGAUAUGCUUAGAGCUUGUGCCUUGGAUUAUGGAUCAAGUUGGGAUGACAACUUGCCAUAUGCGGAGUUUUCUUACAACAACAGUUAUCAAUCCAGUUUGAAAAUGGCCCCUUUCGAAGCCUUGUACGGAAGGAGGUGCAGAACCCCGUUGUUGUGGGAUGAAGUUGGAGACCGCCAGUUGUUUGGACCAGAUUUAAUUAAGGAGUCUGAGCAGAAAGUAAAGUUGAUUCGCGAUAGGCUCAAGGUAGCCCAGUCAAGGCAGAAGAGCUAUGCAGAUUUAAAACACAAGGAGACAUAAUAUGAAGUCGGAGACAGAGUUUAUCUUCGAGUAUCUCCGCUUCGAGGAGUUAAGCGUUUUGGAGUUAAAGGAAAGUUAGCGCCACGUUUUGUGGGACCAUACAAAGUUUUGGAACGCAUGGGAGAAGUAGCGUACAAGUUGGAAUUACCCGAGGGAUUGUCAGGUGUUCAUGAUGUGUUCCAUGUUUCUCAGUUGAAGAAGUGUCACGCAGAGAUGGCCGAUAUACCACUGAGAGAUACAGUGCCACUUGAAGCAAUUCAGUUGAAUGAUGAUUUGACCUAUGAAGAGAAACCAGUUAAGAUUCUGGAAUAUGCCAGCCGAGUUACCCGCAGUAAGGUUAUCAAGUUUUGCAAAGUUCAGUGGAGCCACAACACCAAGGAAGAAGCCGUCUGGGAGCGGGAGGAAGAUCUGCUCAUGGCCCGCCCUCACCUAUUUGCUAGCUAACCCGAAUCUCGAGGGCGAGAUUCAUCUUAAGGGGGGUAGGUUUGUAACAUCCCAAAUUUUCAAUUUGGAAUGUUAUACUUAGAUCAUCAUUGCAUAGCAUAUUUUGUUGCAUUGUUGGCUCGAUCCUAGAAAUUCUACGCAACUCAAGGACCCACGGAGAGAGUUGGGGAUUUCCUUAUUUUCAUAUUUGAGUUUUCUCAAAUUUUGAAAAUAGGAUCAUUUGAUUUUAUUUAUUUUAGCUUCAAUUAUUUCUACUACCAAAAUUUCAGAGAGGGAAUAAAAUGACAUUCCCAAAAUAAAGAAAUAAUGAAGAUUUAAUAAAAAAAUCAAAUAAGAUUUAUUUUGGAGUUUUUCGCCUUUUUAUCUGAAUUUAGGAAAAAUGCGCGUUUUUCAAAAUUGCAUUUAGGCCCCAAAUAAAUGUUCAUCUUGUCCGCCUUGAUUUUAGAAGCCGGGGAAAAUUUAUUUCGGGAUUUUUGGAGUCCGUUUAGUAUUUCUUUCGUUUGAUUUUCUGCACGUAAUUAUUUAAAAAAAACGCGAACCGACCUUGGGCCGUGCCCGAGCGGGACUCCGCCCGGGGGCGCAUUUAAAUAGCUACCGCCCCGAGCCCCAGGCCCGUCAGCCGCCGCCGCCCGAGCCCACCCGCGCCCCGCCGCCGGCCCACACCCCGCCCCAAACCCUAACCCUAGAUCCGCGCCGCCGCCGCCAGAUCCGCCGCCGCCGCCGCUUGCCGCNNNNNNNNNNNNNNNNNNNNNNNNNNNNNNNNNNNNNNNNNNNNNNNNNNNNNNNNNNNNNNNNNNNNNNNNNNNNNNNNNNNNNNNNNNNNNNNNNNNNNNNNNNNNNNNNNNNNNNNNNNNNNNNNNNNNNNNNNNNNNNNNNNNNNNNNNNNNNNNNNNNNNNNNNNNNNNNNNNNNNNNNNNNNNNNNNNNNNNNNNNNNNNNNNNNNNNNNNNNNNNNNNNNNNNNNNNNNNNNNNNNNNNNNNNNNNNNNNNNNNNNNNNNNNNNNNNNNNNNNNNNNNNNNNNNNNNNNNNNNNNNNNNNNNNNNNNNNNNNNNNNNNNNNNNNNNNNNNNNNNNNNNNNNNNNNNNNNNNNNNNNNNNNNNNNNNNNNNNNNNNNNNNNNNNNNNNNNNNNNNNNNNNNNNNNNCGGAGCCGCCGCCGGACCCCGCCGCCGCCGCCGCCGACCCCGUCGCCGAGGUUCGCCGCCGCCUCGUGUUGCAUGCCACCGUUUUUUUAAAACAGAACGGUUUUCUUCGGGUUUUUUCGGUUCGGUUAAAUAGCGACCGUUCGCUCGUUCGUUCGCUUUAACGAACGUGUUCGACAGAUUAGGUUAGGUAACGAACGUUCGUUCGUUAACCUGUUCGUCAUUUUUCUUUUUCUCGGAUUUAAUCCGCGAUUUUUCUGAUCGCGAUUCCUGAUCCAAUUUUUGUUUUAGUAUAACUUUUCGCUCGUUUAUCAGAAUCAGGCGAUUCAAGCGCCUGGAGUUUUGCCUCGAAACCCUCUUUCCGAAUAAUCAACUUAAACAAGUUUUUGCUUCUGUAAAAAUUGACUUAGAUCCAGAUUAGUAAAACGAAGCUGUUUUUUUCGCCGUUUGAUUUCCGUUGCUUUGUUUGAUUUGAUUCUUUUUGCAAACUGGAGUUCUUAAGUUGAAAUUUCUGGUUAGAUCUUUUAUUCGAGUUUUACCUGUGCAUUAGAUAAGUACUUAAUGUAUGCUUGUUUGUUUGUCUGCGAUAGAAUACCCGGAGUACGCCACUUGUUACUUCAAGUCUAUAGGUUUCGCGGAUCAUCAGCAAGGCAAGUAACACUUUGAUCAUACUUUUUCUCAUACCCAGUUUUUAUGCAUUAGAUCAAUCCCCAAACAUUGCAUGAUUAGGAUCUAAUUAAAUUGUGGGUUAUGGGAAGUAGUUGAGGUAGUACCUAUUACCUGUUUUAUUUUCAAACCCCUGUGAGUUACUUCUACGUUUGCUUAUUAUGUCAUGCUAUGCUAGUAGACGUGGAUUGGGUGAGUGUAUCCAUGACAGAUGUGAGUUUGUUAAUUAAUGGUUUAUUUAAGGUGGCAACUUAAACACACAUCUGGGUGGAUUGAGGCACCUGGUUUCCAGGACUUGCCUGUUUUUCUUUGGACCGCCACCCAGGCUCAAAGGGAUCAUGAGAUUAUUCAAACUAGAAACUUCCGUGUGCAGCCACAUGCUAUUAUGGGCUCUAGCAUAGUUGACUAAGUCGUGCGAACUCUUACAGGGUGGACUAGCAGAUGUAGGGGAUGUAGGUUGGUACGGUCUACCCUUUACGUAAGGUGUGAGCGCUUCUGAAAGACUAUGUCUCGGUCAUCCAUUUCUCAAACACCAUGUAGUGCGAGAAACCAAACAGAGGUGAUCGAGUCAUGUGGGGAAAAGUGCGCAAACCUCUGCAGAGUGUAACAAACUAAUCAUGGUUAGCCAUGUCCCCGGUUAUGGACAUCUUGAGUAUCUAGUACUUGGAUAUCAUAUGAAUCUCAUCAUUGUUACUUCUAAUUAAUAUUGUUGGGAUAUUAAUGAGUACUUUUAAUUGGGAUUGAGAAUGCUGUCAACCAUUCUCACUGUUUAACAACCACCAUGAUAGUUAAAUGAAAUUAUUCCUUUGCAGUAGGGAAAAAUUGGCUUUACGCAAAACUGUGACCAUAGAGCUUUUCCACCAGCCAAAUAUGCAUGUAGUAUAGCUUAUUCCAUCAUGUUUCCUCUAUGUGUUACAUUGCCAACAUAUUCCAUGUGCUGACCCAUUUUCGGGCUGCAAAGUUUCAUGUUGCAGACUUUUCAGACGACGAGUAAGGUGCUUAGGUCGUGGUUCUAUACUCAAUGAUGCCGUUGGAGUUGAUGGACUCGUUUAUUCUUCCAAGCCUUCCGCUCUUAUCAUAUUUAGAUGGCCUUAAGCCAUACUUAUUUCAAUAAGUUCUCUCUUGAGACAUUCGAUGUAAUAAUUGUGUGAUUGCUACUCUGUUAUAAAUCCUCCGAGUACUGUGUGGUGUCAGCAUUACUAAUCCAGGGAUGACACUGAGCACAGAGAUCGGACUGUUUGAGGUAUGGUCGCUACACUCUCAUCCUCUCCAGAUCAAAACAAGAUAGGGGUAGUAAAACUGUCUUUCUCCCUUCAAAAAACACUGGCUUUCUAUCCUCACCGCUAGUUACAGAUCCAGACAUAUCCCCCUCUGCCAAUGAAGGGGAGGAGGGGCAGCGUUUAGGCCGUCGUCGAUAGCGAGGGAGGAGACCCACUGUCGGCCGCACCGUUAUCUCUGGACGAGCGCCGGCGUGGGAGGUCCUCCGAUCCCUUCGUCAUUGCCUAUGGGCAGAUCCGGCCUCCGGCCGCCCACCUAUCCACAUCCCGACGACCUUCAGGUAUAUCUUUUGUUCGAAACCGCCUUAGCUCUACUUCCCCAGCUUGCUACGUCGCUGCAUGUGCAUCAUUUUCUACCUCUCAGCCCCUCUCUAUCGGAUGGUCCAAUGUCACCUUUUUCUUCUUCUAUUGUUAGAGGUAAAGCUACUUCAUGGAGUCGAAUCUUGUACUCCCUCCGUCCAAAAAUACUUGUCAUUGAAAUGGAUGUAUCUAGAUGUAUUUUAGUUCUAGACACAUCCAUUUUGAUGACAAGUAAUUCCAGAUGGAGGGAGUACUUGGUUCAAACAAGAAAUAAAAUGGGGGUGGGGGAAUUUAGUAUGUACAUCGGACUUGGUACAAACAGGAAGGAAAGGGGGUGAAAGUAGUACAGACUAGUCAUCCAACCGGUCUCUUGGUCGAAAAGGGAAAUAUAGGGGUAACAAUGUACACAGUGGUAUGACCAGGACUAGAUUUGCUAUCCACACAUAGGAAUAGGUGGUUAGAGUGAACAAAAAUGGGACCAACCCAGAUAUGUUUCUUGGAUGUUUGUUUCUCGGGGCAACAAACUAUGAAUCACCACUUUAUGCCCCUGUUUACAUACAUGGUGCUGGACUGCUGGUGCACCCACUGUCCCAUGCCCUUAUACCAAAUAUUUAGUUGUUCUUAAUCUAAUGUCCCUGGUAAAAAUGAAGCCAUGCCACUAUUAUAAGCCAUGACAAGUUUAGCCAAAUGUUUUUGCCUGUAAUUGUUUGAAACUCUGAUUGUUUCCUCUGUACCUUUUUGUGCAAACAGGGAUAUCCAAUUCACCUGGUUGCUGUUGUGACCUUUUGGUGCACUGCAGAAAACUCUUCUUAAAAGAACUGACUUUUGUGUUGUUUAACUGGAAUGUCAGAAUGAAACAGUUGGUUCAUUUCGGUGGAACUGCACAAAGGGAGAUCUGUGUUCCAAUCCUCAUCAUCCAUAUUGGCGCCAUAACCUUCCUUUAGGUAAGAAUGAUAUUUAAUGCAUGUGUUCAUCUCUAUUUUCCGACUGCCAUGAGAAAAUGAUGCUAUUUUUUACUAGUACACUUGUACUCCCUCACUGAUAAACCAAUUCUGAAUUAGAAGGCCAACCGUGUACUUGGUUUCACCAACUGGUGAGGAGAAAGAGAAACAGAGCAUGAAGAGGAAGAAGAAGAAGAAUAAACAGUGCCAAGGCGAUCUUGCUGAAGCCAGAGGCCUCAGUCGAGGCCAUUCAAGGGCUCCGGCAACGACUAUCUUACAUGUGAGACGAUCCUCCAGGGAGCCCUUCCACUUCUGUUGUCUCACUUAAUUAAUUAGGAGUACUUAAGUACCACUAAUUUAUUACUGCCUAAUUUUUUUGUUGGAGUUAAAUAAAUGUUUAGUAGGACCCUAUGCUGAAUCAUGUACGUGUGUAUGUUUGUCUAUGGAGGUGAAUCAUGUGGUGGAGCAAGGAGGGAAUAUUAUUAGUGUCAUGACAUAAUAGUGCUAUUGUUUUGCAUGUCAAUUUAUUGCCAUUGGUUCAAUGAGGCAAUGUUUUGCGUAUUGUCCAUCAUGAAUUUGAUGCUACUUUUUGAGUAAUAUGCUAAUGUCUUCCUAUCCUUUCUCACUAAGCUAAUGAAGGUUUCACCUUGUUCCUACUUGUGUAAACAGGGAUCAUGUUGUGCCAAUCAUACAUUUUAGUGGAACUACACAAAACAAUACAAUGAAUUGUAUCCCAGCCAGUGCUUUAACUCUGCUGGAAGUUCUUGAUAAUCUUUCGAUAUAAUCUCAGCACUCGUAAACAAGAGUGAUUUCAACCAUACAUUUGAAGUGCAAAAAAAAUAUACUAUUGUGUGAUUCCAGUGAGUGCUUUAUCAUCUCUUAUGGGACUACAUGAAUAAGCUUUUUUUCUCAGGUUGGUACGGGCCUAAGGCCUUCAUCCAUAUUAGUUUGCUGUCAUCUCUAUUUGUAUCGUGCUACUGUCAUAAGAAACUCCUUUAUCUUUGCACGUUAAAGUUUUGCAACCUAUGAUAAAUGGCAAUGCUUUCAGUGUUGAGCUAAUUGGCACUGAUUAAAUAAACUAAUACCUCUCUUUAAGCAAGACUACUAUGUUGCUAACUUUACCCAUUAAGAUAAUGAGGGUGCUUCUAUUUGUUAGUGUAUGUUUCAUCAACUAGUCUCACUAUUAUAGUAAUCUCACUCUCUCAAUAUAUGUGCCAACAGGGAUGCUCGAUUUUGGUGGAACUGCACAAAAACUGUGGGUGCUUCAUUGCCUCGACGGCUUCCGUCCUUUCCUGUCAGUCGCUAAUCUCGGCUUGCUUUCUUCCUUUGAUGUUAGUCGCUUGGCUUAUCUCGGCUUCCAGUCAAAGGAAAUAGUAAUUGAUAUGCUACCUCACAUAGGUUGGUACUGGUCUUUAUCCUGAUUAUUGUGCCUGUCAUAUGUAUUGGUAAUUUGGUAUUGUGCUACUGUUUGCCGAUCUCAUAAAGGAGUAAUUUGGAGCCUGAACUCGCAGGCAAAUCAUUACAUCGGGUGAUUUCAGUAGAACUGCACAAAAUGAUCAGAUGGACACGUACUUAUACUGUUGCUAUGUACUCCAAAGUUCACUCAGACAAGCAUCGAUGUUGACAAGAAGAAGUGCCUAUAUUCAUUCGAGUAUCAACCGGCGUCAACCAAUUGUCAAACUCCAAGUAUUAGGAGAUUGAACGCCAAAAAUAUCGCUUGGUGCAUAGCCCAGAAAAACGCAGUCCAGUCUUUGCUCCCAACUUGUGCUUUUUGGUUAUCGACACAUAUGGUAGCGAACUAUAUGGCAUGGAGUCUAAAGAUUCCAGACAAGUUGGUUAACGCAUAUAUUCAUCUGGCACUUAAUCAGUCUGCACGCCAUGGAUGCUCCAUUUCAGUUGAACUACAAAAAAAAUUUGGGUGGUUCAUUUUCUCAACUGCCUCCUUUCUCGUCUGCAAUGUAGAAUUUUGGCGAGAUACAGGACCAAGAUGAGCCAGUAAACUAGUUGGAUGAAAGUAGUGGCCAAGUUGCUCAAACCUCCCUCGGCAGGAGGCCACUAUUUGAGGAUAAACCUACAAGCAAAGUUUAGAUUGUCUGUGUUGCCUCUUUUGUACUCGAAAGUUUACUCAUACAAGAACUAAUUUUAGCAAGAAGUACCUCCGAUUGAACACCAUUUAACAGUCUGUACCCUAGGUAAUUAAAGUUCGUCCAUGGAUCAUAUUGGCUGUGAUCUCAAUCAUUUGGAUGCGUAAACAUACUGAACAUGUGUAUAUCUGAAUCUUUUUGUGAAUUAUGUAUGAAUAUUAUCAUGUGAUCUAUUAAUCAUUUGGAUGCAUAGACAACUUGUGUAUAUAUGAAUCAUUUGAGUUAGUUGAUAGUGAAUGUUGGCUAUGAAUAUGAACAUGUACUGUGAACCUGAGUUUGAUACGAAUGUUUACAUUUUCUGUUGUAUUUGUGUGUGAACUUGUUAGUAUGCCUACUGUGUGGUAUAAAACGCAGGUCUCUGUUCUAUUUAUCUAUAUAUAAGAAUAAUAAUAUUGUGUCCAAUUUAUGUUUUCCCUUCUAACCACAUUAUAUAUAUUUAUAUAUUUAUAUUUAUAUUAUUAUUAUUAUCGUAUAUUUUAUAGAGACUUAUAUAUACAUUAUAAAAACAUCCCACGUGUUAUUAACUUAUAAAGGUAAAUGUUUAACGGAAGUUGGCAAGGAAAAUCCUGGUUGUUUUUGACUCACAGGCAAGGAAAAUCCUUUUUUUCGAAACGGAACAGGCAAGGAAAAUCCUGGUGAUUGCGUACAGAAGCUUGCGAAGAUUUUAAGGACCAAUUUGAUAAUAACGCGCUCAUUUUUAUUUUGAGCAAUAACUCGCUAAUUUGUUAAUUAUAUAUAUAUAUAAUGUGCCUCUCUGAUUUAUUCUUUGAUAUUAAUUGCUCCUUCUAACAUAACAUUGUAUAUAUAACGAGCCCACCUAAUACGUGUGUUCCAAGGAAGUGCAAAUGGGCUGGGAUUUAUUAGAAAAUAUAAAUGGGCCUGAUUGACGCGAAAUUAUUUGUUCACCCAGCCCAGCAAAUGCAAUGUACAUUCAAAAAAACAUGUGUUAAAUAUAUGCCACAUUUUUUGUAGGCUGACAUGUGGGCCAAUAGGUCGAAGCCUACGCAGGGCGUUGUCAACUUGGUCAACAAAUGAUUGUGUCAUCCAUAGCCAUUGGAUUUAUACCAACGGACGGCAUGCACCUUCAAUCUCUCGUCUUCUUCCUCCAGCGUCGCCGGAACCGCCUGGUCCGGCCUCCGGCGGCUAGCGGCUCUGCUUAGCACGCAUCGCUGCGAAGCGCUACCCCACCGUCGGCCAGGCUAUCCCUCCACUCCUCGACACCUCCUGUUAUUCUCCAUAGACUACAACCCCACGCUGCAACAGAACCAGUUAUAACCCUUCUCCUCCUCUCAAUCUGCGAAUCCACUGUCGUGUCUUCCCAUCUCUGAGUCGUUCCCGUCCGGGGCCUCGCCGUCGUCCACCGCCUCGCUGUGCUCGGUGCGGCAUGGUCAACAAACGAGAGUCAUCAGAAGAGGACUGUACGUGGAGAGCCUGACGGCUGGGACCCACGAGGUCCAUGGUCGCACGCAAGGAAAGUUCCUCCUUAUUAAGAUGAAAAAAAAUGUUUCCUCCACCUGAUAGCUAGGACCCACCGGCUGUAUCUUCGCACGCAAGGAAGUGCCUCCUUGUUUUGCGAAAAAAUUAUUCAUCCCGUUGACAGCUGGGACAUGUCAGAUUUGGUGGCUGACUUGUGGGCCUACUAAGCGGAUGUGUACGCACGGCUUUGUCAACUUAAUCAACAAAUGAUUCUAGCAGCUGGACCAUUGGAUGUUAAUCCAACAGCCGUGCUCCUUCUUCAACCUAUGUUCUUGCUCCUGUCUCCCGUGGGCGGCACCGCGGCUGUGCUGCCGCGCACCCGAACCAGUGAAGUUUCCCACUCCUCUCCAUCUGCAACUCCACUGCCCCGUCUUCCCCAUCUCCGGGUCGUUCCAGUCUGGAUGCGCUCAGCACGGUGUGGUCAACAUGGUCAACAACCGAGAGUCAUCGGAAGAUGACUGUACGUGAGAGGCUGACAGUGGGGACGCACCACGCCCAUGGACGCCUGCAUGCAACGGAACGCGGCGUCGUCAACGUGGUCAAGGAACGACUUCCAUCGGAAGUAUACUGUACGUGGAGAGUCUGACAGCUGGGUCCACGGCCGCAGCAAGUAAGUGCCUCCUUAUUACGCAGAAAAUAAUGAUUCCUCCAACUGACAGCAAAGACCCACUGGACAAGCCACCAUAUUUUGCGAAAAAAAAUGUUUACCCCCUGACUCCUGGGACCCACCUGACGGGCCACCGUAUUUCGUGAAAAAAAUGUUCCCACCGCUGUCAGCUCGGACCCACCGAAAGUGCCUCCUUAUUAAGCAGAAAAAAUGAAUACUCCCCCUGCUAGCUGGGACCCACCUUGGUGGGAGGCUGACUUGUGGGCCCACUAAGUUGACGGGGACGGAGGGCUUUGUCAAGUUAGUCAAUAUGAACGAUUCUAGCUGCAGUGACCGUACGAUGUCCAUCCAACGGCCAUCGUGCUUCUUCAACCUCUGGUCUUCUUGCUCCAUCCGCCCAAAGCAGCGCCGAUCGUGCCGCCUGCUCCUGCCUCCCGUGACCGGCUGUGAUGCCGCGGAGGCCUCACCGCCCCCUACUACUCCCGCCGCUGGCCAGGCCAUCCCUCCACUCACCCACGCUUCCACUGCCGGUCUUCCCCGGCUCCACGUCGUCCCAUUCCUAGGCCUCACCGUCGUCCACCGCUGUGGUGCUCUCCGCACGGUGUGGUCAACGUGGUCAAGGAACGACUUCCAUCGGAAGAGUACUGUACGAGGAGAGGCUGACAGCUGGGUCAACGGCCACAUCCCAGUUUUUUUGUGAUUUGCCAAGUAAGUCGCUUUGUCAGGCCUGUUGGGCUGCAAAUCUUUCAAGACAAGGAGAGCUUUCAUUUGGCUAGCUGACAAAAUGGUCCAUCAGUAAUGAGAAAUGGGAUGUACAUUUUUAAAACACAUCAAACCAGCAAUUAGUUUCAAAUAUCUUUUUUUCAUUUUAAGAUUUUAAAUUACAUUAGUUUUUAUGCGUGGAGAAUUUGUUGGAUUUUAUAUUGAUAUACAUUUAUUUUUAAAAUCUGUUUGAAUGUGAGUCGAAAUUUCGGGAUUAAAAACAGUUCGGACCGCACCGAAAUAUGCAAAAUUUCGUAUAAUUUUUUAACCGUGGCCACAAUAUGGGUUGUAAUGCUAACAAAAAGAAUAUGGGCUCCAAAAAAAUCUUAAAAAUUAGAAAAUAGGCUAUAAAUUAUUAGAAAUAAUGGCAGAUGGGUUGUAUGCUGUUUUCCACAGAGUUGAGGCUUCCCUAAAAAAAGGUUGACACACAAGCAGUGACUGUUGGAUGUCCAUCCAAUGGCUGUCGUGCUUCUUCAAUCUCUGCUCUUCCUGCUCCAACCGCUCAAACAAGCGCCGGCGAGACUGCCUACUCCCUCCUUCCGCGGCCGGCUCUGCUGCCGCACAGGCCUCACCGCCCCACCGUACUCCCAUUGCUGGCCUAGCCAUCCCUCUACUCACCCACACCUGCUGUUAUUCUCCGGUGACGGCAGACGAACCAGUAAACCUUCGUACAGUCGUACUCCCCUCUGUGUGGGAAACAACUGCCGAGUCUUCCCUGCUUCCAUGUUGUUCCCUUCCUAGGCCUCGCCGUCAUCCAUCGCCCUGGUGCUCUCGGUGCGGCCUGGUCAACGUGGUCAACGACCGACAUGCAUCUGAAGUGGACUGUACGUGGAGAGGCCGACAGCUGGGUCCACGGCCGCAUGCAAGGAAAUGCCUCCUUAUUACGCGCAAAAUAAUGAUUCCUCCACCUGACAUCAGGGACCCAUUGAAAGGGCCUCUAUAUUUCGCGAAAAAAUGUUACCGCCGCUGACAGCUCGGACCCACCAGUUAUAUCUUCGCACGCAAGGAAGUGCCUCCUUAUUACGCACAAAAAAUGAAUACUCCCCCUGUUAGCUGGGACCCAGUAUAGUGGCAGGCCAACUUGUGGGCCUACUAAGUUGACGGGGAUGGAGGGCUUUGUCAAAUUAGUCAAUAUGCACAAUUCUAGCUCCAGUGACCAUACGAUGUCCAUCCAGCGCCCGUAGUGUUUCUUCAACCUCUGGUCUUCUUGGUCCAGCCGCCCAAACCAGCAUCGGUCGUGCCUCGUGCUCCUGCCUCCCGUGGCCAGCUGCGAUGUGGCGGAGGCCUCACCGCCACCUACUACUCCAACCGUUGGCCAGGCCAUCCCUCUACUCACCCACACCCCCUUUUAUUCUGCGGCGACGGCAGCCUCACACCGAAGGAACCAGUUAACCCUCGUACUCCUCUAGGCGUGGGCAUCCACUGCCGUGUCUUCCCCGGCUCCGCGUCGUCCCCUUUCUAGGCCUCGCUGUCGUCCACCGCCCUGGUGCUCUCAGCGCGGCGUGGUCAACAUGGUCAAGGAACGGCUUCCAUCGGACAUGGACUGUAAGUGAAGAGGCUGACAGCUGGGUCCACAGCCGCAGCAAGGAAGUGCCUCCUUAUUACGCGCAAAAUAAUUAUUCCUCCACCUGACAGCGGGGACCCACCGGACGGGCCACCGUAUUUCGAGAAAAAACGUUUCCCCCCUGACUGCUGGGACCCACCAGCUACACCUUCGCACACAAGGAAGUGCGUCCGGGUAAAAAAAAACAUUUGCCCCUGACUGCUGGGACCCACCAGCUACACCAUCGCACGCAAGGAAGUGCGUCCGGGCAAAGAAAAACGAUUUGCCCCCCUGACUGCUGGGACCCACCAGCUACAUCUUCGCACGCAAGGAAGUGCCUAACAGUCGGGACCCACCUGGUCGAAGCGUACGUAGCGUUGUCAUUCUGGUCGCGAACGUGUACGUACAUAUAUACUGGUCGAUGUAGAGGCGCGCACGUAGCAUGUACAUGUACGUACAGCGGCCAGUGUGCAAGAAAGAAAAUACAGCCACGUAUGUGUACAUACGGGCGGGGUCUCGAACGCCUACUCGCGCAUACGUACGGCCAGGACUCGUGUACAUGGCUCGGUCGGAACGGAGAAACAGCGUCGUCGUCGUGUUCAUGGGGAGCCAACCGGCUGGGUCGGAACGGAAUGCGUCGUCGUGUUCAUCGGGAGGGCUUGGACGGAACAGGCGAUGGAAACGAGGCCUGGCGUACCGCAGAACGGAGGAAACGGACCUCCUACAUUCAGAACGGGGUCCCGUUGAUCGGGAGGGGUCUGGCGUACCGCAAAACGGAGGAAACAGACCUCCUACGGUCGAAACGGGGGUCCUGUUGAUCGGGAGGGGUGUGGUGUACCGCAAAACAGACGAAACGGACCUCCUACGGUUGAAACGGGGUCCUGUUGAUCAGGAGGGGUGUGGCGUACCGCAAAACGGAGGAAAUGGACCUCCUACGGUCGAAACGGGGGUCCUGUUGAUCGGGAGGGGUGUGGCGUACCGCAAAACGGACGAAACGGACUUGUGUUGGAGCGCUACGGUCGAAACGGGGGUCCUGUUCAUCGGGAGGGGUGUGGCGUACCGCAAAACGGGACUCCACGGGAUACUGUUCAUCUCCACCAUCGACCUCCUCCAGCCUCCACGGGCUACUGUUCAUCCACCGUCGACCUCCUCCAGCCUCCACCUGCGACUGUUCAUCCACUGGCUCCUGUUCAUCUAGCCUCCAUCGCGCACUACUCCACCGGCUACUGUUCAACCACCCCUCUCCACGGGCUCCUGUUCAACCACCCCUCCACGGGGUACUGUUCAUCCACCCCUCCACCGUCUAUUGUUCAUCCAGCCCUCCACGGGGUCGUCCUGUUCAUCCAGCCCUCCACGGGUCCUGUUCAUCCAGCCCCAACCGGCUCGAUCGAUCGGGGUCCUGUUCAUCCAAAGGCAACGCCACGGGUCCUUUUCAUCCACUCCCAACGCUCACUGUACACCCAACCCCCCCUCCCCCGCAAUGCUCACUGUUCAUCCAGAGAGGCAGUAUCAAUUGGCUUGAGUAGCAGCAGUAGUGAAGGAAUCGCUCGAUCGGGUUCAGUUAACAGCCAUCGAUCGAGCGGUCGGGUUCAGUAACGCGUAGCCUGCAGUGCAAUCGCUCGAGUUCAACUAGAGCCCAACGCCUCGCUCGGGUUCAGUUAGACUCAACGCCUCGCACACACGCGCGUACGUGUACGAGAGUAACGCGCAUCGCUCGGCCCCCGACCACCCACCGUAACUGGGAACUCCCCGAAAUUUUCCUCGCCCUCGCUUCUACCACGGUUUUUUCCGUCAUGGACGGCCCAAAGAAUGUCAUGCAGCUGCGUCUCCGGCCCGCCCUCCCAGGACGAAAAGCCCAUUUUCUGUCAUGAUUUUUUGUCAUAGAAAUAGGAGCCCACCACAUCUAGAUGAUACCUGGUUUUAUCACAAUUAUCGUCAUAGAAGUGUCAUAUGUAUGAGAGAAAAAAGUUUUGUUCGGCCCAAAAUGUCACGGAUGUGUCUUUUUUUUUGUAGUGCUUGUUGGGGAACGUAGCAGAAAUUCAAAAAUUUUCCUACGUAACACCAAGAUCUAUCUAUGGAGAGACCAGCAACGAGUAGAAAGAGAGUGCAUCUACAUACCCUUGUAGACCGCUAAGCGGAAGCGUUCAAGUGAACGGGGUUGAUGGAGUCGUACUCGUCAUGAUUCAGAUCACCGAUGAUCAAGUGCCGAACGGACGGCACCUCCGCGUUCAACACACGUACAGCCCGGUGACGUCUCCCACGCCUUGAUCCAGCAAGGAGAGAGGGAGAGGUUGAGGAAGACUCCAUCCAACAGCAGCACAACGGCGUGGUGGUGGUGGAGGAGCGUGGCAAUCCCGCAGGGCUUCGCCAAGCACCACGGGUGAGGAGAGUAACUUGGGAGAGAGGGAGGGGCUGCAUCAAAGGCAUAAGGUGUGUUUGGGAGGCCCUCCUACCCCACUAUAUAUAGGGAUCCCAAGGGGGGGUGCGCCAGCCCCUAGGAGAUCCAAUCUCCAAGGGGGCGGCGGCCAGGGGAGGAGUCCUCCCCCCNNNNNNNNNNNNNNNNNNNNNNNNNNNNNNNNNNNNNNNNNNNNNNNNNNNNNNNNNNNNNNNNNNNNNNNNNNNNNNNNNNNNNNNNNNNNNNNNNNNNNNNNNNNNNNNNNNNNNNNNNNNNNNNNNNNNNNNNNNNNNNNNNNNNNNNNNNNNNNNNNNNNNNNNNNNNNNNNNNNNNNNNNNNNNNNNNNNNNNNNNNNNNNNNNNNNNNNNNNNNNNNNNNNNNNNNNNNNNNNNNNNNNNNNNNNNNNNNNNNNNNNNNNNNNNNNNNNNNNNNNNNNNNNNNNNNNNNNNNNNNNNNNNNNNNNNNNNNNNNNNNNNNNNNNNNNNNNNNNNNNNNNNNNNNNNNNNNNNNNNNNNNNNNNNNNNNNNNNNNNNNNNNNNNNNNNNNNNNNNNNNNNNNNNNNNNNNNNNNNNNNNNNNNNNNNNNNNNNNNNNNNNNNNNNNNNNNNNNNNNNNNNNNNNNNNNNNNNNNNNNNNNNNNNNNNNNNNNNNNNNNNNNNNNNNNNNNNNNNNNNNNNNNNNNNNNNNNNNNNNNNNNNNNNNNNNNNNNNNNNNNNNNNNNNNNNNNNNNNNNNNNNNNNNNNNNNNNNNNNNNNNNNNNNNNNNNNNNNNNNNNNNNNNNNNNNNNNNNNNNNNNNNNNNNNNNNNNNNNNNNNNNNNNNNNNNNNNNNNNNNNNNNNNNNNNNNNNNNNNNNNNNNNNNNNNNNNNNNNNNNNNNNNNNNNNNNNNNNNNNNNNNNNNNNNNNNNNNNNNNNNNNNNNNNNNNNNNNNNNNNNNNNNNNNNNNNNNNNNNNNNNNNNNNNNNNNNNNNNNNNNNNNNNNNNNNNNNNNNNNNNNNNNNNNNNNNNNNNNNNNNNNNNNNNNNNNNNNNNNNNNNNNNNNNNNNNNNNNNNNNNNNNNNNNNNNNNNNNNNNNNNNNNNNNNNNNNNNNNNNNNNNNNNNNNNNNNNNNNNNNNNNNNNNNNNNNNNNNNNNNNNNNNNNNNNNNNNNNNNNNNNNNNNNNNNNNNNNNNNNNNNNNNNNNNNNNNNNNNNNNNNNNNNNNNNNNNNNNNNNNNNNNNNNNNNNNNNNNNNNNNNNNNNNNNNNACAUCAUCCCGUGAUCAACUCCUUGGUCACAUUGCGCAUAUGAUGAUGUCCUACUGAGUGGGCCCAGAGAUACCUCUCCGUUUACACGGAGUGACAAAUCCCAGUCUCGAUCCGCAUAAAACAAUAGAUACUUUCGGAGAUACCUGUAGUGCACCUUUAUAGUCACCCAGUUACGUUGUGACGUUUGAUACACCCAAAGCACUCCUACGGUAUCCAGGAGUUACACGAUCUCAUGGUCAAAGGAAGAGAUACUUGACAUUGGCAAAGCUCUAGCAAAUGAACUACACGAUCUUUUGAGCUAGUCUUAGGAUUGGGUCUUGUCCAUCACAUCAUUCUCCUAAUGAUGUGAUCCCGUUAUCAACGACAUCCAAUGUCCAUAGCCAGGAAACCAUGACUAUCUGUUGAUCACAACGAGCUAGUCAACUAGAGGCUCACUAGGGACAUAUUGUGGUCUAUGUAUUCACACAUGUAUUAUGAUUUCCGGAUAAUACAGUUAUAGCAUGAAUAAAAGACUAUUAUCAUGAACAAAGAAAUAUAAUAAUAACACUUUUAUUAUUGCCUCUAGGGCAUAUUUCCAAUAGUCUCCCACUUGCACUAGAGUCAAUAAUCUAGUUCACAUCGCCAUGUGAUUAUCACUCACAGGUCACAUCGCCAUGUGACUGAUACCCAAGAGUUUACUAGAGUCAGUAGUCUAGUUCACAUCACUAUGUGAUUAACACUCAAUGAGUUUUAUGUUUGAUCAUGUUGCUUGUGAGAGAGGUUUUAGUCAACGGGUCUGAACCUUUCAGAUCCGUGUGUGUUUUACAAAUCUCUAUGUCAUCUCCUAGAUGUAGCUACCACGCUCUAUUUGGAGCUAUUCCAAACAACUGUUCUACUUGGAGCUAUUCUAAAUUGUUGCUCCAUUAUACGUAUCUGGUAUCUCUACUCAGAGCUAUCCGGAUAUGUCUUAAGCUUGCAUCGACGUAACCCUUUACGACAAACUCUUUUACCACCUCCAUAAUCGAGAAAAUUCCUUAGUCCACUAGUUACUAAGGAUAACUUUGACCGCUGUCAUGUGAUCCAUUCAUGGAUCACUCUUGUACCCCUUGACUGACUCAUGGCAAGGCAUACUUCAGGUGCGGUACACAGCAUAGCAUACUGAAGAGCCUAUGUCUUAAGCAUAGGGGACGACCUUCGUCCUUUCUCUCUAUUCUGCCGUGGUCGAGCUUUAAGUCUUAACUUCGUACCUUACAACUCAGGCAAGAACUCCUUCUUUGACUGGUCCAUCUUGAACACCUUCAAGAUCAUGUCAAGGUAUGUGCUCAUUUGAAAGUACCAUUAAGCGUUUUGAUCUAUCCUUAUAGAUCUUGAUGCUCAAUGCUCAAGCAGCUUAAUCCAGGCUUUCCAUUGAAAAAUACUUUCAAAAUAACCCUAUAUGCUUUCCAGAAAUUCUACGUCAUUUCUGAUCAACAAUAUGUCAACAACAUAUACUCAUCAGAAAUUCUAUAGUGCUCCCACUCACUUCUUUGGAAAUACAAGUUUCUCAUAAACUUUGUAUAGACCCAAAAUCUUUGAUCAUCUUAUCAAAGCAUACAUUCCAACUCCGAGAUGCCUACUCCAGUCCUUAGAAGGAUCGCUGGAGCCAGCAUACCUUUUAGCAUCCUUAGGAUCGACAAAAAACUUUCUGACUGUAUUACAUACAACCUUUCCUCACGAAAACCGGUAAGGAAACUCGUUUUGACAUCCUAUCUACAAGAUUUCAUAAAUAAUGCAGUAAUCGCUAAUAUGAUUCCGACGGACUUAAGCAUCGCUACGGAUGAGAAAAUCUCAUCGCAGUCAACUCCUUGAACUUGUGAAAAACUCUUCGCCACAAGUCGAGCUUCAUAGAUGGUGACAUUACCAUCCACGUCCAUCUUCUUCUUAAAAGAUCCAAUUAUCUCAAUGGCUUGCCGAUCAUCGGGCAAGUCCACCAAAGUCCAUGGAUCCGUUCUUGGAUUUUAUGGCCUCGAGCCAUUUAUCAGAAUCCGGGCCCACCAUCGCUUCUCCAUAGCUCGUAGGUUCAUUGUUGUCCAGCAACAUGACUUCCAAGACAGGAUUACGUACCACUCUGAAGUAGUACGCAUCCUAGUCAUCCCACGAGGUUUGGUAGUGACUUGAUCCGAAGUUUCAUGAUCAAUAUCAUAAGCUUCCACUUCAAUUGGUGUAGGUGCCACAGGAACAACUUCCUGUGCCCUGCCACACACUAGUUGAAGAGACGGUUCAAUAACCUCAUCAAGUCUCCACCAUCCUCCCACUCAACUCUUUCGAGAGAAACCUUUCCUCGAGAAAGGACCCGAUUCUAGAAACAAUCCAUAUUGCUUUCGGAUCUGAAUUAGGAGGUAUACCCAACUGUUUUGGGUUUCCUAUGAAGAUGCAUUUUAUCCGCUUUGGGUUCGAGCUUAUCAACCUGAAACUUUUUCAUAUAAGCGUCUCAGCCCCAAACUUUUAAGAAACGACAACUUAGGUUUCUCUAAACCAUAAUUCAUACGGUGUCAUCUCAUCGGAAUUACGUGGUGCCCUAUUUAAAGUGAAUGUGGUUGUCUCUAAUGCCUAACCCAUGAACGAUAGUGGUAAUUCGAUAAGAGACAUCAUGGUACGCACCAUAUCCAAUAGGGUGCAACUAUGAUGUUCGGACACACCAUCACAUUAUGGUGUUCCAGGCGGUAUUAAUUGCGAAACAAUUUCCACAAUGUCUUAAUUGUGUGCCAAAACUCGUAACUCAGAUAUUCAUCUCUAUGAUCAUAUCAUAGACAUUUUAUCCUCUUGUCACAGUGAUCUGCUACUUCACUCUGAAAUUACUUGAACCAUUCAAUAAUUCAGACUUGUGUUUCAUCAAGUAAAUAUACUCAACAUUUAAUCGAAUCAUCUGUGAAGUAAGAACAUAAUGAUAUUCACUGCAUGCCUCAGCACUCAUUCGACCGCACACAUCAAAAUGUGUUACUUCCAACAAGUUGCUAUCUUGUUCCAUCUUGCUGAAAAUGAGGCUUUUCAGUCAUCUUGCCCAUGUGGUAUGAUUUGCAUAUCUCAAGUGAUUCAAAAUCAAGUGAGUCCGAACGAUCCAUUUGCAUGGAGUUUCUUCAUGCAUAUACACCAAUAGACAUGGUUCGCAUGUCUCAAACUUUUCAAAAACGAGUGAGUCCAAAGAUCCAUCAACAUGGAGCUUCUUCAUGCGUUUUAUACCAUUAUGACUUACAUGGCAGUGCCACAAGUAAGUGGUACUAUCAUUACUAUCGUAUAUCUUUUGACAUGAAAAUGUGUAUCACUACGAUCAAAAUUCAAUAAACCAUUCCUUUAGGUGCAAGAGCACUUAUUCAGGUUUAAUACUAAUCUUGAUGGUAGAGGGAGCGUGCGAUGUUAGAUCACAUCAAACUUGGAAACACUUCCAACACGUAUCGUCAGCUCACCUUUAGCUAGUCUCCGUUUUAUUCCGUAGCUUUUAUUUCGAGUUACUAACACUUAGCAACCGAACCGGUAUCUAAUACCCUGGUGCUACUAGGAGUACUAGUAAAGUACACAUUAACAUAAUGUAUAUCCAAUAUACUUCUAUCGACCUUGCCAGCCUUCUCAUCUACCAAGUAUCUAGGGUAAUCUUGCUCCAGUGGUUGUUCCCCUUAUUACAGAAGCACUUAGUCUCGGGUUUGGGUUCAACCUCGGGUUUCUUCAUUGGUGCAGCAGCUGAUUUGCUGUUUCAUGAAGUAUCCCUUCUUUCCCUUACCCUUCUUGAAACUAGUGGUUUCAUCAACCAUCAACAAUUGAUGCUCCUUCUUGAUUUCUACUUUCGCGAUGUCAAACAACGCGAAUACCUCAAGGAUCAUCAUCUCUAUCCUUGAUAUGUUAUAGUUCAUCACGAAGCUCUAGCAGCUUGGUGGCAAUGACUUUGGGGAAACAUCACUAUCUCAUCUGGAAGAUCAACUCCCACUCGAUUCAAGUGAUUGUUGUACUCAGACAAUCUGAGCACAAGCUCAACGAUUGAGCUUUUCUCCCUUAGUUUGCAGGCUAAGAAAAUCGUCGGAGGUCUUAUACCUCUUGACAUGGGCACGAGCCUGAAAUCCCAAUUUCAGCCCUCGAAACAUCUCAUAUGUUCCGCGACAUUUCGAAAACGUCUUUGGUGCCUAUACUCUAAACCAUUUAACUGAACUAUCACGUAGUUAUCAAAACGUGUAUGUUCGAUGUUCGAAACAUCCACAAACGAUGUUUGGGGUUCAGCACACUAAGUAGUGCAUUAAGGACAUAUGCGUUCUAGUGUCCGCAUAAUCGCUACUGUCAACUUUCAACUAUAUUUUCUCUAGGAACAUAACUAAAACAGUAGAACUAUAGCGUGAACUACGACAUAAUUUGCAAAAGGUCUUUUGACUAUGUUCAGGAUAAUUAAGUUCAUCUUAUGAACUCCCACUCAGAUAGACAUCCCUCUGGUCAUCUAAGUGAUCACAUGAUCCGAGUCAACUAGCCCGUGUCCGAUCAUCACGUGAGACGGACUAGUUAACGUCGGUGAACAUCUUCAUGUUGAUCGUAUCUACUAUACGACUCAUGCUCGACCUUUCGGUCUCCGUGUUCCGAGGCCAUGUCUGCACAUGCUAGGCUCGUCAAGUUAACCCUAAGUGUUUUUGCUGUGUAAAACUGUCUUACACCCGUUGUAUGUGAACGUAAGAAUCCAUCACACCCGAUCAUCACGUGGUGCUUAGAAGCGACGAACUGUAGCAACGGUGCACAGUUAGGGGAGAACACUUCUUGAAAUUUUGUAAGGGAUCAUCUUAUUUACUACCGUCGUCCUAAGUAAACAAGAUGCAUAAACAUGAUAAACAUCACAUGCAAUCAAAUAGAGUAGUGACAUGAUAUGGCCAAUAUCAUAUAGCUCCUUUGAUCUUCAUCUUCGGGGCUCCAUGAUCAUCUUGUCACCGGCUUGACACCAUGAUCUCCAUCAUCAUGAUCUCCAUCAUCGUGUCUUCAUGAAGUUGUCACGCCAACGACUACUUCUACUUCUAUGACUAACGCGUUUAGCAAUAAAGUAAAGUAGUUUACAUGGCGUUCUUCAUUGACACGCAGGUCAUACAAAAAAUAAAGACAACUCCUAUGGCUCCUGCCGGUUGUCAUACUCAUCGACAUGCAAGUCGUGAAUCCUAUUACAAGAACAUGAUCAAUCUCAUACAUCACAUAUAUCAUUCAUCACAUCCUUUUGGCCAUAUCACAUCACAUAGCAUACCCUGCAAAAACAAGUUAGACGUCCUCUAAUUGUUGUUGCAUGUUUUACGUGGCUGCUAUGGGUUUCUAGCAAGAACGUUUCUUACCUACGCAAGACCACAACGUGAUAUGCCAAUUUCUAUUUACCCUUCAUAAGGACCCUUUUCAUCGAAUCCGUUCCGACUAAAGUGGGAGAGACUGGCACCCGCUAGCCACCUUAUGCACCAAGUGCAUGUCAAUCGGUGGAACCUGUCUCACGUAAGAGUACGUGUAAGGUCGGUCCGGGCCGCUUCAUCCCACAAUACCGUCGAAACAAGAUUGGACUAGUAACGGUAAGCAUAUUGAACAACAUCAACGCCCACAACUACUUUGUGUUCUACUCGUGCAAAAAAUCUACGCAAUAGACCUAGCUCAUGAUGCCACUGUUGGGGAACGUAGCAGAAAUUCAAAAAAUUUCCUACGUAACACCAAGAUCUAUCUAUGGAGAGACCAGCAACGAGUAGAAAGAGAGUGCAUCUACAUACCCUUGUAGAUCGCUAAGCAGAAGCGUUCAAGUGAACGGGAUUGAUGGAGUCGUACUCGUCGUGAUUCAGAUCACCGAUGAUCAAGUGCCGAACGGACGGCACCUCCGCGUUCAACACACGUACAGCCCGGUGACGUCUCCCACGCCUUGAUCCAGUCCAAGAUCCCAUCUGGGGGGCGGCCAAGGGGGGGAGAGGGGAAACUUGCCCCCCCCCCCAAGUUAGGUGGGUGCGCCCCCUUCAUCAAACCCUAGGCGCCUUGGGCCCUUGUGGGGGGGGGGGGCGCACCAGCCCACCUGGGGCUGGUCCCCUCCCACACUUGGCCCAUGCUGCCCUCCAGGGAUGGUGGCCCCACUUGGUGGACCCCCGGGACCCUCCCGGUGGUCCCGGUACGUUACCGAUAAAACCCGAAACUUUUCCGGUGACCAAAACAGGACUUCCCAUAUAUAAAUCUUUACCUCCGGACCAUUCCGGAACUCCUUGUGACGUCCGGGAUCUCAUCCGGGACUCCGAACAACAUUCGGUAACCACAUACAAGCUUCCUUUAUAACCCUAGCGUCAUCGAACCUUAAGUGUGUAGACCCUACGGGUUCGGGAGACAUGCAGACAUGACCGAGACGUUCUCCGGUCAAUAACCAACAGCGGGAUCUGGAUACCCAUGUUGGCUCCCACAUGUUCCACGAUGAUCUCAUCGGAUGAACCACGAUGUCAAGGACUCAAUCGAUCCUGUAUACAAUUCCCUUUGUCUAGCGGUAUUUUACUUGCCCGAGAUUCGAUCGUCGGUAUCCAAUACCUUGUUCAAUCUCGUUACCGGCAAGUCACUUUACUCGUUCCGUAACACAUCAUCCCGUGAUCAACUCCUUGGUCACAUUGCGCAUAUGAUAAUGUCCUACCGAGUGGGCCCAGAGAUACCUCUCCGUUUACACGGAGUGACAAAUCCCAGUCUCGAUCCGCAUAAAACAAUAGAUACUUUCGGAGAUACCUGUAGUGCACCUUUAUAGUCACCCAGUUACGUUGUGACGUUUGAUACACCCAAAGCACUCCUACGGUAUCCAGGAGUUACACGAUCUCAUGGUCAAAGGAAGAGAUACUUGACAUUGGCAAAGCUCUAGCAAAUGAACUACACGAUCUUUUGAGCUAGUCUUAGGAUUGGGUCUUGUCCAUCACAUCAUUCUCCUAAUGAUGUGAUCCCGUUAUCAACGACAUCCAAUGUCCAUAGCCAGGAAACCAUGACUAUCUGUUGAUCACAACGAGCUAGUCAACUAGAGGCUCACUAGGGACAUAUUGUGGUCUAUGUAUUCACACGUGUAUUACGAUUUCCGGAUAAUACAUUUAUAGCAUGAAUAAAAGACUAUUAUCAUGAACAAAGAAAUAUAAUAAUAACACUUUUAUUAUUGCCUCUAGGGCAUAUUUCCAACAGUGCUAUCGCCAGGGCACUUCCAUAUUUCGUUACAGAAACUUUGCGAAGGCAAAACCCAGCACUCCCAACCGCCAGGGGCUCUGGCGGUAUGUUUAGACAGGCUAUCGCCAGGUUCCCUGGCGGUAGGGUACUCAUCCACGUCGGCUGGCCAAACAUGAGUGUACGCGCGUAUGUAUGAGCGCUUGCGUCUGUACUGUGUUAAAAAAAAAAGCAACGGUCCAACAACUCUGCACCUAAAUCUUUUCGCUCUCUGUUGACCCGAUUUGGAACAUGUAUUAACUUUUGUAAGACCUUGUAUUUGUAAGUCGUGUGGCCUGUCUUUGCUUUAUAUUCACUUCGUUCCUAAAUAGUGUAAGUUUUUUUAGAGAUCCCACUAUACAAAGCUGGGCGCACCUCAUGCCUUUGAUCUAAAAAGAAACUACGUAUGUGAGAGAAAGAAACCAAUAGAGAUCGAGUUAUGUCUAUGUGACGAGCUAGGAUUAAUCCAAGCCUUCGAUGGUGUUAAACAACCUGUAGUGAUCCAGCAAGAGGCGGGUGACAGUGAGGAAGUCGCCGCCACUGCCGAGCUGCCUGCAGUGGGAGAUUUCGGUGCUGUGGUGGGCUGCGUAGCACAGGAACUCCAUCCACACCCCGAAGAUGACCUGCAGCAUGUUGGGCAACUUCCACUCAUUCCGGAGCAGCUUACUGGCGAGACGUACGCCGCUGAGCGGAGUCCGGGGAGCCGCCGUGUCACCCUUGUCGUGGCCGUCGCCAUGCUUCUUAAGCAUCAACCGGCAGAACUCCUCGGUCGUCAGGUUCAGGUCCAGAAACACCUCAUCUUUUGUCCAGACACGCUUUGUAAACCUCCACAUUUUCUCGAAAACGGCGCUGCUGUCGGAGAGGAAGUUGCGCCGAACGCCGCCGGGCAGCAGGCCGGGGCGCACCAGGAGCAGGAACCCCAUGUAGUUGGAUAGCACCUUGAUGGCCUCCGCUAGCUCAUGGUCUUCUCGAGUGUGCUCCUUCCUGUUGUGGUUGUGGCAGCGGAGGUAAAUGUCGCUCGCGAUGUGCCAGAAGAAGAUGCACUCGGCGAAAUCCCUGCCUCCGACGCUCCAGCCCACAUCCUCCAUCAUCCCGGCGUCGGCAAGCACGGAGCUGCCUCGGGCCUCCAUCAAGUCCCAUCUCUCAGAGAAGCGCAUCUUCUGCGCUAUGUGCACUAUCACCAACUCCUUGAACUCGUCUGAAAUCGGAAUGGUCCUUGAGAAAUGCAGUUUCUUCCACCAACCCCCGAGCCUCACCGCCUCCAUGACUCUGCCUCUGAGCUCGGUCGGAUCACGGCAGCAGUAGUCCAACACGUUGUGCUGCCCGACGGAGUGCAGCCACCUCCGCCUUUUGCUUCCGGCGUUGACAAGCCGGCGGAGGCGCAUGAUCACAACAUUGGUCUCGUCGAACUCCCACGAGUCCAGGUAGGCGCAGGUCCACGUGGAUCCCAGCGCCCUCAGCACCGACGUGAUCUCCAGGGCGACGGCGCCGACCAACAGGAGGUAGGUGAUGGCAACGUCGACUCUGCCGUAGGAGGCCUUGACGUCGAGGUGGAAGAGGAAGAAGGCGGCCACGGUGGCGACCGGCGCGACGGCGCGGACGGAGCAGCCCUGCCAGGUGUGGAUCACGGGCGCCUUGGUGUAGAGCAGGUCGUACAUGAUGGAGAGCUCCGCCUCCACCAGGUCGUACAUGUACAUGCCGCGGUUGAACAGCCUGCUGCGCAUGAGGCUGCCCACCGCGAAGUUGGCGUUCCUGAAGCGGGACCCCUGGUCGAUGUUGAGGAAGGCGCUCUUGCAGAAGCCAAACAUGUAGUGGGCGUCGAGCAGGAGCUCCUCCUCGGCGUCCACGGACACCCCCCUGCUGUACAGCCUGGCGUCGGUGCCCUGCAGGACGUGGUGGAGCGGGUCGAGGGUCUCGAUGUUGGCGCGCUCCAGCGCCCACACCCGCUCGCCGUACUUGAGGAACCCGACGACGAAGAUGAGUACGGUGGCCGCGACCAGCGUCGGGGUGCCAGGGAUGUAGCGGUAGAGAGCGUAGCCGGUGCCCGACGCCUGCACCAGGAGGGUCAGCAGGUGGCGCCGCCACAGCUGGUUGUCCUCCAGGGAGUAGGCGGUGAUGGUGUCCUGGCCGCCCAGGUGCAGCAGGAAGAAGGGCGCCCAGAAGGCCACCAGCCCGUCCUCGUGCGGCCGGUUGUCCAGGGAUAUGUGGCCGAGCGCGUACACCGCCACGUUGUCCGCCAUCAGGUACGCCAGCCAGAGGAGGAUCAUCAGCGCGGCGGAGGACUUGCGCCGACGGACCCCGGCGAACACCAGGAGCACCAGCUGCAGCACGAAGCUGAGGACGACCAGUAUCUGGAUCCCCCACUCUUUCCACACCUCCACCACCAGUCCUCCGGCGCCCAUUGCACCUCACCUCACUGAAACGAAACACGCGCGUAAAAGUGUCAGGCUACAGCAGUACAGCUAGGCUAGCUAGCCCAUGCGGUGGCAAGUAAAUUUCAAAAAAUUUGUACAACAAAAAUUUAUCAGUUUAGCUGAACCUCGGUCGCUUGAAUUUGAAAUUUGGGUUAGUCGGUUCUUUUGGGAAAGAAGCAGCAGCUGUGUGGACCACCGGAGUCACCGACCACAGCGCUGGGGUGAGUGAAGCGAGGCCCGGGGAUGCCAGCAAGGCCUCGGUCAGGAACGAGCUGCAGCCGCCGGAGGCGAGUCCGAAGGUUGACGGGUGCGCGUGCGAAGUUUGCCGAGAGGAAAAUCUGGUGGUCGUCGAGUUAAAGGGAUGGCUGGGGCGGUGCGAGGUGGGGGAGGGCGGUGGGCGAGGCUGGCGUGGGAGUAUCGCCGGCCGCGGGUAGCAGAGGCAGGCGGCUGGGUUGGGCCGGUGGUACAUUGGGGCAUGGGGCGGUUUCGGGAAGAAGAUGAACAGGAUGGCAGAAGGUUGAAGAAGGUGAUCUGACCAUUCAUUCUGCAUCCGACGGCUCAAAACAAAUCGAUUGACCCAAGAAAAGUCAGUCGUCGUAUUAUAUACUAAAAAAGAUUGAAGUUAGCACAAAGGAAGAUUUAAUCCAAGAGCAAGUGACCUAUCUAUCUUGCGGUCAUUCAAAAGCUUGCAAAUGCUUUUUACUUUUAAAAAGAAAAAGAAACUUGCAAAUGCUACCACCAUGGACAUGGAGCUGCCUUGGUCUUGAUUACAAAGAAAAACAGAGUAUUUCUCUCCCGAACUUUCAGAGGACAGGACAGAAACAAAGUGGGUGAGCAACUCAGGAAUCAUGGCAAUGAUCGUGCUACAUGCCCGUAUCAAUCAACAACUACAAAAUACAAAUCAGAGCUUUCUUUAUAUACAUCCAGAUCCAAGCAAGAAACAACUACAUAAGCAGGCCAAGUAGUUGUCAUUAAAUAGGUUUAGGCAACUGAUUGACUUACACGUUGAAGGAUAUCCGGCGAGCCCAUGUCCGCCCGACCAAGAAGAAGCAGAAAGAUGGGAGACCGGAAGGCGAAGAGCAAGCGCGAUCGAGCGUUUUCCCGUUGUAAUAAUAGGCUAAGCCACAAUUUGGGGACUGAGAUACAAUCAGUAAGUAGGUCUGGACCUGGGUGCUUUGGGUUUGGGAUAAGGCUAGCAGGCCGCCACCGGAGUCUGCCGCGAAGACUCACCAACCGUCUGGCAUAUGGGGUCUCCUCGCGCUGCAAAAGAACAACUCACCUGUUACGUCAAGAAAACUGCCCCGAAAAACCUUCGACUUCGACGGACUGGAUUUUAGCUGUAGCAUUAGAGCAUUUAUAGCCCGAUUGUUAAAAUAUGAGCAAUUUAUCAAAUGAUUUUAUUAAUAAAAAUAUUAGAUAAAGCAUGACUAAUAUAACAGGGAUAAAACUAGUCAUGCGAUCUAACAGAAAGAAGGUAAUAACAUCUGCAUAUAUGAACCAGCCAUGUCGUCGAGGAGGUUGUCGAUGUCGGGGAAGAAGCCGUCGGCUCGGCUCAUUCCCGCAACCCACCGCGCGGCGCGUGGUGGCGAGGCGGGCGGCAGAGGCGGAGCGCACGUGGAUGUCCCUCUUGUUCUUAUGCUCAUACAUGUGGGAAAAAAAUCUCCCUUAUAAAGAGGUACAACUUCCUCUAAACUAGCAAUAUGGGACUAAACUUUAGUUCCACCUCUUGCCUUGCACGAAUGGACUGCGUGAGCCUCUAGGAUUUAUUAGGAAUUUCUGAAACUGUUAUUGGGUUGGCCCAAAAUAGACAAAAAUUCCAGCAAUUCCCCACCAGAUCCCAGAGGCACACAAAAUUUGCCUUUGGUUCCAAAAUAUUGUUUUAUAUACCGGUACUGCAGCGGAGACUGUUAAGUUGAACUUCCACCUAGAACUCUAUGCUACACUAGUAAGCAACUUGAACAGUGACUGGGCCUUGAACUGCAAGUUUUCUGCGAAUUUAGCUUCACACAAAGCCUUGACCGAUACGUGGCUACUGUGGGUCUUCUCCGCGGGUGGAGCUUAUGCGUCAUACUCUAAGACCUUUCAUGAGUUUACUAGAGAGAACCCUACUCUCAUAGAUUGCGACGUUUAACAAUCAGACUCAUAUAGGUGCGUUCUUCAAAAGAUGUUCUGCAGGACAACAUCUCUGCUUCAAUGAGUCUCUUAGAACACAUUAAGAUAUACAUCAACCUGCCAUGCAGAUUUAGUAGAGUAUUGCAUCUUCAUGGAGUGGUAUAUUAGACAGUAAGGGUACUCUCCUUCCAGUUGAACAACAGCUUGUCUUCCACAUCUAAUUAACAGGAUCUUCGAUCACAAAGAAUAGGUUACCACUGUGAACAACUCAUAUUGUGUGCCUCAUACCCAUCUCCCUCGAUGCAUUAUCUAUCACAUUACGUGAUAGACCCUUAGUAAAAGGAUCUGCCAGAUUUUUAGACGUUUGGAUAUAAUCCAAUGCAAUAACUCCGGAGUUUCUCAUUUUUUUGACAGACUUUAACCUUCUCUGAACGUGUCUUGGUGACUUCAUGUUAUCCUUUGAGCUGCUCACUUUCGUGAUCACAGUUUGAUUGUCGCGGUUCAUAAGGAUACCCGGUACAGGUUUCUCAACAACCGACAAGUCAUUCAAGAGCCGACGAAGCCAAUCUGCUUCGACCGUAGCUGUAUCUAGUGCUAUGAGUUCUGCUUCCAUUGUUGACCUCGUUAAGAUGGUCUGCUUGCAAGACUUCCAAGAAACAGCGCCACCUCCAUGAGUGAAUACAUAUCCGCUCGUGGCCUUUAUCUCAUCAGCAUCAGAGAUCCAGUUUGAGUCACUAUACCCUUCAAGCAUCUUUGGGUGCCCAGUGUAGUGAAUUCCAUAAUUCGCAGUGCCUUUCAAAUAUCGGAAAAUUCUCUCUAGAGCUUUCCAAUGCACAUCUCCUGGUUUUGAGACAAACCGGCUCAGUUUGCUAACAGCAAAAGAAAUGUCAGGUCUUAUAGCACUGGUUAAAUACAUAAGCGAGCCAAUAUUAUGAGAAUAUUUCAAUUGGUCUCUAGCAAUUCUUCGAUUCUUUUGAAGCAACACACUAGAAUCAUAUGAUGUUGGAGAGGGCUUGCAGUCACUAUAGCCAAAGCGACUCAAGAUCUUUUCCAUAUAGUGAGAUUGAAGCAAUGUAAUCCCACCAUCAUCGUCUCUCAACAACUUCAUGUUCAGAAUGACAUCAUCCACUCCUAAAUCCUUCAUCUCAAAGCAACGAGAUAGGAAAUCCUUGACCUCCUUAAUAACCUUCAGAUUUGUUCUGAAAAUCAUAAUGUCAUCAACAUACAAGCAAAGGAUAACUCUCUCGCCCCCACCAUGGCGAGAGUACACACAUUUAUCAGCUUCGUUUACAACAAAGCCUGGGGCUGUUAAAGUUCUUUCAAACUUCUCAUGCCACUGCUUGGGUGCUUGCUUAAGUCCAUACAAAGACUUCAGCAACUUGCACACUUUCUCUUCCUGACCAUCUAUUACAAACCCAUCUGGUUGUUCCAUAUAAAUUUCCUCUUCUAACUCUCCAUUUAGGAAAGCAGUCUUAACAUCCAUUUGAUGAACGAGAAGACCAUGUGAGGCAGCAAGUGAAAGUAGUACUCGAAUAGUGGUCAGUCGAGCCACAGGUGAGUAAGUAUCAAAGAAGUCUUCACCUUCCUUUUGGGUAUAACCCUUAGCCACGAGUCAAGCCUUAUACUUUUCAAUAGUACCAUUAGGUCUAAGCUUGUUCUUGAAUACCCAUUUGCAUCCUAUAGGUUUGCACCCAUAAGGACGAUCAGUUAUCUCCCAAGUUUCAUUCGCCAAGAUGGAAUCCAUCUCGCUACGAACCGCUUCCUUCCAGUAGUCAGCAUCUUCAGAUGCAUAGGCCUUUGAAAUAGAACUGGGAGUGUCAUCUAUGAGAUACACAAGAAAAUCAUCACCAAAGGACUUUACGGUCCUCUGUCUCUUGCUCCUUGUAGGAACUUCAUUGUUCUCCUCCACAUGAUUUUCAAAGUGUUCCAUCGAAAUGGAAGGUUCAGUAAUUGUAACUGGUUCCUGAUUCGAUGAACUAGGCAUCUCCUGAUUAGAUGAGGUAGCCAUAUUCUUCAAGGGAAAGAUAUCUUCAAAGAAAGUCGAAUCAUUCGACUCCAUGAUCAUACCGACAUGCAUGUCAGGUACCUCAGAUUUUACAACCAAGAACCUAUAACCAAUGCUAUGAAAAGCAUAUCCCAGGAAAACACAAUCCACAGUUUUUGGUCCCAGCUUCCGCUUCUUUGAAAUUGGCACAUUGACUUUCACCAAACAACCCCAAGUUCGUAGAUAAGAGCUUUAACCUUUUCUUCUCCCAUUCCUCGAACGGAGUUAUUUCCCUGUUCUUUGUGGGAACUCGGUUUAGGACAUGACAUGCAGUCAAUAUCGCCUCCCCCCACCAUGCCUUGGAGAGACCCUAUGUGUCUAAUAACAUGGUGUUAACCAAAUCAGUUAGAGUACGGUUCUUUCUUUUGGCCACCUCAUUUUACUGAGGUGAAUAGGGAGGCAUCAUCUCAUGGAUUAUACCAUGUUCCGCACAAAAGGAAUCAAAUUCAUUUGAAAAAUUCUCUCCACCAUGAUCGGACCUAAGCCUCUUGAUCUUUCGAUCAAGUUGGUUUUCCGCUUCAGCUUUAUAGAUCUUGAAAUGGUUCAAAGCCUCAUCCUUAGAUUUCAGAAGAUACACAUGACAGUAUCUAGUGGAGUCAUCAAUUAACGUCAUAAAAUACUUCUUUCCACCUUUUGUCAAAACACCAUUAAUUUCACAUAGAUCUGAAUGUAUGAGCUCUAGUGAUGCAAGAUUUCUCGUUUCUGCUGUCGUGUGAGACUUACGAGGUUGCUUAUCUUGCACACAAACCUGACACUUAGAUCUCUUGACAGUGGUGAAACUAGGGAUUAAGUUCAACUUCGCUAGUCGGGACAUGCAACCAAAGUUAACAUGACAAAGACGUGAAUGACACACAUUUGAUUCACUAUUGUUGCAAACAUGAUUAACAACUUUAUUGCAAACGUCUAAGAAGGAUAAACGAAUCAGGCCUCCUGACUCAUAGCCUUUACCAACAAAGGUUCCAUACUUGGAUAUUACAAAUUUAUUCGACUCAAAGACAAGCUUAUAGCCAUCUCUACACAGAAGAGAUCCGCUAACAAGUUUUUUAUUGACGGAGGGGACAUAAUGCACGCUCUUCAGCCGCACGAUCUUCCCCGGAGUAAACUUCAGAUCGACCGUGCCAACACCACGAAUAGAAGCACUUGAACCAUUGCCCAUCAGCACGGUUGAAGUCCCUGCGGUCUGAUAAGACGAAAACAUGGAAAUAUCACCGCAUACAUGCACAUUAGCACCCGUGUCAAUCAACCAAUCAGGAGAAUGACAUACUGAAAGAAUAGUGGGAAAUAUACCAUACCCGGCAUCCUUCAUGUCAGUGUCUCCAAUGACAACAUUAGUGGUCUUGCCGCCUUUCCCAGGAUGACGCUUGUCAUAGCGAUUAGGGUAACUAGGAGCCCAAUGAUCAGGAUCCCCACACACAUGACAGACACCUUUCUUCUUAUCAUUCUUCUUCUUGAAGUUCGUGUGCUGCACAACCUUGUUCUUCCCAUCAAACUUUGCUAUACCAUCAAACUUGCCAUUGUUCUUGAACUUGUGGGGCUGGAAGUUCUUCUUCUGUACCAGAUUGGCACUAGAACCUCCCUCAAUACCUCGAGCACGGUUGUCCUUUGCUCUCGCCUUUUCUUCCACAUCAAGAGUACCAAUGAGAUCCGGAAUGGAAAACUCCUACCUCUCAUAUAUGCUUCAGUAAGGUAGCAAAGUUCCUCCACGUGGGAGGAAGCUUAGUGAUGAUACCUCCGGCAAUAAACUUGUCCGGUAGGAUACAAUUGAAGUGCUCAAGUUCUCUAGCAAAUGACUGUAUCUCAUGACCUUGCUCAACCACGGAGCGCUCUUCAGUCAUCCUGUAGUCAUAGAAUUGCUCCAUGAUGUACAGCUCAGUGCCAGCAUCCGAGACCCCAAACUUGGCCUCGAGUGCAUCCCACAUUUCUUUUCCAUUAUAAAUUGACACAUAAGCAUCAACUAUGUUCUCACCAAGAACACUCAAGAGAGCAGCCUUAAACGAGGUAUCCAUUUUCCGAAAAGCUUGUGCCUGUUGAGCAUCAUGCUCUCCUUCAGGUUUGCCAAGAGUGGCGUCAUAGCAACUCAUGGUUUGAAAUCAUAAGACUACUCUCACGUGCCACCUCUUAUAGUAGAUACCCUCAAACGUAGGAGGUCUCAUGGAAGCAGCAAAACCACUCGGGGUAAAUUUCCUAUAAUAAAGUUUUUGGAUUGUUGGAAAUAUGAGCAAUUUACCAAAUGAUUUUAUUAACAGAAAUAUUAGAUAAAACAUGACUAAUAUAACAGGGAUAAAACUAGUCAUGCGAUCUAAUAGAGAGAAGGUAAAUAACAUAUGCAUAUAUGAACUAUAUCCAAGCUUAUCUAGAGCAGACAGUAGGGUAAGUUUCAUAUAUGAAGUAGAACUUAACAUAUCUAGGACACCAGAACAAGGAACCGUGGCAGGACCUCGAACAGAAAGGAGAAGAACACAUACGGGACAGCAGCAACAUUAGUACUGGACUUGGGGUCGAUGUCCUCGCUAGCCAUGUCGUCGAGGAGGUUGUUGACAUCGGGGAAGAGGUCAUCGUCGGGGAAGUAGGCGUCGGAGUCCGGGGCAUCCGUGACGAAGAAGUCAGUAGUCACGCUGAGCGCUCCCCAAAAACCUUAUCACCCUUCUCCCGUACAGGACUCAAAGAGGUGCGGUUUCGGAGUCCUACUGUCCCGACCUGCGGUGCACGCUGCAAGCCGGGAUGGGGAAGGACGUAGCAGCAGCACAGUGCUCAGGAACUUGGUGGCGAGAGGGAGAUGGUCUUUCUGAUGUGUCUCUCUGGAGAGGAGCGACAUCUCUUAUAUAGGCACAGGAGAGAGAGGCGAAUAGGCUGUGAUGGGAGGUGAAGCAACAAAGGGAGACGAAGCGAACAGGCAACAGGUGAAGAGGUGCGCCGUUUGUAUUCAAUCUCCACUACAGAAAAAACGUUUCAGCUCCUGUGUGACCGUUCGUAUACCCAUCGUGCGUGGCAAAAAUUUAGAUAUCGGCUCGGCUCAUUCCCGCAACCCGUGGUGCAUCGUGAUGAGGCGAGGCGUGGCAUGGCGAGGCGGGCGAAGGCGGAGGAGCGCACGUGGAUGUCCCUCUUGUUCUCAUUCUCAUACAUGUGGGGAAAGAACCUCCCUUAUAAAGAGGUCCAACUCCCUCUAAACUAGCAAUGUGGGACUAAACAGUAAACUUCAGUUCCACCUCUUGCCUUGCACGAAUGGGCUGCGUGGGCCUCUAGGAUUUAUUAGGAAUUUCUGAAACUGCUAUUGGGCUGGCCCAAAAUAGACAAAAAUUGCAGCACCGAUAUGUCAAAUAUGCCCCUCAAACACCCGCGGGCACGUCUAGGGUAGUGCCCAGACAUGUCUCAAAUUUCACUUGUUUCAUCCAGACAUCUUAUACUAGAUUCUUAAAUCCAUACAAAAACAUGUAAACGAAAUAGCAACUCGUCGUUGGAGAUGUUGACAAUCUCCGUGUCCGGCUCCGACAGGAUUGGCAGCAUCUGCGGCUCUGGCUCCUCAUACGCCUCCGGCUGCUCCGCUUCGGCCUCCUUCGCCUCUAUCUCUGAGUCGGGUUUAGUGAAGAGCGCGUCGGACGCCGUGUGCUCCUGCCGGAGGAACGCCCGGUUGGCCUCCACAUAGGCCUCAUCCUGGAUGGACUCAAGGAUGGCCUGCCGCUAUGCCAUCUCGUUGGACUGGAUGACGGCGAACUCCACCUCCGCCUACUCCAUGUUGAAGACCGGCGGCUACUGCUCUGGCUGCUCCGCCUCCUCCACCUCCAUCGAAGCCAGCUCCGGCGAGUCCGGAGGCAGCCUGGCAGCGAUGCGGGCUGCGCAUGCGGCUUGUCUCACUCGGAUCUCCUGCUGGAUCUCGGCAGUGCUCCGGCGUGAGCAUUGUGUAGUAGGUGAUCUUCCUCCAGACCAUGGCGGACCACCGGAGCAUGGGAAGAGCACCGGAGCAGGAGAGGGAGGAGGUGGAUGGGCUCGGACUGGCGGCACGGAGAAGGAGGUGGAUGGACUAUGGUUGCGGGACUCCAGCCGGCUUAAAUAGGCAGAUUUGCUCUCGGGCGGCGAACCGGAGCGGCGCCACGUGGCGACGGAGGAUGCGUCCAUUGGACUGCAGGGUUUCCGAGCGAGUCCGCGUGGGAUCCCUCUGUCAGUCCUACAUGGCAAGCGCGUGUGGGCGCCCCCAUAUUCGCCCCAUAUUUGGGUUGGAUAUGAGGGGUGUUGGUCAGCCCGGGCGUUUGAGGGGGCCGUUUGGGUCAGAAAACGUGACCGGUCAGUGACCGGACGGUCCGCCCGGACAUGUGAGGCGGGUUUGGAGCGCCCAAUUGUAGAUGCUCUUAUCUGCUAUCCCUGAAAACCCUAGUUUUCCUUCUUUUUUGCGGAAAACUUGCAAGCUUUCAUUGCAUAUCACAAGAAGUUUGACACCUCACAGUCACAGUAACAAAGAUUUUAUAUAUACAUAUAAAAGACAGCUUUACUCUCCAAUUUUCAUUGCCAGAAACCACAAUGUCUUACAAGGGAACCAAAAUUAAAAAACAAAAGAAAAGCAAAAGGCCACUGACAAACAAUGCAUCAGAAUUUCCCUAUCUAAGGGGAUCAAGGAAAGGAGCCAUCAAUCUCCUUGUAUAUCUGAAGAAAAGCUCUAAUGCGGUUAGGGUCUCUAGCUGGUUUGACACAGCUACCCACGUUGUCAUAGAAGAACUCCAAGUUCAUGCCUCUCUCAUCUUCGAGAAUCAUAUUGUGAAGGAUAACACAACAUGUCAUGAUGUUUUUAAACAUCCGCUUGUCCCAAAAAUGAGCAGGACCACGAACAAUGGCAAACCUAGAUUGCAAAACCCCGAAUGCUCUUUCAAUGUCUUUUCGGGCUGCCUCUUGCACCCUUGCGAAUUCACAUUGUUUUCUAGUAUUGGGUUGUUUGAUGCUCUUGACAAAUGUGCACCACGAAGAGUAUAUACCAUCUUCAAUAUAGUACCCUUCUGUGUAUUCAUGCCCAUUGAUAGUGUACUUGGAAGCAGGAGCAUCACCACUAACAAGCCUAGCAAACAAAUGAGACCAUUGCAACACAUUGAUAUCAUUGAGAGUUUCCGGCAUACAAAAAAACAAUGCCAAAUCCAUAAAUCCUCGGAUGCUACGGCCUCUAGCACAAUUAUUGCAUCACGAGACUUGCCACAAUACAUUCCCUGCCAUGCCUUCAGGCAAUUUUUCCAAGUCCAAUACAUACAAUCGAUGCUACCUAGCAUGCCAGGCCAACCUCUCCUCUCAUUAGAUGCCAUAAAUUUUUUUGUGUCAUCCUCGUUGGGUGCCUGAAGAUAUUCAGGACCUAAGACACGGAUGAUCACUUUGGCAAACCUACGCACUGACUCAAUUAUGGUAUCUUCACCAAUGCGAAGGUACUCAUCGGCAUAGUCAGCCGGAACGCCAUAUGCAAUCACCCGCAUAGCUGCUGAGAUUUUUUGAUAUGCACUAAAUCCCUUCAAGCCCGCGGCAUGUCUUCUUUGAGUAAAAUACCGACAAUUUGCUUCGCAAGCUUGAACAAUUUUCACAAAGAGGGAUCGGCGCAUUCGGUACCUUCUUUGGAAGAGGUGCGAUGGAUAUGUCAGAUUCUUCGCGGAGUAGUCUUGCAUCAACAUCUUGUUCCCGAGAUGGCAAUUCCGAGGAAUGCAAAGACGCCUGACGGUCGAUCCUCACCGCCUCUUUCGAUUCUCAUCUUUGUGCUCCUUCACGGCAAGAUCCAUCACCAACGUCUGCUGCCGAUAGUGUGCAAGCAGCGCCUCAACAUUUGAGUCGUAUGAAUCGGAUGAAUCGUCGAGCAAAAACUUCUCGCACGGUCUCAAUUCCAUCUACAUGAACAAAAAUCGCACGUUGUGUCAACCAACUAUGCAUACCACUCAGCACAAAGCACAGCAAACACUAACAGGCGGUGAUGGGGUUGUGUACCUAGGGUAGGAUCAUGGACCUGAUCCAAGUAACUUACCCUAGGACAUCCUUAGAAGAGGUCGCCUUCCAGUCGACCAACGAGGAUUCACUCGACUGGCCUGAAGGACUCGACCACGAAGACUCACUCGACCACCAGGAGGUCAAGAGGCACUCUGCACUGCAACGGCCUGUAAUCAAGUAGACUUUAUGAUAGUAAAGGCACUUUAUGUGGGGCGUUACCAGUAAUGCCCCAGACUUAACUCACCUUAAACCCUCUCCUACGUGGGCUGGCUGGGGUCCUGGCGCACUCUAUAUAAGCCACCCCCUCCACAGGCAGAGGGGUUCGGCACCUUGUAAUUCAUACAUUCAUAAUCCACUCGACCGCCUCCGGGCUCCGAGACGUAGGGCUGUUACUUCUUCCGAGAAGGGCCUGAACUCGUACAUCCUUUGUGCUUACAACCUCUCCAUAGCUAGGACCUUGCCUCUCCAUACCUACCCCCCACUCUACUGUCAGGCUUAGAACCACGACAGUUGGCGCCCACCGUGGGGCAGGUGUUUUAGCGAUUUUGUGGAGAAGUUGCGAUUCUUCCGAGUACUCUCAUCAUGGUGUCUGCUGGAGUUUUGGUCAAGGGUCAAGAGAUCCGUCUCGGCACUCUCACCUUCAUCGCCGACGACUCCGCAUGGCUCCAGGAGGCUCCACUCGACGUAGACGCGCUCCCCGUCCGCGGUGCGACGCAUUUUCGCGCAUGUGUCCGCGGCGUUCUGCUGCGGCAACCGUCGACCCAGUAUCGGUCGGCUCCUCCAUCGUCCACCCUCCCGGUCUCCCGCCAGCGCAAGCGCUCAGGCCGGUCGAGGCUUCAGCGAUGGGUGAUUCACGCGGUGGCUCGCCAAUCGGCCACUACACAAGUUGCGGCAAUCGAGCCCAACGAAUCUCUCUACGGCUUGUUCGAUCAGUCGACUGGCUCCGGAGAGACUGCAUCCGAGUGCGGAAGCAGUGAUCCAGCGGCGGAAAUCUUGAUGGUCGACGGGCCCCACAACCCUCCUGGCUUCGCCCGUGGCGGUGGAGCAGGUGACGGCGGCGACCCUGCACGAGACUACGAAGAGUACCAGCCCGAGCCACUCGACUCUCUGCAAAGAGAAGAGCUUCGCCGCAGGAACGAGGAUCCCCUGCGUAUUCCCAUCGCAGGAGAAACCCCCGAGGCUCGUGCCUUGGAAGAGGCGCGUCUGGCCAAUUUGGCCGAGCGCACUCGACUGGAGAACCUUCAGCGAGCACUCGACGAGCGCGCGCGGCAACGAGUUCCCGACACCAGUCGACGUCAACUCUUCCCGCCGACUCAGGUAUAUCGAACCCCAAUUCAGAAUUUAGCAGCUGCGACCCGUAUAGCAGAGUCCAUUCAGCCUUCGCAGUCGGAAGCUGACAGAGGUUUGCUGCAGAUCAGGGAUCUGCUCCGGGCAGCAGGAGAUCAGAAUUCAGCCGUGUCUCAGUCGCGCAACAGAAUUCACAGUCGAUCUGUCACUGUGAAUACGGUUCAGUCGGCUCACAGCCCCAGAUCGCCUCCGCGGCGCGAAGGGCGUGAGAAUCGGCGAGAUCAAUAUGGCGACAGACUCGACCGAGAUGAUAGGCGUCGAGUGCCCUAUUCCCCUCCGAGGGGUGGGUCUUACGCUCCUCGGCAGCCAGAUGAUAGGCGUCAGUACAGUACAGGGCGUAGGGUUCCAGUUGACCCCAGAGAGCCAGGCUUCGACGCACGAUCCAUUAUCGUGCAAGGUUGGUUGACCGGAACAGAGCCCAUCGAGGCGCACUCGACAGAGAUGUACCCACGAGCAGUCGAGUACAUGUUUCUGGUCCUGAAUGUUUCAGCAGAGCUAUCAGAGCCGCAGUUAUCCCCCCCAAUUUCAGGUUGGCAACAGGAGUCAGCAAGUUCACUGGUGAGUCUAAGCCUGAAACUUGGCUUGAAGACUACCGAGUGGCAGUUCAGAUCGGUGUGGGAACGACGAGAUGGCCAUGAAGCAUUUGCCCCUCAUGUUGGAAGGUUCUGCCAGGGCAUGGUUGACUCAAUUACCUCCUAGCAGCAUUUACACUUGGGAAGAUCUGUCCCGAGUGUUCGUCAGAACGUUUGAAGGGACUUGCAAGCGACCAGCGGGAUUGACAGAGUUGCAAGUCUGCGUGCAGAAAACUAAUGAGACUCUCAGAGAGUAUAUUCAGAGGUGGAUCACUUUGCACCACACUGUGGAAAAUGUCUCUGAUCAUCAGGCAGUAUGCGCCUUCAAAGACGGCGUCAAGAACAGAGAACUGAGUUUGAAAUUUGGUCGAACCGGUGACAUGACCUUGAGUCGGAUGAUGGAGAUUGCUACCAAGUACGCCAACGGCGAAGAAGAAGACCGACUCCGAAGCGGCAAGCACAAGCCGAGUCAGUCGGAAAAAGGAAACACCAGUCGGAAACAGAAGCGGAAGGCUGAACCAGCAGCUCCUGGAGAGGCUCUGGCCGUGACUCAAGGAAAGUUUAAGGGGAAACCAAAAGGAUCCUGGAACCCCAAGAAGGUAAAGGAUAAAGAAGGGAACGACGUGAUGGAUAUGCCGUGUCACAUUCACACGAAGAAAGAUGAAGAGGGGAAUAUCAUUUACCCAAAGCACACCACUCGCCAAUGUCGACUCCUGAUCCAGCAGUUUCAGGGAAAACAGUCUAAGGACAAGGAGAAGGAGUCGGACAAGGCCGAAGACAAAGAGGACAGUGAGGGAGGAUAUCCGCAUAUCAACUCCACUCUGAUGAUCUUUGCAGAUGUGGAAAGCAGAAGUCGACUGAAAGUGAUUAACCGAGAGGUGAACAUGGUUGCCCCAGCAAAGGCAAAUUAUCUGAAGUUGUCUCAAACACCCAUCACAUUCGACCAAUCUGAUCACCCGACUCAUAUUGCCACCCCCGGGAGGCAAGCUUUGGUGGUCGAUCCAGUUGUCGAAGGCACUCGACUGACAAAGGUGCUGAUGGAUGGUGGAAGUGGGCUGAACUUAUUGUAUGCAGACACAUUGAAAGGUAUGGGCAUUCCGAUGUCUCGACUGAGCACUAGUAACAUGAGCUUCCAUGGAGUUAUACCAGGGAAGAAGGCCGAGUCACUCGGCCAGAUAGCUUUGGACGUAGUGUUUGGUGAUUCGAAGCAUUUUCGCAAAGAAAAGUUGACGUUUGAGGUCGUGGAUUUUCAAAGUGCAUAUCAUGCCAUUUUGGGGAGACCAGCCUAUGCACGGUUCAUGGCUCGACCAUGUUACGUGUACCUCAAAUUGAAGAUGCCCGGUCCCAAAGGUGUGAUCACUGUCACCGGUGAUAGGAAAAAGGCAGAGGAGUGCUUUCAGAAGGGCUCCAAGAUUGCCGAUUCCCAAGUGACAGCGGUCGAGUUCGAAGAAUACAAGCAAAACGCAGAUCCGAGUGACUUGCUGCGAUCCAAGAAGCCCGCCACAGAGUCUGCAUUCCAGUCGUCCGGUGAGACGAAGCCUGUUCACAUUCACCCGACCGACCCCGAAGCAGCUCCGACCCGCAUCUCCACAACACUCGACCCAAAAUAGGAAGAAGCGCUCAUCUAGUUCCUCCGUGAGAACUGGGACAUUUUUGCAUGGAAGCCCGCUGACAUGCCAGGUGUUCCCAGGGGACUGGCUGAGCAUCGCCUAAGAGUCGACUCGUCUGCAAAACCAGUCAAAGAGCAUCUUCGGCGGUCCGCCGUCCAGAAGAGAAAGGCCAUCGGUGAAGAAGUGGCUCGACUGUUGGCGGCAGGAUUUAUCCGAGAGAUAUACCACUCCGAGUGGCUCGCUAAUGUCGUCAUGGUUCCUAAGAAGGACAAGUCGCUCCGAAUGUGCAUUGAUUUCAAGCACAUCAACCGGGCCUGCCCGAAAGAUCACUUUCCUCUCCCUCGCAUAGAUCAAAUUGUUGACUCGACCGCGGGAUGCGAGAGGUUGUCUUUUUUAGAUGCUUACUCCGGGUGCCACCAGAUCCGUCUGUAAGGGCCCGAUGAGGUAAAAACAGCUUUCAUCACUCCAUUCGGGUGCUUCUGCUAUAUCACCAUGCCAUUCGGCCUCAAGAAUGCCGGAGCCACAUUUAUGCGAAUGAUUCAGAAGUGUCUACUCACCCAAAUCAGUCGGAAUGUGGAAGCUUAUAUGGAUGAUAUUGUUGUCAAGUCACAAAAAGGUUCCGACCUGCUCGCUGACCUCGCCGAAACAUUUGCCAACCUCAGAAGGUAUGAUAUCAAGCUCAAUCCAUCAAAGUGCACAUUUGGAGUUCCUGGUGGCAAGUUACUCGGUUUUCUCGUUUCCGAACGGGGAAUCGACGCUAACCCAGAGAAGAUUGGCACUAUUCUCCGAAUGAAACGCCCUGUGCGAGUGCACGAUGUCCAGAAGCUUACUGGAUGCUUGGCCGCAUUAAGUCGAUUCAUCUCACGACUCGGUGAAAAGGCACUGCCUCUUUACCGACUGAUGAAGAAGGCUGACAAGUUCGAGUGGACUCCAGAAGCUGAUGCAGCGUUUGCCGAGCUAAAAGCUCUGCUCUCCACCCAGCCGGUGCUUGCUGCUCCAAUCAGCAAAGAGCCUCUGUUGCUCUACAUCGCAGCCACAGGACAAGUCAUCAGUACUGUGCUAACGGUCGAGCGGGAAGAAGAAGGAAAAGCUCUCAAAGUUCAGCGCCCAGUGUAUUAUUUGUCCGAAGUCUUGACUCCAUCCAAGCAGAGAUAUCCUCAUUAUCAGAAGCUUGUGUAUGGAAUAUACAUGACCACAAAGAAGGUUGCUCAUUAUUUCUCUGACCAUUCCAUCAUAGUCGUCAGCGACGCUCCACUAUCAGAGAUUUUGCACAACAGAGAUGCAACUGGUCGAGUGGCCAAAUGGGCGAUUGAACUUCUUCCCCUUGAUAUCAAGUUUGAGGCAAAGAAAGCCAUUAAGUCCCAGGCGAUAGCCGAUUUCCUCGCCGAGUGGAUUGAAUAACAGCAGCCGACUGAAGUUCACUCGGAGCAUUGGACCAUGUUUUUCGAUGGCUCUAAGAUGUUGAAUGGUUCCGGUGCUGGGGUUGUCCUGGUUUCCCCCAGAGGAGAUAAGCUCAGAUAUGUGCUCCAGAUUCACUUUGAUUCCUCCAACAAUGAGGCAGAAUAUGAGGCCCUCCUAUAUGGGUUGCGCAUGGCCAUUUCACUCGGCGUCCGUCGCCUAAUGGUCUAUGGCGACUCGGAUUUAGUGGUCAAUCAGGUGAUGAAAGAGUGGGACGUGAGAAGCCCAGCCAUGACUGGAUACUGCAGUGCAGUGAGGAAGCUGGAGAAGAAGUUCGAGGGGUUGGAGCUCCAUCAUAUACCCCGACUGAAAAAUCAAGCAGCUGAUGAUCUAGCAAAGAUAGGUUCCAAGAGAGAAGCCAUUCCGAGUGGUGUGUUCUUGGAGCAUAUACGCACUCCGUCAGUCAAAGAGGAUCCUUUCACCGAAGAAACUCCGCAGCCCAAGAGCGCCACAGAUCCGACUGAAGUUGAAGUCCCAGCGGUGGUCGACUUGAUCAUGGAGGUUUUGGUGGUCAUUCCCGACUGGACGAUUCCGUAUGUCGCAUAUAUCUUGAGGAAAGAGCUUCCGGAGGAUGAAGAAGAGGCUCGACAGAUCGUCCGUCGAUCUAAGGCCUUUACCGUAAUCAAAGGACAAUUAUACAGAGAAAGCGCGACUGGAGUCGGUCAGAAGUGCAUAACACCAGAAGAAGGUCGACUCAUCCUCAAUGAUAUUCACUCGGGGACCUGUGGUCAUCAUGCGUCCUCUCGGACCAUCGUGGCCAAAGCAUACCGAGCCGGAUUUUACUGGCCCAAGGCGAAUGAGAUGGCAAAAGAGAUAGUAGAUAAGUGCGAGGGAUGUCAGUUCUACUCGAAUAUGUCGCACAAGCCUGCGUCAGCUUUGAAGACCAUCCCACUCGUCUGGCCUUUUGCAGUUUGGGGGCUGGAUAUGAUCAAGCACUCGCCUAAGUUAUAAAAAUCCUACCGAGUGAAGAGCACCCCUCUCACUCGGGGGGCUUAGCUGCAGUCCAAGCACUCGCCUAAGUUGUGAAAAUCCUACCGAGUGAAGAGCGAUCCUCUCACUCGGAGGCUUAGCUGCAGCCUCGUGCUCGCCUAAGUUAUAAAAAUCCUACCGAGUGAAGAGCAACCCUCUCACUCGGGGGCUUAGCUGCAGUCCAAGCACUCGCCUAAGUUACAAAAAUCCUACCGAGUGAAGAGCAAUCCUCUCACUCGGAGGCUUAGCUGCAGCCUCGUGCUCGCCUAAGUUAUCAAAAUCCUACCGAGUGGUAAGCCAGCCUUCCACUCGGAGGCUUAGCUGCAGCCUCGUGCUCGCCUAAGUUAUAAAAAUCCUACCGAGUGAAGAGCAACCCUCUCACUCGGGGGCUUAGCUGCAGUCCAAGCACUCGCCUAAGUUAUAAAAAUCCUACUGAGUGAAGAGCAACCCUCUCACUCGGAGGCUUAGCUGCAGCCAUGUGCUCGCCUAAGUUAUAAAAAUCCUACCGAGUGAAGAGCAACCCUCUCACUCGGAGGCUUAGCUGCAGCCCUGUGCUCGCCUAAGGUAUAAAAACCCUGCCGAGUGGAGAGCAACCCUCUCACUCGGGGGGCUUAGCUGCAGCCCAGUGCUCGCCUAAGUGGACUAAAGAAUAAGUCGAUUGCAGUACAGGCACCUUGCUUUGAACCUGCAAAAGACAUUCCGAGCCGAAGGCAAUCAUGUUCAAGCGCCGAAUUCAAGUUUGAAUCGAUAUAUAAAGGAACCGAAAGUGCUCAGGUGUCAAGCCCGUUAAGGUUUGUCGGUUACAAUUCCACUCGGCAUACCGAGGCAAAUUUAAAGCGUCGAGCCAGAAGAAGUGUUUUACCCCUCCUGUGGAGGGAUGGAAGGUGCAACAAAUUCAUCAAGGUCAAUCCCGUCGGCGAUCCGAGUGGCAGCUGCAAGGAAAGUUUCCAUAAAGGAUCUGAAGUCGUGCUUCUUGGUAUUGGCCACCCGAAGGGCCGCCAGCUUCUCCUCUCGUGCAUCUUUGCAGUGGACUCGGGCCAGACACAGAGCGACAUCUGCACCACACCGAGCCGAGGACUUCUUCCACUCCUGCACUCGACCAGGGAUCGUGUUCAAGCGGGCCAUCAGCGACUCAAGGUCAUUCUGAAGUGUCUCCUCAGGCCAGAGCGUCGAGUCGAUGCGAGAUGUGGCGGCCUUCAGCCUUGCAAGAUAGUCCACGACAGCUGCAACACGAGACUCCAGUUGGAAAACAUCCAUGGCAACUUCGUCGUUCACCGGAGAAUUGACGGGGUCAAGGUUUGGCUCCAGUCGGCUGGUUUCUUCUUCAAAGUUUUGACAAAAUUCUGCAAGGGUGAUCACUAAGUCAAGGAGAUAGUCGAAUGGAAAAAGCCACAAUUGGAAAUAUUUGCCAAACAUGGAGGUCUACCUUCAAGCAUAAGGAACAACUUCUUGGCAAGGCCACUCAGGAAGGCCUCCAGUUCAGUUUUCUUCUCAGUCAAUUUGCUGACUUGGUCGGUCAGGGCAGCUUUGUCAGUUUUCAGUCGACUGACCUCCUUGUUGGCAAUCCCAAGAGCAGCUUUCAGAUUGGUAUUGUCUUGUUCGAGCUUGGUGACUGAAGCUAACUUCUCGUCAGCAAGCUUGAUCUUCUCAGCUAGCUCAAGGUCUUUCUUCUGCUGGGCCUCCCUUACCUUACCUGCAAGUUACAGCAAGAUCAGAUGCUGAAACAAGCAAGAGGAAAAGCAGUCGUCAGGGUCUCACCAAACAUACCUUCGGUCUCCUCCUUUGCCUUUGUCAGCUUCUCCUGAACCAGCUUCAAGCUCAGCUCGACUUGAGUAUGUUUUUGUUCCAGCUCUGAGUAGCGAGCCACAAGAUCACAGGAGUUCUGUGAAGAACCAAUCGACUAAAUGUCAAAUAUAAUUCACUUCCGAGUGAAAAAGGGAUAAACACACGUUUCUAAGACUACAGCCAAAUACAAGCAUUCGACCGUAGUCUCGGGGACUACACCCAGUGGGUGCACUCAGCGUGCCCCCACUAAUCCUGUUGAAGACAAAGUCGACCAGUCGACCUCGAAAAAAAAAGAGAGAGAUGCAUUCUCUAAGACUGUGAUCAACUGCAAGCAGUCGACCACAGUCUCGGGGACUACACCCAGUGGGUGCACUCAGCGUGCCCCCACCGGUUUGUGAAAUCCAGUCGACAUAGUCGACUGAAAGAAAAAUUGACGUCAUAAAGCCUAAAGCCGACUGCCAGCAGUCGACCUUAGCCUUGGGGACUACACCCAGUGGGUGCACUCAGCGUGCCCCCACCGGUUUGUGAAGUCCAGUCGACCAGUCGACUGACAGAAAGAUUGACAUCAUAAAGCCUAAGGCCGACUGCCAGCAGUCGACCUUAGCCUUGGGGACUACACCCAGCGGGUGCACUCAGCGUGCCCCCGCUAACACGGAGUUUAUUCGACACACCCAGCGGGUGACUAAUAUAAAUUCCGGAAAAGAAAAGUUUUUGGUAGCAUAUCCAACAGAACAAACAGCGGUCGACUGACCUGGACAUUGCUUUGGAGGGCAGAACUGGCGUCAUAAGCUGCCUGGCUCGCGUCCCGGAUGGUCUUCAGCUGCUCCAUCAUGAGUCCCGCCUGGCGUAUUGCCUCCUUCGCUGCGCCAGCUUGGUCCUCUGGGACGUGGUGCGUCGUAAAAAGGGAGGGCUGCUGAGCACUCGUCAGUGGAUUGGCGAAGGACACCGUGUGUCGAGUGGUGUUCCCUUCCUCCACAGUCAGAAUCUCAGGCGCCGUCACAUCCUGAGGUACCUUACUGGCGGACGCUUUCCGACUCCUCCUGUGUGUCAGUGGUUCUUCAUCCUCGUCGUCGUCAGGGAGAUUGAUAACGGUGUUGGGUGGAGCUGCGGAGAAGGAUCAGGAUCAGAGAUCGCGAGUCAGUCGACUAAGAACGAUGUUAAGAAUACAGUACCUGGGUUCGAAGUUGCUGCAUCCUCCAUCUCGUGGUCAUCGGCCCGGGCCGAGGUUUCAGAAGUAGCAGCACUGCAACUCCAAAGGAUCAGUCGACUAACUUCAGCGUCGACCAGAGAUAAAGUUCGCACAGAAUAAGAAAAUAUGAGUAGCACAAUUACCCUGAUAUGGUGGGGAUGGACACCUUCAUCUUCGGCAGGAGCUUGGUCGGCUUUGGCGGAGCCCCCCUAGGCUGCUUCGGCGACCUUUCAGUCGGCGCUGGAGAAGUGGUCCUAGGGCGCUUGGUCGACUGCGUUGCAACCCCCUUGCCACGUUCAGUCGAAGGGUCGUGGACGAGCUUCGACCGCCUUUCCGAGCGCGGUGGCACGACCUCCUCCUCUUCCUCCUCGUCUUCGGCGUCAUCAUCAUCGCCGUCGUCAUCAUCAUCGUCGUCGUCGUCCCCUGCAACGUCCGAGUCCCAUUCCUCCUCGUCCUGGCUCUCGCCCCCACUCGCCUCACCCUCCUCAGUCGGAGUUUGUGCCCCAUUGGGCAUCGAGUACAGCUCGGUGAGGGCCUAGCAGAUAUUAAGACAAUGAUCAGUCGACCAGUCGGCAGAGUAAACAGAGAUGAAUGCGACAAGAAUGCAGUGGAGAGCAGGGCAAGUGUACCUUAUUUGGAUCACUGUUGUGGUCGAGUGGAGGAAUCCUUCUGGCUCCGCGUGGGUUGUCCUUGUUUCCGGUGACGGCUACCAUCCAUCUUUCCAGAGUGACAUCGUCGACUGCUUCUGGAUGGACUCUAGUCUCGUCUUCGGUCCCACAGUACAACCACAUGCAGUGGCUCCGGAACUGGAGAGGCUGGAUGCGACGCCUGAGGAAAACCUCCAGGAGGUCCAUGCCCGUCACUCCCUCCCGAACCAACUGCACCACGCGCUCCAUCAACAUCUUCACGUCAGCUUUCUCCUCCGGAAUCAGCUUCAGAGGAGAAGGCUUGUUCACUCGGUCCAUGGUAAACGGAGGGAGUCCACUCGACUGCCCUGGCGUCGACUGGACCUGGCAGUAGAACCAAGUCGACUGCCAGCCUCUGACGGACUCGGGAAAGGUCAUGGGCGGGAAAGUGCUCUUAUUCCUCACCUGAAUCCCCAGGCCCCCACACAUUUGGACGACUCGGGUUCUCUCAUCACCUGGGCUCGCCUUCUUCACGGUCUGAGAGCGACACGUGAAGAUAUGUUUGAACAAACCCCAGUGCGGUCGACAGCCCAAGAAACCCUCACACAUGGACACGAAUGCAGCAAGAUAGGCAAUGGAGUUUGGGGUAAAGUGGUGAAGCUGCGCUCCAAAGAAAUUCAAGAAGCCACGGAAGAAAAUACUUGGCGGCAAGGAAAACCCACGAUCAACAUGAGUGGCCAAAAGCACACACUCACCCUCUUCUGGCUGUGGCUGCCACUCCUUCCCCGGCAACCUCGCAGCUCCGUGAGGGAUCAAGCCCUCGUUGGCCAUGUCGAGGAGGUCCUUCUCCGUGAUGGUCGACUGGAUCCAGUCUCCUUGGACCCAGCCUUUCGGCAGGCGGGAUCUGGACGAGGACCCUCCAUGGCUGGUGGAUCUCCCCUUCGCCUUCUCCGAUGCCGACGCCUUCGUUGCACGCUCCAGCGCUGCCGUCUUCUCCUUGGCCAUGGUCGCCGGUGAGAUGCGCGAAGGGAAGUGGUGCGGGGGCGAGAGCGAGCACGCUGAGCAGGGAGGAAGGAGCAGAGAGAGAGAGGGAGAAUGCUGAGGCGCAGCACAGAAAUCCUCGCCGGGCGCAUUUAUAAGGUCCCUUCCGAGUGGCUGACAUGUGGGCCCGGUCUAUCUAAUCAUAUCUGGGAGCAGUUAUGGAGACUGGAUACGUGGCGAAAAAGGCGGCGCGGAGAUCAAGGCGUCUAUGCCCCGUCCCAUCCGAACGCCGCGGUCUGCCCCGCUUCGCGCGCGCCCCCAAAUUUCGCAUCCCGCGGAAUCCGCGAGCAACAAAUCAGUCUGUCAGACGCGGUGUUUCCGGCGAUCCGUCGCUCGGAGAUCGUCGAAGCCCGAAAGAUCACUCGACGCAAAAAUAGAAUGGAUCGAGUCGACUGAAGGCAAAUUGCUCCCUGUCAACGAAGAGAUUCUUUGGUCCAGAACAGCGCACAACUAGAGCGCAAAGGUUAAUCGGAAACGACAUCAACUCCUUCUUCACUCGAAGCCUCGAUCCAUUCGGGGGCUAAUGAUGGGGUUGUGUACCUAGGGUAGGAUCAUGGACCUGAUCCAAGUAACUUACCCUAGGACAUCCUUAGAAGAGGUCGCCUUCCAGUCGACCAACGAGGAUUCACUCGACUGGCCUGAAGGACUCGACCACGAAGACUCACUCGACCACCAGGAGGUCAAGAGGCACUCUGCACUGCAACGGCCUGUAAUCAAGUAGACUUUAUGAUAGUAAAGGCACUUUAUGUGGGGCGUUACCAGUAACGCCCCAGACUUAACUCACCUUAAACCCUCUCCUACGUGGGCUGGCUGGGGUCCUGGCGCACUCUAUAUAAGCCACCCCCCUCCACAGGCAGAGGGGUUCGGCACCUUGUAAUUCAUACAUUCAUAAUCCACUCGACCGCCUCCGGGCUCCGAGACGUAGGGCUGUUACUUCUUCCGAGAAGGGCCUGAACUCGUACAUCCUUUGUGCUUACAACCUCUCCAUAGCUAGGACCUUGCCUCUCCAUACCUACCCCCCACUCUACUGUCAGGCUUAGAACCACGACAGGCGGCUCGUGGGGCGGGCGAUCGCGGGCGGCAACUAGGGGCGGCUCGAGGGUGGUCGGUCCCAGGCGGUGACAGCGACUGUCGGUGUCAAAACCGGCGGAUCUUGGGUAGGGGGUCCCGAACUGUGCGUCUAGGCGGAUGGUAACAGGAGACAAGGGACACGACGUUCUUACCUAGGUUCGGGCCCUCUCGAUGGAGGUAAAACCCUACUCCUGCUUGAUUAAUAUUGAUGAUAUGGGUAAUACAAGAGUUGAUCUACCACGAGAUCAGAGAGGCUAAACCCUAGAAGCUAGCCUAUGGUAUGAUUGUUGUUCCUCCUAUGGACUAAAACUCUCCUGUUUAUAUAGACACCGGAGAGGGAUAGGGUUACACAGAGUCGGUUACAAUGGGAGGAGAUCUACAUAUCGUAUCUCCAAGCUUGCCUUCCACACCAAGGACAGUCCUAUCCGGACACGGGACGAAGUCUUCAAUCUUGUAUCUUCAUAGUCCGGGAGUCCGGCCAAAGGUCACAGUCCGGCCAUCCAGACACCCCCUAAUCCAGGACUCCCUCAGUAGCCCCUGAACCAGGCUUCAACGAUGACGAGUCCAGCACGCAAAUUGCCUUCGGCAUUGCAAGGCGGGUUCCUCCUCCGAAUACUUCAUAGAAGAUGUUUGAACACAAGGAUAGUGUCCGGCUCUGCAAAAUAAGUUCCACAUACCACCAUAGAGAGAAUAAUAUUUACACAAAUCUAAUCUGCUGACGUAUUCCGUAGUGUGACAUCACGCCACGGCCAAGCCUUUAUUCGAAUCGUUUUACUAUUCCACCUCAGCGCAUUUAGCGAGGCGGUUUCCUUGGCACGUCUUUUCAAAGCAGAGAUCGUGUCCCCUUAUUCCGGUAUUCUCAUCAAUACGGGCGUGGGUAACCCAACCGUGCCAUUGGUAUGACUUCUUAAUUGAAAGUGAGUCCCACACGGUCACGGGGAGGGCUCUUGGUAUUCAACCUCUUUAUAAAGAGACCAAGGCUCGACUCCUUUCUUCCAAUCCAAUCCAAUCCGCCUCUCGCCUCGAGUUCCAACACCCAAAGCUCCAGAUUCAGGCGCUUUGGACCUUCGAUGAUGUCCGGCUCCGACCUCCAAGGCCGGUGGAUGCCUUCCUCCAUUACGGAAGAAGACAUGCGAAAGCUGAGAGAUGCCAGGUAUCUAAGCGGCAAAAUCUCGCAUAGGAUGCCUGCUCAAGGGCAGGCUAUUCCCACUCCCCAGCCCGGUGAGAGCAUGGUGUUCACAUCUCACUUCCUUCGGGGGCUAGGCUUCCCGAUCGAUCCCUUCGUGAGGGGGCUCAUGUUUUAUUACGGGCUGGAAUUUCACGACUUAGCUCCGGAGUCCAUCCUCCAAAUCUCAUCGUUUAUUGUCGUGUGUGAGGCCUUCCUACACGUUACUCCUCACUUCGGGCUGUGGCUUAAAACCUUCAAGGUAGAACCGAAGAUGAUCGAGGGGCAGCACGCUGAGUGCGGAGGUGCAACUAUAAGCAAGAUUGCCGAUGCCCCAUGGAUCGAGGGCUCUUUUCAAGAGGAGUUCGGAUUAUGGCAACGGGAGUGGUUCUACAUCACAGCCCUCAGGGGCACCACAUGGGUGAUGCCGCCUGCUUUUCGCUCGGGUCCCCCACCACGGCUAGCGUCAUGGCUCAAUAAAGGACUUAACUGGGGGCCGUCCAAGGACGUGCCCUUGCUGCAGGGCCGUAUUCGAGAUCUCCGAGAGAGAGACAUCAAUUUGGCCGUAGCGGCGUAGGUUAUGCUGAUUCGCCGCAUACUGCCCUGCAAACGUCGCCCCCUCUGCCUGUGGGAAUUUAAUCUGGAAGGGCCAUGAGCUCUCCAACACUUUAUGGGCAUGAAGCCUGUGGAGAUGUACAAAUUGUACUUUGGAUCACAAGCAAGGUGUCCGGACUUGUCCGAGGACGCGGGCCUGAGCUGCAACCGCCCGGAUACUCAAGUAAGUAGCCCCAUACCCGGACAUGUGUGAAACUCCAAAAAAAUUUGUGGUUUUUUUUUCAGCAAGAGUCUUGCUUGGUUUAAAGAAGGUCUUUUAAACCCUUCUUGAAAACCUCUCUUGAGUUUUCACUCUCAAAAAUCUUUUCUUGGUUUUAGUUUCUUCUAAAAAGAAAAUCUUUUUGGUUUUGGGCUUUUAUUUGGUUUUGAUCCUUUCUUGAUUUUACCAUGCCUCCUAUGGUAAAAUUUUCCCAAAACCCCUCCUUCCACUUUAAGACAACCCAAACAUUAUGUCCCAUCUAAUAAAAUCCAUUUUUGGAUUUUAUUCCAUUCAUUUCUUUCCCCAAAAUAAUUCUGUCCUUUAUUUUGAGCUUAGGUAGUUUGCAAAGCAAGUACCUAAAUGCCUUUGAUCUUUGACCUCAAUUCAACUCCUCUGGAUAGUCCUUAGCACCCACAACCUAGAACCAUCAUGAUCCACUCUUCUUCUUUUCAAAUAUUUCAAAAUUCACCCCCUGCAAGUUUGGACCAGAUUUGUCAAAUUUGGUGAAAUUCAUAUCUCCACUUCUCCAAAAAUUCCACCAAAAUUCAGGCAACCCCUAGCUGCAAUGAGAGACCACUCCACCAAAAACCAGCUCAAGGAAAAAUCCCCACAUGCCAAAAUCAUUCUGUCGAACACCUGGCAUGCACUGUUACUGUACAUCUUCAGUAAUAUUCAGAAUUCAGUGUCGUUUCUUCGUCAGAGAUUCAGUCACAUGUCGACAGUGCACUUGGCAUGUUGCUCACAGCCCCUCCUUCUUGUCCGGAGCACCACACGUGCGCUUGGCGCGUUCCUGGCGUCGGUGGCACCAUGGCCCACCUGCGCCAGCGUGUUUUGCGGCGGCAGAACCACCGUAGCGGCCGACAAGGGGCAAACCUGCGGCAUAACGCCGUUCGGCACCGCCCAAACCUCCUGAGAGCUCCGCGUGGCCACCUCCCUGCCAGCGCACGCAUGCAGCACCGUCGCCGUGGCCUGGCACGCGCAGAGCGCAUUCUCUGCCGCUGACGGGCCGUGCGGCCGUUCCGUCGAGGACAGACCGUAAACCCCCCUUCCUUGCUGAGUUGGACACUGGAAUGGCACCAGUGCUUCAUCAAGAUGAUGCUCAAGCCCCUAAGCCAACCGUCCAGCCACAGCGCCGCCGUAAUCGCUCGCCAGACUUAUCCGUUCACGGCAACCGCCUCGGGCCGGCUAUAAAUAGCACCCCUCGAGCUUGCUCUCGCCCCCGCACAACUCCACCACCUCACCAGACCCUGCCUAGCCACUGGAAGAGCCUCAAGGGGCCCUUCUUCCUCAACUCCGGCCACCUCCGUCCGCCUCAGGCUCCGGCAACGUUCUCUUCGGUGAGAACUCCUCUGCCGCCCUACUCUCGCCCGUAGCCUUGUACCACCUCUAGGAGUCUAACCCCCACUCCAAUUUGACCCCAGCAGCUCUCUCCGACGAGGCCCACGACCACCCGAACCGCCGUCCGCCGGAGCAAGCGCCGCCAUCGACACAGUGCUCGCCGGCGACCACCACCACCACCCACAGACGCGGAAGGACGUGCUGAUCACAGAGGUACCACCCGAUCACCCAGCCCCGCCGUGGAUCGCCGUCGGCGACCACCGCAUCUCUCGGGCGCCGUCGCGCCCUAUUGGUGGAGCCCGCCUGUCGGUCUCUCAGUCUUUUCUUUUAAACGAACCGUUUUCUGGACUUUUCCGCAAAACCCCCUGGGAGUUUUCUGUUUCAUUAUAGAAAAUUCCCUGAAUCAAAACCCUUAUAUCUUUUAAACAGAAAAGUAUUUUUGUUUGAUUCUUUUUCUGUUCUCCUUAAAAUUUUGUCUAGUUUUUUAUCAGAUUUAUUUGAAAAUUAUUUGGUAUACUUUUUGUGCACCUCGCGGUAUUUACGUUACGUGCGUAUUUUUCUUAUACCGUAGAUUCCGGAGGAAGUGACGGAGCCGCAAACUUCACCCAGUUAGACUCCGACUACUCCGAACCAGGCAAGCAUGUUUGAACUCUUGAUAUGAUGAAGUGUUUGUUGCAUGUUUGCAUCUUAGGAGUUUCUUGGCAUGUUUAUGAACAUUUCUUUAAAUGUUAUAUUUCAUGCACAGAAGUGGAAAGUAAGUUUCGGAAAGCCAUAUGUUGUUGGAUACACAUUGGCAUGGCCAUGAGAUGGCAUGAGGAUGGGUAAGAUGGCAGUGUUGUGACAUGCCAGUCUUAUGCCAGUCCAUUUGACAUCAGUGUCAUCGUGAAUCAAGUCAUAUUCCCAUUCAUUUCCUUUCCAGUACUACCACAUGUUUUCCGCAAGGAAUAUGGCUUAGUAAGUUGCAACCGUUUUCCUGGUACACACCAAGUAGAGAGGCCGGGAUGAGGGUUCCAUGGCCCUGGAUUAAAGCCCGUCAUCCGGUCAGGGGGCAUGGGUGUUUCCGGUUGGGACCGAGAGGCGGGCACCCCUUAGAGCGCGCGUAUAGAAAUUUGAUCCCAUGCUAUUCGAGGUUGUGGCCUCCCCGUCUCAAAGUUUUUCUUGGAUGUUGCCUAGGGUGAUUCCUGGCAUCGUGAGGUGGAAUGGGUGUGUACUAGUUAAAUGUGUUUCUACCGAAAUACCGUAAACCGAACUAGUCCUUUGUGACUACGGAAAUCCGUUGGCUGUGGUCAGUGAGUACAAACUCUGCAGAGUCACAAAUCCUUUAAAUCAUCUUGUACUUGUCCAAGUAUUGUAUUCAUCUUAUCUUGUCAGAUAUCAGUCUCAGUGACAAAACUCCGGUGGAAUACAUGUGUGUAAAAUCUGGUUAAAAGUUUAUUCUUGUGGAUGGACUAAUCUUGUUAUUUACAUUUGUUAUAAGCCCUGUCUGUGAUGUCGCUCAGACGUCCGACGGUGGCAUACUUGUUAUUUACAUUUAUUAUAAGCCAUGUCUGUGAUGUCGCUCAGACGUCCGACUGUGGCAUUUCUUUUAUAAGCCCUUUCUGUGAUGUCGCUCAGACGUCCGACUGUGGCAUUUCUUUUAUAAGCCCUUUCUGUGAUGUCGCUUAGAUGUCCAACUAUGGCAUUUCUUUUAUAAGCCCUUUCGGUGAUGNNNNNNNNNNNNNNNNNNNNNNNNNNNNNNNNNNNNNNNNNNNNNNNNNNNNNNNNNNNNNNNNNNNNNNNNNNNNNNNNNNNNNNNNNNNNNNNNNNNNNNNNNNNNUCCGACUGUGGCAUUUCUUUUAUAAGCCAUUUCUAUGAUGUUGCUCAGAUGUCCGACUGUGGCAUUUCUUUUAUAAGCCCUUUCUGUGAUGUCGCUCGGACGUCCGACUGUGGCAUUUCUUUUAUAAGCCCUUUCUGUGAUCUCGCUCAGACGUCCGAUUGUGGCAUUUCUUUUAUAAGCUCUUUCUGUGAUGUCGCUCAGACGUCUGACUGUGGUAUUUUCUUUUAUAAGCCCUUUAUGUGGUGUCGCUUAGACGCCCGACUGCGGCAUGAGUUUUACUUGUUUACCUUUCGAGGCGUCGCUUUAGACACCCGAUCGGUUUUCAGUUAUAUGUUUUAUUUGUCACAUCGUGAAAUUUUUAUUAUUGGAAUGAGCAUCAUUAUUUUUGCUCAUGACGCACUCAUGCAUGCAUUUGUUAUAUCUUUUGUCUGAACUGUCUUGCGAGUACUUUCAAAGUACUCACCUGGCUUGUUGAUUUGGCCAGAUGUUGAUGAAGGCGAUCUCAUGGAUGAAGAGUUCAAUAGCGAGUCCGACGCCUAGAGGAGUCCCAGUCAGUCCCGUGCGAUCCUGCUUUGGUCAUUGUAUCAUAUCCGCUUCCACCACCCCUGAAUAAAUUCAUCGAGCCUCACUUCGACGCUCGAUGAGCUGCUAGUUAGGAGUUAAGUUAUCCAUCACCACUUUUUAUCUCGAGCAAGUAGCAUGUCACCACACCCCUGAGCCAUAACCACCCUUAUGUAAGAUAUUGGCGAGUUUGUAAUAAAUUGUUGAGCAGCCUCAGCUCAACCCUGUAAUAUAUUUAAUGCUACUGGUCCUCUGUUUAUCAAGUAUUUGUCUACCAGUGAGGAUGACUUUUCCUAUACUGGGAUUAAAAGAUUGGUUUUCUCAAUAAGCAUUUUACUGAAAAACCGGUCGCGACAGACUUGGUACCAGAGCCAGGCUGACUAUAGGAAGCCACUAGGUGCGAUCGCUAAUCGGUUAUUAGCAUGAUAGAGUUUAUUCAUGUUUUUACAAAUGUAGUCAUUUUUUUCUGACAGUCAGCAUAAAAUUUAUGAUCUGAUCGCUCAGAAUUUUUGCCUACUUUUGUAGAUGGCUGGCAACGACUGUGAGUCGCAAAUGUUCACCAAUGUGCCUGAGGGUUUCGUCAAGCUCCUCUCCUUCAUCGUUCAGGUCGCGAUGGGGCCAUCCGUGCGCCCAGUCUUCACACUUUAUCCACACAAGAUCAACGACAGUCUGACCAUGCACCAGGCCGUGGUGCAAUUCAAGGGAGGGCGUGCUGAGAUACGCCGCUUCCGAUUCUUGGGGAGAGCCAUGCCUACAGAGAGGCAUGCUAUGCAGAUGGCUGCCCGCGAGGCGAUAGCUCGUCUUCGGGAUGUCCUUCCUACAAUGAAGACCCGUCGCUACCGCUACCUUCCAUGCCACGUGCCUUACACCUAUCACUACUCAUUCUCUUGCCCCAGAGGAGAGCGAGACGAGGCCUUUGAGAUGCUUGUCGAGUACCUCCGAGCCCUGGAGGCAGCCUUCGACAGCAUGGUGGACGACCUCGUAGCUGCCCGCAUGGACUUAGUUCAUGGUUGUGCUGCCAACAGGAGGGAACUCCUGCACACCGCUCCACCGCUAACUUUUGUCUCGUCCUCAGCUUCUCAUUCACCUACCAUUCUCGCCACUGCUCAUCGUCUGCCUACCACUGAGGAAUUUAACCAAGCUAUUGCACCCACUCCCAUUCGCUCUGCACCACUUGUUGCACCCACUCCCAUACGUGCUACUCCACCUAUUCCGCCCACUCGUAUUCGUGUUAUUCCGCCUAUGGCACCUGCUCCAUCAGCUCAGCGCAGCGUUUCUCGUCUGGAACCUAUUAGCGAGGAGGAGGUUGAUUCCCCAGCGUCUUUGCGUCUCACCCUCGGCAGGCCAAGGGAGACCCUCACCAUCUCCGACUGAGUACGUUUAGACGCCAUGCGAUGUACCGACUUGUGUGAUAUGUGUAUAUGUACAUAGGUUGUGAGAAGUAGCCUGUUUGUGCAUCAUGUAGGAUCUGGAGAAGUGCACUAGUCUCAAUAACAUGUCAGGAUUAUGUACGCAUAUCCUGAGUGGUGUAAUGUAUAAUUAUGCUUGCAUGUAAGAUAUGUAUUAGUCCUUCUCCGCGCGCAAUCGUGUAUUUGGUUUUUCAAGAUUUUAUUUGUGUGUGAUUUUAUUGAAUUUUGCGACUCUCUUUCCUGUCUUACGAGUUUCAGAAAAUAUAUCCUCAGAGUGAAAGAUGUCUCGUCCGUGGACGCGCUCUAUGCCAAAUCAGCCCGAAGAAAAUUAUGGCACACCGCAAAACCACAAUUUCACUCAGGGACAGACAAGUCAACAGGACAGUGAAACAACAUUUACCGAAGUGUGUCGUCUGUAUGAACAAAGUCAGCAACAACACCAGGAAAUGAUGAACCAAUUCAUCAAUAUGGGAAAUCACCGUGGUCAGUAUCAGCAGCAAUCCAAGCUAUCUGAGUUACAGAAAACGCAUCCCCAAACAUUUUCUCACACUGACAAGCCUCUUGAGGCCGAAGACUGGCUUCGAGACAUGGAGAGAAAAUUAAUUAUUGCACAAUGUUUAGACCGUGAAAAAGUAUUGUAUGCACCACAUUAUCUCACCGGAGCAGUUGCAUCAUGGUGGGAAAACUUCUUGCACAUGCACCCCAACGAAGACGAAAUAACCUGGGAGGAUUUCAAGGAAGGUUUUCGUGGGGCACACAUUCCUAAGAGUGUUAUGAAAAUCAAGAAGAGAGAAUUUGAUGAUCUCAAGCAAAGGACCAUGACAGUGUCAGAAUACAACAGCCAAUUCACUCUGCUGUCUCGCUACGCCAAUGAAGAGUGCAUGACCGAGAGCAAGAAGAUGGAAAAAUUCUUGGAAGGUCUGGCACCCGCACUUAAAUGCCAACUGGUUGUGCAUACCUUCCCAGAUUUUAAAACACUGGUGGAUAAGGCCAUUACUCUGGAAAAUGAGCGAUGUAGCCUGGAAGACUUCUGCAAACGCAAAAGGGACCAGACUACUUUUGCUCGCAAUCACAGAAACAAGACAGAAUUUCAGAAGGGUGGAACACACAAAACCCCGACGAAUAAUUCACGCCCAAUCAAGAAUUUCCAUGCAAGAGACAAGGAGUUCACAUAUUGCCCAGGCGUUACUUGUUACGCUUGUGGAGAAGAAGGGCACUAUGCCAAGCAGUGCCCCAAGCCAAGGAACUCAACCCCAAAGCCUCUCAAUGGUGGCAAUAAUUCAGCGCCCAAGCGAAACAAUUUCAACCCCAACAACAACCACAGGGAGUGUCACCUGAACCACAUGACCAAAGAGGAAGCACAGAACGCCCCAGAUAUCGUACUCGAUACGUACCCUGUCAACACAAUACCUGCCAUGGUUUUGUUUGAUUCUGGAGCUUCUCACUCAUUCAUUUCGAAGAGUUAUGCUUUGCAAAAUAAUUUUUCGAUGCUUCCCUUGGAAAAAUCAAUGAUCAUCAAGUCCCCUGGAAUUAAGCAAGUGACCCAGAGUUAUUGUCAAGGUGUGGUUAUUGAAUUUUAAGGAUUGAAGUUUUACGCAACCUUAUUGUAUUGGAAAGCAAAGGAUUGGAUGUCAUCCUAGGGAUGGAUUGGUUAACCACCAACAAAGGGUUUAUUGACUGCUUCAACCGGACCGUGAUUCUCACACACCAUCACGGGAAGACAAUAAAAGUUUCAGCCAAAGAGAGACAAAUACCCCGGCAACCAAGAUUAAACAAGGUGGACAUUUCUAAGCUAAACAAGGUUCCAGUAGUGUGUGAAUUUCCAGACGUAUUCCCAGAAGAAUUACCAGGCAUGCCACUGGACUGAGAGAUAGAAUUCAGCAUUGAGCUAGCACCCGGAACCGCUCCUAUUUACAAGAAACCAUACAUAAUGGCACCAUCCGAAUUGGUAGAGUUGAAGAAGCAAAUAAAAGAAUUAUUGGAGAAAGGAUACAUAGGAGCCAGCUCCUCACCGUGGGGUUCUCCAAUUUUAUUUGCCAAGAAAAAGGAUGGAACACUAAGAUUGUGUAUUGACUAUCGGGCUCUUAACAUGGUCACAAUCAAGAACAAAUACCCAAUGCCCCGAAUAAAUGAUUUAUUUGAUCAGCUCGCAUAGGCCAAAGUCUUCUCAAAAAUUGACUUGAGAUUGGGAUACCACCAAUUAAAAGUGCGAACCGAAGAUAUUCCCAAGACAGCCUUCACUUCCAGAUAUGGGUUGUAUGAGUUCACAGUAAUGCCAUUUGGGCUAACCAACGCCCCCGCAUAUUUUGUUCACCUCAUGAACAAAGUAUUUAUGAAGUAUAUGGACAAGUUUGUCGUGGUAUUCAUCGAUGAUAUUCUGAUAUACUCCAAAACACCAGAAGAGCACGCUGAGCACCUCAGGAUUGUACUAGGAGAACUCAGAAAACAACAACUGUACGCCAAAUUUAGCAAAUAUGAAUUUUGGCUAAGACAGGUGGGUUUUCUGGGCCACGUGCUAACCCAAGAAGGUAUUGCAGUAGACCCGGAAAAGGUCAAGGCCGUACUUGGCUGGAAACCACCAGCUAACGUAACGGACGUACGCAGUUUCUUGGGAAUGGUAGGCUAUUAUCGGAGAUUUAUUGAAGGAUUCUCCAUCAUAGCAAAGCCAAUGAUGCAGCUACUCAAGAAAGACAAGAAGUUUGAAUGGACGGAAGCCUGUGAGAAAAGCUUCCAAGAGUUAAAAAGGAAAUUAACAAUGGCCCCAGUGUUAAUUGUGCCAGACAUACACAAGAAUUUUGAGGUAUAUUGUGACGCAUCCCGGAAAGGCCUCGGGUGCGUAUUGAUGCAAGAAGGCAAGGUAGAUGCGUAUGUCUCCAGACAACUUCGCAAGCAUGAGGAAAAUUAUCCCACUCAUGACUUAGAAUUGGCAGCAGUCAUCCAUGCACUCAAAGAAUGGAGACACUUCCUACUUGGAAACCGUUGUGAAAUAUACACAGACCAUAAGAGCCUUAAGUAUAUUUUCACAUAGCCGGAACUUAAUUUACGGCAACGACGCUGGUUAGAGUUGGUGAAGGAUUAUGAUGUUGGAAUCCACUAUCAUCUCGGAAAAGCAAAUGUUGUGGCAGAUGUCCUGAGUCGGAAUCCUAGCACAGACGACGACAGCAUACCAAAGUUGAGGCCAGAAUUUCAACAGGAAUUUGCCAGACUCAAUUUAAUAAUGGUUACCGAAGGCAGUGUGUCAAAUUUGGAAAUACAGCCUACCCUGAUGGAAAAAAUUAAGGAGGCCCAGCAUGGACACCCCAGUAUUGAUGGCAUAAAGAGGAAAGUGAAUUUGGGCAAGGCCUCAGAAUUCAACAUAGAUGAGCAAGGAAUAUUGUGGUACGGAGAAAGAAUCUGCGUACCAAAUAUCAAGGACCUCAAACAGCAGAUUCUGUCUGAAAGCUACACCGCUCCGUAUUCAAUUCAUCCUGGAGGAACAAAGAUGUAUAAAGACCUUCAGGAAAAUUUUUGGUGGCACGGUAUGAAGAGAGACAUAGCCACGUUCAUUGCAUGAUGUGACUCUUGUCAACGCAUCAAGGUUGAGCACCAGAAACCAGCCGGGCUGUUACAGCCAAACAAGAUACCCGAGUGGAAGUGAGGCGAGAUUGAAAUGGAUUUCAUUGUUGGACUACCACGGUCGCAACACGGAAAUAAUGCCAUAUGGGUCAUAACCGAAAGAUUAACCAAAGUGGCACAUAUUAUUCCGGUGAAGACAACUCACACCACUCAGAGGCUGGCCAGACUUUAUCUUGCCCGUAUUGUCUGCCUGCAUGGAGUCCCAAAGACUAUCAUAUCUGACAGAGGCACACAGUUCGUCUCUAGAUUUUGGGAUCACCUGCAACAGGCACUGGGAACCCAACUAUCAUUCAGUACCGCAUACCAUCCCCAGACUGAUGGGCAGACUGAACGUGUAAACCAAAUUCUAGAAGAUAUGCUAAGAGCCUGUGUCCUCACCUACGGAACCAGUUGGGAAGAAAGUUUGCCAUAUGCAGAGUUCGCAUACAACAACAGUUAUCAAGCCACCUUGCAAAUGGCACCCUUUGAAGCUCUAUAUGGGAGAAGAUGUCGUACCCCACUAAACUGGUCAGAAACUGGGGACAGCCACAUCUUCGGCCCAGAUAUGCUCAAGGAGUCUGAGGAGAAAGUUAAGACGAUUAGAGAUCGACUCAAGACAGCUCAAAGUCGGUAAAAGAGUGAUUACGAUAGAAAGCAUCGGGAAAUCAGUUUUGAACCCGGAGAGUUUGUAUACCUAAGAGUUUCUCCUAUGAGGGGUCUGCAACGAUUCAGGAUUGAGGGAAAGCUAGGACCAAGAUUCAUCGGACCAUUCCGUAUAGUGGCCCGAAGAGGCAUGGUAGCCUACCAGCUAGACCUACCCGGAUAUUUAUCCGAUAUCCACAACGUGUUCCACAUCUCGUAGUUGAGAAAGUACGUGAGCAACCCAGAGAAGCAAGUAUCACAUGGAAAUAUUGACGUGCAACCAGACCUCACCUACCGGGAGCACCCAAUAAAAAUAUUAGAAGAGUCUGAGAGGAGGACCCGACAGAAAACCAUCAAGUUUUUCAGAGUUCAGUGGAGCAAUCACACCGAGAAUGAAGCAACUUAGGAGAGAGAGGAUUUUCUUCGGACAGAGCACCCACACCUGUUUAAGGAUCAGCUGAAAUCUCGGGGACGAGAUUUUUCCUAAGGGGGUAGGUGCUGUGACACUCCAAAAAAUUUUGUGGUUUUUGUUUUCAGCAAGAGUCUUGCUUGGUUUAAAGAAGGUCUUUUAAACCCUUCUUGAAAACCUCUCUUGAGUUUUCACUCUCAAAAAUCUUUUCUUGGUUUUAGUUUCUUCUAAAAAGAAAACCUUUUUGGUUUUGGCCUUUUAUUUGGUUUUGAUCCUUUCUUAAUUUUACCAUGCCUCCUAUGGUAAAAUUUUCCCAAAACCCCUCCUUCCACUUUAAGACAACCCAAACAUUAUGUCCCAUCUAAUAAAAUCCAUUUUUGGAUUUUAUUCCAUUCAUUUCUUUCCCCAAAAUAAUUCUGACCUUUAUUUUGAGCUUAGGUAGUUUGCAAAGCAAGUACCUAAAUGCCUUUGAUCUUUGACCUCAAUUCAACUCCUCUGGAUAGUCCUUAGCACCCACAACCUAGAACCAUCAUGAUCCACUCUUCUUCUUUUCAAAUAUUUCAAAAUUCACCCCCUGCAAGUUUGGACCAGAUUUGUCAAAUUUGGUGAAAUUCAUAUCUCCACUUCUCCAAAAAUUCCACCAAAAUUCAGGCAAUCCCUAGCUGCAAUGAGAGACCACUCCACCAAAAACCAGCUCGAGGAAAAAUCCCCACAUGCCAAAAUCAUUCUGUCGAACACCUGGCAUGCACUGUUACUGUACAUCUUCAGUAAUAUUCAGAAUUCAGUGUCGUUUCUUCGUCAGAGAUUCAGUCACAUGUCGAUAGUGCACUUGGCACGUUGCUCACAGCCCCUCCUUCUUGUCCGGAGCACCACACGCGUGCUUGGCGCGUUCCUGGCGUCGGUGGCGCCAUGGCCCGCCUGCGCCGGCGUGUUUUGCGGCGGCAGAACCACCGUAGCGGCCGACAGGGGGCAACCCUGUGGCAUAACGUCGUUCGGCGCCGCCCAAACCUCCUAAGAGCUUCGCAUGGCCACCUCCUUGCCAGCGCACGCAUGCAGCACCGUCGCCAUGGUCUGGCACGCGCAGAGCGCGUUCUCUGCCGCCGAUGGGCCAUGCGGCCGUUCCGUUGAGGACAGACCAUAAACCCCCCUUCCUUGCUGAGUUGGACACUGGAAUGGCACCAGUGCUUCAUCUAGAUGAUGCUCAAGCCCCUAAGCCAACCGUCCAGCCACAGCACCGCCGUAAUCGCUCGCCGGACUUAUCCAUUCACGGCAACCGCCUCGGGCCGGCUAUAAAUAGCACCCCCCGAGCUUGCUCUCGCCCCCGCACAACUCCACCACCUCACCAGACCCCGCCUAGCCACUGGAAGAGCCUCGAGGGGCCCUUCUUCCUCAACUCCGGCCACCUCCAUCCGCCUCGGGCGCCGGCAACGUUCUGUUCGGUGCGAACUCCUCCACCGCCCUAAUCUCGCCCGUAGCCUCGUACCACCUCUAGGAGUCUAAACCCCACUCCAAUUUGACCCCAGCAGCUCUCUCCGACGAGGCCCACGACCACCCGAACCGCCGUCUGCCGGAGCAAGCGCCACCGUCGACACAGUGCUCGCCGGCGACCACCACCACCACCCACAGACACGGAAGGACGUGUUGAUCAUAGAGGUACCACCCGAUCACCCAGCCCCGCCGUGGAUCGCCGUCGGCGACCACCGCAUCUCUCGGGCGUCGUCGCGCCCUGUUUCCCUCGUUUGAAUAUUCAAAUCUGACGGGUGGAGCCCGCCUGUCAGUCUCUCAGUCUUUUCUCUUAAACGAACCGUUUUCUGGACUUUUCCGCAAAACCCCCUGGGAGUUUUCUGUUUCAUUACAGAAAAUUCCCUGAAGGAAAACCCUUAUAUCUUUUAAACAGAAAAGUAUUUUUGUUUGAUUCUUUUUCUGUUCUCCUUAAAAUUUUGUCUAGUUUUUUAUCAGACUUAUUUGAAAAUUAUUUGGUAUACUUUUGUGCACCUCGCGGUAUUUACGUUACGUGCGUAUUUUUCUUAUACCGUAGAUUCCGGAGGAAGUGACGGAGCCGCAAACUUCACCCAGUUAGACUCCGACUACUCCGAACCAGGCAAGCAUGUUUGAACUCUUGAUAUGAUGAAGUGUUUGUUGCAUGUUUGCAUCUUAGGAGUUUCUUGGCAUGUUUAUGAACAUUUCUUUAAAUGUUAUAUUUCAUGCACAGAAGUGGAAAGUAAGUUUCGGAAAGCCAUAUGUUGUUGGAUACACAUUGGCAUGGCCAUGAGAUGGCAUGAGGAUGGGUAAGAUGGCAGUGUUGUGACAUGCCAGUCUUAUGCCAGUCCAUUUGACAUCAGUGUCAUCGUGAAUCAAGUCAUAUUCCCAUUCAUUUCCUUUCCAGUACUGCCACAUGUUUUCCGCAAGGAAUAUGGCUUAGUAAGUUGCAACCGUUUUCCUGGUACACACCAAGUAGAGAGGCCGGGAUGAGGAUUCCAUGGCCCUGGAUUAAAGCCCGUCAUCCGGUCAGGGGGCAUGGGUGUUUCCGGUUGGGACCGAGAGGGGGGCACCCCUUAGAGCGCGCGUAUAGAAAUUUGAUCCCAUGCUAUUCGAGGUUGUGGCCUCCCCGUCUCAAAGUUUUUCUUGGACGUUGCCUAGGGUGAUUCCUGGCAUCGUGAGGUGGUAUGGGUGUGUACUAGUUAAAUGUGUUUCUAUCGAAAUACCGUAAACGGAACUAGUCCUUCGUGACUACGGAAAUCCGUUGGCUGUGGUCAGUGAGUACAAACUCUGCAGAGUCACAAAUCCUUUAAAUCAUCUUGUACUUGUCCAAGUACUGUAUUCAUCUUAUCUUGUCAGAUAUCAGUCUUAGUGACAAAACUCUGGUGGAAUACAUGUGUGUAAAAUCCGGUUAAAAGUUUAUUCUUGUGGAUGGACUAAUCUUGUUAUUUACAUUUGUUAUAAGCCCUGUCUGUGAUGUCGCUCAGACGUCCGACGGUGGCAUACUUGUUAUUUACAUUUAUUAUAAGCCCUGUCUGUGAUGUCACUCAGACGUCCGAUUGUGGCAUUUCUUUUAUAAGCCCUUUCUGUGAUGUCGCUCAGACGUCCGACUGUGGCAUUUCUUUUAUAAGCCCUUUCUGUGAUGUCGCUCAGACGUCCGACUGUGGCAUUUCUUUUAUAAGCCCUUUCGGUGAUGUCGCUCAGACGUCCGACUGUGGCAUUUCUUUUAUAAGNNNNNNNNNNNNNNNNNNNNNNNNNNNNNNNNNNNNNNNNNNNNNNNNNNNNNNNNNNNNNNNNNNNNNNNNNNNNNNNNNNNNNNNNNNNNNNNNNNNNNNNNNNNNNNNNNNNNNNNNNNNNNNNNNNNNNNNNNNNNNNNNNNNNNNNNNNNNNNNNNNNNNNNNNNNNNNNNNNNNNNNNNNNNNNNNNNNNNNNNNNNNNNNNNNNNNNNNNNNNNNNNNNNNNNNNNNNNNNNNNNNNNNNNNNNNNNNNNNNNNNNNNNNNNNNNNNNNNNNNNNNNNNNNNNNNNNNNNNNNNNNNNNNNNNNNNNNNNNNNNNNNNNNNNNNNNNNNNNNNNNNNNNNNNNNNNUGUGAUGUCGCUCGGACGUCCGACUGUGGCAUUUCUUUUAUAAGCCCUUUCUGUGAUGUUGCUCAGACGUCCGACUGUGGCAUUUCUUUUAUAAGCCCUUUCUGUGAUGUCGCUCAGACGUCCGACUGUGGUAUUUUCUUUUAUAAGCCCUUUAUGUGGUGUCGCUUAGACGCCCGACUAUGGGAUGAGUUUUAUUUGUUUACCUUUCGAGGCGUCGCUUCAGACACCCGAUCGAUUUUCAGUUAUAUGUUUUAUUUGUCACAUCGUGAAAUUUUUAUUAUUGGAAUGAGCAUCAUUAUUUUUUCUCAUGACGCACUCAUGCAUGCAUUUGUUAUAUCUUUUGUCCGAACUGUCUUGCAAGUACUUUCAAAGUACUCACUUGGCUUGUUGAUUUGGCCAGAUGUUGAUGAAGGCGAUCUCAUGGAUGAAGAGUUCAAUAGCGAGUCCGACGCCUAGAGGAGUCCCAGUCAGUCCCGUGCGAUCCUGCUUUGGUCAUUGUAUCAUAUCCGCUUCCGCCACCCCCAAAUAAAUUCAUAGAGCCUCACUUCGACACUCGAUGAGCUGCCAGUUAGGAGUCAAGUUAUCCACCACCACUUUUUAUCUCGAGCAAGUAGCAUGUCACCACACCCCUGAGCCAUAACCGCCCUUAUGUAAGAUAUUGGCGAGUUUGUAAUAAAUUGUUGAGCAGCCUCAGCUCAACCCUGUAAUAUAUUUAAUGCUACUGGUCCUCUGUUUAUCAAGUAUUUGUCUACCAGUGAGGAUGAUUUUUCCUAUACUGGGAUUAAAAGAUCGGUUUUCUCAAUAAGCAUUUUAUUGAAAAACCGGUCGCGAUAACACGGCAUCCGUAUAUUUAUCAUAAAACCGCCCUUAAAAGAGCUAUCCUUUAAACAGGAGUAGGAUAGCGGAAGCAAGGCUUAUCAGGUGUCCGGCCCCCCUCCCUGAGACCACGCCGGAUCCCGUGUUGACCAGGAUGUGGGAGAUUGCGCCUUUUGAAGAAGGCAAAGAGGGGAACAAGGAAGCUACCACCUCCGCGAAGGAGGCUGUCAGGAAGGAAGGAAUCGAGAACUCCUCUAUCCAGGGAAAGAAGAGGAAUGCCUCUGAAAACCUAGAGGCGAUCGCCUCAAAGCGGGGGAAGAAAUCUUCGCCAUGGGUCCGGCGCUGGAGAGUGCUCUGGCCGCAUUGUGCCCCCAAGGGGAUCAGCUCUCCAAUGAGCCGUAAGUAAAGAGGGGGGUUUUAAAAUGAGUAAUAUCCCUGUUUUCUUUCUGAGGAAGAUAACCAAAAUUUUACCUUGUAGUUCGGAUCUCAACCCUUCUCAGCAGAGCUCAUCUUCCGGGGAUCUCCGUCCAGAGAUGAUGGAGAGCGAAACGCCUCCCCCAGCUGUACCAUCUUGCGAGGCUGGCGACCCCGAAGUGUCGUCUUAGAGGAUUUCCCCAAAUCUGGACUUUGAAAAAGGUCGUAGGACUAGUCCGGCACCUUUAGGUGCAUGGUCGGAGGGGCUGCAGGAUCUGCUCGGGCGAGCGUCUAUCUUAGAAGAACAUCGUGUGUUGAUGAACACAGUGAUUAGAAGGAUUUCAUCCGCGGAAAGCGGAUUGUACGAGGCCACCAGGAGUUUACUGAUAGGUUUUGAGGUACGCGAAAAGAUGUACCUUUUGACAGAGCCGCAUAUAUAAAAUGCGCCCUGUAUAAAUAGUAGCCCCUGAGACUCUGUGUUGUCAAAAAUGACGACGCACAGAGGAUCAUAAUCCCAGGUAUAAUAUGUCGCCUUUCCUAUGUAGGUGGUGAGGCGUUCGGUGGCUAGCCGGACUGAUGAAUCUGCCGAGCUAAAGCGGCAACUUGACAUAGUAGAUGCCGACAUCGCGCUUGUAAAUGAGCGGCUAGACGAGGCACAAGGUAUGUAAUGUCUCCAAAGACAUCUGAUAAGAGGAGCUUGAUGCUCGUGCCUUAUAACAUAUGUGCUUAAUGCAGAUGGUGUCGCUGCCAUGGAGAACAUUCAGGUGGAACUUGCCCGAGCCAAGGAGCAAGCGAGGAAGAGUGAUGCGGCUGUCGUUAAAGCGGCUGAAGAGCUAAAAGCCAAACAGGCUGCUCACUGCCAGAGCAAGAAAGAAAUGGCCGAGAUGGCUGUAAAAUUGAAGGAUGCUGCCGACCGUUGUAAGCUUCGUGAAGAAGAAGAUAGGGUGGCACAGAAGGACCUAGAAAAGGUCACUGUCGAGGCCAAGGACACUCGCUCUGCAAUGAGAGCUAUGAAGGAGGAGCUACGUCAGGCCGGAGAUAUCGCGGCUGGAAAGCCCUAUAUGCUGCGGAUGAAGUUCAGGGAUCCUAAGUAUGCUCCGUUGGACCAGAAGUGGAGUGCGGCGAACACUUAUCUGGAUUUGGCGGCAAGUGCCGCAGACGCGACCGAACACUUCCGGGGUCUGGAUGACCAUAAAUUGGAAGAACUGUUUUGGUCGUAGUUCCAUAAUCCAGAGCGCCCACUUUUGGUGUCCGACUGUUUGGCCGCUUGGGCGGAGCUGAACAGGUUGUCCGGACUUGCUAUGAGGUACGUCGCGAGUCGUCUGUGGCCGGAAGAGCCAGAGCCGAAGAGUUAUUUUAGCUUCGUGCAGCAGUUCCUUGGUUUGGUGCCGCAUGUUGAUGCAAUGAAGAGGUCAGCGUGCAUAGAGGGUGCACAGAUGGCUCUUUCCCGUGUCAAGACAAACUAGGCGGAUAUGAAGGCCAGUGUUGUUGCAUCCCGGGAUUCGGACGAAAGCCGAGUACCUGCCAAGCACUACUUUGAGGAAGUUCUUCAGGGUGCUCGUUUAAUAGAGACGCAGUGCUCGAAGGAUGUUGUGUUCGAAUAACAUGUGCUAUUGUAAAACAAUAUUUUGAUGGGAUGUAAAAGCUUUUUAUACUUGUGCUUUCAAGAAUUAAAAUGCCUCCUGUGCGGCCGUUAAUGUAUAUGUGUAUAUAACCUGAAAGAUGGCAGUCGUUGGCUUCAGCCCCCACGCAUAUAAUGCGAGGGUGUUCACAAAAGGCGCCUUUCCACACUUGAUCCAACGUCUUGGUCCUAUAAAGGAGGUGAUAGCGCAGCGAACUAGGCAACCGGACUAUAAUGCUUUAUCACUUUCACUUAGCCAUAGGAGUUUGACAGUGGGGCUACUAAAUAGCCCCUAGGGGCACUGCGCUCGCCCGAAUUCGGGGCGCGUGUGUACCUGACCGGGAAAUGGCCCUUCCUUAAUGCGGAGGAAUCCUAAAGAUUCCGACAAGUCAUCGAGUGGUUGACCAGUCUCUCGCUAGAUCAUGACAGUCAGUUUUCGUCUUUCUCUACUGAGGUGCUCACCUGGCCGAACCGGGGCACAAUCGCAGUAGUUCUCCUGGUGCCGCCUUAGCCGAUAGAGCGGAAUGUAAGGCAGCAAAACACAGGAGCCGGGCAAACCCAACAUUUGACCAAAGACAUGAUUCGGAGCUGAUGCAUAUAAGGCCAAACUCGUGACGCCGAACACUCCCUAAGGUAUUCGGUCUUUAUGAAGACGGGCCAAGCAAAAGCCCUUGGUAAAAAAGCCCCUUGUGUCCAGGUACGCACAAAAUUCUGGUGUGGCCACAUGCCAAGACACCAGCCUCCUCCUCGGUUAUAGCAAAAACCGGGGGAUGUUAUCAACAAGAGACAGUAAAUAAGGUUUACGCAGGGUCUUAAUCUGAAAAGAAUCCUUGAAACGGGUCCCUGCUGCACGUCUGCGCCUGUAUCUCCGUUGUGCCGUAUCCUGGAUGGGUGUAGCACGGCGUUCGUCUGCAAAAGAGAGGAACUUAGUGGAAAAUCAAUCGUGCGAGAAAUCUAUGUUAAAAUAAACAAAGCAUAAUACAAAAACAUGGGUAGGAUUGAGCUUUAUUGUCGCACGGAGCCCCUUGUACAGGGUUAUGCGGCUAUGAAGCCUUUGUAUGUUUACGCCGGAUUCGUCGGGCCAUGUCCGGGGUCUUUAACGACCUUUGUACGUGCUCUGAGUAGUAAAGCUGGGUAAGUGUGCGGCUGUCGAGGCAGACGCACCAUCCUACGUGCUCGGGGAACACUUGAUAUUUCCCUUUAAUGAGAUGAUGCCUCGUGGACCGGGAAUUUUGAGUGUAAGGGAUGCAUAAUGCGGUAUUGCGUUAAAGCGGGCGAAAGCUUCGCGUCCCAGUAGCGCUUGAUAGCGACUUAUGAAUUGGGCGAUGUGGAAGGUUAGCAUUUCGCUUCGAAAGUUGNNNNNNNNNNNNNNNNNNNNNNNNNNNNNNNNNNNNNNNNNNNNNNNNNNNNNNNNNNNNNNNNNNNNNNNNNNNNNNNNNNNNNNNNNNNNNNNNNNNNNNNNNNNNNNNNNNNNNNNNNNNNNNNNNNNNNNNNNNNNNNNNNNNNNNNNNNNNNNNNNNNNNNNNNNNNNNNNNNNNNNNNNNNNNNNNNNNNNNNNNNNNNNNNNNNNNNNNNNNNNNNNNNNNNNNNNNNNNNNNNNNNNNNNNNNNNNNNNNNNNNNNNNNNNNNNNNNNNNNNNNNNNNNNNNNNNNNNNNNNNNNNNNNNNNNNNNNNNNNNNNNNNNNNNNNNNNNNNNNNNNNNNNNNNNNNNNNNNNNNNNNNNNNNNNNNNNNNNNNNNNNNNNNNNNNNNNNNNNNNNNNNNNNNNNNNNNNNNNNNNNNNNNNNNNNNNNNNNNNNNNNNNNNNNNNNNNNNNNNNNNNNNNNNGGGGGGCGAACAUAACUUCUAACGAUAGGGAACCCAUACAAUGGGUAUCUGGCCCUGGCGUGACCCCUUUAAAGGAAGUGUUGCCAUGGCAGAUUAUUGCUGGGUUUAACCCCAUUUUGCAGAUUGUGUCCAGAUAUAGUGGGUUUAGGUCACUGCCGCCGUCCAUUAGGACUUGUGUAAAGUGGAGUCCAUCAAUUAUCGGAUCUAAGACCAAGGCAGUCCGGCCUGCGUUCCGGAUACCUCUAGAGUAAUCCUGAUGGUCAAAGGUGAUUGGUUGUAACAACCAGUGGAUGGAUUCCUCUGGGACAGGCCGUAUGGCACAUAUCUCCGUAGGCGCCAAUCUGUUUUUUCCUUUUGUCACAUGAAGUGAGUUUACUGUUUUGACUUCUUGUGGGAACUUCUUUUGUUCUCCGGUGUUCUGCUUAUGGGAUUUGCCGUCAUCCUCGCUUGGUAUGUCGAGCCCCUUGUGUUCGGCGUUGAGUUUGCCGGAUUGCUUGAAGACCCAACAAUCUCUGUGGGUAUGGUUUGCCGGCCUCCCGGGGGUACUGUGGAUCUGAUAUAUUUUGUCCAAGAUUUUGUUGAGGUUAGAUAGCUCGUCACUGUCAUCUUUGGGAGGCGGCUUUUUCCGAUUUUGCCGAGAGCUUUUGAAUCCGGUGUUGACUGUCGUGCUCAUCGGGCUGUUAUCCUUGAUCCGGCGUUGUUCCUUGCUACGGCGCGGUUUCCCGUUUCCAUCUCUGAGUUCAGAUGUACUUGGGUCGCUGGUGCUGCUUCUUGCCAACCAGCUAUCCUCUCCUGCGCAAAAGCGGGUCAUGAGGCUUGUCAAUGCGGCCAUUGUUCUUGGCUUUUCUUGGCCGAGGUGUCUGGCGAGCCAUUCGUCUCGGACGCUAUGUUUGAAAGCUGCUAGGGCUUCGGCGUCUGGACAGUCGACUAUCUGAUUCUUUUUAGUAAGAAAUCUGUUCCAGAGUUUCCGAGCCAACUCUCCGGGUUGUUGAGUUAUAUGACUUAGAUCGUGUGCAUCCGGAGGUCGGACAUAGGUCCCUUGAAAAUUUUCCCGAAAAGCAUCCUCGAGCUCUUCCCAACUUCCUAUGGUGUUUUCGGGAAGGCUUUUAAGCCAAUGCCGGGCCAGCCCUUUGAGCUUGAGGGGUAAGUACUUUAUGGCGUGGAGGUCAUCUCCUCUAGCCAUGUGUAUGUGGAGGAUAUAAUCCUCAAUCCAGACUCCAGGGUCUAUUGUUCUGUCGUAUGCCUCUAUGUUUACGGGCUUGCAUCCCGCUGGAAAUUCAUGGUCCAGCACCUCAUUGGUGAAACAUAGGGGAUGUGCGGUGCCCCUGUAUUUGGGUGUGCCGCGAUGUUCGGAUAUUUGUUGUGUUGCGUUGCUUACUAGAGCUUGCUUUCUUGGCCCGUAGAUAGAUCUGGUUGGGCCAUCUUUUUGAUGCGAAUCCUUGUGCGGAUCACGUGCCGGAUUGAGUGCGGCACCCUUUUUCGCUCGAUGUCGGUCGUGGGGUCGUCUAUCCGACCUGGUGGAUUCCUUGUUUUUUGACUAUGGGGGCUCUAAGGCCUCCUCAUCAAAUUCCAGUAGUAAUUUUCGCUUCGGAUAGCUCUUUGUGUGGUGACUGUCGCCGUACUUGUGUGCGGUGUUGAGUACUUUGCCCCAUCUGAUUCUGAGUGCAUCUUCCGCUGUUUUGAGCUUCCGCUUCUGCUUUUUCAGGCUACGCGCAGUGGCGACGAGCCUUUGGUGGAGGUUCUUCUGCUCCAGCAACUUGUCCGACGUGAGGUUGUCCGGACUAUUAUCUUCGCCGGGGACGGGUUGUUUGGUUUGUUUAUCCAAGUUGCCCUGUUCAGACGGUUGCUCGACGGCAUGUUCGUCGUCCGCCGGUUCGCCCUGCUCUAUGGCUGGGUCUCUAUCGAGGUGGGGUUUGGCGCGGCGCUUACGCCGCCGCUUUGAUUGCUUUUCGAGGGAACGAUCCCUUGUUGCGCCCUUUUGAUCCUCGUCAUCGUUUCUUUUAGGUGUGUCCACCAUGCAUACAUCGUGUGAUGAGGUGGUUGUCCAGUGCCCUAUAGGCGAUGGUUCUUGUUCGUCUCCUUCGUCGGUGUCCAUACCGUCGAUGUCUUCGGAGUCGAAGUCGAGCAUGUCGGUUAGAUCAUCGACAGUGGCUACGAAGUGGGUGGUGGUUGGGUUUCGAAUUUCUUCGUCGUCCGCAUCCCAACCUUGCUGACCAUAGUCCGGCUAGGGCUCUCCUGACAAAGAGAGAGACUUUAGUGAAUUCAGGAUGUCGCCAAAGGGCGAGUGCUGAAAGACGUCCGCGGCGGUGAAAUCCAUGAUCGGAGCCCAAUUGGGUUCGAUCGGAAGGGGCGCGGAAGAUUCGGAGUCCGGAAAGGAGUCCGGCACCUUGGAGUCACGAGCUCCCCAAGGGACAAGAUUGGUGUUCGGCUCGAUCACCGUAGAGAUUGCAGCCCCCGAGGUGGCGUCUAGCCACCCGUCCCCGACCGGCGCAGUCGGCUCCAAACUGAGGGUCGGAGCAGACACCUGAGCGGCGCUCUGGGCACUGUCCGGCGGCAGGGCUAGAUCAUGCCCAUCGUGACAGCGCGGCGUGCUCGGCUGCGGCUCGAAUUCGUCGAAGAUCAAGUCUCCGCGGAUGUCAGCCGGGUAGUUUAAACUUCCAAAUCUGACCUGAUGGCCAGGGGCGUAGCUUUCGAUCUGCUCCAGAUGGCAAAGCGAAUUGGCCCCAGUGCAAAGCCGCCGAAUACGAAGAUAUGUCCGGGGAGAAAAGUCUCACCCUGGACCGCGUCGUGGUUGAUUAUCGAAGAUGCCAUCGGGCCUAAAGGUGACGACACAGAGGAACUCCCAAUGAAAGCACCAAUGUCGGUGUCAAAACUGGCGGAUCUCGGGUAGGGGGUCCCGAACUAUGCGUCUAGGCGGAUGGUAACAGGAGACAAGGGACACGAUGUUUUUACCCAGGUUCGGGCCCUCUCGAUGGAGGUAAAACCCUACUCCUGCUUGAUUAAUAUUGAUGAUAUGGGUAAUACAAGAGUUGAUCUACCACGAGAUCAGAGAGGCUAAACCCUAGAAGCUAGCCUAUGGUAUGAUUGUUGUUCCUACUAUGGACUAAAACUCUCUGGUUUAUAUAGACACCGAAGAGGGCUAGGGUUACACAGUGUCGGUUACAAUGGGAGGAGAUCUACAUAUCCUAUCGCCAAGCUUGCCUUCCACGCCAAGGCAAGUCCUAUCCGGACACGGGACGAAGUCUUCAAUCUUGUAUCUUCAUAGUCCGGGAGUCCGGCCAAAGGUCACAGUCCGGCCAUCCGGACACCCCCUAAUCCAGGACUCCCUCAGCGACCAGGGGUGGCUCUUUUUGCCGGAUCCAGAGGGGUGGUGCAGCGUAUCAGUGGUGGAGGGUGGGGAACGCCCCCGCGGCGCGAUUCAGCCCGCAGAUUUGGCCGGAAUCACCAGCGGCGAACGGACGGACCCAAUGGCGGGCGGCGGUAGAAGCAGGUGGGGAAAGGGCAUGGGCUGAAAUGUCCCUACCGCCAACCGCUUCCCUGUGAUAUGGGGCACCAUAGGGGCGAGGCGGAAACCUGCCUAUUCGCGGGUUGGAGCCGAUAUUUUGCCGGCCCCUCAAAAAGUUUUACGGGCCGGCCGCGUUUGCGGGGUCUGUUCGGGCAGGAUUUUCUGCGCCGACCCAUAUUUUGGCAGUUAUUUUCUAGGUCGGGGCUUUUUGCAGGAUCUGCUAGAGUUGCUCCAAUGGGUCUCCAAUGAUUUCACACUUCCCCUCCAUUCUCUCCUCAGGGGGUUCCAAUGUUUAUUCCUAUUCUUUUUCUCAUCUACAGGGAGUCCCAAGUACUCCCUAUUCUUUUUCUCAUCUACAGGGUACUUCUCUGUAAACUAAUAUAAGAGCGUCUAGAUCACUAAAAUGGUAAUCUAAAUGCUCUUAUAGUAUAACCCAAUGUUUAUUCCUAUUCUUUUUCUCAUCUACAAGGAGUCCCAAGUACUCCAUAUUCUUUUUCUCAUCUACCAGGAGACCCAAGUACUCCCUCUGUAAACUAAUAUAGGAGCGUUUAGAUCACUAAAGUAGUAAUGGACAAGUAAAAAUUCUGGUGUAGGCUAGAUGGCGCCCGCGAUUUCAAAAGGUUCACCACAUCUAGGCGUUCUGUAUCAAUGUUCUAUACAGGGGGCAAAUCAAUCGGAACAAGAAAUUUUGUUUGAUUAGAAUCAGUGGAUCUGUGGAUAAAUCACUGUAAAUAAUCACACACUUUUAAGACUUUCAUUUACAGAACUCGACGAUACCUGCAUCUAAUAAACAACGGACAUCCCGAUUUCAGUACAACCCCAACAAGAAAUGGAAACUGUGCCUGAAAACAUUGGUCACACAAUGCUUCAGAGUUCACUGCAUGUGGGUUAUUCAGAAUCCAGACACCAUUUUUCUUGACAUCGAGUGAGGUGUUAUAUUACAGCACAACAAGUAGAGCUACAGAUAAUGAAACGGUCUUCUACAGAAAAUAUAUUUCAGCAGCCACCACAAAAAAACAUCAGGAAACAAAAAAAUAAACACAAUACCCACUAGAUCGACUGGAGAUGCCCCCUAUUGCGGAUACCGCGGGCGGGUGUAAGGUGAUGUGAGAUGUACUCAGGCCAACUCCACCGCGCGACCCUAUCCUGUCCGGCUCCGUCCGUUUGGGAUAAAAGGGACAAAAGAGGCGGCCCAGCGCACGGCAUCAAACGGACAAUUGUCCAGAUUCCGUCCGUUUUCGACCCAUCCCCGGCCCAAACUUGUGCUUGGUUUGGGGUGAAACGGACGCGCGCGGACGGCCACAACGCACGCCCUUGUCCCCCCCCCCCCUCCCCGUGGCCCGCCUAUCGGGGACACUAGCAGUCCCUCCGCUCCCAACGCUUCACCCUCUCUCCCCGCCCAGUCCCGCCGUCGGCGCCGCCGCUAUUCUACGGCCGCCUCCUCACCGCGCAGCCCCCCGUCGUCCAUACCAAACCACGUCUCGACAUGGCCGCCACCACGCCCACGCUUUCGUCGUAGUUUUGGUUGUCUAUCGAGGGAGGUUUGGCCGUCGCCGUCCUUGCCGGUGGCGGCGGGGACACGAGUGCCGGCGACGUACCACGACGGCCGAGGCAGAUUCCGAGAGCUCCAGAGCGGCCAGUAGCCGGCCGGAAACCACCCCUGCUGCAUCGAGGUGAUCAUCGCGGCCUCUUCGCCACCACGGCCGCAAGGUGUUCAACCUUUUGCCAACAAAGGUAUGGAUAGUGGAGACGAGUUUUUCUUCCAUCAUUUCCUUUGUUCAUCGGACGAUUCAUCGUCGGAUGAUGAAGAUCUUGUGGUGGCUGCACUGGUCGUUCACGACCAUAUUCAACGGCAGCUUCCUCGGUACAGGGGGUCACUCCCUGGCCGUGCUCCCAACCUGAACCUCAACAGGGAGAGAGGCCAUUCUCCUCUUACCAGAAAUGCACCGCGGCCAUCCGCAUGCUUGCAUAUGGAAUUCCAGGCGAUCUGGUGGAUGAGUAUGUGCGUAUGAGUGAGACAACAUGUCUGAUGUCAAUGUACAAAUUUUGCCAGGCUGUGAUCGAGGUGUUUGGCCCAGAGUACUUGAGGCAGCCAACUGCCGCUGAUACAGAAAGAUUGUUGGCGACCAACGCGGCUAGAGGCUUUCCAGGCAUGCUUGGCAGCAUAGAUUGUAUGCAUUGGGAGUUGAAGAACUGUCCAUUUGCUUGGCAGGGCCAGUACAAGGGGCAUGUUAAUGGGUGCACUGUCAUAUUAGAAGUGGUGGCAUCACAAGAUCUUUGGAUAUGUCAUUCUUUCUUCGGCAUGGCAGGUUCUCACAAUGAUAUCAACGUGCUCCAGCGUUCUCCAGUCUUCGCGAGGCUUGCAGAAGGCCACUCCCCACCUGUCAACUUUGAGAUCAACGGCCACCAUUACAACAAGGGAUACUACCUAGCAGAUGGUAUAUAUCCUCAGUGGUCAACUUUUGUGAAGACAAUCUCGAAACCCCAAGGUAAGAAAAGAAAGAGAUUUGCCCAAAUGCAAGAGAGUGUUAGAAAGGAUGUGGAACGUGCUUUUGGUGUGCUUCAAUCCCGGUGGGGUAUCAUUCGAAACACUACACUGUCAUGGGAUGAAAGGAAGCUUUGGGAGGUGAUGACUGCUUGUGUGAUCAUGCACAACAUGAUCGUCGAGGACGAGCGUGAUGAGAGUAUCUUCGACCAAGGAUUUGAUUAUCAAGGUGAAAAUAUUGAGCCCCUGCACCAAGACCCGGCCACAUUUGAACAGUUUGCCCAAUUCCACCAUGAGAUGUGUGAUUGGCACACUCAUUUGAAUCUUCAAAAUGACUUGGUUGAGCACGUCUAGGAUCACAUUGGCAACCAAUAGAUGUAAAACUAUUUCAUGUUCAGUCAAGACAAUUUCGAUUUGGUUGUAAAACUAUUUUAAUUUUCAGACAAAUAUUUGGGUUACAAACUAGUUUUGAUGCAAAUUAGGGCAUUGUUGGCCCUGACGGACAGGAUGGGGCAAAUGGAUGCGGCCGCGCGCUGGGCGCAUGGUCGCCGCAUCCCAGGACAGGCCCGGACACGAGCCCAAAUCCAUACCCAAACGGACAGGAUCCGGACAAAACGGACGUCCGCUUGAGGUCGCGCAGUGGAGUUGCCCUCAGUUGUGGACGUCGCCCAUCCAUUUCGUGGUGGUGCUUCGGGGCCGAGCUGGCCUGUUGUUGGUCCUUGGCAGCUAUCUCCGUGUCCGGCUGCCGCGGCACGACGUGGGCCUAGGAUGGCGGUGCCUCCCUGGACGCGCAUGGGACGCCCGCCGUUGAAGAAGCUGAGUUUGCAACGAUGGAGAUGCGCGUUGUAGUUGACCCAACGCAUGAAGUCGUGGACGCACUGCAUGGUGUCGCCGGGGCUAUCCAGAAAUUGGGAGAUCCAAAAGUGCCCACUGUACCAUGCACCAUUAAAUAUAAUUAUGUAGGUUUUGAUUUAUAUGAUCUCGAUGCCGGUGUUAGUGUUAUUCUUCUGUCUCUCUAUAAAAAAUUAAAUUUGGAUAAACUGAUAUCUAUUGAUAUAUGUUUGCAAAUGGCCGACAAGUCGACUGCCAUGCUCACAGGCAUAUGUGUAAAUGUUCUCGUCAUCUCUGCUAAUGUUUUAAUUUUAAUAGAUUGUGUUGUACUCCCUCCGUUCCAUAAUAUAAAAACACUUUUUUUUAUCUGGAACACCUUGCAAUCCAAUUACGGGGGACCAACCAAAUCGGCGGUCACAGCACGGAUUACAUCGUCAGGACAGUCCGACAGCCACUCACGUGGGUUACUCGGAUCACUACACGACCCAUAAGCCGCCAACAAAUGUGCUGGCUUAUUACAUAACCGGGGGCAAUGCACAACUUGAUCUUGUAUGAAGGCUAGUUGUAACAGAAACUUUGCUUCGCGGAAGAGAAUCCCCAGUGGUCCACGGUCCUGGCCGGAGGAAGACACAGCUUGCUGCAGUGUCAAGCAAUCUGUCUCGAACAGUACACGACCCAUGCCAUGCCUUUCAGCUAGCCUGAUGGUGUGGAUUAGAGCUUCGGUCUCCGCCUAUAACGCUGAACUUUGGUAGACCAACUUCCCUGCAGCAGCGAGAAGAAACCCACCCUCCGUGUCCCAUGCAAUCGCUCCCCAGCCUCCCUCUCCCGUUGCAGGAUUAAAGGUUGCAUCGAAGUUGAUCUUUAUAAAGUUACGUGGGGGCGCCGACCACUUGGGAUUGGGUUUAGUCUGCUCGGUCGUCCUCUUACACAGAAACUGCUGCUGUCGUGGUCCUAAAACUGACAGUAGAAAGGGGGUAGGUAUGGAGAGGCAAGAUCUCAGCUAUUGUGAAGGUGUACACACGAGGUUUACGAGUUCAGGCCCUUCUUAGUGGGAGUAACAGCCCUACGUCUCGGUGCCCGGAGGCGAUUGAUUGAAUUAUGUGUGUGAUAUUACAGGGGGUGCGAACCCUUGUGCGAGAGGAGGGGGUGGCUUAUAUAGAGUGCGCCAGGUCACAGCCAUCCUCCAUUACAAGGAACUUAAUGUACAUAAAGUGGGCGCGUUACUGGUAACGCCAGCCUUAAGCGUUGUUAAUGACCUUAAAGAUAUGGAGGAAACGCCUGUCCAUUGCCACGCCGAGUGGCUCCUGGUCUUCGAUAGGUCGAGUGGUUCUCUGCUUGGUCGAGUGACGGCAAGGAGGAAGACCUCUGAGUGACACGCAUGUCGACUGGAUUGCAUUCGACAUCUUCAACUGGUGGUCUCUUGUUGUCGCUUGGACCCUUCAUCUUCUUGGGUAGUGACCCUGGGUAGGAUACAUAGGUCAGGCCUAUGACCCUACCCCAGGUCUGUAUCCUCAUCAGUAGCCCCCGAAUGGAUUAAGGUUCGAGUGGAAAGUAGGUUGAAGUUGAACCUGCUCUGAGCUUUGCGCCUUCGUGAGUGUUUUCUGCAAGACCGAAAACCCACGUCGGUACUUCAGUGUCGACUCAGUCGCCUUGAUCCAUUCAGUGAAUUGUCGACUGAACUUGUGGCAUCAUGUGCCGAGUGUUGUAUUAGUGCGCGGGAUCUCGGGCGUGAUUGACUGCUGGUAUCCCGGAUUUCGCGGGAUAUGAAAUUUCGGGGAAGCGUGCGGGACGGAAGGCGCCGAAAAAGGCGGACCGAAUAAGCAGCGAUGCCUUGAUUACCGCGCCGCCUUUUUCGCCACGUACGUUGCGCGCAACUGUUGCGGGAUGUGACAGGAUUGCCUGGCCCCACGCGUCAGUCACUCGGAAGCGACCCUUUAUAAGGCGACGGGGCCGAGGCACCUGCACUGUGCACGCCUGUUCCUCCUUCUUUCUCCUCCGCAUCUCCACCACGCCCAGCUCCUCCGCUCUCGACGUCGCUGCCCUACCGCCAUGGUGAAGGACAAGACAGCGCCACUAGAGUGUGCAAAGAAGGCGACGGGGGCGGCGAAAAGCAAGAAGCAGAACCAUGGGUCGUCAUCGCGCGCGGGGCUGCCGCCGGGCUGGAUCCAGGGCGAUUGGAUCCGGUCUUCGGUUCGGCAAGAGGAUCUGGCUGAGCUGGAGGAGUCCGGACUAAUCACCAAGGGGGCGGCAAGGCUGCCGAAGGGGGAGAUGGAAUCGCGGCCUCGUCCGGGUGAGUGUGUACUGCUCGCCACUCACGUCGACCGGGGUUUUUCGCUCCCUCUGCAUCCUUUCUUUCGAGGGUUCCUGAACUUCUUUGGCGCUCAACUCCACCAUUUUCCCCCCAACACCAUCACGUAUUUGGCUGCAUUCGUAUCGAUGUGUGAGAACUUCUUAGGAUGUCAACUGCACUGGGGUCUUUUCAAACAUAUCUUCACCAUCCGUUCCCAGUCGGUAAAAAAGGCAAAGUCGAGUGAAUCGAAAACCCACGUCAUUCAGAUAUGUGGGGGUUUAGGUAUCCAAAAGAGGCAUAGGAGUGCCUUUCCUGCCAUGACUCUCCCUGAAUCUGUUAGAGGUUGGCAGUCGACCUAGUUCUACUGCCAGGACGUCGCAGCUCCAGGUCAGUUGACUGGUCUUCCCCACUUCUCAUUGGACCGUGUUCGGACUCCUGCCCCACUGAAAGUAACUGCUGCUGAGACCGUGGAGACGAAGAUGUUGGUGGAGAGAGUGGUCCAACUUAUCAAUGAGGGUGUCACCGGCCUGGACCUGCUGGAAGUGUUCCUUAGUCGACACAUCCAGCCUCUCCAAUCUCGUGAUCAUCCUAUGUGGCUGUACUCCGGACCAGACAACACUGCUCGAGUCCAUCCAGAAGAGGUGUCGUCUGACACCGUGGCUUUGUGGCUGAGGAGCAUCACAGGUAACCAGGACAACCCCAGAGGAUCCAGGCGAGUCAUCCCCUUUGGCGACGGAAAUCUGCCCGACAAGAUAUGUUCUUUGUUCUGACUGUUUUGCGCUCGCGCUCCGACUGUACCUGAUGUUGACUGAAUCUUACUCGACUGACUUGUCCUGCAGGUAUUCAUUGAGAUGCAUUCGAUGCCCAACGGCGAACAAGCUUUGGAGCAGGACCAGGAGGGAGAGAACAGUGCGGAAGAGAGUGGCGAGUGGGAGUCUCUGUGUGAACACGAGGAGGAGGAGAGUGAGGAUUCGGACGAGGAGGAAGAAGCCGACUCACCGUCGUGCUCUGAACGUCGAUCCAAACAGCAGCAUGACCCAUCUGUCGGGCGUGGGAAAAGCGUGGCUCCGAGUACCAACACCCAGAAGCGCACUCGGACGUCGACUCCAGAGCCGACGGAAAAGGUGGCCAAGCAGCCCAAAGUUGCUCCUCCCAAGGCUCGGAAGACUUUGCCACGGAUCAAGAUGGACUUCCCUGUUGCUUCAGGGUGAGUGUCUCGCUUGUGUUUAUGUUGGUCGACUGGAGUUUUUUUGUUCUGAUCAGCCGAUUCAUGUAUAUUUCUAGUCCCACCUCUGCUGCCACUGACAUGGACAUCGACAAGGUGCCAGAGACGAAGAGGCCACCUUGCGAGUCGGUAAGUCUGUUCGACCAAGCUUCGUUAAGUUGAGUGGGUCGCCAAUCGGCGGAGUUUGUAACAUUUCUCUCUUCUUGUAGUUCCGAAAGAGGUCAUUGUGCUUCCUGAUGACGAAGAAGAAGUGCCUCUACAGGAGAGGAGGAAGAGGGGUGGUAGCUCUGGUAGGAGGAGGCUUGAAGUUCAAGUCCCUCAGUCGACACCGGCGCUUGAGGCGGUGCUCGAACGUUCCGGAGAGCCGGUUUAGACCAGCGUCACAUUCGCCAGCCCACUGACGACUGAUCGUCCGUAGGGCUCGACCGUACCGACUCCUGCUGGUCCAGUGCAACUCCACGCCUCUGACCCAGCAACUGCUUCGACUGCCCUACAACCAUCGCUCUUUGCUACGUAUUAGACCCCGGAUGACUCAUCGAGUGCCGCUAGGGAAGCUCUUCGCCAGGUGAACCUUGUCAUGGAUCAGGUGAAGGUGAUGCAUGAGGCUAGCUAGGUGGCUUACAACGCCAGUACUGCCCUUCAGACCAAUGUUCAGGUCAGCAAAACUCCGAAUGAACUUUCGUAUGUUGUCUGCUAUCCGAUCACCCACUGGGGUGUUUCUUUGCUUAGAGUUUGGGAAACUUCCCAUGCCACUCGACUUGAGUUGAGUCUUAGUAUACUUUCUGGAUCAAUGGGAGCACGUCGAGUGCACCCACUGGGUGUAGUCCCCGAGACCACGGUCGACUGCUAGCAGUUGACUGAGGUCUUAGAAUGUACUUCUUUCCUUUGUCUCCCUUUUUUUGGACUCACGCUUGGCAGACCCUGCUGAGCAUUGAUCUGAACCAAUGGGGGCACGCUAAGUGCACCCACUGGGUGUAGUCCCCGAGACUACUGGUGAAUAUUUGAUUCGGCAGUAGUCUUAGAGUAACUUUUCUCUGUCACUGUCUCUUAUUUCUGUCGACUGACACAUCACUCUUGCUGACUACAGAGGUCUUGUGAUCUUGGAGCUCGGCUUUCCAAGUUAAAGAAGAAGCAUAUCAGUGUUGAACUUGACCUUGAACUUGCAAAGAAGAAUUUCAAGACUACUCAGCAAGAGACGGCCAUCAUGGGAGGUAACCAUUCGACUGGCUUGUCUGCUUAGCAAAUCGCAUUUUCCACUUCUUUUCAUUUAGUCUCUUUGAACCGAGUAACUUCACACAAGCAGAUGUGCGUAGUGAAAACCGCCAACUUCAGGCUCGUCUGAAGAGUGUUGUUUCUUUAGAGAAAAUGAAGGAGGCUUUGGAGAAGAAGGACAUGGACCUUCCUGCUGCUCAAAAGGAAGCACGUGAGAAGAUGACGCUUGCGGACCAGAAGUUGGCUUCAGUCGGCAAAUUGGAGGAGGAGAACACAAAGCUGAAGACUGCCAUCUCGGACGCUAAUCGGGAGGUCGAGCAACUGAAGAAGGACAAGGAGAACCUGGCCACUGAAGUCGGUAGCCUCAGAGCCAAAACGGGCAAGAUGGAGUCCUACCUGGAACAACUUGCGACGAAGCUUGUCCUGAAGCUUGAAGGUAUGGCUGUUCAAUUAGAUAACUGUCGUCGACUGAAAUUUGUUGCAAUACUAUUGACUCAUUGUUUUUUGCGAUGGAACAGAACUUUGCCAGGACUUUGAAGAUGAAACCGGGUGUGUCGAGACAGGUCUCGACCCCAUCAACUAUCCCGUGAAAGAUGAAGUUGCGAUCAACUUGAUUCGAUUGGAAUCACGCUUGGACGGCGCUGUCGACUAUCUGGCCCAGCUAAAGGCCACGAUGACCCGAGUGGACGCCGAACUCUGGCCUCAGGCAGAACUUUCUCUAGGCCUCGAGUCACUGAUGACUCGACUGAAUCAGAUUCCUGACCGAGUACAAGAGUGGAAGAAGUCCUUUGCUUGUUGUGGUGCUGACGUUGCUUUGUCAUUGUUUCGAGUACACUGCAAGGAGGCUAAAGAAGAGAAGCUGGCGGCCCUCAAGGUAGCAAAUACUAAGAAGCACUCCUUCCAGGACUUCAUGGACACAUCCUCGAGGCAGCUACGUGCAUUGCCGACAGCAUCGAUCUUGACAGCUUCUGCAAUCCAGCCAGUCCUUCUCCUGUCGAGUGACGGAAAAAUAUUAUGCCCCACUUUUAUUUGCCUCGGAAUGCCGAGUGAUUCUGUAAUCGUUAAAACUCCUUCGGGCCUGACGCCUGAGUACUUUUAAUCUGUGGUUAGGAAUCUUCGGAUUUAUCUUUGAAUAUGUUGUGUUUAUCUUCGAGUGGAAUCCGUUCUUCUCUUGGAUCUGUUUCUCCUUGUUUGAUGCAGGUGUUGAAGAAGGAUCAACAAUUGACUAGUUGGAUGAGCCUUGGGCAGCAUUGAUCAGCUCAUCAGCAAGGUACUCAACAAUGGUCUUGACAUUCCUGUCAUCAGCAAGGGGCCAGUCGUUGGACGGACAUUUGACAGUGCGCACAAACUCGUCCUUCUUCUUGACGGUGCAGCCCCCGGGGGGUGGGUUGUGGUCGAACCGCACCACUGCUCACCAUUCGGUAGGAUUUUCACACUUAGGCGAGUGCAGGACAGCAGCUAUGCUCCCGAGUGAGAGGACUGCUCACCACUCGGUAGGAUUUCUCAAACUUAGGUGAGUACUGGACUGCAGCUAAGCCCCCAAGUGGGAGGGCUGCUCACCACUUGGUAGGAUUUCUCAAACUUAGGCAAGUACUGGACUGCAGCUAAGCCCCCGAGUGGGAGGACUGCUCACCACUCGGUAGGAUUUCUCAAACUUAGGCGAGUACUGGACUACAGCUAAGCCCCCGAGUGGGAAGGCUGCUCACCACUCGGUAGGAUUUCUCAAACUUAGGCGAGUACUGGACUGCAGCUAAGCCCCCGAGUGGGAGGGCUGCUCACCACUCGGUAUGAUNNNNNNNNNNNNNNNNNNNNNNNNNNNNNNNNNNNNNNNNNNNNNNNNNNNNNNNNNNNNNNNNNNNNNNNNNNNNNNNNNNNNNNNNNNNNNNNNNNNNNNNNNNNNNNNNNNNNNNNNNNNNNNNNNNNNNNNNNNNNNNNNNNNNNNNNNNNNNNNNNNNNNNNNNNNNNNNNNNNNNNNNNNNNNNNNNNNNNNNNNNNNNNNNNNNNNNNNNNNNNNNNNNNCUAAGCCUCCGAGUGGGAGGGCUGCUCACCACUCGGUAGGAUUUCUCAAACUUAGGCGAGUACUAGACUGUAGCUAAGCCUCCGAGUGGGAGGGUUGCUCACCACUCGGUAGGAUUUCUCGAACUUAGGCGAGUACUGGACCACGGCUAAGUCUUCAAGCGGGGAGAUUUUCUCUCAGAAUCUCGUCCUUCUUCUUGACGGUGCGACCCCCUGGGGGGGAGGGACGUGACCGACCCAUACAGUUUGGUAGGACUUUGUAUUACUUAGGCGAGUACUGGACUGCAGCUAAGCCCCCGAGUGAGAGGCAAACUCACCACUCAGCGGGACUUUUAUCACUUAGGCGAGUACUGGACUGCAGCUAAGCCCCCGAGUGGGAGGCAGACUCACCACUUGGUAGGAUUUUAUCACUUAGGCGAGUAUUGGACUGCAACUAAGCCCCCUCGUGGGAGGCAGGCUCACCACUCGGUAGGACUUUUAUCACUUAGGAGAGUACUGGACUGCAGCUAAGCCCCCGAGUGGUUGGCGGACUCACCACUCGGUAGGAUUUUGAUCACUUAGGCGAGUACUGGACUGCAGCUAAGCCCCCGAGCGGGAGGCAGACUCACCACUCGGUAGGAUUUUUCCCUUCAUCUUAGGAAAAAUAGAUUCGCAGCUAAGGCGACAUAUACGAAAGAAAUAAACAACAAUCAUUUGGAAGACUAUAAAAUUAUGUCUUUUGAUAACCAAACUAAAAAAGGUACUUCUUAUUACAUCCCAUUAGUCUAAGUACUUAGGAGUAAAAAGGGCGAAGUAGUUCUGUGUUCCAAGCGCGUGGUUCAUCUUUGUUGUGCUCGAUGUUGAAGAGACGAUAUGCUCCAUUUGGAGCACCUUGGUGACGAUGAAAGGGCCCUCCCAAGCGGGAGCUAGCUUGUGUGGCUUCUGUUGGUCCACCCGGAGAACCAGGUCUUCUUCUUGAAAUGCCCGACCCCUCACAUUUCUGGCAUGGAAUCGACGCAAGUCUUGCUGGUAAAUGGUCGACCAGAUCAAGGCCAUCUCUCUUUCUUCUUCCAGGAGGUCGACUGCAUCUUGCCGAGCUUGCUCUGCUUCAUCUUCUGAGAAGAGUUUGACUCGGGGUGCAUUGUGGAGCAAAUCACUCGGGAGUACGGCUUCGGCUCCGUAGACUAAGAAGAAUGGAGUCCGUCCAGUCGACCGAUUGGGAGUUGUCCUUAGUCCCCAAAGCACUGAUGGGAGCUCAUCAACCCAAGCUCAUGCUGCAUGCUUAAGGUCACGCAUCAACUGGGGUUUCAGUCCUUUGAGAAUCAAUCCAUUUGCUCGCUCAGCCUGUCCAUUUGACUGAGGAUGGGAGACUGAAGCGUAAUCGACCCUCGUACCCUGGGAGGCACAAAAGGCUCUGAAUUCAUCAGAGUUGAAGUUCGAUCCGUUGUUCGUGAUGAUGCUAUGAAACACACCAUAUCUGAAUAUCAAUUCUCUGAUGAAACUCACAGCAGUACUUGCUUCAAGGUUUUUAAUGGGCUUGGCUUCGAUCCACUUGGUAAACUUGUCGACUGCCACUAGCACAUGGGUAAACCCGCUCCUGCCGGUCCUCAGAGGUCCAACCAUGUCUAAUCCCCAAACAGCGAAAGGUCAGACGAGUGGAAUAGUCUUCAAAGCUGAUGCAGGUUUAUGGGACAUGUUGGAGUAAAACUGGCAACCUUCACACUUCUCCACUAUCUCCUUUGCCAUCUCAUUAGCACAUGUCAAGUAAAAUCCGGCUCGGUAUGCUUUGGCCAUGAUGGUCCAAGAGGACGCAUGAUGACCACAGGUCCCCGAGUGAAUAUCAUUGAGGAUCAUUCGGCCUUCUUCUGGCGUGAUGCACUUCUGGCAGACCCUAGUUGCACUUUCACUGAACAACUAACCUCUCAUCACGGUAAAGGCUUUAGACCGUCGGACGAUCUGUCGAGCCUCUUCUUCGUCCUCUGGAAGUUCUUUCCUAAGAAUGUAUACAAUGUAUGGCACUGUCCAGUCGGGGAUGAUGACCAAAACCUCCAUGACUAAGUCGACCACGGCUGGGACUUCGACUUCAGUCGGAUCUGUGGCGCUCUUGGGCUAUGGUGACCCUUCAGUGAAAGGAUCCUCUCUGACUGAAGGUGAAUGAAUAUGUUCCAGAAACACAUUACGAGGAAUGGCUUCUCUUUUAGAACCUAUCUUUGCCAACUCAUCUGCAGCUUGAUUUUUCAGUCGGGGUAUGUGGUGAAGUCAACCCUUCAAACUUCUUUUCCAGCUUCCUUACUGCAUUGCAAUAACCAAUCAUGGCCGGGCUCCUAACAUCCCAUUCCUUCAUCACUUGAUUAACCACCAAAUCCGAGUCGCCGUAGACCAUAAGGCGACGGACACCGAUUGAAAUGGCCAUACGCAACCCGUAUAAAAGUGCUUCAUAUUCGGCUUCGUUAUUGGAGGAAUCAAAGUGGAUCUGGAGAACAUAGCUAAGCCUGUCUCCACGGGAGGAUACCAAUACUACCCCGGCACCUGAACCAUUCAGCAUCUUGGAGCCAUCAAAGAACAUAGUUCAAUGCUCCGAGUGAACUUGAGUCGGCAAUUGCUAUUCAAUCCACUCGGCAAGGAAAUCUGCGAUCGCCUGGGACUUGAUGGCCUUCUUUGCCUCAAACUUGAUAUCCAAGGGAAGGAGUUCAAUCGCCCAUUUUGCCACUCGACCAGUUGCAUCUCUAUUAUUCAGGAUCUCAGAAAGUGGUGCGUCGCUGACGACCGUGAUGGAAUGAUCAGAGAAAUAAUGUCCAACCUUCUUCAUGGUCAUUUAUAUUCCAUAGACAAGCUUCUUAUAAUGUGGAUAUCAUUGCUUGGAUGGAGUCAACACUUCAGAGAGAUAGUAAACUGGGCGUUGAACCUUGUAAGCUUUUCCUUCCUCCACUCGCUCGACCGUGAGUACUAUACUGACAACUUCUCCAGUGGCUGCAAUGUAAAUCAGUAAAGGCUCUUUGCUGAUUGGCACAACAAGCACCGGCUGGGUGGACAGCGGGGUUUUGAGUUCUGCAAACACUGCGUCAGCUUCUUCAGUCCACUCGAACUUAUCAGAUUUCUUCAUCAGUCGGUAAAGAGGCAAGGCCUUUUCACCGAGACAAGAAAUGAAUCAACUCAAGGUGGCCAAACAACCAGUCAGCUUCUGAACGUCAUGCACUCGCACAGGACGCUUCAUUCGGAGGAUGGUAUCAACUUUUUAUGGAUUGGCGUCGAUCCCUCGUUCGGAAACGAGAAAACCGAGUAACUUUCCUCCUGGAACUCUGAAUGUGCAUUUUGACAGAUUAAGCUUGAUAUCGUACCUUCUUAGGUUGGCAAAGGUUUCUGCGAGGUCAGUCAAUAGGUCGGAACCUUUGCGGGACUUGACCACAAUGUCAUCCAUGUAUGCUUCCACAUUCCGACUGAUUUGAGUGAGCAGGCACUUCUGAAUCAUUCUCAUGAAUGUGGCUCCGGCAUUUUUAAGACCAAAAGGCAUGGUGACAUAACAAAAGCACCCGAAUGGGGUGAUGAAAGCUGUCUUUAUUUCGUCGGGACCAUAUAGUCAGAUCUGAUGAUACCCGGAAUAUGCAUCUAAAAAAGAUAAGCGCUCACAGCUCGCAGUCGAGUCAACAAUCUAAUCGAUGCAAGGGAGAGGGAAGUGUACUUUCGGGCAGGCCCGAUUGAUAUGCUUGAAAUCAAUGCACAUACGAAGUGAAUCAUCCUCCUUGGGUACCAUGACUACAUUGGCAAGCUGAUACGUCUCCGUCGUAUCUACUUUUCCAAACACUUUUGCCCUUGUUUUGGACUCUAACUUGUAUGAUUUGAAUGGAACUAACCCGGACUGACGCUUUUUUCAGCAGAAUUGCCAUGAUGUUGUUUUAUGUGCAGAAAACAAAGGUUCUCGGAAUGACCUGAAACUCCACGGAAUACCUCGCCAAAGAUGAAGACCAGGAGGGCCACACCCUGUCCACGAGGGUGGGGGGCGCGCCCCUCCCCCCUGGGCGCGCCCCCCUACCUCGUGGGCCCCCUGGAUGCCCUCCGACGCCAACUCCAACUCCAUAUAUUGGCUUUCGGGAGAAAAAAAUCAGAGAGAAGAAAUCAUCACGUUUUACAAUACGGAGUCGCCGCCAAGCCAUUAUCUCUCUCGGGAGGGCUGAUCUGGAGUCCGUUCGGGGCUCCGGAGAGGGGAAUUCUUCGCCUCGUCAUCAUCAACCAUCCCCCAUCACCAAUUUCAUGAUGCUCACCGCCGUGCGUGAGUAAUUCCAUCAUAGGCUUGCUAGACGGUGAUGGGUUGGAUGAGAUUUAUCAUGUAAUCGAGUUAGUUUUGUUACGGGUUGAUCCCUAGUAUCCACUAUGUUCUGAGAUUGAUGUUGCUAUGACUUUGCUAUGCUUAAUGCUUGUCACUAGGGCCCGAGUGCCAUGAUUUCAGAUCUGAACCUAUUAUGUUUUCAUGAAUAUAUGUGAGUUCUUGAUCCUAUCUUGCAAGCCUAUAGUCACCUACUAUGUGUUAUGAUCCGGCAACCCCGAAGUGACAAUAAUCGGAACCACUCCCGGUGAUGACCUUAGUUUGAGGAGUUCAUGUAUUCACUAUGUGCUAAUGCUUUGUUCUGGUUCUCUAUUAAAAGGAGGCCUUAAUAUCCCUUAGUUUCCAAUAGGACCCCGCUGCCACGGGAGGGUAGGACAAACGAUGUCAUGCAAGUUCUUUUCCAUAAGCACGUAUGACUAUGUUCGGAAUACAUUCCUACAUUACAUUGAUGAACUGGAGCUAGUUCUGUGUCACCCUAUGUUAUGAUUGUUACAUGAUGAACCACAUCCGGCAUAAUUAUUCAUCAUUGAUCUGGUGCCUAUGAGUUUUACAUAUACUGGUUCUCGCUUAUUUACUUUUCUGUUGUUACUGUUACAAUCACUACAAAAUACCAAAAACAUUACUUUUGUUGUCUUUACUUUUGUUACCAUUACCACCACUAUCAUAUUACUUUGCUACUAAACACUUUGUUGCAGAUACUAAGUUUCCAGGUGUGCUUGAAUUGACAACUCAACUGCUAAUACUUGAGAAUAUUCUUUGGCUCCCCUUGUGUCGAAUCAACAAAUUUGGGUUGAAUACUCUACCCUCGAAAACUGUUGCGAUCCCCUAUACUUGUGGGUUAUCAAGACCUUUUUCUGGCGCCGUUGCCGGGGAGCAUAGCUCUAUUCUUUGAGUCACUUGGGAUUUAUAUCUGCUGGACACUAUGAAGAACUUGAAAGACGCUAAGACAACUAUUUAUCCCUCAACUACAAGGGGAGGUAAGGAACUGCCAUCUAGCUCUGCACUUGAUUCACCUUCUGUUAUAAACAAGCUAGUGACACCUAAACCUGCUUCUGCUAUUCGUUCCAAUAUGUCGCAUGUUAUUGAUGAUGCCACUUCUUCUAUGCAUGAUACUUAUGAUGAAACUACUUCUAUACUUGAUACUACUGUGCCUCUUGGUGAAUUUCUAGAUGAACAAAUUUCUAAGUCUAGAGAAAGAGAAAUUAUUGAAACUGAACACGAUGAUGUUAGUGAUGAUGAAAAUAGGCUUGCUAUUCCUGAGGGUUACCUUUUUAAUGUUGAAUCUACUGAAGCUAUUCUUGCUUGCCAGGAUAGUCUUGAACAUAAUAGGUUGCUAGUUAAAUGGAGUAAAGAAUCUUUUAGAGGUAGGAUGAGACCCGACCCUGCUUUUGCUACUUCACCUAUCUGUGUUCCUGAUCAGGAUUAUUAUGAUUUUUCUGUUGAUCCAGAUAUAAUUACUUUGGUUGAAUCUGAUCCUUUUUAUGGCUAUGAAUCUGAAACUGUUGUGGCACAUCUUUGUAAGUUAGAUGAUAUAGCUGCCCUGUUUACUAAUAAUGAGAGAUCGCGCUACCUUUAUUUACUCAAAAUAUUUCCGUUCUCAUUAAAGGGUGAUGCUAAGAUAUCGUUUAAUUCUCUUGAUCCUGGUUGUGUGCAAAGUCCCCAGGAUAUGGUUUAUUACUUCUCUGCUAAAUAUUUUCCUGCUCAUAAGAAACAAGCUGCUUUGAGGGAUAUAUAUAUAAUUUUUUGCAAACUGAGGAAGAGAGUCUCCCACAAGCUUGGGGGAGGCUUCUCAAGUUACUUAAUGCUUUGCCUCAUCAUCCUCUUAGGAAACCUGAAAUACUUGAUAUCUUUUAUAAUGGACUAACUGAUGCUUCCAGAGAUUACCUGGAUAGUUGUGCUGGUUCUCUUUUCAGGGAAAGAACACCGGAUGAAGCUGAAGUUCUAUUGAAUAAUAUGUUGACAAAUGAAAAUAAUUGGGCACCUCCUGAGCCAACUCCCGAGCCAGCUCCUGAGCCCAUUACUGAGCCUAUUCCUAAACCAACUCCGAAGAAGAGAGGUGUUCUAUUUCUCAGUCCCGAAGAUAUGCAAGAGGCAAAGAAAUCUAUGAAAGAAAAAGGUAUUAAAGUUGAAGAUGUUAAGAAUUUACCUCCUAUUGAAGAAAUACAUGGUCUUAAUUCACCGCCUAUUGAAGAAGUAUAUGAUCUCAAUUACUUAUUUACUGAAGAACCUCCCGAUAUCCCGACACAGGUAGUAAAGGUAAAUUCUCUCUACAGAUAUGAUAAAACUGAAGUCCCUCCUACUAAAAUUGCUAGUCGGUGCUUGGAUGAGUUUGAUGACUUUAUGUUUAAGCAAGAUGACUUUAAUGCUUAUUUUGGUAGACAAUUAAAACAGAAUACCUUUAUGAUUAAACGCUUGAGUGAUUAUAUGGCUAAUAUUAGAGGUGAACUUAAACUUGUUAGCAAACAUGCUUCUAUGGUUACCACUCAAGUAGAACAAGUACUUAAAGCUCAAAAAGAAGUGCUUAAUGAAAUGAAUAGUAAGAAAAAUGAUUAUGCCGUUAGAGUGGCUACUAGAACUGGUAGAAUGACUCUGGAACCUUUGUAUCCUGAAGGCCACCCUAAGAGAAUCGAGCAAGAUUCUCAGAGAAAUAAUAUUGAUAUGCCUAGUUCUUCUAAAAGGAAGAAAAAGAAAAAUGAUAGAACUGUGCAAACUUCUAGUGAACCUAUUGCUGAACCACCUGAUAAUCCAAAUGAUAUCUCUAUGUCUGAUGCUGAAACACAAUCUGGUAAUGAACAUGAACCUGGUAAAAAUGUUAAUGAUGAUAUUCAUGAUGAUGCUCAACCUAGUAGUGAUAAUGAUGUAGAAGUUGAACCUGCUGUUGAUCUUGAUAACCCACAAUCAAAGAAUCAAUGUUAUGAUAAAAGAGACUUCGUUUCUAGGAAACAUGGUAAAGAAAGAGAACCAUGGGUUCAGAAACCCAUGCCUUCUCCUCCCAAACCAUCCAAGAAAAAGGAUGAUGAGGAUUUUGAGCGCUUUGCUGAAAUGAUUAGACCUACCUUUUUGCGUAUGCGAUUAACUGAUGUGCUCAAAACAAAUCCUUAUGCUAAAUAUAUGAAAGAUAUUGUUACAAAUAAAAGAAAUAUACCGGAAGCUGAAAUUUCCACCAUGCUUUCUAAUUAUACUUUUAAGGGUGGAACACCAAAGAAACUUGGGGAUCCAGGAGUACCUACUAUACCAUGCUCCAUUAAAAGAAAUUAUGUUAAAACUGCUUUAUGUGAUCUUGGAGUCGGUGUUACUGUUAUGCCUCUCUCUUUAUAUCGUAGACUUGACUUGAAUAAGUUGACACCUACUGAAAUAUCUUUGCAAAUGGCUGAUAAAUCAACUGCUAUACCUGUCGGUAUUUGUGAGGAUGUGCAUGUUGUGGUUGCAAACGUUACUAUUCUAACGGACUUUCUUAUUCUUGAUAUUCCCGAGGAUGAUAGUAUGUCUAUUAUUCUUGGAAGACCUUUCCUUAAUACUGCAGGGGCUGUUAUUGAUUGCAACAAAGGCAAUGUCACUUUUCAUGUUAAUGGUAAUGAGCAUACGGUACACUUUCUGAGGAAACAACCUCAAGUUUAUAGUAUUAACUCUAUUGGAAAAAUUCCAUCGAUUAUAUUUGGAGGUUUUGAAUUUCCUCUUCCUACUGUCAAGAAGAAAUAUGAUAUACUUAUUAUUGGGGAUGUCCAUAUCCCCGUUGAGGUAACAUAGUGUUAUUCGAAAUUUCUCCGGUUCCAUGAUUAUCGGAAUGAGUUUGUUAACAAGACUUGAUCAACCUUGUUAGUGGAUUCUUUUUGAUGAGCAUGAGAUGGAUGAAACUAGAAGCACAACCUUCUGUGCCCUCUUUAUAUUUUCUGUUAUUUAGUAGAAAUAAAGUAAAAUUAGUAUUUUUCUAUCUGUCUCCUGACUUAUCCGCUCAAUAUAAAAAUAUCCCAAAAAUAAAAGUCCUCAGAAUGCCACGCCAAUUUAAUAUGAUUUUUUCGGGAAUAUUUAAGAAUGUUUAGUGCAAAAAUUACCGCGGGGGGAGCUGCCACCUGGUCACGAGGGUGGAGGGCGCGCCCUACCCCCCUGGGCGCACCCCCUGCCUCGUGGGCCCACGGUGGCCCUCCUCCACUUAUCCCUGCACCCAUCUUCUUCCUCUGUCUCACACAAACCCGAAAAACCAACUCAAGCUCGUGUUCCAGCAACUUUUGCUGCGAUUUUCGAUCUCCUUGCUUAAAGCACCUCUCGCAAAACUGCUUGGGAAGAUUGUUCCUUGGUAUGUGACUCCUCCAUUGGUCCAAUUAGUUUUUGUUCUAGUGCUUUAUUCAUUGCAAAUUUGUGCUGCAUAGGUGACCAUGUUCUUGAGCUUGCAUGUCAAAUUUAUAUGGUUCCAAGUAGUCCCAAUGCUUUAUAUAGGCUCUAGGCACUUGUAGGAGUUGUUGCUAUCAAUUUUAUUGAAGUUGGUUCACUUUUGUUUGAAGUUACUAAAAAUUUCAGAAUUAUUUUUCAGAGGAAACAAUAUGCUUAGGAGGAUGUUCCAAGGUGGUUCUUCAAGGAAGCAAGGUCCCAGGCUUGCAAUGCGUGAUGGUGACGAGGAACCACCAAGAGACGCUCCCGUGAGGCCCUGUGAAUGGCCUUUGGAAAAUUUUAUGAAUCAAGUGGGAAUUAAAGAAGAAUUCUACGCAUACUUGCGUAAUGCCGGUCUUGAGGACUUUGAAGCUGAUAAAUGCCCCCGGUAUCAUUACCUCACAAGUUCAUUUGUGGGGAGGUUUGAUUUUUCAUCUUCGCGUAAUUCUCCUUCAGUCAUGUUUGACCUUUAUGACAAAUCUUAUACCAUGGACUUAGAAGAUUUCACUCUUGCAUGCAAACUUCCAUCUUGGGGUAGUAUCAGGGAUCCCCCUAAAUCUGAAUAUAGAGACUUUCUUGCUAGAAUAACUAUGGGGGAAUCUAGAGAUAUAGCGCAGGCCACUACAGGGAGCAUUCACUUUCCUGCUAUACAUUAGUUUGCUCUCUUCAUUGGUAGAUGCAUAAAUGCUAAGGAUGAAGCAUGUCACAUGUGUGCCCCUGAUCUCAGCAUUCUCAGAAGCGUUGUGUUAGGGGACCAAGCUUAUCAUAUGGGAGCCAUUGUAGCUCAUAGGUUGCAUCUUAAUAGACGUAGCGGAAAUUUCUUUGGAGGAAUUUAUGCAACCCGCUUAGCUAAUUUUCUUGAUGUAGACAUUCGUGAGGGUGAUAUGGAGUUACCCCCUUCUUAUUUAGAUCUUGAUUCUAUGUUUUCUCACCAGUUCAUUGAGAGGACUAGACCACCUUUUCAGUAUCGACUAAUCUUUAAAAAACGGCAUGUGGUCCGUGUUGCUCUUCAUGCUCCUACCUUCUUUGAUUUUUAGGCGAGAGGAAAAUAUAUUAUUACCAGAGAGGAGGAAGAUGAAUAUGACAAGAGAGCGGAGGCAGCUCGACGCCACGCUGCAAUUCAGGAUGCGAUAGCAGCUGCAUCACAGUACGACCCCAGCUACACCUACGGGUAUCAGCCAGGCUAUCCCUGGCAAUAGACCAACUUAGUCCAAAAGCCUAAGCUUGGGGGAGUACGUAUUUCCCACCGACAUUACAUUCAUGUUCACACACACUCAUUGCUAGAUGUCGGUGCUCAUACUCUUUCACUGUAAUAUCCAUGCUAGUUUAUUUUCUUUCUUCUUGUGUGUUUGAUAAACCUUAAGAAAAAACAAAAAAAAUAGUUAGUCUACUUUCCUUGCUUGUAGUAGAAUUAAAAAGAAAACCCAAAAAUAUUUCUCGUUCUUCUUUUGCUUGUUGGGAGCUUUCCCAUGUAAAUAGUUUUUAUUUCUUUUCCUUUCUUUGGGGGUCGAGAAGACUAUAUUGAAAAUGCUUAGUGGCUCUUAUAUGCUUUAUUGCUUAUCUAACUUAGAGCUCAUAUUACUUGUCUUCUCUCUUGAGUUGAAUGCUUGCAGAUUCCAGCUUAGUCCAAUGCACGUGCACUCUUAUUAUUAUACACACUGUUCGGUCGUGCAAGUGAAAGGCAAUAAUGAUGAUAUAUGAUGGACUUAUUGGGAUGAGAAAAGCUGGUAUGAACUCGACCUCUCUUGUUUUUGUAAAUAUGAUGAUUCAUCAUUCCUAAUUCAGCUAUUAUGAAGUAAACAUAUUUGCAAUGACAUUUAGAGAUUAUAGUUGAUUGUGCCAUGCUUGAUUAGCUAUGAGUUAUAAUGGUUUACCUUGCGUGCCAACAUGCUAUUAGAAUGGUUAUGAUGUGGUACGAUGGGAUGGUAUCCUCCUUCAAAUGAAUUGAGUGACUAGACUUGGCACAUGUUCACGCAUGUAGUUGAAUCCAAUCAACAUAGCCUUCAUGACAUUUAUGUUCAUGGUGGAUUAUAUCCUACUCAUGCUUAUAUUCGGUGUAAAUUAAUUUUAAUGCAUGUUUACAACUGUUGUCGCUCUCUCAGUUGGUCGCUUCCCAGUCUUUUGCUAGCCUUCACCUGUACUAAGCGGGCAUACUGCUUGUGAAUCCAAACUCCUUAAACCCCAAAGUUGUUCCAUAUGAGUCCACCAUACCUUCCUAUAUGCGGUAUCUACCUGCCGUUCCAAGUAAAUUUGUAUGUGCCAAACUCCAAACCUUCAAAUAAAAAUUCUGUUUUGUAUGCUCGAGCAGCUCAUGUGCAACUAGGGCUGCAUAUAUCUUCCAUGCUAGGUGGGUUAUUCUCAAGAGGAGUGGACUCCGCUCCUCAUUCACGAGAAAGGUCCGGUAACCGAGAUGCCCAGUCCCAUGAUCCAAAAAGAUCAAAGCAAAUCAAAAUAAUUAAACAAAGCUCCCCCUGGGACCCGUUGAAUGUUGGAGGCACUCGUUGUUUCGAGCAAGCCAUGGAUUGAUGCUUGUGGAGGAGGGGGAGUAUAAACCUUUACCAUUCUGUUUGGGAACUGCAUAUAAUGCAUGUAGUAUGGAAGAUACAGCCAUCUCAUAGUUGUUGCGUUGACAGUGAAAGUAUGCCGCUCAAAAUAUAAUUUAUCUCUGUUUCAAAAUCGAGCUCUGGCACCGCUACAAAUCCCUGCUUCCCUCUGCGAAGGGUCUAUCUAUUUACUUUUACGUUGAGUCAUCACCCUUCUUAUUAAAAAAGCACCCGAUGGAGAGCACACUGUUGUUUGCAUUCAUUAUAAUUGGUUUAUUUUGGGUAUGACUUGACUGGAUCUCUUUUACCAUGAAUUACAAUGUUUAGUCAGUCCUUGAUCUUUAAAGGUGCUCUGCAUUUAUGUUUUGCGGUCUCAGAAAGGGCUAGCGAGAUACCAUUUCGUUAUAUCAUGUUAUGAUUAUUUUGAGAAUUGUUGUCAUCCGAGUUUUAUUAUUAUGGCUCGCUAGCUGAUUAUAUUAUUGAUAUGAGUAAUUGUGAGACCUACGUGUUAUUGUGAGUAUGGUUAGUUCAUAAUAAUUGCUGAAACUUGAAUGCUGGCUUUUCAUGUUUACAACAACAAGAGCAAACAGAGUUUGUAAAAGUUUUUCUUUUUCUCUUUCAGUUUGUCAACUGAAUUGCUUGAGGACAAGCAAGGGUUUAAGCUUGGGGGAGUUGAUACGUCUAAGUCGUAUCUACUUUUCCAAACACUUUUGCCCUUGUUUUGGACUCUAACUUGUAUGAUUUGAAUGGAACUAACCCGGACUGGCAUUGUUUUCAGCUGAAUUGCCAUGAUGUUGUUUUAUGUGCAGAAAACAAAGGUUCCCAGAAUGACCUGAAACUCCACGGAAUAUCUUAUAAUAAAAAAUAAAAAAUCCUCGCCAAAGAUGAAGACCAGGGAGGCCACACCAUGUCCACGAGGGUGGGGGGCACGCCCUCCUACCUCGUGGGCCCCCUGGAUGCCCUCCGAUGCCAACUCCAACUCCAUAUAUUGGCUUUCAGGGAGAAAAAAUCAGAGAGAAGAAAUCAUCGCGUUUUACGAUACGGAGCCGCCGCCAAGCCCUAAUCUCUCUCGGGAGGGCUGAUCUGGAGUCCGUUCGGGGCUCUGGAGAGGGGAAUUCGUCGACUCUUCAUCAUAAACCAUCCUCCAUCACCAAUUUCAUGAUGCUCACCGCCGUGCGUGAGUAAUUCCAUCGUAGGCUUGCUGGACGGUGAUGGGUUGGAUGAGAUUUAUCAUGUAAUCGAGUUAGUUUUGUUAGGGGUUGAUCCCUAGUAUCCACUAUGUUCUGAGAUUGAUGUUGCUAUGACUUUGCUAUGCUUAAUGCUUGUCACUAGGGCCCGAGUGCCAUGAUUUCAGAUCUGAACCUAUUAUGUUUUCAUGAAUAUAUGUGAGUUCUUGAUCAUAUCUUGCAAGCCUAUAGUCACCUACUAUGUGUUAUGAUCCGGCAACCCCGAAGUGACAAUAACCGGAACCACUCCCAGUGAUGACCUUAGUUUGAGGAGUUCAUGUAUUCACUAUGUGCUAAUGCUUUGUUCCGGUUCUCUAUUAAAAGGAGGCCUUAAUAUCCCUUAGUUUCCAAUAGGACCCCGCUGCCACGGGAGGGUAGGACAAAAGAUGUCAUGCAAGUUCUUUUCCAUAAGCAUGUAUGACUAUGUUCGGAAUACAUGCCUACAUUACAUUGAUGAACUGGAGCUAGUUUUGUGUCACCCUAUGUUAUGACUGUUACAUGAUGAACUACAUCUGGCAUAAUUAUUCAUCAUUGAUCCGGUGCCUACGAGUUUUCCAUAUACUGGUUCUCGCUUAUUUACUUUUCCGUUGUUACUGUUACAAUCACUACAAAAUACCAAAAACAUUACUUUUGUUGUCUUUACUUUUGUUACCGUUACCACCACUAUCAUAUUACUUUGCUACUAAACACUUUGCUGCAGAUACUAAGUUUCCAGGUGUGGUUGAAUUGACAACUCAGCUGCUAAUACUUGAGAAUAUUCUUUGGCUCCCCUUGUGUCGAAUCAACAAAUUUGGGUUGAAUACUCUACCCUCGAAAACUGUUGCGAUCCCCUAUACUUGUGGGUUAUCACAAGCCACUCGAAGUGGUAGAUCUCUCGGAUGAACUCUGUCGCUAGCAGCCGAGCCACUUCUUCGCCAAUCGCUUUCCUCUUCUACGCGGCGGACCGCCGAAGGUGCUCUUUGACGGGUUUUACCUUAGGGUCGACACGCAAACGGUGCUCAGCCAGUCCCCUGGGUACACCUGGCAUGUGAGAGGGUUUCCAUGCAAAGAUGUCCUAGUUCUCACGGAGGAACUGGAUGAGCGCUUCUUCCUAUUUGAUGUCGAGUGUUGUUGAUAUAUGAGUCGGUGCUGCAUUGGGCUUUGUUUCACCAAUCGACUGAAACGCAGAAUCUGUAGCAGGCUUCUUGGCUCGGAGCAAAUCAGUCGGAUCUGCAUUCUUCUGAUACUCUUCGAAUUCCACUGCUGCCAUUUGCGCAUCUGCAAUUUUGGAACCUUUCUGGGAGCAUUCCUCUGCUUUCUGCCGAUUGCCAGUAACUGUGAUCACACCUUUGGGGCCAGGCAUCUUCAACUUGAGAUACACGUAACAUGGUAGAGCCAUAAAACGUGCGUAGGCCGGCCUCCCCAGAAUGGCAUGAUAAGCACUCUGGAAAUCCACGACUUCAAAUGUCAACUUUUCCUUACAGUAAUGCUUGGAAUCACCGAAAACCACGUCGAGGGCAAUCUGGCCGAGUGAUUCGGCUUUCUUUCCAGGGAUGACACCAUGAAAACUCAUGUUGCUCUCGCUAAGUUUGGAUACCGGAAUGCCCAUCCCCUUCAAGGUUUCAGCAUAAAGUAUGUUCAGACCACUGCCACCGUCCAUCAGCACUUUAGUCAGUCUGGUGCCCCCAACCACGGGGUCGACCACCAGUGCUUGCCUCCCGGGGGUGGCUACGCGAGCAGGGUGGUCAGACUGGUCGAAUGUGAUGGCUAUCUGAGACCAUUUUAGGUACGCGGUCGUCGUCGUCGGAGCGGCCAUAAUCACCUCUCUGUUGAUGACUUUCAAUCGACUCUUGCUCUCAACAUCAGCAAAAAUCAUCAGGGUUGAAUUAACUUUGGGAUAACCAUCGUCCUCUUCCUCAUCUCGUCUCUGUCCGACUCCCUUUCUUUCUCACUACGUGGACCUCCUCGGAACUGUUGGAUCAGGAGCCGACACUAUCGAGUGGUAUGUUUGGGGUAAAUCAGAUUUCCCACUUUGUCCUUCUUCGUGUGAAUGUGGCACGGUAAAUCCAACACAUCAUUUCCUCCCUGAUCUUUCACUUUCUUAGGGGGCUAGGGCCCCUUCGGUUUUCCCUUAAACUUUCCUUGAACCACCGCCACGAUCUCACCGGGUGCCGCGGGCUCGGCCUUACGCUUCUGUUUCCGAUUGGAAUUACCUCCACCGGUCUCUUGACCGACUGGCUUGCUCUUUCCACUACGGAGUCGAUCCUCUUCUUCCCCGUUAGCGUACCGGGUGGCUAUUUCCAUCAUCCAGGUCAGAGUCAUGUCACCAGUUUGACCGAACUUUAGGACCAACUCUCGGUAUUUGACGCCCUCCUUGAAGGCGCACACCGCUUGAUGCUCUGAUACAUUUUCAACAGUGUGAUGCAAAGUGGACCACCUCCGAAUGAAAUCUCUCCAGGUCUCACUCGGCUUCUGCACACAAUGCUGCAACUCAGUCAAUCCCACGGGUCAUUUGCAAGUGCUUUCGAAAGUUCUGACGAACACUCGAGCUAGCUCUUCCCAACUGUAUAUACUACUCGGAGCUAAUUGAGUCAACCACGCUCGGGCUGACCCUUCCAACAUCAGAGGGAGAUGUUUCAUUGCUACCUCAUCAUUUCCACCGCCAAUCUGCACAGCCACUCGGUAAUCUUCAAGCCAAGUUUUGGGAUUGGACUCUCCAGUGAACUUACUGACUCCAGACGCCAACCUGAAGUUGGGAGGAAUUACCGCUGCCCUGAUUGCCCUGCUAAAACACUCCGGACCGGAAACAUGCACUCUGCUGCCACUUGGGCGAUCUCUGUCAGGGUCUUCUCUGUGCGCUCUAUUCCGGUCAAUCAGGCCUUGAACGAGGAUGGACCUCGCGUCGAAGCCUGGUUCUCUUGGGUCGAUUGAGGAUCUGCGCUCGCCACUGUGACGUCGCAUGUCAUCGUUCCGCCGAGGCACAUACAACGCACUCCUCGGAGGAGGCGUGGGUCCCCACGACGAUUAUCGCGGUCCAGUGGAUGAUCAUACUGUCCACGGCCUUCAUGCCGCGGGGGCGAUCUUGGGCUGUGGGCCGACUGAACCGUGUCUGCCACAACGGACCUGCUAUGAAUCCUAUUCCGCGACUGAGAUACUGAUGUGUUUUGCUCUCCCGCUGCCCGGAGCAAGGCCCGGAUCUGCAUCAGCCCUCUGCCAGCCUUCGGCUGAGAAGGUUGGAUCGACUCUGCUAUUCGGGCCGCAGCAGUGAGGUUCUGAAUCGGAGUAUGGUAUACCUUAGGUGGAGGCGGAAAAAGCUGUCGUCGACUGGACUCAUGGAUCCGCUCCCGAGCGCGCUCGUCGAGAGCAUGCUGAAGGUUAUCCAGUUGAGUGCGCUCAGCCAAAUUGGCUAAGCGUAUCUCCUCCAAGGCUCGAGCCUCGGGGGUUUCUCCAAUGAUGUGCGUGUGGAGUGCAUCCAUGUUGCGGCGACGAAGUUCUUCCCUCUACUGUGAAGAGAGGGGUUCAGGUCGGUAUUCCUUGUAGACGCGCGAUGGAUCGCCGCCCCUGUCUCCGUCGUCCUCACGGUAGAAACCAGGUGCGCUGUGAGGCCCGUCGACCAUCAAGACUUCAGCCACAGGGUCGUUGAUGUCACACUCGGAUGCAAUCUCCGCGGAGCCAGUCGACAGAUCGAACAGGCCGUGGAGAGUUUCAUCGGGAUCAAUUGCCGCAACUUGAUGGGUGGCCGAACCCCGAGCCACCACGUGCUUCACCCACCGCUGAAGCCGCGAUCGAGCUAACCUCUUGCGGCGGCGAACAGCAGGGAGUGAAAACACCAUCGCAGCCGACUGAUACUUAGUCGACAGCUGCCGGAGGAGAACGCCGCGAACGCACGCGCGGAAGUGCGUCGCCCCUCGGACGGGGAGCGCCUCAAUGUCCAGAGGGGCUUCUUGAAGCCACGCGGAGUCGUCGGUGACGAAAACGAGUGCGGCGAGACGGAUCUCGCGGCCCUCAGCCAAUCCGCCGCCGGAAACCAUGACGAUGACGAUCGGUAAAACUUGCAACUUCACCAACAAGUCGCCAAGACACCUGCCCCACGGUGGGCGCCAACUGUCGUGGUCCUAAAACUGAUAGUAGAAAGGGGGGUAGGUAUGGAGAGGCAAGAUCUCAGCUAUGGUGAAGGUGUACACAUGAGGUUUACGAGUUCAGGAGUAACAGCCCUACGUCUCGAUGCCCGUAGGUGGUCGAUUGAAUUAUGUGUGUGAUAUUACAGGGGUGCGAGCCCUUGUGCUAGAGGAGGAGGGUGGCUUAUAUAGAGUGCGCCAGGUCACAGCCAUCCUCCAUUACAAGGGACUUAAUGUACAUAAAGUGGAGGCGUUACUGGUAACGCCAGCCUUAAGCGCCGUUAAUGACCUUAAAGACUAUGGAGGAAACGCCUGUCCGUUGCCACGCCGAGUGGCUCCUAGUAUUUGAUAGGUCGAGUGGUUCUCUGUUUGGUCGAGUGACGACAAGGAGGAAGACCUCCGAGUGACACGCAUGUCGAGUGGACUGCACUCGACAUCUUCAACUGGUGGUCUCUUGUUGUCGCUUGGACCCUUCAUCUUCUUGGGUACUGACCCUGGGUAGGACGCAUAGGUCAGGCCUAUGACCCUACCCCAGGUCUGUAUCCUCAUCAGCUGCCACUCUCCAGUUGUAUACCCAAUAUGUGCCUGGAACGCCUCCCCGGACCAUGGCAUUUGCUUAUGGUUUGCCUUGUUCCUCUCAGACCACCACGACCACAAAGUGCAGAUGGACCGCAGCUUCUUUUCCUCCGGUAGCUUGAAAAUUUCCUGAAGCAUGUCCUUUGGUGUUUGGCAUGUGAGAAGGAGUUGACGUAUCUGUUCCAGCCCCCCAUCUCUCCAGACUUUCUUAACCUCUUUGCAGUGCAAGAAGAGGUGUGCACCAUCUUCAGGAACGCGGUGACAAAUCACACAUUUUGUAUCAAGCUCGACCCCAAUACGCUCCACAUUCCGUAGCAGGGGGUGGCUAUUGUGAGCAAGGUGCCACAUGAAAUGAUGCACUCUUCCAGGGCACCGGAUCGCCCAUAGCCUCUUCCAGAAUGCUGCCUCUUCUCCUGGCACCACUGAGCUCUGUCCUCUUGGGUGCGCACCCUGUCUAUCCUGCAGCUCCAUGUAUAGUCUGUAUGCCGAGCAGACAGAAAAUAGUCCUUUCGGGUCAAAGUACCAAGCCACAAAAUUGUCAUAAUGCUCAUAGAUUGGGAUGCUCAGAAUGGUUGCUGCGUCUCCCGGGCAAAAAGUCUGACGGACAAGCUGGACAUCCCGGGUGUUUGUAGUCGGAUCCAACGGUUCCGAGACUUAUGUCAGGAUAUUUGCACCUUGCAGAGUUCUUGGCAAUCGCGUAUCAUUAGAGGGCAAUCAGGGGUCCGCCCAAAUGUUUAUAUGCUCGCCCAAUCCCACUCUCCAUAUCAUCCCGGCCUUAAUUACUUCAACCCCUUGUAGCAGACUCCUCCACACAUAGCUCAUCCCAGGCUGGCUGGUAGCUUUUAGGACAUCACCCUCCGGGAAGUACUUGGCUUGUAACACACAAGCACAAAGAGAAUCCGGAGCUUGGAUAAGGCACCAAAUCUGACGGGAAAGCAUAGCCAUAUUGAACGAGUGGAGAUCUCAGAAACCUAGACCCCCUUGCUCCUUUGGGAGUCAUUUUCUCCCAACUCACCCAGUGGUGUUUGUCCUCCUCCUCCUAAUUAGCCCACCAGAACUUGCAAACCAUCUGGCUUAUACUUUUGCAGAGGGACUUGGUGAGAUCGAAGCACGCCAUGGCGUACAUGGGAACCGCAUGAAGUACUGCUUUGAUCAAUAUUUCCUUGGCUGCCUUGGACAGAAGCUUUAUCUUCCAGCCCUUGAUGGUCUCCCAUAUCCGGUCCCGUAGAUAUUCAAAACACUGUUGACGAGAUUGUCCUACAUAGGAUGGCAGGCCCAGAUAUUUUCCCUGCAAACUUUCACGCUGAAGCCCAAGUAGCGCUAGGAAUUGUUGCUUCUCCUGGUUCUUGGUGUUGCAACUGAACAAGACAGCCGAUUUGUCUCUGUUAAUGACAUGGCCUGAUCCCAAUUCAUACACAUGCAAAAUCUGGUCGACUACAGCAAUACUGGCCGGGUUAGCUUCGAACAGCAAAAGCGAGUCAUCAGCGAACAGUAAAUGACUAAAUGUUGGUGCACCCAACGCUACAUGAAUCCCUUUCAACUGACCACUAUCUUCUGCAUAUUGCAACAGUGCUGACAGACCCUCCGCGCACAGCAGAAAUAGGUAAGGUGAGAUUGGGUCGCCCUGCCGAAGCCCCCUACCAGGGAUCACUUGCUUUGUACAUGAGCCAUUCACCUUGAACUGAAACCGUACAGUCCUAAUGCACUUACUUAUCAGGUUUACAAAGCUUGGUGCAAAGCCUAGUUUCUGCGUCACCUUUUCCAAAAAGCUCCACUCCACCCGGUCAUAGGCUUUACUCAUAUCCAGUUUUAAAGCAGCAUAGCUCGCCCUUCCUGACCUCUUCCUCUUUAGAAAAUGUGUCAUCUCAUAAGCUAGAAUGGUGUUGUCUGAGAUGAGCCUUCCGGCACGAAUGCACUUUGAAUUGGUGAUAUGAUCUCUCCUAAGAUGCACUUUAGUCUAUUUUCAAUGACCUUGGACACGAGUUUGUACACCACGUUGCAUAGGCUAAUAUGGCGUAAGUCUUUCAAAGUCUCCGGGUUCUGAACCUUUGGGAUUAGUACUGCGAGAGUAUCGUUCCAUCCCUCUGGUAUACUGCCGCCUCGCAACACAUGUAACACCUCACAUACCACGUCGUCGCCAACCAAGUGCCAGUAAUGCUCAUAGAAGACAGAUGGUAAACCAUCCAUCCCGGGCGCCUUAAGAUCACCGAUCCCAUCAAGAGCUGAUUUAACCUCCUGUGGAGUGAACUCCGCUGCCAGAAAGUCAUUCAUUUCCGGCGUGACCUUAGGGGCAAUAUGAUCGAGGAUAUCAUGUGCAUCAUCACCUGCCACGGGAGUAAACAGAGAGGAAAAAUAGUUAAUAAUAUGGUUUUUUAUGCCCUCCUCAUCCUCCACAACCACUCCAUCCUCUCUCCUUAGCUUAAGGAUGUCAUUCUUUUUCUUCCUCUCCAAUGCAUAAGCUUGGAAAUAUUUUGUGUUUCUAUCCCCCUUCGUAAGCCAGUUGACAUGAGCACGUUGCCUCCAAACAAGGUCCUCCUGAUCCUGAAGCCUCUCAAGCUUAAAACUGAUAGUUUGUUCUUUCCUAACUUGGCUCUCUGAGAUUGGCUCCCUCCUGACCCUCUCCAGCUCCCCUUUCAACUUCUUAAUUCUCCUCCGAAGAUCACCUAGUACCUCUCUACUCCAAGUGUUCAGCGCCCUAACUACCACCCCCAACUUUUGUCGCACUCCAGGACCCGCAGCCCCAUCCCAUGCCUCCCGAACUGUGCUGUCACACCCCUCCUCCAAAAGCCAGUUGGCCUCAAAGCGAAGCAAGCGCUCCCCCCUCGCAUGGCGCUGUACCUGGGGGCUCCCAUCACGUAGCAGCACCACGGGACAAUGGUCCGAAUGGCAAGGAGCACCGUUUACUACUUUGUAUGCUGGAAACCGAGCACACCACUCCGGGGUUACAAUAACACGGUCCAAACAUUCACGAAUGUAGCCUUGAACACGAUUAUUUUUAUUCCACCAAGUGAAAACAUCACCCUCGAAACCGAGGUCAAUCAAAUUACAAUGAUCAAGGGCAUCUCUGAAGUUUUGCAUAUAUCUAUGAGCUCGGGGCACACCUCCUUGCUUCUCAUGGUUAAAUAGGACCUCGUUGAAGUCCCCCAAGCAUACCCAAGGGAGCUGAAUCUGAUGAUGCAGGGUACGCAAAAGGCACCAAGUUUCCACCUUCUUGUCCAUGUGUGAUUCUCCAUAGAUGCCAGUCAAUCUCCAUUUGAAACCAUCCUCCUCCUCCACAAUUGCAUCAAUAUGCAUCCUUCCCAUCAACCUAACAAUAACAUUUAUUCCCCGCCUCCAAAACAGAGCCAAACCUCCACUCUUCCCUAAAUUAUUCUUCACUUCCAUGUGAUACAAUCCUAGCUUAUCUCUAAAUUUAUUCAUCCUUCCUCUAUCCAACCUUGUCUCUGACAAAAACAAGAUAUCGGGGUCCUCCUCCUUCUACAGGUUCAGAAGGCCAUGAACUGCAGGGCCAUUCCCCAAAGCCCGACAGUUCCAUGCAACAAUCUUCAUUGGGAUUUGCAGGGCUGUCCUGGCAGCCCCGCGUCAGCAUGUGUUUUGCGGUCCUCCUCCUGUCAGUGAACCUCCACAUCCAUCACCUUCUGCUUCUUUGCAGCCUCUAUAUCCUCCAUCUCCUGGGCCUCCCCACCCAUCUUCUUUGGCAAAAGAAUCCCUUCACUUCCUNNNNNNNNNNNNNNNNNNNNNNNNNNNNNNNNNNNNNNNNNNNNNNNNNNNNNNNNNNNNNNNNNNNNNNNNNNNNNNNNNNNNNNNNNNNNNNNNNNNNNNNNNNNNNNNNNNNNNNNNNNNNNNNNNNNNNNNNNNNNNNNNNNNNNNNNNNNNNNNNNNNNNNNNNNNNNNNNNNNNNNNNNNNNNNNNNNNNNNNNNNNNNNNNNNNNNNNNNNNNNNNNNNNNNNNNNNNNNNNNNNNNNNNNNNNNNNNNNNNNNNNNNNNNNNNNNNNNNNNNNNNNNNNNUUACUCUUCUCCUCCCCUGCAUAUGUCAACCUUUUGGUUGCUCCUCCUCUUCCCCCUAUCUCCAAUUUUUUGAGCGGGCUCGUGACCUCCUGGCCCCUCUCCUCCUCUUUUGUAGCCUCCCCCAACUCUUACUAUUAUUCCUCCAUGAUGGGGCAUCACUGCCAGAGUAGGCUCUCCUCCCCCAAGCACCGCUCGUUUUGAAACCCAGGCUCCUCCUACUCGCCCCCGUUCUGUUUUCACCCCAUUUGCUCCGAGUGUCACCACCAGACUUACGAGGGAGGAAAGCCCUCAGCCAGGGUCCGAACUGACGCUUCUCCCCCCCUUUUUAGUUUUAGGCCCUUUAUCAAUGUGCCCAAUGAUUUCACACACAUAGCAAAAAUCUGGCAGGUAUUGAUACUCAAACAGACACCAAUUCUUCUCUUCGUCUUCCUCCCUUGCUGACUCCACCACCAUCUCUUUGUCAUUGUUAUCCUUCAUUUCUUCCUCAUCCAGUAUAAACCCUCUCAUCAAUGGGGCCUUGAUAUUCAUCCGGACCUUCACCCUCAGGAACUUACCAACCGCUCUGCCAUUCGCAUGUGCAUCCACUUCUAAAACUUCACCUAUCUCUGCCCCAAUUGCCUCCCCUGCCUCCCUACACAUCAUUCCUAGCGGAAGGCGCAAAACGCUAACCCAGAUCGGGAUUGGGUCAACAGCAUAAUCCUCCAGACGCUUACUUGCCAUGAAGUCCUCAAAGACGAGUAGAUCAUUUCCAAACUACCAAGGUCCUCCUUCUAGCGACAUCCGUUUCCCCGACUCCUGCCCAAAGGUAAACAUGUAUAUGUUCUCUCCAACCUCCUUACACUUCAAACCCCUGAUUGGGCACCAGAUCCGGCCCAGCAUUUCAUCCAUCGCCUCUGCAAACACCGGUUUCUCAGAGAGAAGCUUAGCCAAUGCAUGCGGUUCCACCACACCAGCCUUGCCCGAUCCAGCCCAUCCAAUCUUGAUGCGUUUCUUCUUCUUGUCCGACAACUUCUGAUUCUGCAGCAGACCUUCUACCUUCUCCAUCACCCCCUACACCCGGCCAGCAGCCUGCCUUGCCCGAUCCAGGCCGUCCAAUCUUGAUGUGUUUCUGUUUUAUCCCUUUGGUCGAUAGUCUGUCCCUCGGGUGACGGUUGGUUCCCCUCGUGUGGCGACUCGUUAGGCGAUCUAGGGUUUUUCCCUCGGCCACCGUUCCCGUUUUGUUCUCUCGCCGCCGGCGCCCGCCCUGGGGUGUCGUCUGGGAGAUCUCUCUCCUCGCCGGGGUGCCUGUGGCCCGUUCGUCUCAUCUCGUCCAACCCAUCCACCAAAAUCCUUUCGCGGGAUCUAGGGCUCGUGAUCAUACACCACCUGUGUCCCCUAGAUUGGUUUAAUAUAAGAACACUUAUUCACACUAGUUAGUGUAAAAAAAAGCUCUUAUAUUAUGGGACGAAGGGAGUACUUGAUAUGCCUGAGGAUGACAACAUAUAUGUCAUUCUUGGGAGACUCUUUCUUAACACUAUAUGAGUUAUUACUGAUUGCAACAAAAGCAACUAGUAAUGGGAAUGAGCAUGUUCUUUAUUUUCCAAAAAAACAAAGAAAAAAAUCACUAUUCUCAGAGGAUUACGGCCAUCUCCAUUAGAGAAACUGAACGAGGUGUUGGUACACAGAUGAGGACGGCCAUACCCAGUUAACAGUCCCAAAAAAUCAAAAGAAAUAAAAAUCACUAUUCUCAUUUGAACGGCGUCUAGGUCAACGUUUCAAUGGACCAAUUCUGGCGAAACUCGACUUGCAUGGUCCUGACUAAAGCGAUGUCAUCGAAUGCCCUAAUCAGUCCAGGAUGUUCCCAAUCAUUGCCGGCAUUCAGAUUGACCUGAGUGGCUUCAGUUCUUGCCAGGUUAACUGGAUAAAAGGGGAGCAAAACAAUCUCGCUCACCACCUCGCUGCCCUGGCGUCAAGAACAGUUCCUGUUGGGGACCGUCUCGGUGAACUGAAGGAGGUCCUGCCGAUUGAUUGUAACCAUGUUGUUUAAUUGGAACUUGACCCCGGGGGGCGUGUCGCACCUGCAACAGAUGACACGCUCCUUCUUUUCGAGCCGGACUUGCACAGUAUCGCAACUGUUAAGGCUAUUCUCUUGUAUUUUGAGAUUAUGUCUGGGCUCAAAAUAAACUUCCACAAGUGUGAAGUGGUGUCCAUAGGGAUGGACGCGGCCGAAAGUUUACGUGUAGCUGUGCUAAAUUGCAAGCUUGGGAAACUACCGUUUACUUACCUUGGCCUCCCGAUCGCUGAGAAAAAGUGCUUGAUCUCAGAUUGGGAACCUCUUUGCAAUAAGGUGGCGGGUAGAGUCUGCCCGUGGAGAGGGAGAUUUAUGUCUUCAGGGGCAAGACUUAUCUUAACCAACUCCAGCCUAUCGUCCCUGCCUAUGUUUGUCAUGGGACUGUUCCUGGUGGUUGACGGGGUGCACACCAAAAUGGACACCCAUAGGGCCCGCUUCUUUUGGGAAGCGGCAGGGACAAAACGUAAAUACCAUAUGGUAAAAUGGCAGGCUGUUUGCCGGCCCAAAGCCUAGGGGGGCCUUGGGAUCAUGAACUCGAAGUUGAUGAACAUUGCACUCAUGUGCAAAUGGAUUUGGAAGAUGUCUCAGGGCGAGACUGGCCUCUGGAUGGACCUCCUGUGUGCCAAAUACUUCCCUAGUGGGAAUUUUUUUGAGGCCGCAACCCAUGGGUCACCUUUCUGGAACACCAUCCAUUCCUUAAAACCGUUCUUUGCUAGAGGGGCGAAAUUCACGGUUAAUAACAGCCGCUCCACGCGAUUCUGGAUUGAUUUUUGGAUCGGCCACCAACCCCUUUGGUCGGAGUUUCGCGAUCUCUAUUCCAUCGUUGUUGAUCCCAACCAAUUAGUUGCCACGGCCUUUAGUUCUUCCCCACCUUCUAUUUUCUUCAGAAGGGAGCUCUCAGGGCCUGAGGCGGAUAGUUGGGACUGCCUGCGGGCUCUGAUCGCCGACGUGCAUCUGUCGACUGCCGCGGAUACGGUGUCAUGGAGGCUCACGGGUUCUGGCAAGUUCUCUGUCAACUCUCUUUAUAGAGAGCUGGCUCACGGCCCUGCCCUUCAGGCUGCCUCGAGGCUCUGGAAGGCACGAACUCCGCUUAAAAUCAAGGUUUUCCUCUGGCAAUUGUGCCAUGAUCGCCUCCCUACCUCCAUAAAUGUAGCUAAGCGCAAUGGGCCGGCCACUGGGCCCUGCGCGCUUUGUGGUGUCCCAGAAGACGCGGAUCAUGUGUUCUUCCGGUGCCCUCUGGCGCGCUUCGCCUGGAGUGCGGUUCGCGAGGCCGCGGGCGUGGAUUGGGAUCCACGGUCCUGCUCCAAGCUAGUGUCGUCUCUAUCCUUGGUUCAGUGCUCCUCACGCUAUAUCAUGUGGACUUGUGCGGCUGCAAUGUUGUGGGCCCUUUGGCGAACUCGAAACAAGUUUACAAUUGAGGGUGUUUUCCCAUCUCACCCCGCUGACGUAAUCUACAAAUGUAUCAUUUUCUUAUAGAAGUGGGAACCAUUGGGAAGACAUCAGGACGCUGGUCUUCAUCGCUAUGCUCUAGACCGCCUUCGCCUCGUCUACUCGGCGUCUCGAGCUCCGUCGUCUGCUACCUCUGCUCCCUAGGGAUGUGUAGCUCCUUUUGGAAGUGUUUUCUCCGAGCCUGCGCGCUCUUUUGUUGGCUAGCUAUGCCUUGUACUGCAAUUUGCUUUCUGGGCCGGUCGUCUUUGUGUUUGGUUUGGGUUCCUGGACGUUGGUUACUACUCAUGUGCAUGCUGCCUAUGUUGUGGGCUUUAUUAAUUUAAAGCCGGACGCACCUGGCGUCUUCGUUCUAAAAAAAUUGGAACUAGGUGUUGGUGAUGUCGAUGGCUUCGAUUGUGCCAUGUUUGAGGGUGUAUGAACCGGUCAUAAUGAUAUUCUUCCUUUAUGGAGGGGGUGAAAUGUUUAAUUAUGUACGGCUUUCAACAUAAAUAUAUAUUGAUAAGUAUUACCUCCAUGCUAAAAUAUAUGACGUUUUGGUAGAUUACGGAGAUAGUACAUCCGGUUGUGACAAGUAAUAUGGAUCAAAGCAUCUACAGUCGGGCACCGCAGACCGACUUCGAACGCUCGGGCGGGCCAUCCAGUCACUGACUGGUCAUGAAAUUUUGACUCAGGCGCCUCAAACGGGCCUCAAACACCUGAGUUGACCGGCACCCCUCAUAUCCAGCCCAAAUAUGGGGUGGAUAUGAAGGCGCCCGGGUGUGUCCGCCACGUCGAACUGACGUCGAGGUCCCAUGCAGAAUCGUCCGGAAACCCGGUGGUCCGACGGACAUCUCCUCCUUUGGGGUGUGAAUGAUGCGUAACGCCGGUCCGGCUCGCCGCCCAAGGUCAAAUCUUGCUAUUUAAGCCGGCCAGCGUCCCCCAACCCUAGCCCAUCCACCUCCUCCCACUCUGCGCCGCCAGCCCGAGCCCAUCUGCCUCCUCUCUCUCCCGCUCCGGCUCUCUUCCCAAGCUCUCCGGCUUCGCCAAGGUCCAGAAGAAGAUAACCACCCAUGUCAUGCUCACGCCGGAGCGCCGGUAUGAGAUCCAGCAGGAAAUCCAGGCAAGGUGCGCCGCACGCGCCACCCUCAUCGCUCUCGGGUUGCCUCCGGACUCGCCUGAAUUGGAGGAGGUGGAGGAGAAGCAGGAGAAGGGAAGAGAACAGCAACAGUCGGCUCCAUGGAGGACGAGGAGGAGGCAAAGCAGCCGAAGCAGGAGUUGGUGCCGGCUCCGGGCUUCAACGUGGAGUAGGCGGAGUUCGUUGUCGCCCAAGCGGACGAGAUGGUGGAGCAACAAGCCAUCCUGGAGUCCAUCUAGGAGGAGGCCUAUGCGGAGGCCAACUAGGUUUUUCAUCCGGCAGGAACAGGCAACGAUCGACACCCUCUUCGACAAGGUCGAAGCGAAGAUGGAUGCGCAAGCUGCCGUGGAGGAGCUGAAGCUGCAGCUGCUGCCAUGUACCCGGCACCGGACACGGAGAUAGUGGACAUAUUCGACGAGGAGUAGGUUAGUUGAUCUACGUAGUACGUAGGAUUUUUCUUCUUUGCAUGCUUUUGUAUGGAUUUAAGAUUUCUACUAUUAGGGCAUGUACAAUGGUUGAUAAGAUAGUCUUAUCUUAAGUCUUGCUUGUAAUUUAGAGAUGACAAAAGACAUGUCUACAAUGGGUCAUAUCUUAGCCUUAUCUUAAAUAACUAGUUAUUCCUAAAAACGUGGUGAGACAUAGUGUGCUAAGGGCAUGUACAAUGGUUGAUAAGAUAGUCUUAUCUUAAGUCUUGCAUGUAAAUUAGAGAUGACAAAAAAACAUGUCUACAAUGGGUCAUUUCUUAGCCUUAUCUUCAAUAAUUAGCUAUUUCUAGAAACAUGGUGAGACAAAUUAUGCUAAGAGACCAUCUCUUGUCUUCUCUUAAAUAAGAGAAGACAAGCCUUAUCUUACCAUUUCUCUUACGUGGCACUCUUAAGAUAGAACCAUUGUACAUGCCCUAGGAGAUCAUCUCUUGUCUUCUCUUAAAUAAGAGAAGACAAGUCAAUUCUUAUGAUUUUUCUCUCCUCCACCUAGUCAUUUAUCCUACGUGGCAUUGCUAAGAUAAAACCAUUAUACAUGCCCUUAGGGCGUGUACGAUGGUUGAUAAGGUAGUCUUAUCUUAAGUCUUGCAUGUAAUUUAGAGAUGAUAAAAAAUAUUGUCUACAAUGGGUCAUCUCGUAGCCUUAUCUUCAAUAACUAGUCAUUCCUAAAAAUAUGGUGAGACACAUUGUGCUAAGAGAUUAUCUCUUGUCUUCUCUUAAAUAAGAAAAAACAAGUCGUUUCUUAUGAGUUCUCUCUCCUCCACCUCACCAUUUGUCCUACGUGGCGCUGCUAAGAUAGAACCAUUGUACAUGCCCUUAGGUAUCCAGAUGCAGAUGCAAAAAUUACGGAUUGACAGGUCAGUGUCAGGGCGCGUCCACACAUGUUCGAGGGCUCGGAGUCUCGUUGUAGAGGCUCUAAUGGUUGGCUACCUCCCUGCCUCAUGCCAUGGCACGAACGGAUGGGAGGAGCAACCAAAUACCAGCUGUGCUCUAAUGGUUGGCUACCUCCCUACCUCGUGCCACGGCAUGAACGGACGGGAGGAGCAACCAAAUACCAGCAGAUCCCUCCGCAACAGGGCUCAUAGAAAAGCGAGGGCUCCUAGUGGAAAGCGUUAGCUAAGGCCGAAAGUCACAAACGCUUCCUUCUCACACUUCGUCGUGCGUUCCCAUCAUGGAUGGCGUGCUCUGUGCUUUGUGGUUGUGAAAGACACAACCUCUAUUCCAUUCGAAAUGCAGGGUGUUGGAAUAAAUCUGAGGCAUACCGUUGAUCAUUCGAGGACCAAGCAAUCACACGAGCACGAUACCGAGAUUUGUUAACGAGGUUCACCGAUAUGGCUACAUCCCCGAGGCUUGACUAUGGGCGCUCCUCCCCAUGACACUCACAAUACCGCACACCGGCCACCCGGGCGCCGGCACAUGCCACCGUCUCCCCCUUGCGCGCUUGUGCUAUUAUGCUGGCAUAGGUUACAACGUGUGUCUAGCCCUGCUAUAUAUGAGAGGCCUAGGAUACAAGUGUCCUACUAGGACACGGCUCCAUAUCCUAUCUAAACACAAUACAACUACAAGUCCAACUGUAACCUACCUCGUACACUAUAUUCGACACAACUCCAACAAACUCCACCUUGGCGAAUAUACUCCAUCACCCUAGAUUUGUCCAUGCGUCAAACUUCCAUGUACAUUGGACUUGAGCUUAUCCCAUGAGUACCGCUGCUACUCCAAAGACUCCAUGCGACUCCACCUGCAACUUGUAGUCCCUUCUUUUCUUGACCAUAGUCAACACUCGAGCAAAAUUAAGUCCCUUGUUACUCAAUUUGUGCUCCCAACUUCCAGAGUAUCUGUUCAACGCCAUCACACACUAAUCACUGACCUGCGUGAAAGUGAACAACUCACAUAUUGAGUGUCACACAGAAGAGUUACCUGAACUCAACAUCACCGCUCCUUUCUUGACUGCAUGUCUGAAACUUGAAGGAAUUUCACCAUUGCUUGUAGUCAUCCCAAGUCAAAUUCGUAGUUGUCUCACCACAUGUAUGACCACCAGAGCCCUAGCCCGUCUCCAUGCCCCGUGCAUACCGCACACCUCGCCGCUAUUACCGCGUCAAGCCUCCGCUGUCUCGGUCGAUUCUCAAGGGCCGCGGACCACACCACUCAACCCCCACUGCAGGGUACCACCGAUCUUCGUCGACCGGUGACGAGUUUGACGCUUCCAUCAGACCACUGGGCUCCAUUCCGAACUAUGUGUCACUCGCUUUGCCCGCUGAAAUAGGCUUUGACUCUCUGACGUCUUACGCCGUAGCCCCUCAAUCAGCACCGAGUGGAGUCCUCUAGACUCCAACUCCCCCUUCAACAUGACUCCAUGGUAGAUGAUCAGUCCAUCCUUGCGUCCUGUCGACUUCAAGCUCUCAUGUGAGCACCGUCUUGAAUCAACCCCGCGCCAUAGUCUUAUUGAAGGCGCCAAGCCCUCGGGCAUGUGCCACAUGUUUCCACGCCCAGAAGUCGGUCACCCAUCAGCCUCACGCUCCUAUGUCGUAGUCGCCGAUUCCACCACCGUCUUCUGUACCAACUGACUUGCGUCGAUCUGUCAGACUAUCCAGUCCAACCCAGCCGAACUUGUUCGACUGCAAUGACACGCUUCAAGGCUCCCAAAUCAUCUUCCGUGAAUUUCCAUUCAUCAUAUGAUAAUUCCAUCUUAGCUGACAUGACUUCCCGCAAUGCCUUCAAGCAUCCUUGUUGUGCCAACAAUCUUUCACCCAUGUCUGCCAUAACCCAAGGUUUUCAGUUCCAUUGAACUUCUCCACCUCAAACCCGAUGCCCGAUGACGUCAUGAUUCUUUGUACAGCUGACCUUGUGAAAAAUAACCGAGCUUCUUUCCACGAUGCCAAGGUACAUAAACAAACCUAACGUGGUCACCUCCCAGUACUAGUAGCAAUUCAACCAAAAACUUUUGAUCUUCACGUAUGUAAGAACAUGCGGUGCCCCCAUGUUUGGUUUUGGCAAUUGAUGACAAUCUCUAUGGACUAAUGGUUGCCUUGAGUUAUAUUUGAAGGGUUUGUCCAUAGGCUUUUCUUGGAGUCCAUUUGUUGGUUUCAAGGAGAGUUUGUGAUGACCAAGUUGCUAUUAAGGAAUUAUCCAAAGAUUGGUCUUAUUAGUGUUGAGCUUAUUGCAAGCAUGUCUUGAAGAAGAAGAUUGUGUGAUCAUUCAUGUUUACCUUCAAGACAUCAUCCAAAUGAAGAGAGUUGGAAAGAUUCAAGGUUGAUCAAGACUAAGUCAAAGAAUGAAUCAAGUUGAUCAACACACAAAGCAUAGAAGAUGUACCGAGAGGGAUCAAGCGAUCCCAUGGUAUGGUAAGCAUGGUCAAUUACGCUUUGUGUACUAACCCAUGGUCUUCGUGAGAGUUCUUUGUGGGGUUAGGUUGCGGUGUGGAAGCUCAAGUUGAAUCAUCAUGAAGAGAUCAUAUGCUUGAAGCUUGCCAUACAUUGUGGCGACAAUGGACUUGUGAAGAUGUGCAGAAGAGUGGCUCACCCAUAGUGGAGUAUGGGGGAGCAAUCAACUAGUCCUCUUCGAGCCAAUGCAAUCAAGAAAGGUGGUCCAACUUGAGGGAGUCAAGAUCGUCAUCAUCUAGCUCAAGUGGACCAUGUGCAAGGCAAAGGUUUGCCCUUGAUAGGUUUUCUAUUUUUCCGGUCUCAUGGUAGUUGUGGGAGACCGGGUUAUAGGAUCGUUUGCCGUACUAUCAAGGAGGGCUCUCGAUGAGUUGCUUGAUCGUAUCGUUCGUAGAGAGCUCAAACCAUUGCAUCCUUGCAUCAUCUUUAUUGGUUCUUGUUUGGUUCUUCUCCUUGUGAGAUUUGGAGCUUUUGGUCAUGUUCAUGACAAGCUCGUGUUCAUCAAAAACGGAGUUCACAUGCAUCUUCUAUGAUGUUUUCGAUGUUGGAGGGUAUGCCGGUUCUUCUCUGUUGGAGGUGUCACUCCUUUGUUUGCUAAGCAUACCUCCCCUGCCUCUUCUUCUAUAACCAGUCGUUGUUUUGAUGCUACUCGUUGUCUUGUUUCAAACAAGCUUGAGUUUGCUCAAUUCGGAGCUCAUAUGAAGAAGUUAUGGCAGUUCUGGUUUUCCUUGGAGUAUUCUUUGUUUUUGUGGUUGAGGCAUAAGGUUGGCCCCAGUGGUAGUACCGCGACCACAGCGGCAGUACCGCCGAAGCUCCCCAGCGGUAGUACCGCUCUCAGAGCAGUAGUACCGCUCCAAGCGGUAGUACCGCUCUCCGAACGGUAGUACCGCUUGGGAUUUUCGGCCGUAGUACCGUUGUGUGUCUAGGCUACUUCCGCCUCGAUUCUCGAACGAGUUUUUCGUGUCGGGUUUUGCGGCACUAAGGGAGGUAGUAGGAGCGGUAGUACCGCCCUAAGCGGUAGUACCGCUCUUCCCUAGCGGUAGCACCGCCCUGGGGUCAGGACCCUGGCAGCGCGGCAGUACCGCUGGGUUGAGCGGUAGUACCGCCCGGAGCGGUAGUACCGCCCUUCCCUAGCGGUAGUACCACUCUGUGCGGGGAUGUACAGUGGGGUAACGGUUGGAUUUUCCCCCUCCUAUAAAAGGGGGUCUUCUUCCCCAAUGGACCUUAUCCUUUGAGCUCGCGUUCUUCCCCCAUUGUUGACCUUCUCCGAGCUUGCUAUCUCUCAAUCCCUCCAUGGAUUCUUGCUAGUUUUUGGGGGGAAAGAGAUAGGAUAUCUAGAUCCACAUUUCCACCAAUCACUUUCUCCUCUAUGUGAGGGGAACCCCUUGGAUCUAGUUCUUGGAGUUCUUGGUGUUCUCCUUCUUGUUCUUCCUCUCAUUUCUUCCCUAGCAUUAGUUGCUUUGGUGGGAUUUGAGAGAGAAGGACUUGGGCACUCUAUGUGCCCUUGCCAUUGCAUUUGUGCAUCGGUUUGAGUUCUCCACGAUGAUACGUGGAAGUUAAAAGUUGAGAAGCUUAUUACUCUUGGGUGCUUGGUGCCCUUGAGCUUGUUCAUCUUGGGUGCUUGGGCGCCCUAGUCGGUUGGUGGUGUUCGGAGCUCAAUCAUUGUGGUGUAAAGCUCCGGGCAAGCGUCGGGGUCUCCAAUUAGGUUGUGGAGAUCGCCCCGAGCAUUUUGACGGGUUCCGGUGACCGCCCCCAAGGGUUGCCAAAGUGUACGGGUUCGGUGACCGCCCCCAAGGGUCGCCAUUUGUACGGGUUCGGUGACCGCCCUCAAGGGUCCCUUAGUGGAAUCACGGCAUCUUGCAUUGUGCGAGGGCGUGAGGAGAUUACGGUGGCCCUAGUGGCUUCUUGGGGAGCAUUGUGCCUCCACACCGCUCCAAACGGAGAUUAGCAUCCGCAAGGGUGUGAACUUCGGGAUACAUCGUCGUCUCCGCGUGCCUCGGUUAUCUCUUACCCGAGCCCUUUACUUAUGCACUUUACUUUGUGAUAGCCAUAUUGGUCUUUGUCACAUAUCUUGCUAUCACAUAGUUGCUUAUAUUGCUUAGCAUAAGUUGUUGGUGCACAUAGGCGAGCCUAGUUGUUUUAGGUUUUGUGCUUGACAAAUUAACCGCUAGGUUUAUUCCGCAUUUGUUCAAGCCUAAACCGUAAUUAUUUUAAAACGCCUAUUCACCCCCCCCCCCUCUAGGCGACAUCCACGAUCUUUCAACGUAUAGUUGCUCUAGCUCAACUCCCGAUGCUGCUAUUGCUUUGCCAUGUGCGUGCUUUCUGAUGUAUGCGUAUCAACCAAUGGAUUUCAUCUGCUGAUUUGAUCUGUUGCCUCCAUCUGUGCCGUACACGAGGACCUGGUCCUCCUUUUUUUUCAAACAAAUCUCGUAAGCACUCGAUCGGAUCUGCACUGCAACCGUUCCACGCAGCGUGCCAAUUGCCUAGCCAGCUUUUCCAUGCCUGGCCGCGUGUACCUGCGAGCCCCGCCUGGGCCAGCCCGUACUCUUCGUAUGCGCUGCCUAGGGUUGCCGCUACGUCAGCUGCCAACCAGCCGAUCGCGAUCCUUCCGCCGCGAUGCUUCCAAUACUCACCGAUGACCGCGGUACAAGAUGACUUUCAUGGAAAACUUGCUUCCCAUCCGAGCAGUAGCUUCGGCCGAAGACUAAUCUUCUGCACUUCAUCUCCGUGACGAAGUCAACGGCAAUCUUACUCUAAAUCAACGCACAUCGACCUUCCGUAACCUUGCUCUGAUACCAUUUGUUAGAAUAAAUCCGAGGCAUACCGUCGAUCAUUCGAAGACCAAGCAAUCACACAAGCACGACACCGAGAUUUGUUAACGAGGUUCACCGAUAUGGCUACAUCCAGUGACGGAGCUAGAAUGAAAUGAUUGGGCGGGCCAGCUUAGAAAAAGCAGAUCGUUUUUUUCCAUCCAUGCCCAUUUCACUCUUCAGGCACAUUGGUUUGUAGCAAAGCUGGGCGGGCCAUAGCCUGGUUUUGCUUGCACUAAGCUCCGCCACUGGCUACAUCCCCGGGGCUUGACUAUGGGCGCUCCUCCCCAUGACACCGUCACAAUACCGCACAACGACCACCCGGGCGCCGGCACACGCCGCCGGCUCCCCCUUGCGCGCAUGUGCUAUUAUGCUGGCAUAGGUUACAACGUGUGUCUAGCCCCGCUAUAUAUGAGAGGCCUAGGAUACAAGUGUCCUACUAGGACACGACUCUAUAUCCUAUCUAAACACAAUACAACUAUAAGUCCAACUGUAACCUACCUCGUACACUAUAUUCGACACAACUCCAACACAGGGAUCAUUGAUAACAUACUGUAAAAAAACAUACUCCCUCUGUUCCUAAAUAUAGGUUUUUUUAGAGAUUUGAACAAGUGACUACAUACUCCCUCCAUCCCGAAAUACUUGUCAUCAAAAUGGAUAAAAGAGGAUGUAUGUAACAUAUUUUAGUUCGAGAUACAUCACCUUUUAUUCAUUUUGAUGACAAGUAUUUUCGGACGGAGGGAGUACAAAGCAAAAUGAGUGAAUCUACGCUCUAAAAUAUGUCUACAUACAUUCAUAUGUUGUACUCCAUUUGAUAUGUAUAAAAAGACUUAUAUUUAGAAACGGAGGGAGUAGAUUUUAAAUACUUACAUUUGAUAAAGAUAAAAACAAAAAAACAUCACGAUUUCAGCACAACCCCCAAAGGAAGGGAAGUCAGGCUGCAAGUGGACGCGGGCUGCCCGCGGUACCCACGUAAAAGCCCACAUAAUCCGUGUUCGUGGACACCCAAGGAUAGAGCGACUGGAUAUGUGGGAUAGGUGGGAAGUCAGGCUGCAAGUGGACGUGGGCUGCCCACGGUGCCCACGUAAAAGCCCACAUAAUCCGUGUUCGUGGACACCCACGGAUAGAGCGACUGGAUAUGUGGGAUAGGUGGGUUUGUCCUGCGGCGCCCGCGAGCCCACUUCCUUCUCACUUCCUCGAAUCAGGGGCCGCCGCCGUGCAUGACCACAACGCCGUCUUCCAACUCCGCCAUAGCCGCCACGGACGCCGCCACAGCGUCGCCAUCGUCCGAUUCUGUCAUGGUCUGUCCCAGUCCGCCAUGGAUGCCGCCGCAAUGUCGCAGCCCAGCUCCGUCAAGGCCGCCCAGCUUCGCCAUGGACGACGCAUCUUUGCUAUCAUCACGAUCUUGAAAAAAGCCCCGCGUUUGUCUGGUGCCAUCCACAAGCAGGGACACACAUCCAUCUCUCUGGUUGAUCAGUCAUUUACUCAUUCUCUACCCGUCCAUCCAUCUUCCACAGCCGUGUGGGCGGCGACAACUUUAAGUACACCAGAUCCAUGUUUUGACAGUGCAUGAUGUCCAGCUUCAGGUAACUUGCCGAUGCUCGCCGGCACCAGAAGACCUCGUGUUCAACAAUCACUAUUCAGUAUACGCAUGAACAUGAACAAUUGAAUAUUUGUAUAUGCUGCCUAACGUGCCUGUACGCGCUCGUACUUGGCUGCUAUUUGAGCGCAUGAACAUUCAUUUCCAGUCAUGUUGGUGGGAGGUGCGUUACCCGCUAAACCCACUUAUCCCGUGUAAAAAUAUGCAAGCAGAUGCGGGCUUUCCACCUAUAUUAUGUGGCAGAUGUUGGGCGCGGGCUUUCCACCUAUAUUAUGUGGCAGAUGUUGGGCGGAUGCGGGCUUCCCGCGGACAGUCCCACUUGCAGCCUGAAAGGGAAACUAUGCCUGAAAACACUGAUCACACAAUACUUCAGAGUCGACAUGCGUAUAGGUCAUCCAGAAUUCAGACACCAUUUUCUUGAGACAACAACUGCGGUGUUAUAUUACAGCACAACAGGUAGAGCUACAGAUAACGAAACGGUCUUCUAGGAAGACAUAUCCCAGCACGAGAGCGUCGUCGUCGUUGCCACCAGAGCAAAACAUCAGGAAACAAAAAAAUAAACACAAUACCCACUAGAUCGACUGGACAUGCCUCCUAUUGCAGAUACCGCGGGUGUAAGGUGAUGUGAGAUGUACAUUACAUGGUUUGUUUAUCCUGCCUCAGUUGUGGACGUCGCCCUUCCGUUUCGUGGUGGUGCUUCGGGGCCGAGCUGACCUGUUGUUGGUCCUUGGCAGCUGCCUGUCCUCCUGCUCUUGCUUGGCGUCUAACAUCUCCGAUGAGACAUCCAUGGUGGUUUCUGGCCAUGGUGUGCGCUUGGCGGG
RNAcentral lists this long non-coding RNA (191398 nucleotides) under Triticum aestivum (bread wheat). Its description in RNAcentral is "long non-coding RNA (TAES_LNC016730)". The stretch from base 189594 to 189727 matches the Rfam family "MIR1120/MIR1122 microRNA precursor family". Lineage: Eukaryota; Viridiplantae; Streptophyta; Magnoliopsida; Poales; Poaceae. The record is from RNAcentral.